GACGAUGAAGAAUGAUGAGAAGGACUUGAUGGGCAAGGCUCUCAUGAAGCGUGUGAUGCAAACUUGGCUGCCUGCCAGUCGUGCUCUGCUUGAGAUGAUGAUAUUUCACCUUCCCUCUCCCUCAAAGGCACAGAGGUAUCGUGUGGAGAACUUGUACGAGGGUCCCCUUGAUGAUAUAUAUGCUAAUGCUAUCAGAAACUGUGACCCUGAUGGUCCUCUUAUGCUGUAUGUCUCCAAGAUGAUUCCAGCAUCUGACAAGGGUAGAUUCUUUGCCUUUGGACGUGUUUUUGCCGGGAGGGUUGCAACUGGCAUGAAGGUCCGUAUCAUGGGUCCCAACUUUGUUCCUGGCCAGAAGAAGGAUCUGUAUGUGAAGAGUGUCCAGCGUACUGUUAUCUGGAUGGGAAAGAAGCAAGAGUCUGUUGAGGAUGUUCCUUGUGGUAACACUGUUGCUUUGGUUGGUUUGGAUCAGUUCAUCACCAAGAAUGCAACCCUGACAAAUGAGAAGGAAGUUGAUGCCUGCCCAAUCAGGGCAAUGAAGUUCUCUGUGUCCCCUGUUGUGCGUGUUGCCGUUCAGUGCAAGGUGGCAUCUGAUCUUCCUAAGCUUGUUGAGGGUUUGAAGCGGCUGGCGAAGUCUGACCCUAUGGUUCUCUGUAGCAUUGAAGAGUCUGGUGAGCAUAUCAUUGCUGGAGCUGGAGAGCUUCACCUUGAAAUCUGUUUGAAGGAUCUGCAGGAGGACUUCAUGGGUGGUGCUGAAAUUAUUGUUUCCCCUCCCGUCGUCUCCUUCCGUGAGACUGUUCUUGAGAAGUCCUGUCGCACUGUCAUGAGCAAGUCCCCCAACAAGCAUAACCGUCUUUACAUGGAAGCUCGCCCAUUGGAGGAGGGAUUGGCUGAGGCUAUUGAUGAUGGCCGCAUUGGCCCACGUGAUGAUCCUAAGGUGCGCUCUAAGAUCCUAUCUGAGGAGUUUGGUUGGGACAAGGAUCUCGCCAAGAAGAUUUGGUGCUUUGGACCUGAGACGACUGGGCCCAACAUGGUUGUCGACAUGUGUAAGGGAGUGCAGUAUCUGAAUGAAAUCAAGGACUCUGUUGUGGCUGGGUUCCAGUGGGCAUCGAAGGAAGGUGCAUUGGCUGAGGAGAACAUGCGUGGCAUCUGCUUUGAGGUCUGUGAUGUUGUUCUGCACACUGAUGCUAUUCACAGGGGUGGUGGUCAGGUCAUCCCAACAGCCCGGAGGGUCAUUUAUGCUUCUCAGCUCACUGCUAAGCCAAGGCUACUGGAGCCUGUGUACCUGGUUGAGAUCCAGGCCCCGGAGAAUGCACUCGGCGGUAUCUAUGGUGUUCUGAAUCAGAAGAGAGGGCACGUGUUUGAGGAGAUGCAGAGGCCUGGUACCCCGCUGUACAACAUCAAGGCUUACCUCCCGGUCAUCGAGUCGUUCGGGUUCUCAAGUACCCUCAGGGCUGCGACAUCUGGCCAGGCUUUCCCCCAGUGUGUGUUCGACCACUGGGACAUCAUGUCUUCGGAUCCUUUGGAGGCCGGCUCCCAGUCUGCGACCCUUGUCACGGAGAUCCGCAAGCGCAAGGGUCUGAAGGAACAGAUGACCCCUCUAUCUGAUUUCGAGGACAAGCUCUAAACUUUUAGUUCUGUUAUCAUAUGGGUCUAGUUUGCUUUUGCUGCUAAGAGAGCUGCACUAUUAUUUUCUGUCUGUUGAGUCGUGGCUGUAUUGCUAUUGGGAUGUCCUAUCACUUUGUUUUGAUGUCUAUCGAUGUUAAAACUUAGAUUAUAUAUCUGUUAUCCACUGGUAGUUCGUUGUUUGUGUUAGAUCCUGCUCUGCCUGAUUAUUUAUUGCUAUUUUCUUGCUCUAUAUUUUUCAUGUUUGUCCAGCAAUCGCAUCAGUGUUUUUCUUAUUCAUUGCAUUAGUUUUCUCCCUGCUCUUAUCAUCAUUUUACUUUGAUUGAUGCACUCGUCCAGGUUUUAUGCCCAUCGAAAUGUGUUCCCUCGUCAUGCAGUUGUAUCUUUCAAUUUAUCCUCAAACUUGCUUGUUUAAGCUGCAGUUUGUGUCAGUUUUUUAGUACAGUACAUAAUUCUCCAGUUUAUACUCUACAAUUUCAUAGACACAAACUGAUGAUGAGAAAUUACUCCCUCUGCAACUAAUGGUAUACAUCAGUAGAGUUACUUGAGAAUAUUCUGUAGUAGAAGCAUCUGUUGCCUGUUGGUGCUGACAAUAUCUGAACUUGGCAUCUAUUCUUUGGAAUAAUGAAGGGUGCACGAGAGCAAAAGUUCCCUUCUCGAUCCACUUUUGAGUGUUUGGUAGAGUGUAUAAAGGGUGCAUGAGUCCAUACUGGUUUAACACAAAUACACUAAGGACGCGUUUGGUUGCCUGCAUUAGGCCCAACCAGACCCGCGCGGGAUGAAAAUAGGUUGUUUGGUAGCCUGCAUUCACUUGCUGGGAACAGCCAAAUCGGCUGUUUUUUACGAGCCAGAUCGAGCGCAAGGAGUGGGCCCCGAGCUACUGUAUGCCUGUACAUGAUAUCUUCCCCUACCUUCACUAACCCCCUCCCUAAUCCCCUUCUUCCUCCUCCAUUCAGAUCUAUAUAACGAAGCUUCGAUUCAAGAUAAGUUCUACACAAAAAAGAUGCACAUCGAUCUUAUGGUUUUAUUCAGACGAUCGGUUUGCAGUUUCAUCGAUCGUAGAUGAUUAAUUUUGUGUUCAUGUUUGCAUCUAUUUUAGGCGCUCGGAAGAGCUCCACAUCGUUGAGGAACGUGAGGGAGCGCGAGCGCGGCUAGACGCGGAGGCGCAAUAGGCCGUGUGCCUCCGCCGCGGUGCGGCAUCAGGUGUUUGGUUGGGGGCUCGGAGAGACGCGGAGGCGCAACAUGUCGACGUACAUGAGGAGAUCGAGCUUCCUGAGGAGUGCUCGUUGUCGAUCCGUCUCCUGCCCGUGCAAGGCAGCACGUACUCGUGAUGGGUGCUUGCCAAGCAGCCGGAAGCGACGGUCCGAGUGGCGUGCAUCGAGUUUGACCCGAGUGAGCUCACCGAUGACCGCGGCGACCUCGACAUGACCGUGAAGAAGCUGACACGGUCGGAGGCCGGUAACGACGCGUUCCCGGCGGUGACACCGUGCGGGCGGUGGGUGGUGUUCUGGUCGGGUCGGGCGGGCCAUAAGAACCUCUACAUAGUCGACGCAGCGCCAUGGGAAGAGAUGGUAUGGAGGGUCACAGACGACCAGUGGAUCAACAUGAUGCCGAGCUGGUCGCUGCACGGGAAGCUGGUCGCACCCAUCUCGGGGCCGACGGGGAGGGUCUUGAGCUUCUUGACAUCCCAGUAGUCGAGCAACGAGUGGAGGUGGAGCGCGUCCGACGGUGGCCGCGGUGAACUAGUCCGACGCUAGUGUGCCGAACUAGUCCGAGUAACUAUGUGUGAUGUGUAGAUGUUAUCUCUUAAUCAUAUCCCAUGUAUACAACCAAACAUCGUGUAGUUGCAUGUGCCGAGCCAAUGCAGGACACCAAACACCGUGCAAAAACCCAUCCCCUAAUGCAGGCAGUCUCGAUGCAAGUAACCAAACUAUGUGUAGAGGUUGGUUUUUUGCCUGUUUACGCUCAGUCAGGCUGAGGUGGGACAAGUAUGCAAUGCAGGUAUUUUCGGAGAUGUCAACCAAACGCACCCUAAGAGCAUGCAUGAAGAGAGCAUCCAUGAAAAGGGAUGGUGAGAUGAGCAUGCAUGAAAAAGAAACAACUAUGCUGAGAUGAGAAUGCAACCAAACACACUUUUACGGAUUGAACCUUUGUAGGCUUGAAAGAACUUGGCAUCUCUUCUUUGGAAUAUUACAGAUUGAACCUUUGUAGGCUUAAAAGAAUAUUUGCAUGAUUCUCAAGCUCAGUCACUUCUCUUGGGCCUCUUCCAAUGCACCGGUGCUAACAUGAGGUGCUAAGCACAUUAAAAAGUUUAGCAACUAAAGCCUCCAAUGCAUAGGUGCUUAAGUUGUUGUAGCUAAGUAUCAUUUAUUUAAUGAUUUAGCAACUAAAUUUCUUCAUGCAUUGGUGGGCUUCUUUUAUUUAAAUGUUUUUCCUAGGUUCGCGCGCUUGGCAUUGUUUCUUCUGGGUCACCACACUCAUCUUUCUCAUCUUAAUUAUCUCGUCACAUCAGAUUUUUUGCCUACACGGUACCCUUAGCACAUGUACAAGGUGGAGCAUUGGGACGGGCCUUAUUCCAGGGUUAUAGAAAUAUUGAGUUGUGAAGUUGUUCAUGAUAAAUUGUGAAGUUAUUCAUGGCAAAUAGUUGUUGAAGAGAUUGGUAAACGGUAGCUGCUCGGUUGGUUAGCAAGUAGGGGGUUAAAAGGCUAAUCAACAAGUAAAUCAGCUAAUUUAACAGUUUACCAGCUACUCCCUCCGUCCCAAAAUAGGUGUUUUGAAUUUAGUACAACUUUGUACUAAAGUUAGUACAAAGUUAAAACACUUAUUUUGAGACAGAGGGAGUACUUGGUAACCGUACGAGUAAAAGAUCUGCAAGUUAACUGGUUAAUCGGCCGAGGAAAUUUUAGGCAUAUACUUGAUUUAUCUAAUAUUUUCUUAUGACUGUUACUAGAUGCACAUAGUUAUACACAUAGGCUCUAUGUAAUUAUGACUCCUGCAAGUAAGCUACAACCUUUUAAUAUUUGCUAAAACAAGCGCUUAGGUAAAGUGUGGUUAAUAGAACACUACAUGAUUCAGCAUAUUUGUUGUCUGCCAUGGAAGACGGCAAAGGCACCAAAAGCGGACGACAAAGCCCUUUGCCCUUUGCCACCGGUGGCAAACCUGCCCGGCAAAGAGGGUGAUGGUAAAUGGGUUCUCUGUCUUCUGCUUCUUCAAAGCGGACGGCAAAGGCACUUUGUCAUACGUGGCGGACGACAAAGAACAUGGACGGUAACAAAUAGGGCUAACGGCAGCCUUUGUUGUCUAUUAGCGGGAGGCAAACACCCACAUCCUUUGCUGUCUGCCACAGAUGGCAAAGUAACCAAAUGGUAUAGCUCCCAGAUUCCACAGGCUGCUGCCACGUGGCCUCUUUGCCGUUUAUGGCAGACGACAAAGGCCCCUUUGCCGUCGGUGGCAGACGGCAAAGAGGCUGCAUUGCCUCUUUUUCUGUUUUUUUCCUAUAUUCAAGCAUUUUCACAAUAAAUAGAUGAUAUAUAUAUUUCACAAGGCAAAUUUAGAGCAAUCAUAUGAGAUAUCCAACACAUAUAAUUUCAUCAUACAUGCAUGGUUCCAUCCAACCAUACAUAGCAAGUUCCACAUAUAUGCAUCCAACCAUACAUAUUACAAUAGUUUCAUCCAACCAUACAUGCAUAGUUCAUUGAUACAAAAGAAACAGAGAAAGGAAUAAGAAGCACUCCAUCAAUGCAAGCUUCUGUGAAGUGAAUGAAAUCUGCAAAAUGGGAAAUAAGAAAGUUAGAAGAAGAAGAUUAGAAGAAGAAGAAGAAGAAGAAGAAGAAGAAGAAGAAGAACAAGAAGAAAAUGAAGAAGAAGAAGAUGUAUAUGACAUUUAUGAGCUAACUUAGGUAACAAUGAUAUUUAUGAGCUAAAUUAGGUUAAAAAAGGACAUUUAUGAGCUAACUUAGCUAAACUGGAUCAUUUCAAAACUAACAUAGGUAAAAUGGAUCAUUUUGGAGCUAACCUAGGUAAAAUGGAUCAUUUAUGAGCUAACUUAGCUAAAAUGGAUCAUUUUAUAGCUAACUAGGUAAAAUGGAUCAUUUUGGAGCUAACCUAAGUAAAAUGGAUCAUUUAUGAGCUAACCUAGCUAAUAUGGAUCAUUUUGGAGCUAACCAAGCUAAACUGGAUCAUUUUGUAACUAACUUAGGUAAAAUGGAUCAUUUUGGAGCUAACCUAGGUAAAAUGGAUCAUUAUUGAGCUAACCUAGGUAAUUAUGCCAUUUUUGAGUUAACUAAGCAUAUUAUGCCAUUUUUGACAUUAGUAAGCUAAGUAUAGGUAUUUAUUGAGCUAACCUAGGUAAUUAUGCAUAUUAGAGCUAACUUAGCAUAUUAGAGCUAACUUAGGUCAUUUUGGAGCUAACUUAGGUAAAAUUGAUCAUUUUGGAGCUAAUUAAGCUUAUUAUGUCAUUUUUGAGGAAAAUAAGCUAACUAUAUGACAUAUAUGAGGUUACCAAGGUUGUUAUGCCAUUUCAAACCUAGGUAAGCUAAUUAUGCCAUUUUUUACAUAAGUAAGCUAAGUGUAUGUCAUUAUUGAGCAAACCUAGGUAACUAAGCAUAUUAGAAAUAACUUAGCAUAUUAGAGCUAACUUCAGUCAUUUUGGAGGAACCAAAGCUAAGUAUAGAUCAUUUUGGAGCUAAGUAAUCUAAUUAUGUCAUUUUGGAGGAAGAUAAGCUAAGUCUAGGUCAUUAUGGUAAGCAUUUUGGAGGAAAUAAAGCUAAGUCUAGGUCUUUAUGCAUUUGGUAAGCAAAACACUAGAGAAAACUUACCGUCAUCACGGAGAGGUGAAGCACCAUGGUGGCUCGUGCCGGUACCACCACCUGGAGAAGGAUUGUGCAAUGCUUGUCUGGAGGAACACUGCACCAAAGAUCAUUUGCAAUGUCUCAUUAGCAUGACGACACUCAAAUGUUAAUAUUAGUAACUAAUGACCAUUCAAAUUAAACUCACCGUGGUCCCCGGAGCAAUCUCUGGCAUCGGCGGAGGGGUCUGACCGGCCUUCUAGCACACAGACUUCACAUUUGAUUUUCACGGGUCAGUCAUACUAGUUAGUAAUGAAAAGAACAUUAAGUGAAUGAUUUGUCUAAUAUGCAGAAGAAACUUACCACGAGGAGCUCGUACAUGGCCCGGUUCUGCAUGUCAUUUCAUGCCCUCUCCUCCUCCAUCAAUCUUGCCGUCCUCUCCUCCAACCCCCGCUGCUUGUCCUCCGCCUCCUGGUCCCUCUCUGCUAGAAGCGCCAGGGUUCUAUCUCUCUCACUCUGAAGAGCAGCCUGCAACACCACUCCUCGUUAGCAUUGUAAUCAUCGAUGGCUGCACACACAAUGUAAUGCUUGAAAGAAAUCUGAGUCUGUAGAACUAACCUGGAAGGCAAGCUCGAUUGGCCAUGGACGAGGCCUUAUCACAGAAUCUGAGCUUGUUUGGCGCGCCUUGAUCUCCGGGAGAGUGCAAGGACAACGGAUAAGUCCAUCUCCAAUGGCUAUCGAGCCAUGGGACCUCCCGCCACCAGAUAUCAUCACCAGCUCCAGAUCAAACUGCCCGCUCGGGUUAAAGUCCUCCCCUUUCCUCGCCUUCCCCACAUCUCUGUACCUCACGAGCUUGUUGUGGGAGGAGAUGUUGGUGAAGUUCUCUGGAUGAUCAAGGUCAGACGUAGAGAAUGCCUUGGCCUUCUUGUACGGGGCAGUAUGGUCCAUGGCAUAGAGGUCGAACACCUCUGGCACCGGUGCCAUAUUGUAUCCCGCCUAAAAGAGAGGAACAUAGUAUUAGUAAUUAAAGGGCUCAAGCUAGCAUGAUAGAAUGAAUUGCAUGAAUCAUGAAACAAACCACAUGCCCAGUUCCGCCCGUAUUGAUAUAAGUUGGCGCUGCCUUGAUGGUGUGGCACACCUCUCAUUUGGGCACGCUUGUCCUUGGCAUCUUUGUGGACGGCCCUCCAUGUGUCCGAGCACCACUCAUCAACCAAUGCCUCCCCAACAAUCCAUCUUAUCCGCACACCAUCUCGGGGGCACCUAAGUCAGUAAAGAGAAACUUGAGCGCUACGCCUAUGAAUCAAAUCAACAAAAAUAAGAACAAGGGCUUAAGAAUAUAGGAAAUUACCGUCAUGUACUCCUCCUUCUUCAGAAACUUUCUGCGGCACUUCUUCUUGGGCUUCCGAACACCAUGCGAGGCGAAGUAGUCUCGAAUAGCCUGCACCGGAGCCUCGUGCCAUAAGUUUUGUAGUAGGCGCCUGCACUCGGCAUCGAUAACCCAUGCACAGGCCUCCUUGUAUCCCUCCUCACACCAGUAGAAGGUCUAUAAUCAAACGAGACAACAUUGAUUAGUACAAUAACUAAGCUUAUUCGAAGAUUUUUAAUUGUAUAAAGGAGAAAUUACCAAAAACCUUCUGAUCACCAUGUCGGCUCUCGUGUGGCACAAGACACCGUCGAUCAUCUCCUCCGGCAGGGUUGGGGCAGCCAAGUAGUGCUCCGAGGUCAAUCCUAGCUCUGGAAGUUGACCCUCACCGGGCAACAUGACCCACCCCGGGAAGUUUUGCCGGCAAAUCACACCAAGGACUUGGAUGGGCCUGCGGACAUCCUGAGGGUGGUCCCAACCCCUGCAGUAUGACAAGGCCAACACAUUAUAUAUUUGAGAAAACAUGAUGGCAAAAGGUACAAAAAGAGUAAAUGCACAUACCUCUUCCCAUUAGGCCAAAUCAUCACGGGUCGCCGGCACGGACGGGAGCCGUGUACUACCACGCUAGUAGACGGUGCCCCCUCAACCACCUCGUCCUUGUUGCUGUUAUCACAAAUAUGAUGCCCGCCACCAUCAGCAUGGCCAGUUGACCCCUCAGGCGGAUCCUGCCAGGUACCCCAUCCGGACGUCUCUUGGGACGUAGCCUGGGCCGGAGUCACGUGGGCCCAAGUGUCCUGGCCCAAAGUCUCAUGGGAUGAAGGCCCGUCGACCCGAGGCUCGUGGACCGGAGUCUUGUGGGCCAACGUCUCAUGGGCCGAAGGCCCAUCGGCCUGAGGCUCCUGGACCGGAGUCUGCCUAGCCUCCUCCUCAGACGUGCCCCCUUAGCAGUCGUGUGCUCGGGUGACUCAGCUGGGGAUGGCGACGAGGAAGGUGUAGGAGCCUACCUACCUCUCCUGCGGCCACGUCCUCCCCGACCUCCUCUCUUCCUCCCUCCCCGAACUCCUCUCCCGGUGGGCAUCGACACCGACAAAGAAGCACCCACCGGUGAAGCCAUACCCUCGUACAACACUCUCCAGAGAGGUACUUGUGGAAUGGAAGUACCACUUGUUGGGGAACAUAGCAUGCAAUUUCAAAAAAAAUCCUACGCUCAAGCAAGAUCUAUCUAGGAGAUGCAUAGCAACGAGAGGGGGAGAGUGUGUCCACGUACCCUCGUAGACCGAAAGCGGAAGCGUUAGGUUAACGCGGUUGAUGUAGGAUUCGCCCUACCCCCCCCCCCCUAAUCCUUUCUUCCACCAGAGGGAAAAGGAAGGAGAGGGAGAAUGAGAGGGAAAGGGGGGCGCCGCCCCCUCCCCUAGUCCAAUUCAGACUGCCAUGGGGGGCACGUGGCCACCCCUUGUGGCCCUCCUCUCUCUCCACUAAGGCCCAUGUAGGCCCAAUACUUCCCCCGGGGGGUUCCGUAACCCCUCGGUACUCCGGUAAAAUACCCAAACCACUCGAAACCAUUCCGAUGUCCGAAUACUAACUUCCAAUAUAUGAAUCUUUACCUCUUGACCAUUUCGAGACUCCUCGUCAUGUCCGUCAACUCAUUCGGGACUCCGAACAAACUUCGGUGACCAAAACACAUAACUCAUAAUACCAAGCGUCGUAACCGUAUUUAUUAGAUAUGGUGUGUUCUUUGAUGUCUCUUGCCGAUUUACUACUAUCAUUUUGGGGUUAUGCAUUAGAGAAAGUCACAUUCAUGUUAAAUAGGGCACCAUAUAAAUCAAUUGAGACGACAUCGUAUGAACCGUGGUUUGGCAAGAAACCUAAGCUGUCGUUUCUUAAAGUUUGGGGUUGCGACACUUAUGUCAAAAGGCUUCAGCCUGAUAAGCUCGAACCCAAAUCGGAGAAGUGCGUAUUCAUAGGAUAUCCUAAGGAAACAAUUGGGUAUACCCUCUACCAAAGAUCCGAAAGCAAGAUCUUUGUUGCCAAAAAUGGAACCUUUCUAGAGAAGGAGUUUCUCUCGAAAGAAGUGAGUGGGAGGAAAGUAGAACUUGAUUUGGUAAUUAUACCUUCUCUCAAUUUGGAAAGUAGUACAUCAGAGAAAUCCGUUCCCAUGAUGCCUACACCAACUAGAGAGGAAGUUAAUGAUGAUGAUCAUGAAACUUCACAUCAAGGUGCUACUGAACCUUGUAGGUCAACCAGAGCAUGAUCUGCACCAGAGUGGUACAGUAAUCUUGUUCUGGAAGUCAUGUUAUUAGACCAAGGCAAACCUACGAACUAUGAAGAAGCUAUGAUGAGCCCAGAUUCUGAUAAAUGGCUUGAGGCCAUAAAAUCUGAGAUAGGGUCCAUGGAUGAGAACAAAGUAUGGACUUUGAUGGACUUGCCUGAUGAUCAGCAAGCCACAGAAAAUAAAUGGAUCUUCAAGAAGAAGACCGACGCUGACGGUAAUGUUACUAUCUACAAAGCUCGACUUGUCGCGAAAGGUUUUUGACAAGUUCAAGGAGUUGACUACGAUGAGACUUUCUGACCCGUAGUGAUGCUUAAGUCUGUCCGAAUCAUGUUAGCAAUUGCCGCAUUUUAUGAUUAGGAAAUCUGGCAAAUGGACGUCAAAACUGCAUUCCUCAAUGGAUUUCUUAAAGAAGAGUUUUAUAUGAUGCAACCAGAAGGUUUUGUCGAUCCUAAAGGUGCUAACAAAGUGUGCAAGCUCCAGCGAUCCAUGUAUGGACCGGUGCAAGCAUCUCAGAGUUGGAAUAUACGCUUUGAUGAGGUGAUCAAAGCAUAUGGUUUUAUACAGACUUCUGGUGAAGCCUGUAUUUACAAGAAAGUGAGUGGGAGCUGUGUAGCAUUUAUGAUAUUAUAUGUGAUGACAUAUUAUUGAUCGGAAAUGAUAUAGAAUUUCUGGAUAGCAUAAAAGAAUAGAUACUUGAAUAAUAAUUUUUCAAUGAGAAACCUCGGUGAAGCUGCUUAUAUAUUGGGCAUCAAGAUCUAUAGGGAUAUAUCGAGAUGCUUAAUAGGACUUCCACAAAGCACAUACCUUGAUAAAGUUUUGAAGAAGUUCAAAAUGGAUUAGUCAAAGAAAGGGUUCUUGCCUGUGUUACAAGGUGUGAAAUUGAGUCAGACUCAAAGCCCGACCACUGCAGAAGAUAGAGAGAAAAUGAAAGUCAUUCCCUAUGCCUCAGUCAUAGGUUCUAUCAUGUAUUCUAUGCUGUGUACCAGACCUGAUCUUUGCCUUGCCAUAAGUUUGGCAGGGAGGUACCAAAGUAAUCCAGGAGUGGAUCACUGGACAACGGUCAAGAACAUCCUGAAGUACCUGAAAAGGACCAAGGAUAUAUUUCUCGUUUACGGAGGUGACAAAGAGCUCAUUGUAAAUGGUUACGUCGAUGCUAGCUUCGACACAGAUCCGGAUGACUCUAAGUCACAUACGGAUACAUAUUUAUAUUGAAUGGUGGAGUUGUCAGUUGGUGCAGUUCCAAGCAGAGUAUCAUGAUGGGAUCUACGUGUGAAGUGGAGAACAUAGCUGCUUUGAAAGCAGCUCAUGAAGGAGUUUGGAUGAAGGAGUUCAUAUCCGAUCUAGGUGUAAAACCCAAUGCAUCGGGUCCAGUGAAAAUCUUUUUGUGACAACACCGGAGCAAUUGCCUUGGUGAAGGAAUCCAGGCUUCACAAGAAAACCAAACACAUCAAGAGACGCUUCAACUCCAUUCGUGAAAAGGUCAAGGAAGGAUAUAUAGAAAUUUGCAAAGUACAUACGGACCUGAAUGUGGCAGACCCAUUGACUGAGCCUCUUCCGCGAGCAAAACAUGAUCAGCACCAAGACUCCAUGGGUCUUAGAUUCAUUACAAUGUAAUCUAGAUCAUUGACUCUAGUGCAAGUAGGAUACAGAAGGAAAUAUGCCCUAGAGGCAAUAAUAAAGUUGUUAUUUUAUAUUUCCUUAUUCAUGAUAAAGGUUUAUUAUUCAUGCUAGAAUUGUAUUGAUCAGAAACUUAAAUACAUGUUUGAAUACAUAAACAAAUACCGUGUCCCUAGUAAGUCUCUACUAUACUAUCUCAUUAAUCAAUGAUGGUUAAGGUUUACUAACCAUGGGCAUGUGUUGUCAUUUCAUAACUUCACAUGUAGAUCCUGCCACGACGCUUUGCUUGCAACUGCACCAGCUUACUACCCCACCAUUCAAAAAUAUACAUGUAUCCGGUUUGUGACUUAGAGUCAUCCAGAUCUGUGUCGAAGCUAGCGUCGACGUAACCCUUCACGACGAGCUCUUCGUCACCUCCAUAAACGAGAAACAUAUCCUUAGUCCUUUUCAGGUACUUCAGGAUAUUCUUGACCGCUGUCUAGUGUUCCAUGCCGGGAUUACUUUGGUACCUUCCUACCAAACUUACGGCAAGGUUUACAUCAGGUCUGGUACACAGCAUGGCAUACAUAAUAGACCCUAUAGCCGACGCAUAGGGGAUGACACUCAUCUUUUCUCUAUCUUUUGCCGUGGUCGGGCAUUGAGCUGAGCUCAAUUUCACACCUUGCAACACAGGCAAGAACCCCUUCUUGGACUGAUCCAUAUUGAACUUCUUCAAUAUCUUAUCAAGGUAUGUACUUUGUGAAAGACCUAUGAGGCUUCUCGAUCUAUCUCUAUAGAUCUUGAUGCCUAAUAUGUAAGCAGCUUCUCCAAGGUCCUUCAUUGAAAAACACUUAUUCAAGUAGGCCUUAAUGCUGUCCAAAAGUUCUAUACCAUUUCCUAUCAAAAGUAUGUCAUCUACAUAUAAUAUGAGAAAUGCUACAGAGCUCCCACUCACUUUCUUGUAAACGCAGGCUUCUCCAUAAGUCUGCAUAAACCCAAACACUUUGAUCAUUUCAUCAAAGCAAAUGUUCCAACUUCGAGAUGCUUGCACCAGCCCAUAGAUGGAGCGCUGGAGCUUGCAUACCUUGUUAGCAUUCUUAGGAUCGACAAAACCUUCCGGCUGCAUCAUAUACAAUUCUUCUUUAAGAUAGCCGUUAAGGAAUGUCAUUUUGACAUCGGUUUGCCAUAUCUCAUAAUCAUAGUAUGCGGCAAUUACUAACAUGAUUCGGACGGACUUCAGCUUCGCUACUGGUGAGAAAGUCUCAUCGUAGUCAACCCCUUGAACUUGUCGAUAACCCUUAGUGACAAGUCGAGCCUUAUAGAUGGUAACAUUACCAUCCGCGUCCGUCUUCUUCUUAAAGAUCCAUUUGUUUUCUAUCGCUCGUCGGUCAUCGAGCAAGUCUGUCAAAGUCCAUACUUUGUUUUCAUACAUGGAUCCUAUCUCGGAUUGCAUGGCUUCUAGCCAUUUGUUGGAAUCUGGGCCCGCCAUCGCUCCUUCAUAGUUCGAAGGUUCACCGUUGUCUAACAACAUGAUUUCCAGGACAGGGUUGCCAUACCAUUCUGGUGUGGAACGUGUCCUUGUGGACCUUCAAAGUUCAGUAACAACUUGAUCCGAAGUACCUUGAUCAUCAUCAUUAACUUCCUCUCCAGUCAGUGUAGGCACCACAGGAACAUCUUCCUGAGCUACUCUACUUUCCGGUUCAAGAGGCAGUACUUCAUCAAGUUCUACUUUCCUCCCACUUAUUUCUUUCGAGAGAAACUCUUUCUCCAAAAAGGACCCAUUCUUGGCAACAAAGAUCUUGCCUUCCGAUCUGAGGUAGAAGGUAUACCCAAUUGUUUCCUUAGGGUAUCCUAUGAAGACACAUUUUUCCGACUUGGGUUCGAGCUUUUCAGGUUGAAGUUUCUUGACAUAAGCAUCGCAUCCCCAAACUUUUAGAAACGACAGCUUAGGUUUCUUCCCAAACCAUAAUUCAUACGGUGUCGUCUCAACGGAUUUAGACGGUGCCCUAUUUAAAGUGAAUGUAGUUGUCUCUAGAGCGUAUCCCCAAAAAGAUAGCGGUAAAUCGAUAAGAGACAUCAUGGACCGCACCAUAUCCAAUAGAGUGCGAUUACAAUGUUCGGACACACCGUUACGCUGAGGUGUUCCAGGCGGCCUGAGUUGUGAAACGAUUCCACAUUUCCUUAAGUGCGUACCAAAUUCGUGACUUAAAUAUUCUCCCCCACGAUCUGAUCGUAAGAACUUUAUUUUUUGGUCACAUUGAUUCUCUACCUCAUUCUGAAAUUCCUUGAACUUUUCAAAGGUCUCAGACUUGUGUUUCAUCAAGUAGACAUACCCAUAUCUACUUAAGUCAUCAGUGAGAGUGAGAACAUAACGAUAGCCUCCGCAAGCCUCAACGCUCAUUGGACCGCACACAUCAGUAUGUAUGAUUUCCAAUAAGUCGGUUGCUCGCUCCAUUGUUCCGGAGAACGGAGUCUUGGUCAUUUUGCCCAUGAGGCAUGGUUCGCAUGUGUCAAAUGAUUCGUAAUCAAGAGACUCCAAAAGUCCAUCAGCAUGGAGCUUCUUCAUGCGUUUGACACCAAUGUGACCAAGGUGGUAGUGCCACAAGUAUGUGGGACUAUCGUUAUCAACCUUACAUCUUUUGGUAUUCACACUAUGAAUGUGUGUAACAUCACAUUCGAGAUUCAUUAAGAAUAAACCAUUGACCAGUGGGGCAUGACCAUAAAACAUAUCUCUCAUAUAAAUAGAACAACCAUUAUUCUUGGAUUUAAAUGAGUAGACAUCUCGUAUUAAACGAGAUCCAGAUACAAUGUUCAUGCUGAAAGCUGGCACUAAAUAACAAUUAUUGAGGUUUAAAACUAAUCCCGUAGGUAAAUGUAUAGGUAGUGUGCCGACGGCGAUCACAUCGACCUUGGAACCAUUCCUGACGCGCAUCGUCACCUCAUCCUUCGCCACUCUCCGUUUAUUCUGCAGCUCCUGUUUUGAGUUACAAAUAUGAGCAACCGCACCGGUAUCAAAUACUCAGGAGCUACUACGAGUACUGGUAAGGUACACAUCAAUUACAUGUAUAUCACAUAUACCUUUGGUGUUGCCGGCCUUCUUGUCCGCUAAGUACUUGGGGCAGUUCCGCUUCCAGUGUCCGCUUCCAUUGCAAUAAAAGCACUCAGUCUCAGGUUUGGGUCCAUGCUUUGGCUUCUUCCCGGCAACUGGCUUACCGGGAGAGGCAACUCCCUUGCUGUCCUUCUUGAAGUUCUUCUUACCCUUGCCUUUCUUGAAACUAGUGGUUUUAUUGACCAUCAACACUUGAUGUUCCUUUUUGAUCUCCACCUCCGCUGAUUUCAGCAUUGAAAAUAUCUCAGGAAUGGUUUUCACCAUCCCCUGCAUAUUGUAGUUCAUCACAAAGCUCUUGUAGCUAGGUGGGAGCGACUGGAGGAUUCUGUCAAUGACCGCUUCAUCCGGGAGAUUAACUCCCAGAUGAGACAAGCGGUUGUGCAACCCAGACAUUUUGAGUAUGUGCUCGCUGACAGAACCAUUCUCCUCCAUCUUACGACUGUAGAACUUGUCGGAGACUUCAUAUCUCUCAACCCGGGCAUGAGCUUGGAAAACCAUUUUUAGCUCUUGGAACAUCUCAUAUGCUCCGUGCUGCUCAAAACGCUUUUGGAGAGCUGUAAAGCAUGCCGCACUGAACUAGGGAGUAAUCAUACUACGCGACUGCCAGGCGUUCAUAAGGUCUUGAGUUGCUGGGAAAACGGGUGCUUCACCUAGUGGUGCAUAUAGGACAUAUGCUUUCUUGACAGCUAUGAGGAUGAUCCUCAAGUUCCGAACCCAGUCCAUAUAGUUGCUGCCAUCGUCUUUCAGCUUGGUUUUCUCUAGGAACGCGUUGAAGUUGAAGGCAACAUUAGUGUGGGCCAUUUGAUCUACAAGACAUAUUGCAAAAGUUUUAGACUAAGUUCAUGAUAAUUAAGUCCAUCUAAUCAAAUUAUUUAAUGAACUCCCACUCAGAUAGACAUCCCUCUAGUCAUCUAAGUGAUCCAUGAUCCGAGUCAACUAGGCCAUGUCCGAUCAUCACGUGAGACGGACUAGUCAUCAUCGGUGAACAUCUUCAUGUUGAUCGUAUCUUCUAUACGACUCAUGUUCGACCUUUCGGUCUCUUGUGUUCCGAGGCCAUGUCUGUACAUGCUAGGCUCGUCAAGUCAACCUAAGUGUUUUUGCAUGUGUAAAUCUGUCUUACACCCGUUGUAUGUGAACGUUAGAAUCUAUCACACCCGAUCAUCACGUGGUGCUUCAAAACAACGAACUUUCGCAACGGCGCACAGUUAGGGGGAACACUUUCUUGAAAUUAUUAUGAGGGAUCAUCUUAUAUACUACCGUCGUUCUAAGCAAAUAAGAUGCAAAAACAUGAUAAACAUCACAUGCAAUCAAAUAGUGACAUGAUAUGGCCAAUAUCAUUUUGCUCCUUUUGAUCUCCAUCUUUGGGGCGCCAUGAUCAUCAUCGUCACCGGCAUGACACCAAGAUCUCCAUCAUCAUGAUCUCCAUCAUCGUGUCUUCAUAAAGUUGUCACACCAACGAUUACUUCUACUACUAUGGCUAACAGUUUAGCAAUAAACACUACAAGAAAUAUGUCAACUAGUGACCUUGUGUCAGUGACCCUGGAAGAAUUGGUCAUAGAUCUAUGACCAUUUGAGACCAAUUGGUCAAAAGCUGUUCGGGGGGCUCCAAACCCUAAACUAUUGCGACCAUUUUGGUUAGAAAGGUCGUAAUUUCCUCACACCAAAUGGUCACAAAGCAAAGAGGGCUAGUCUGCUGCCUUAUUUCUAGUUGUUAACGACCAAAAUAGAUGGUCAUAGCCUUGUAGAUUGUGGUUGGUUGUGAUGACUAGGCGCCACCUCAUCAAUUUUGCCUAUGUGUCAUGUCUAUGUGGCAGUUUUUGCCCUAGGUUGUGAAGCAACCUAUAUUUUUGUCAUUCCAAAAAUUCCCAAAAAAAUGUCAUAAAUUGUUUGGAUCAAUCUUCAUCAAAUAUGUCAAAAACCUUCCUUGCCUAGUUCAAAAAUAACUCAACAAUAUUCAUUUUCCUAUUCUGUUCAGAGCAGCACUUUGUGAAGGAAGUACCACUUUGGCAUGUCCAAAUGGUAUCCAUUUUCUACAGUGCUUUCCUAUGCCCAAAUAACCAUCCUCCACCAAAUGCCAGCUCAAUCCAUUCAUUAUUUUGAGCCCAGCUUCAACAUUCGUAUUUAUGUCCAGUGUGGUACUUUGUAAAGCAAGUACCACCUAGGCUCCUCCUUUUGAGGUGAAAAUUUGUGAAGACGGUCUUCUUAGUAACUGAUCAUCCUCAGCCAAAACUCACGCCCAUUAGCCAUGUGCAUUUCCCGUACCGCAAAUCAAACACUUGGCUGCUUAUUCAUGUUUGAGCAUCGAUCGGUCUCCUCGUGAGAAUCUUAUGUUGUGAUUUUCUUCCUAGCACCUACCUGGGGAGUGCCCAACCCACUAGACAUGCCUAGGCCGCCCAGAACACAUGGCAACGCCACGGUCACGUGGUGACCACUCGGCGGGCAUGUGAGCUUACGCGCUCUAGAGUUGGGCCCCUCGGCCACCGUCCAAACCUCGAUGUAUCGCCAUCAAACCAUGUAUUUCUGAUUAAAUAGAUACUUAUUUACCUAGAAAUGAUUUUUGGAAAAAAUAAAGAGCAAACUAUGAGGCAGCUGCAGUUCAAAUUUGACCCGCUUCCAACUGAAUCGACGGGAAUUUGUCUUUUUCACCAGAGGUGGAUCAAAAAUUUUGACACCCAACCAUUUUGUCAAUUGUGCAUUAUAUAUGGCCUAGUAUUUAUAAAAUUGAUUAGGUACAAUUUUGCAACAAUUAUUUGGUAGUUCCUUCACAAAAAAACCUCCUUUUAGGCACUCGGAAAAUGAAAAAUGAAUUUUCCGUGCAAAGAAAAUGAAAACUUCCUUAGGCAACAUUGUUUGGAAUUCUAAGAUGCACCCUCGUGCACAAUAUGAGAUCAUUUGAACAAACUAUGCCAUGAAUGUGGCCAUAAGAUUGAUCAUUUGGCUUGAAAGCCAUGAAUCUUCAUGCUUGAUAGCUCCUUUCUGAGAACAUUUUUUUAAAAUAAUUACCGUAUUACAAGUUUAUUAUUUUUCCUGGAAACUUGGUCACAUAUAAUGACACAAUGCGAAGGUUUUCCAAUUUUUUGAUAUUUUUUGAAUUUUUUAUGACCGUUUCAAAAUGCGGUCAAAACGGCGGGCUUGACCGUUCCUAGCUAGUGGUUGAAUCUUGGAACUUUUUUGGUGCUUCUAUGAUUAAUUAGAUACUUAUGUACCUAGAAACGAUUUUUGGAAAAAAUAAAGAGCAAACUAUGAGGCAGCUACAGUUCAAAUUUGACCCGCUUCCAACUGAAUCGACGACAAUUUGUCUUUAUCACCAGAGGUGGAUCAAAACUUUUUUCACCCAACCAUUUUGUCAAUUGUGCAUUAUAUAUGGCCUAGUAUUUUAUAAAAUUGAUUUGGUCCAUUUUUGCAACAAUUAUUUGGUAGUUCCUUCACAAAAAACCUCCUUUUGGGGUCUCGAAAAAUGGAAAAUGAAUUUUCCGUGCAAAGAAAAUGAAAACUUCAUUAGGCAACAUUGUUUGGAAUUCCAAGAUGUACCUCGUGCACAAUAUGAGAUCAUUUGAACAAACUAUGCCAUGAAUGUGGCCAUAAGAUUGAUCAUUUGGCUUGAAAGCCAUGAAUCUUCACGCUUGAUAGCUCCUUUCUUAGAACACUUAUUUAAAAUAAUUACCGUAUUACAAGUUUAUUAUUUUUCCUGGAAACUUGGUCACAUAUAAUGACACAAUGCGAAGGUUUUCCAAUUUUUUGAUUUUUUUUGAAUUUUUUAUGCCCGUUUCAAAAUGCGGUUAAAACGGCGGGCUUGACCGUUCCUAGCUAGUGGUUGAAUCUUGGAAUUUUUUUGGUGCUUCUAUGAUUAAAUAGAUACUUAUGUACCUAGAAAUGAUUUUUGGAAAAAAUAAAGAGCAAACUAUGAGGGAGCUAUAGUUCAAAUUUGACCCGCUUCCAACUGAAUCGACGGCAAUUUGUCUUUUUCACCAGAGGUGGAUCAAAAAUUUUGACACACAACCAUUUUGUCAAUUGUGCAUUAUAUAUGGCCUAGUAUUUUAUAAAAUUUAUUAGGUACAAUUUUGCGACAAUUAUUUGGUAGUUCCUUCACAAAAAACCUCCUUUUGGGCACUUGGAAAAUGAAAAAUGAAUUUUCCGUGCAAAGAAAAUGAAAACUUCCUUAGGAAACAUUGUUUGGAAUUCCAAGAUGCACCCUCGUGCACAAUAUGAGAUCAUUUUAACAAACUAUGACAUGAAUGUGGCCAUAAGAUUGAUCAUUUGGCUUGAAAGCCAUGAAUCUUCACGCAGGAUAGCUCAUUUCUAAGAACACUUUUUUAAAAUAAUUACCAUAUUACAAGUUUAUUAUUUGUUCUGGAAACUUGGUCACAUAUAAUGACACAAUGCGAAGGUUUUCCAAUUUUUUGAUUUAUUUUGAAUUUUUUAUGCCCGUUUCAAAAUGCGGUCAAAACGGCGGGCUUGACCGUUCCUAGCUAGUGGUUGAAUCUUGGAAUUUUUUUGGUGCUUCUAUGAUUAAAUAAAUACUUAUGUACCUAGAAAUGAUUUUUGGAAAAAAUAAAGAGCAAACUAUGAGGUAGCUACAGUUCAAAUUUGACCCGCUUCCAACUAAAUCGGUGGAAAUUUGUCUUUUUCACCAGAGGUGGAUCAAAACUUUUUUCACCCAACCAUUUGGUCAAUUGUGCAUUAAAUAUGGCCUAGUAUUUUAUAAAAAUGAUUUGGUCCAAUUUUGCAACAAUUAUUAUGUAGGUCCUUCACAAAAAACCUCAUUUGGGGCACUCGAAAAAUGGAAAAUGAUUUUUUGUGCAAAGAAUAUAAAAAAUCCCUUUGUUGAUACUGUUUACUAUUCCAAGAUGUAAACUUUUGUACAGUAUAAAGAACUCAUUUUGAACAAAUAUAAAUAAUAUAAAGAAUAUCAUUUGAACAAAUAUUUGUUAGGUCUUUUACAAAAAAGAACUCAUUUUGAGCACUAAAAAAUGGAAAAUGAUUUUUUUGUGACCUAUUUAAAAGGUCAUAAAGUCUUCUAAUUGUUUGCUGCGUUCUGAUUGGUCUAUAGGCAUAUCACGCGGAUCAUGCAUCCGACACCGUCGGAUGCUCCGGGAUCCAACGGCGGACCUCAUCCCCUCACCCUCUCACCCACGUAGCCCUCUCACCCCCCUCACCCACGCAGCCCCCACUCCCCAUCGUUCCAACCCUAGCCCCCACACCCCCACUCUCCCGCACCCGCACCCGCUCGCCAAACCCUAGCCGCCGNNNNNNNNNNNNNNNNNNNNNNNNNNNNNNNNNNNNNNNNNNNNNNNNNNNNNNNNNNNNNNNNNNNNNNNNNNNNNNNNNNNNNNNNNNNNNNNNNNNNNNNNNNNNNNNNNNNNNNNNNNNNNNNNNNNNNNNNNNNNNNNNNNNNNNNNNNNNNNNNNNNNNNNNNNNNNNNNNNNNNNNNNNNNNNNNNNNNNNNNNNNNNNNNNNNNNNNNNNNNNNNNNNNNNNNNNNNNNNNNNNNNNNNNNNNNNNNNNNNNNNNNNNNNNNNNNNNNNNNNNNNNNNGCCGCCAUCCACCUCGUCUCCCCGAUCCAGAUGGAGAUCCAAAGCCCUAGGCCGCUCUCCUCCGCUCCACCUCCGUGUCCAUGGCGACAGACGCCUCCCCCCUCCGGCGCGCAAGAGCCCAGGGCCUCAGCCGGCAACGGACCCCCCUGAAGACGACGCCCGCCGCUGCCGGCGGGGUACAUCUUCAUGUGGAGCGGUGAGACCAGGCCCAAGUGCUUCAGGUACAGGGUGUUGGGCCUGCCGCGGGGGAAGCUGGACGCCGUCUCCUGGAUCAGGCGCAGCGCCGCGCUCUUCCUCUACGACUUCCACGCCAAGUACCUCUACGGGCCCUACUGUGCCAAGACGGUGCGCGCGCUGCUGGCGGGGCUUGGCGAGGACGACCACCGAGUGGGGCUGCGCAGGACGCCCAAGCGCGUCGCCAAGGCCUUCCGCGACGACACCCGAGGUAUAACCCGUGGAUCCCUUCCCUUCGUAAUUGCGCAUGCUUGCGUUCGUUCCCUGUUCGUUCCCUGGACUUAGCUCCCCCGCACUGUCUAGAGUCGUCAAGCACCAAAGCGACGCCGUUUGUGAAAUGUCAGUACUUGCGUAAUCUGACUAGAACUAGAUUUUGGUGGUUUUCGUUUGGUAGGACUUUUUAGAUGUAUUCUUUGAUUUCUUUCUUUCGUAGCAAGUUGGUGUUAUGUCAGUACUCGAUAGUAUGUCUCUUGAUAUAGUUGGCUCUUGCAGAUUGUGCUGCUUGUCCAGAUACUGGAAUCUUAGGUGCUAGGUUGACUUGCUGGUUCACGGGUGACUGCUAUUUUUAGGAUUUGGGAAUCAUUAGUGGGAUCAGACGGCAUAUUGCUAUUGCCAAAAAUAGUGUGAUGUCGUUUCGCUUGUAUGCCAUACUCUCGCACCAAGUCUUGGUAUAUAUAUGCUGAUCUCAUCCCAUGUUGAACCUGAGCUCAAUAAUUUUGGGAAAUACUGAGACAUCAGAUGGCCUAUCAUCAUCUAUACAUAGCUGCUAGUUGACUUUGUCAUCUUGUAAGCGCUCUAGGCAGUGUCUCGAGGGUGAAAAAUAUGAGAACAAAAAAGAAUUACUGGAUUAAUUUACAACAUCCAUCCUUUACUUCGUCCAUGUCAUUGUUGUUUACCCCUGGGAGUAUUUUUAACUUGAAAAUCUCUGGUGAACUGCCAUUUGGAGUACAUUUGCUUGCUCUGUUAAUUUUUUUGGGUUACUCCAUCUUGCUCUGUUAUGUAAAAUUUGAUAUGUGGAGUAGCAGUAGUAAGCUAGACCCUCCAUCUUGCUUUGUACAUAGUCAAAGCUACUCCAAGUUAUCAGCACUACUGUUAACUUCUCAAUGUGCUUGGAUUACAUUUAACUUGUAGUACUCCAGUAAUUUUGCUUAGAAUAUUUAACAAGAUUGAACUGAACAUGUGUGGAGUAAUUUUGCUUGGAGUAUUUAACAAGAUUGAACUUGUCAACAUUUAAAAGUAUUUUUUAGUAAGUAUUCUGAACAUGCUUCUGGACCAUCAUCACCCUCCUCUAUGCAGGAUGCAUGUAUCACACUUUGAAUCAGCCUGUACUGGCCUCAAAAUAACACUGUGCGUACUUGUUCACUACUUACUAGAUUGAUGAAUCAAUCAGGAUGCAUGCUGAAACUUAUGAUUCAGGCUUUUUUUGGUUCUGUACCUGUUUGGUUACGUGUUGAGAUGAUUUCUUGUAUGGAUGAUGAUUAUGUGAUGUCCUGUCCAACAGUAUGUCAAUCUUUUCCAUGUCUACUUUGCACGUCACAGCUACACGAUGAGUAGUUCUUUUUUCAGUGUUUGUGAUAUUUCUUCUCUAAACCAUGGAAAGAAAUGUCAAUCCUGAAUGUUUGCUUGUUUUUGUAAGGCCUGAAUAUUUCUUCUCUGAACAGUAUGUCAAUCCUGAAUAUUUCUUCUCUGAACAGUAUGUCAAUCAUCUAUAUUUCUUCUCUGAACAGAUGCAGAGGCUGCUGUUCUUCCUCCGUACAGCCGGGGGCGAUGCAAGCACCUGACGCCCGCGUCCUCAACUUCAGCAGUUCAGCAGGUAUUGUUCUGUCCCUCGCCAUCUGUACUUGAAAUCCCUUGCAUCCAUAUCAUUACACUAGCUAAUAUAUUACAACAGAAUGAAUCAACUACUCUCAUGGUCUAUCCCAUCCCAUCUAGUAUUAUUUACUGUCUAUCUGUCUAUGUAUUUACUCUGAACAAAAUUCAAUCUGCACAUCUGUAUCUGCAUUGCACAAGUACAGAUACAUCCGCCCCUGCUAUUUUCUUGUUAUACAUUACAUAGAUGCAUACAUGCGCCAGGCUAUUUCUAUGUCUGUUUGUCUGACCUCUCAAGCAUGCAUAUCUCUUUCGUAUGUACUGAAUUUUGUAACAAUUUUGUUUUCCUCAUACUUACAGGAUGCUGCACUCGCUACUCAUGUUUUCUGAUGCUGCAACAAAGGACUAUAUGUGGUUUCUUCAGUGGGGUUGUCGCUGUCGCUCCUCAUGUUCAAUAACGUUUCAGCUCUAACUUGGUUAUACAACAGUUCAAUUCAGUCAAUCUGUUGGAACUAGUUUGUUUAUUACUUGUAUACAUAUUUUAUAUCCUGCCCUAUGCCCUUGUCGACUUGCUUAGGUACAUAAUUGUUAUGUCUUGCAAUAUGGUAUUGAUGAUUGUCAAUGUAUUCAUGUAUACCCCCCCUCUCUCUGUUUUUCUGUCAAUAGCUAGUAGCAUAAGUUGGAGCUGGCUGUACCAGGAACUUAAUCUGCUUUUAUUCAACCAGAUCAAGUACAAGUACAUUAGUUCGUAAUCUGCUAUUAAUACAUCUCCUAUUCAUAAAUUUCCUGAUUGGUGAUGUUACUGUAGAUAUGAUGUAGGUUCAGUGCUUACUAUUUUCUGAUUUGAUGCAUGUUACCUUCGUUUCUGUCUAUGCCUUCUUUAGUGUUUUGCCAGCUAACUAGUCUAUUGGUCGUUUUGAAAUAUGAAGAUGCUGCAUGUAAGCACUAUUGCUGGCAAUUUGGCACAUCAUAUUAGUCUUAUCCCAUGUUUUGUCACUAGCAUACACUACAAUCCCUUGUCCUGUCACUACCAUACACUACAGUUUUAUUAAAAGGGGGCACAUCAUUUGCUCUAUAUAAUAGUGCUGAUUUUGCGCUGAUAUGAACUUACAACAGUAUUACAUUGUAGUGUUUUCUGCAUGUUGUUGUAUCACUAGUUUCAUGCUGCCUUCUCAUUUGAACCUAUUACUUGUUUUUGUUUUAAUCCUUGAUUAGUAUCAAUUGUUGUAUUGUAGACUUAAAAUUGUGGUGGUUCCUCCUUUACAGAAGCUCGAGUGUGAAGUCGUGAAGUGUGAAGCAAGUGUGAAGCAAGUCUGAAGCCAAGUGUGAAGCCGUGAAGUCCAACUCAUUGUAGCAUAUCUGUGUUGUAAAGAUUGUAAUACAUUUAUUUAGUGGUAUAUUUGAUGAAUUUUAUGCGUUCUUUGUUCUAUUUGAAAUAUUGAUUAUGUAUGUGAUUUGAAAACUUGUGGAAUGGAAACUUGUCCAGUGAGGCCACUUAUGAAAAUAAUUUGUCAAAUUUGUACAUUUUUGACAUGUGGGACAAAUUUGAGAGAUGAACAUGACAGGUUGGACCCAUCUGACUAGUGGGACCAGCUUGAAUAUAUAAUAGUUGAAAAUAGAAAAUCAAAAUAGAAAAUCAGUAGACUAAAAGGCCAUGGCCCAAAAACAAAAAGGCUGCAAUGUUGGGCUUGGUCCAUGAAGCUGACAAAAAAUUCAUAGGAAAAAAAAUAUAAAUGGGCUGAAUUAAUGGGCCCGGCCCAUAUAAACACCGAAUUGGACCAGGCUGAAUCUUGUGCCACAUCAGCUUGCCACACUGGAUGCCUACGUGGACUGGGGAGGCUGCUAGUGACCAAAACGCCACAGUAGGAAUAUUUUGGUCAUAAACAUCCACGACCUUCUCACAGAGAAGGUCGCUAUAGUCAGUUUAUGACUCUCAGCUUUUGACCUUCUGUUUAUGGUCACAAAAAGGUCGCAAAUGAAAAACUAUGACCUUUCAGUGACCAACAGUGGAGGUCACAAGAUAGCAUAUUUCUUGUAGUGAAAGUAAAGUAAUUACAUGGUGUUAUUCAAUGACACGCAGGUCAUACAAUAAUUAAGACAACUCCUAUGGCUCCUGCCGGUUGUCAUACUCAUCGACAUGCAAGUCGUGAUUCCUAUUACAAGAACAUGAUCAAUCUCAUACAUCACAUAUAUAUCAUUCAUCACAUCCUUUUGGCCAUAUCACAUCACAAGGCAUAUGCUGCAAAAACAAGUUAGACGUCCUCUAAUUGUUGUUGCAUGUUUUUACGUGGUUGCAAUAGGGUUCUAGCAAGAACGUUUCUUACCUAUGCCAAAACCACAACGUGAUAUGCCAAUUUCUAUUGACCCUUCAUAAGGACCCUUUUCAUCGAAUCCGAUCCGACUAAAGUGGGAGAGACAGACACCCGCUAGCCACCUUAUGCAACUAGUGCAUGUCAGUCGGUGGAACCUGUCUCACGUAAGCGCACGUGUAAGGUCGGUCCGAGCCGCUUCAUCCCACGAUGCCGCCGAAACAAGAUAAGACUAGUAGUGGCAAGUAAAUUGACAACAUCUACGCCCACAACAAAAUUGUUUUCUACUCGUGCAUAGAAACUACGCAUAGACCUAGCUCAUGAUGCCACUGUUGGGGAACGUAGUAGAAAUUUAAAAUCUUCUACGCAUCACCAAGAUCAAUCUAUGGAGUUAUCUAGCAACAAGAGAGAGAGAGGAGUGCAUCAACAUACCCUUGUAGAUCACGAGCGAAAGCGUUCAAGAGAACGGGGUUGAUGGAGUCGUACUCGUCAUGAUCCAAAUCACCGAUGAUCCUAGCACCGAACGGACGGCACCUCCGCGUUCAGCACACGUACGGAGCGGAGAUGACUCCCGCGCCUUGAUCCAGCAAGGAGGAGGGAGAGGUUGAGGAAGAGAGCUCCAACAGCAGCAUGACGGCGUGGUGGUGGUGGUGGAGAGGCAGUACUCCGGUAGGGCUUCGCCAAGCUCUUAAUGGAGGAGGAGAGGUGUUGGGGAGGGGAGGGGCUGCGCCUUGGAUGUGGUGUGCAGCCCUCCCCUCGCCCCUCUAUUUAUAGGGGAAGGGGGAAGGGGUCCGGCCCCCUCUAGAUGAGAUCUAGAGGGGGGCGGCGGCCAAGGGGAGGGGGCUUGCCCCCCCAAGCAAGGGGGGCGCCCCCUCUAUGGUUUCCCCCCAACCCUAGGCGCAUGGGCCCAAGGGGGGGUGCGCCCAGCCCUCCAGGGGCUGGUUCCCUGCCCACUAUGGCCCAUGAGGCCCUUCGAGAGAGGUGGCCCCUCCCAGUGGACCCCCGAAACCCCUCCGGUGGCCCCGGUACAAUACCGAUAUGCCCCCGAACUUUUCCGGUGACCGUAUGACAACUUCCCACAUAUAAAUCUUCACCUCCGGACCAUUCUGGAACUCCUCGUGACGUCCGGGAUCUCAUCCGAGACCCCGAACAACAUUCGGUAAUCACUUACAAGUCUUCCUAAUAACCCUAGCAUCACCGAACCUUAAGUGUAUAGACCCUACAGGUUCGGGAAUCAUGCAGACAUGACCGAGACAGCUCUCCGGCCAAUAAACAACAGCGGGAUCUGGAUACCCAUGUUGGUUCCCACAUGUUCCACAAUGAUCUCAUCAGAUGAACCACGAUGUCAAGGAUUCAAGUAAUCAUGUAUACAAUUCCCUUUGCCAAUCGGUACGUUACUUGCCCAAGAUUCGGUCAUCGGUAUCCCAAUACCUUGUUCAAUCUCGUUACCGGCAAGUCACUUUACUCGUACCGUAAUGCAUGAUCCCAUGACCAACCACUUGGUCACAUUGAGCUCAUUAUGAUGAUGCAUUACCGAGUGGGCCCAGAGAUACCUCUCUGUCAGACGGAGUGACAAAUCCCAGUCUCGAUCUGUGUCAACCCAACAGACACUUUCGGAGAUACCUGUAGUAUACCUUUAUAGCCACCCAGUUACGUUGUGACGUUUGGUACACCCAAAGCACUCCAACGGUAUCCGGGAGUCACACGAUCUCCUGGUCUAAGGAAAUGAUACUUGACAUUAGAAAAGCUCUAGUAAACGAACUACACGAUCUUGUGCUAUGCUUAAGAUUGGGUCUUGUCCAUCACAUCAUUCUCCAAUGAUGUGAUCCCAUUAUCAAUGACAUCCAAUGUCCAUGGUCAGGAAACCGUAACCAUCCAUUGAUUAACGAGCUAGUCAACUAGAGGCUCACUAUGGACAUAUUGUGGUCUACGUAUUCACACAUGUAUUACGAUUUCCGGAUAACACAAUUAUAGCAUGAACAAUAGAAAAUUAUCAUGAACAAGGAAUAUAAUAAUAACCAUUUUAUUAUUGCCUCUAGGGCAUAUUUCCAACGUGCCGUCGCUGCAGGGCCUGGGUAGCGGUGGGAAUAGUAGGGGACGGUGAGGCCUCCACGGCAGCACAGCCGGCCACGGGAGGCAGGAGCAUGCGGCACGACCGACGCUGCUUUGGGCAGUCGGAGCAAGAAGACUAGAGGUUGAAGAAGCACUACGUCCGUUGGUUGGACAUCAUACAGUCACUGGAGCUAGAAUCGUUCAUAUUGACUAAGUUGACAAAGCCCUCCGUCCCCGUCAACUUAGUAGGCCCACAAGUCUGCCUCCCACCAAGGUGGGUCCCAGCUAGUAGGGGGAGUAUUCAUUUUUUGUGCGUAAUANNNNNNNNNNNNNNNNNNNNNNNNNNNNNNNNNNNNNNNNNNNNNNNNNNNNNNNNNNNNNNNNNNNNNNNNNNNNNNNNNNNNNNNNNNNNNNNNNNNNNNNNNNNNNNNNNNNNNNNNNNNNNNNNNNNNNNNNNNNNNNNNNNNNNNNNNNNNNNNNNNNNNNNNNNNNNNNNNNNNNNNNNNNNNNNNNNNNNNNNNNNNNNNNNNNNNNNNNNNNNNNNNNNNNNNNNNNNNNNNNNNNNNNNNNNNNNNNNNNNNNNNNNNNNNNNNNNNNNNNNNNNNNNNNNNNNNNNNNNNNNNNNNNNNNNNNNNNNNNGGCCCGUCCGGUGGGUCCCAGCAGUCAGGGGGAAACGUUUUUUUUCACGAAAUACGGUGGCCCGUCCGAUGGGUCCCUGCUGUCAGGUGGAGGUAUAAUUAUUUUGCACGUAAUAAGGAGGCACUUCCUUGUGGCUGCCGUGGACGCAUCUGUCAGCCUCUCCACGUACAGUACUCUUCCGAUGGAAGUCGGUCAUUGACCACAUUGACCACGCCACUCCGAGAGCACCACGGUGGUGGACGACGGCAAGGCCUAGGAAGGGGACGACACGGAGCCGGGGAAGACACGGUAGCGGAUGCCCAUGCAGAGAGGAGUACGAGGGUUCACUGGUUCGGCUGCGGUGUGAGGCUGUCGUCGCCGCAGAAUAACAAGGGGUGUGGGUGAGUGAAAGGAUGGCCUGGCCGGCGGUGGGAGUAGUAGGGGCGGUGAGGCCUCCGCGGCAGCACAUCCGGCCAUGGGAGGUAGGAGCAGGCGGCACGACCGGCGCUGCUUUGGGCAGCUGGAGCAAGAAGACCAGAGCUUGAAGAAGCACUAUGGCCGUUGGAUGGACAUUGUACGGUCAUUGGAGCUAGAAUCGUUCAUAUUGACUAAGUUGACAAAGCCCUCCAUUCCCGUCAAGUUAGUAGGCCCACAAGUCAAGCUCCCACUAUGGUGGGUCCCAGCUAGCAGGGGGUAUUCAUUUUUUGUGCGUAAUAAGGAGGCACUUCCUUGUGUGCAAAGAUAUAGCUAGUGGGUCCGACAUNNNNNNNNNNNNNNNNNNNNNNNNNNNNNNNNNNNNNNNNNNNNNNNNNNNNNNNNNNNNNNNNNNNNNNNNNNNNNNNNNNNNNNNNNNNNNNNNNNNNNNNNNNNNNNNNNNNNNNNNNNNNNNNNNNNNNNNNNNNNNNNNNNNNNNNNNNNNNNNNNNNNNNNNNNNNNNNNNNNNNNNNNNNNNNNNNNNNNNNNNNNNNNNNNNNNNNNNNNNNNNNNNNNNNNNNNNNNNNNNNNNNNNNNNNNNNNNNNNNNNNNNNNNNNNNNNNNNNNGAAAUACAGAGGCCCUUCCGGUGGGUCCUAGAUGUCAGCCUCUCCACAUACAGUCCACUUCCGAUGGAUGUCGUUCAUUGACCACGUUGACCAGGCCGCGCCGAGAGCACCAGGGCGGUGGACGACGACAAUGCCUAGGAAGGGAACGACACGGAGCCAGGGAAGACUCGGCAGUUGUUUCCCACGCAGAGGGGAGUAUGAGGGUUUAUUGGUUCAUCUGCCGUCCCCGAAGAAUAACAGCAUGUGUGGGUGACUAGAGGGAUGGCUAGGCCAGCGAUGGGAGUACGGUGGGGCGGUGAGGCCUGCGCGACAGCACAGCCGGCCGCGGGAGGAGGGAGCAGGCAGUCCCGCCGGCGCUUGUUUGAGCGGCUGGAGCAGGAAGAGCAGAGAUUGAAGAAGCACGACAGCCGUUGGAUGGACAUCCAAAAGUCACUGCUCUUGUGUGUUGACGAAGUUGACACAAUGUUGCGUGUGUGUCAACCUUUUUUUAGGAAAGCAUACGCGUCAACCUGUAGUAGGUGCACAAGUCAGCCUCAAAUCUGUGGAAAACAACAUAAAACCCAUCUCCCGUUAUUUCUAAUAAUGUACAACCCAUUUUCUAAUUCUUAAGAAUUUUUUGGAGAACAUCUUCUUUUUGUUAGCAUUACACCCCAUAUUGUGGCCACGGUUCAAAAGUAUACGAAAUUUUGCAUAUUUUGGUGCAGUCAACUGUUUUUAAUCCCGAAAUAUUGAUUCACAUUCAAACUAUUUUGAAAAAUAAUUCAUAUAAAUAUAAAAUCCAAAUAAUUCUCCACACAUAAAAAUCAAUGGAAUUUAAAAUCUUGUAAUGAAAAAAAUGAAACUAAUUUCUGGUUUGAUAUGUUUUAAAAAUGUACAGCCCAAUUCUGGGCAAAUCGAAUGAAACUCUCAUCAUCUUAAAAGAUUUGCAGCCCAGCAGGGCUGAUAAAGCAAGUAGGCCUCGUUUGGGUAUUUCUUUAAAAAUAAUAGAACCGGGCUAGCCAUUUUCAGCUAGAAAAAAACACAACUGGGCUCAUGAUGUGGUAAACAUAAAUAAAACCCUGGCUAAACGGGCCACAGCCCCCGCACAACCCCGUUGUUACCCUGAUCCGUCGUUAAAAGUAGUAUAAAUAACAACUGCUUGUUCCUCAAAAAAAAACUGCGCGGCCUGCUGGGUCCCUAGUGUCAGCCGCUCGCAGUGUAAUACUCUCGUUUAUUGACUAAGUUGACAAUGGCGUGAGCCCCAAAUGUCCAACCAUUAGGAGGAACCAUAUUUUUGGGCUUGUAAUAUAGAUGCACUUGCCUGCGUACUGCCAUGACGCUGGUGGGUCCCUACUGUCAUCCUCUCCACGUAUAGUCAUCUCCUUGUUCCUCUUGGUUGUUGAUGAUGUUGACAACGCAAGAGGGUGGCGCAUCGUGCAUGGUGAGCAAACCGAGGUGGAGGAAAACGGUGAGGCCUCGGACAGAAAGAACAGGAGCCGUGGAAGAUGCGUCGGUCCAGUCGCAGGCGGAGGGGAGUACGAGGGUUGACUAGUUCGGGUGCGGGUGCGUGUUGGGGCUGACAUUGCCGAAGAAUAACAGGAUGUGUGGGGGAAUAGAGGGAGGGGCUGGCCAACGUUGGAGGGUACGGUAGGGCGGCAGAGGCGCAGCUAGCCAUGGGAGGCGGGAGCAGGCGGAGCCCACAGGGUGGUUUGGUUUGGACGGCUGGAGGAAGAAGAAGACAAGAGAUAGAAGAUACACGACAUAUGUGGAUGUCAAUCCAACGGCUGGUAGGCAGAAUCGUUUGUUGACUGGCUAGUAAGUUGACACCACCUUGGAUAGGCUAUUUCCUCGUGGGUCCCAAAUGUCAGAAUCCAAAUCUGUCACGGUCAUGUAGCCUUUCCUAUGAAAAUUUACAGCCCAUUUGAUGUGCUAGUUUGAAAUAAGUUUGUGGGUGCUGGUGGGGGCUAAUCACUUGGCUUCUGUAAUGCAUAGUGAGCUCAAGCAGCCGGCGAGAGUGAUGUUAUUUCCCUUGGUUGGGAUUUGUUACAAUAUUUCACUCUAAAUUAAACGAAUGGCAAGCCAUUUGCCUUGUCUCAAAGAAAAUAUGACAGUCACAGCCGAGUUGAAAAGGGCAAGAACAUCUAACUCCAGCUUAAAAACUGUAGAAAAGCACGAGGGUUAAUUGUUCAUCUGGUUUACACAAAACCUAGGUUGAAAAGGGCAACAACAUCUAACUCCAACACUGUUUUCGGCAGUCACAGUCAAAUGGAUCGGCCAGGUCCAUAGAAUGAACAUCCUGGGUCAUAAAAUUUACUGGAUUAUGACCACAAUAUGUUGUAAAUAGAAACCCGACACGUUCACAAGCUCUUUUGCCCACCUAAAACUCCUUUUUUUUUGCUCUUCGACAUACCCAUCCGUCAAAACCAUGCUGCUGAUAAACUUAAGCCUGAUGGACAAUAGUAACCUCGCAUUCAGCAGGAAGAAUGUGACAAAUCUAAUGUUUGCACGGUUGGCUACAUAUCGUUCUAGCGUUAUUGUCUUCAAUCGAAUCUCAUGAGAAGUGAGAAAAUACCGAUGCUUGCAAAUCCACCGAUUGGUUAUAACUUCCUUACCCCGUCCUGUUGCCUAAAUAGACAUGAAGACUGAAAACAGUUAAGGUCUAAAAAAGAGUGUCGAAAGAGCAACAGCUGAACGGUUAAUUCUAGUAUGAUAUAUGCGGGCUUCCAAUGUGCGUGAAAUUAUCACCUUUAUAUACAACUUCUCCAGACAUGGAAAGCAUUGCAGCAAGCCAAUAAUCUUGUUUAGAUCAAAUUAUUCAUUUGGAUAUAUAAGAUCUUGACAGAAUCCAGCACCAUUGAUAGGCCAUCCAUGGAGAAACUCUUCAUUGAGCAUAGAACAUAAUAUUAGUACAAAAUGUGUACUCCAAGAUGAUAUAAAACUUAUGCCCAUAAAUUUAAAAUGCAAAUUAUGGUUACAAGUUUAGAUGAUAAUAUAAAGUCCCUGAAGAACUGUGGAGCCAAACACCAUAUUGAAAUGAGCACAGAGAUCAUGUAUUACACCCAAGGUCUCCAGUUUAGGCGCAGAGAGGACGGUUAUUUGCAACGGUGAAUAACUAGAAUCAAGGAUCAACCUUUGAAGUGAAGGGGCAUCUUGGAUGAUGAGCUGCCUUCUGUUAAAAGAAAUUCCAAUUCUUACAAGGUUAGGCGACUUUAUUUGGAGACAACUGAUUCUAACUAUGAAAACAAGCACCAAGCACUCCAGGGCAGGGCAACUAGAGUGGAUGAUGUUGUGCAAUGAGGCCUCCGAUAUACGAACCCGCACAAGUGAAAGUUUCUUGAGAAAUGGGAGUCGAAGGUUUAGUACCAGAUUGUAUGGUAGGUAGCACAGCGCAAAGGUGGCGGUGUGGAGAGAGGAGGAAAACCGCAAGAUGGACAUUGGUGCUGAGGGCACAAGUACAUGGCGUUCGGUAUGUGGUAUGUGAUUUCCAGGGGAAUAGUAGAACUCAAGCAGCUGUAGUUCUAUGAAUUCAGGGGAUUUCAGCCAGGCGUACACCAUGCAGGGAAUGGUAUGCUUGCUCAGGUAGCAUGACCGGAUGCAGAGGCUUUGAACGGAGCCCUGGUGGGAGGAUAUGAUGGCUCUGGGGAUUUCAAAAUCAUUGAAGAGAGAUAGGUGAUGACAGUCGAGAUUAAGUGGCACGGCGCGCCAUAGAGGGCGCCACUGAAUUGAGAGGACAUGGGUGCGGCAGCAAUCCUUGAUGGGGAAAAGCAAGAUGAUCUCCCCAAGGACAGUGUCUGGGAGAUCGCUGAUGCGGUCCACCCGAGAUUCUAUGGGUUCCUAGGAUCCGGUGGGGGCGGGGUCGUCGCUUCUCCCCACGUUGCCGGGUGUGGAAUCUACAACAGGCGUCGCCGCUGGCGGGAGCCUCAUCUUCUUGGCGUUGGGGUCGGCCGACUCCUUUUUCCUCGAGGGCGUCGUGUCGUGCUCAAGGAUUUGAGCAGAGUAAUGAAUGAUGAGCCUAGUUGUAGUGCGAGUGAAGAAGAAGGGGAGCUGGGGGUUUUCUGUAGUAGUGAGGAACAAGGGGAGCUGGGGUUUUCUGUAGGAGUUAGGUAAGGAAUAAGGGGGUACGAGUGGAGCGAGCUGACAUGAGGUGGGUGGGAGUGAGGAGGAAGAAGAGCACCCAUGUUUUUUUGGGGGGGGUGUGUGCUGGGUGUGGGUAGCGCCUCUCAUUCAGUAAAUAUAUGGGCUUUUGAAUUGAUUUUACUAUUUACUAGGGUGGAUGAGCUGUUUUGUCCUGGGCCCAGAGAAACAAUUACUACUAGUAUAGUGGAGACACUCUACAGCUACCCAGAAAAAUAAUUACUACUAGUACAGUGGAUACAAUACCACUUCUGGCUCCUCCUAGGUCAUCGAAACGUCUCCCUCUACUGAAUGUCGUUAUAUUUUGUUCACCGACAUGCGGGCCAUGCAAUGCAUAGGCCCAAAUGCCAUCCACCAAAUUAGAAGGUAGUAUGCAGGCGGAGAGUCACCCCGGUCGUAGCGCGGCAGUAACGAGUCGUCGUAUCACAAAACCCCACCUCCUCGCAGUCUAGGUUUGACAGACGAAGCAACCAUCAUUUCACUCUUCGCUGAAUCCCCUUAUCCCUCACCGUCUUCAAGAAAGGCAACACUCCCAUCUGCCACUGUUCUUCUCUCCCAAUGAAGGGAAGGUAAGCGGAUCCAUGAUGUUGGUAUAUUUUCAUUCAGUGAAAAAAAAGAACUUUUGCAAAGCAGUAACCGACCCUCACUCUCUUUUUUGUUUCAUUGUCAUUGCGAUUGUGUUUUUUUUCCAGUGGCUCCUAGUAUUCAUCAGUUUCAUGAUGGACCAAGGAGAACCAGGCAAAGAUCUGCCGAUAUUGGAGCAGACGCGGGAGGCUGAUCCCCACGAGACAGAGAGCUCCAAGAAGAUGGAGGCAGCCACCGAGCCGACCCCAGAUACGCUCACGGCCACUACUGAGAUGGUCAAUGCCCUAUUUGAGGUUACAACCCUCGUGGCACUGCAUGAGCAGUUUUCCCCCUUCGAGGAUGUGUCCCCCCCCCCCUGAGCUGCCCAAGGUGAUUUUUUUCUUUUCCGAUCUCGAUUGUGGUUUUUCACCUAAGUAUGUGGUGAUGAAUAAUGCAAAGUUUUAUUAGCUUCGAUGCCAUGCUAUACAUAGUGGAUUAAAAAACUUGUGUUUCUUAUACUGGAAAGUAAUUCAGAAUUAUUUUUCUAUUUCAAUUAGAGGCCUGAUGCAGACAAGGAUUGUGUGGUUGUACAUGUCACUCGCUAUGAGGUGGAUGACCUGAAUAUAUGCACUGGGAAAACAGAGUUCUUAGGCUGUUGGAUCCUGGAAGCCAUUUGCACUUAUACCAAUGAAGAGUUGUAUUCCAGCCUCACUGUUGUCUGGCGUGUUGACCAGGGUGUACUGAAGCACAAGAAGUUCAAAGCUACUCAUUUGUUUGUGAGGCAUACUGCUCUUGUCAAGCUUACGUAGGAAGAUGAUGUGGCAUGCCUCCACAAACAAGUUUAUGAGUGGCAAGGCCACAAGGUUGUCUUCAUGAAGGUUCACAGGAUUGAGCUCCUGUCGGACGUCCUCGAUGAUGUUCAUGGCAUGGUUCGUCUUGUGUCCAGCCCAAAUUAGAUCGAGGCAUGAAAUAGUUGCCCCAGCUAGUGUUUAAUAGUAGUUUGGAUUGUGUCUAAUUAUCUGAACCUUGCCUGUUAUCGAGCCCUUUGGGGCUAGUACUCUGUUUGAAUCCGUCUAUGGGAACUACUGCUACUUUUGUGUGCCCGUGAAUCAUGUGAGAACCAUCGUAAUUGUUGCCGAAACAGAUGCAUCCUCACUAGUUUUUUCAUGAAUAUGGCAUGGUAAGACAGAAGUUGUCAUGGUUUAUCAUACGAGCAGUGUGUGUUUUGAUGAAAUAGAGUACUCGUUUGAGAACUGUGCGCUGACGUAUACAUAAGUACUUGUAAACGCUGUUGGUGCUACCCCACUUGUAAGCAGUUGUGCAAAACACGACACAUUGGCUCAGCUCGCUUCAAUACUAGGCUGUCGACCAGCUAACAAUCAACAAUCUGCUGUCUGACAUAUAAGCAACUAUGUAUCUUGUUACAGUGGUUCAUGCAGUAACUGAGGCCACAAUGUAAAUUCCAAACAUUCACACGCUAGUCCAGCGUUCAUGUGGAACACUCACAUUAAACUCGGCUUCAUAAAAAACUUGAAAAUCAUAAGUUAAGCAAUUCUAUACAUCUCAAUGAUUCAUAUAACAUAACAAACAUAUAAUAGUUCACAACAAAAGACAAAGUUGUGAGAAGGUUUAUAAAUCAGGAAAAAACAAGCAAGGCUUCUCUGAGCAAAGGGCCUUCCGGCAGGCUUAAAUUUCCUGGAGUUCACUCUGGUUUUUUCUUGUUGCCACCAUCCAGGGUUAGGUUCUCUCAUUCCAGAAUAACCAAUUAUAAUUGUGGUCUCAGCUGGAAUGCUGAACUGAACCAUGCAGUGUACUGACCAGCUGAAAUUCUUAUGCAUUCCACUAAAUUUAAGCACCGCUAUUUGCAGAAAUAAGCAGACCACAAUGCCUCUUGUCUGCGCACCUGUCCAAAAAACCGCCGUGCAACCGUGCCAGCUAGUCCCCGGUCCAUGGAUGAACUGGUAGAAAGUGCAUUUCGGACUAGGAUGCAGUUGUUUUCGCUCGUCCCUACACUGCAGUCAGGAAGUAAAUCGUAUGAAUCAACUUCUUUUAGAUUGCGCUGGUCAUUCUACCUAGUAACUACAAAUGUAGGAAUACCUGGAAGACGGGUGGUUAGACGACGGCAGCGAGGGAUAGCCAUCUCAUUUUGUGCAGUUCUACUAAAUCUGAGGUGUGUGCUUUUGAUUGCGCGGAUAGAAAUGAUAGUGAGACAGACUUCCCGAAAUGAUAUGGAGACAGCCAUCCCUGUUUGCGCAAAUAUGAAAUACGGUUAUUUAAAUAGUGACAGAUAUUUGCAGUGGCGUAUGAUUAACAUCAGCAUCUAUUGUGUUAGACAGUAUGAAAGUGCCCUUAAGUAAGUAGCAUCACAUAACAUCAAUACUGCCACUAGAUUAACAUGCUGAACAAUAGCAUUAGUAUUACUAUCAUGAGAGUAGCACAUGGUCAGUAAAUGUGCAAUCAAAUUUGUGCAGUUCCACUGGGAUGAAGCAAUGUUAGCGGUGUGAGAUUCAAGUGUAACUGCAAAAACACAAUUCAUGGGAAAUAAAGCAAGACAGAAGCACUUCAUAAAAUGGUGGUGGCAUUGCUUCAAUUUAUCGACGGCACUAGACCAUUACUUAUAGUGACAUUACGUGGCAUUGCUUAAUGCUUCAUGUGAUUUUACAUUAAUGGUAGCGAUAUGGGCGUAGGGACGGCAGGGGCAUAAAGUGGUGAGGCAGAUGUGGUUGCCGAGAGCGGCAAACACUCAGGUAGCAUGUCUGCAUUUCUCCCAUUUUUUAUCUCCUCGGUGACAUUUUCCUAUGUGAGCACAGGAAAUCUAGACCUACUCAUUCUCAUUUGCAUUGUCCCCCAACACCUGUCACUUUCUUUUCUUUUUCAACCAAGAGACAUGUCCACUUCCCCUCACCCUUCGCCAUCCACCAUGCUUUCUUCGUCUUUUCAACCAAGAGACCGGUUGGGUAGCCAGUAUCUACUACUUUCCCUCGUUUCCUCUUAGAACCAAGUCCUAGAUUCAUGCUACGGCUUUCCCACUUUCUUCCCUGUUUGAACCAACUCUUAGAAUCGACUGUAUGAACUAGCUUUACCUCUAAUAAUAGUAAAAGUCUAGGUGGCUUUGGAAUAGCGGACGAAAGUAGAAAAUGAUCCACACGAAGCCAAGUGGGGAGCUGGGGCAAUAGAGCAAGGCAGGUUUCGAAGGAAUAUAUACCUAAGGGUUGUCGGCAUAUGGCAAAGAUGGCGUCGGGAGGCCGCAUCUUGGCCACAAUACCGCAGGGAGGAAGAAGGGGUUGGAGGCCCUCGCGAGCCGGCGCUCUCUCGGAGAGAACGGCACGGCCGCCGAUUGGUACGCGCGGGCAGCCAUUGUUCUCCUCCCUCGCCGCCGGCAACGGCGUGAAUGAUGCACCUACACCCCUGCCGCGGUCGAGGUUGUCCGACCGGAUUUGUGACCAGCCGUGAGCAGAGAAAGAGUGUGGCCACCCAUGUCUUGCUUAGAUCUGGAGAGCAUGAGAGAGUGAACGAGAGGAACCCUAGUAAAACAAGCACUAAGGCUCCUGCUUAUAUCCAUACUACUCUAUAGUGUACCAAUUUUGCACCCCAAACCAAACAUGAACCAUUGAUUCAGCUGUCUGUGUUGAAGAUCUAUGGUCAGAUCUUUAUUGAACCAAAACCAACGGCUAGGAUCUCCGGGAUUCGCAGUCUGCCCGCGCGCAUGGGUGCUUUCACCGCGCGCUCCUGGGUAUUCUGGAAGCACCUGGAGCGUCCCCACCAAGAUAAAAUACCAGUAAAAAAAUCCGGCACCAUUCUCUUCUCAUCAAAGCACUCUGUGUGUUUCGUGGUUUCACCGUUCCCCCUGCUGUCACCCCAGCCCCGUACCCGCACCACCACAAGUCGUCUAAAAACAGCUCUGCCCUGCGCCGCCGGCCGCGGCGAGCGCUCAGUUGCUCUUCCGUCCAAUUUCAACUCCAAUCUCUCAAACUCGGUCCGCCCAAGUAGUUUCUCCCUCAGGCGCUCACUGCCCUUGCUACUGUUCCACGUGCUCACCGCCACCACUUCCUGGAAUCUCCGGCUGUACAUGCCUCGGGCCAAUCCGCCCCGGAGACCAUCGGUGCUGCAAGUGCUAGCAACGGGAUGACAUAUCAGUGCAGCCCGGCCGCUGUUAACAAAGCAUCCUCAACCUCACACACUCAUAGCUUACAUGUUGAAGAGGUAAGAUACAAUUUGAGAAUCUAUGGAAGUGGUGCUAAUUUGUUUAAUGAUCUAUAAAUUUCCUAUCUCUGCAUAUCAGAUGCCAUAAAUCCAUACCCAGAUUUUGUAUUUCAUUAUAGAAAUCAAGAAAUUUAUCACAGCUGACCACCACGUGUUCGAGUUUAUGUCCACAAAGGUUUUUUUUAUUUCUCCUUCCAUAGAAGUGUUAUAACCAUUUAAAAACUCAUUUUCAUUGAUUUUAACGAUUUUAACAUUUAAAAUGAUUUUUUAAUGGAGAACGAUGUUGUAUGUUACACUGUACCAUGUGUACUGACAAAACGUCAAUACAGUCUAUUGUUAGAAUAUAUGUAUCGAUUAAUAUGCCAAAAAAAUGGUUUGUUACAAGGAGUUUGAGGUGACUUAAGCUUCGCGUGGCUUUACUGUUGCAUUAUCUUCCUAUGCUUAUGCUAAUGAUGUCUACAAUGUUGUUGCUCAGCGCCUUAGCAGAACCAAGUGCAGACAGUUAUCUAGGAAGCAAGUGAAUGGCUGUUCAAGUAACCAUACAACAAGAUCCAUUGGAAUGCCAGGACGGGCUCCUUUUCAAGAUAUUACAAUGUGGUUGACUCACAUAAUUUAUCAAAAGGGAAACAAGGUACAUCAUUAAUAUUUCUGGUCACCAGAAUCUUGAAACAAGAUUACAGCUUCUUAUAUGCUGUUACAUAAAUAAAACAACCUAUGCUUUGUGUGUUAAAAGAUUCUCACGGGUUGUUUUAAAUAUUCUAUACAUUCCAGCACAAAAAAUACUUGGUCCAGUGGAUCAGCCAAUUACUGGGACAAAAUGAUCAAUCAAUCCAUCUGGCAUGUCCAUAAAAUCAAAUACUCCUUCGAGUCGACACGCAACUCUACGAACAGAUGCUUCUGAGCGUAAGCGUUAUCAUGAUCGGCAAAGAUACUUGAAGAUGACUCUAACAGCGUGCUGCCUACCUGCAAAGAAACCGUGACUACAAACGGAGAAGGAAAAAUCCUGUAGUCAGUGAUAAUGCACAAUCUGGGAGUCAAACUUGUACUUUUACCAAUGGAAGCAUGCACACAACUACUCGCAUCGGUACAAUUACAGAAGGUACAUAUUAAUGCAAUAAUAUUUUGUCUUAAUUUUUUUAGUAUUAACAUAAAUUUCUUCAUGUCCUAAUUAUUACGUGAAUGACCACUCAACCAGGUUAUGUUUAUCUACAAAACGCACAUGUAUAUGUAUAUAAUAAGAAAUAUGCUUAGCAUUCUGAUUAUGAUAGGCAUUUCUGAUAAGUAGAUCAUUAACAUCCACUUCCUGCUCUACUAUUAUUUGUCAAUAAGUAUUAUAGUGUAUGUUUGUUUGGUGGGAUUCAUACCAAUAUUUUGAUGAGCUUGAACUUUCUGCAUCUUACAAUAUCCUUCGACUUGGCAUAAUUAGUCUGGUUGCUAAAAGGUAGACCUUGAUCAGUCCAUCUGACAUAUCUACAUCAAGUAAUGAAUUGACAGGUACUGGUCAACAUAAGCGUGUAGCAGCAUUCCUGGACAAGGGCAGUGGACAUAAGAGAAGGAGAAUGUCUAAUGGGGCAGGUUGUAGUAGUACUAGAAAGGGAAAACAUGAACAUGGUUUAGCCAAUAUAAGCACGAAGACCAUGACAGCACCAUCUAUGUCCCAAAUGGUUGUUUUCCUGCCCUAAAAGGUAAUAUAGUUGUUACGGUGUACCAUAGCUAUUUCUAAUGCAUCGAUCAUUCAUCAACUUUACCUGUUCUUUUUUUAACUAAUUGACAAAUUGAUGUAUAGACGAAGCUGGGCAAUCUCAUUACAAGUUCAUCAACAAAAUAAUGGCAUUUCAUUCCUAUGCUCUGGACUGUCCCCACUAACACAUUUUGCCAAAAAUUACCAUUUUCAUUGCAGAUCUCAGUAAUUCUUUGCAUGGCACAUAAACAACGCACGCACACGCAAAAGAAACUUUAAAAUUCAUCUACAAGGAGUACUUUCUCCUCCUCAUGCUUUGCCAUCUUCGAGAGAGCUUGCUCCCUGAUGGCCUGACGGAUCAUCUGACACUGAUUCAUCCGAUCUCCACAUCCAAGGUGCUUGGAAAGGAGUCGGAGGUACUCCUCUACAGUGAUGUGCUUGCCAUCAGUGUCGGGGGCUCAGGAUGGUCGGGAUGCAAGGAGGGGGUUGGCGCAGUUUUUAGAGAGGCGAAUAAUUCCUCCACUUUGACAAACUGAAAUUUCAUAACAUCGACUUACUUUUAGAACAGUACCAGGCUUCACACAGAGGUAACCAGCACCACUUGGUUACUACUCCCUCCGUCCGAAAAUACUUGUCAUCAGACUGAAUAAAAAUGAAUGUAUCUACAACUAAUAUGCAUCUAGAUACAUCCCCAUUAAUUCAUUUUGAUGGCAAGUAUUUCCGGACUUAGGGUGUACGUGCAAAGCACGUGCAGUUUACUAGUAUAUAGUGGAGUGAUUUUGUUGUACCAGCUUCAAAAAAAUGCCCUCCUACGUGUACCCGCGAGUGGGUGUGAGAGAACUAGUGCGUGCGUGCACCGUUUCUCUUCGUGAGAGUACAAUAUACUAUGCCCAAAGAACGUUCGCCACAAGAGUAAAUAGUAUAAAUGUGUGACGCGUGAGCUAAAAUAAAUGUGCACGAUGUCUUUUGUUUUUUAGAAGUUCUGAGGGUAGGGUGUGAAGAGCACAUAUGUGUGUGACGUCUACCUGCAUAUAGACGGUGGGUGCGAGAGGACUCGGGAGAGUCGUGACUCGUGAGGGUGCAUGUGCGUGAGAGAGAGGGGGGGCACGUAUCAAUGCAAUGCAUGUGUCCGUAAAUCAUUAUCCGACAAACGUUCGCCACAAGCCUUUUCUCGACGAACGCUGUAAGAACCGUUAGAUCGGCAUCCGACAAUGUCAGUUUUGCCAUGUCAUUUAACAGAACAACCAGUCCUCCUACAUACAAAUCUUCCACGUGAGUGUUAGCAACUGUCAUAUGCUCCCUCUGUUCCAAAAUGCAGUGCAUAUAGCUUUAUUGAAAAUGCGAACCUCGCAAACUUUUACCGAGUUUUCGUGUACCAAAUUGCACAUGUAGAAUACCCAGUAUAUAUCAUUUCAUUCAUCUUCGAGAGGCAACUAUAAAGAUGGGGGAGGAGUCUACAAAGAAAGACCAUCGUAUCACCUACAGAAAUUUCAACCAUCCUUUGGUGGGGAGGAAUAUCAUAGGAACUCUAUGUGAUAUGAUUUUUAUAGGAUUUUUUCCUUUAGAGCCAAUUGGUUCAUAGGACUAGAUUCAUAUACUCCACAUUUCAAAGGAAAUAAACAUGAUAUCAUUUUUAUAGCUUUAGAGCCACUUGGUUCAUAUGAAUGGAUUCCUAUACUCCCAUAAUUUCAAAGGAAAAUAAACAUUAGCGUAUAUUCAAUAGAAAAGUUCUUAUGAUAUGAACCAAAUUACAUCUCUUUUCUAAUCCCUCCUCACAGGAAUUGAGAUACAUGUCAUCUCUAGAUUCAAUAGAAAAGUUCCUAUAAUGUGAACCAAAUGACAUCUCUUUUCCAAUCCCUACUCAUAGGAAUUGAGAUACUCCAUGUCAUCUCUUUCCCUACAACUUCCAUGUAUACAUCUUCUAUUCCUAAAUGGCUAGUACAACCCACCGGUAGCUUUUUUCCAAGACAUGCAACUAUGGCGCAAGAACUAUAUAGUGUGUGAAUAACUUUGAAAGAUGAUCGCUGGAUGAAGCUAAUCUGACAGUGCAGAGAUGGCAAAUCCAAGCACUACUGGCCGUUGGAUAUCAUUAACAUUCCACCAGAUAUGCCACAUGUACAAUUUCGAAGACGGCUGAACUUAAGCAUAAUGCACAAACCUCAAAACACAAGCACUUCUCCUUUGUUCUAGAAUCUUCCAUAUCAUAAUUGAAUUUUUUUUCUAAAUGAAUUGCCAUUAUUUGUUUUUUACUUUAUGCUUUACAAUGCACAACCCCAUGAAUCUUAACAUUUUUAUAAAACUAACUGAUUUUGAAUGAGAUGAACUAUAAGAACUAAACGAACAUCUCCAUCAUGCAUAUAUGACUCAAAGCUUUAUAUGCUAUAGUGUGUAUUUAUUCAAAUUUCGUUUCCAAAUCUCAUGCGUUCAAUGCAUGUGUACCUUACUAGUUUUGAGUAGAGUAGCAAAUUUCAUGCGACCCUGGGUAUAUCAAAAUGCGAGCCCAUGCAUCAUUGCCUUUCGGUCAAACCUACGUCCACAAUUUUUUGUAUGUACUAUAUCUCCACUGGUCCCCGAACCCAAAAUGAUGCCUCGUUCCCGUAAAACCAAGCGGCCUACACAUAUUUAAGGCAUCGACUCGAACUCAAUCCCUCUCCCGUUUACUAUGACGUGGCCCCGCAUGCCGUAGUAUUCCUGCAAACCUACCGCCUCACGCAUCAUCGGUUUUCUUUAAGAGGACGAGCGAGAAGCCGAUUUGUAGUGGAGGCGCUUUAAAAAAGGAUCUGUAGUGGAUACCCCUACCCUAGGGUGCCCUAGGUAGCUGCCACAUGCAUCAUUGGUUUUCUCUUUUCUUUAUGCUCUUGCGCCCUAGAGUGAAAUGAUGGUUGCUUUGUCCAUCCAGCUUAAUGCGGGAAAGGUGGGGCUUUGUGAUUUGACCCCUCAUCGCUCAUUUUCUACUACUGCGGCGCUACAACCGGGGUGCCUCCAAUUCCAACCGCUGCUCCGAACUAUAAUUUGGUGCAUCGCAUGUGGAACAAGACGGUGGAUGAGCCACAUGUCGUCCAAAGGGGUCCUGUUAAGUGUGUCGCCAUUUCAUGUGUGGACUGACCCUGCUUGAGUUGCUACGCUAACACGACAGGAGCAGCCUACCACUUGGUUUUGCUCCUUGGUGAAUCCCGACUAUAUUGAUUAAAAAGAUACAUACUAAAUCACCCUCUCGGUCUCGGGUUUUUUGGCGUCUCGGUUUAUAGUGCAUGCACGUAGUUCUAGAUCAUCCAUUUGACUAACUAAAUAUGACUUACUAUGUCACAAAAAGUAUAUCAUUGGAUUCUAAAGCGGAUGUAGUUUCUAAACAUAUAUUGUUCAUCACAUAUAUAGCCAGUUAAAUUCUCAACCUAGAACGACGUGCAUGCCAUGUAAACCUAUACGCAGGAAGUAGUAAAAAUGAGGUGAUUUUACCGAGCGAUCGGCGGGGGAGCAUGGCCUGUCAUGCGGUCCCACGUGUCAUGAUGUACCAAGGCGAUGCGCGUGUCCCUCUUGUGGCAGAAGCAAUACUACGUGGUUUCAGAUGAUGGCGAACCGAAGUGUGAAAUAAUGGUUGCUUCGUCCAUCUGGGAAGGUGCGGCAUUGUGAUUUGGCGUAUCAUUGCUCAUUACUACUACUGGGGCGGUACGACUGGGGUGUGUCCCCCUGCUGUUGUGCACUGUUAUUUGGUGCUUGACACGUCGACCCGGUUGCUAUAUGUCCCACAUGUCAGCGAGAGGAAGUAUAGAAUUCAUGAAAGCGAGCGUCAACAGAGGAGUACAAGACACAGCUUAGUUUUUGCUGCUUCGCGCGAUCCAUCGAUACAAACCCGGACUAAAAGAAGGCGAGGGUGGGUCUUUUCCCGCGCGGCAGGCAGGGGAGUUUGGCAUAGUCGGUUCGAGGCAAGGAGGAGGAAGGGAAACAAGCAAAUAAAGGUUGAGCGACUGUCGGAGUAAAUGACCACGGGUAGCCUAGCCGGCUCCCUUUGUGUCGGAGUAAAUGACCACGGGUAGCCUAGCCGGCUCCCUUUGGCCCUCAGAAAAAACAAUGGGCUGACCGAGCCCUGAAGCACCCAAGACACGGGGCCGCCUUCUUCCGGCCGGCUAUCGCAUAGGCCGGCUGGCGGAAGGCGGCCCGGCCAUAAAGAACCCUUGGAGGACGCCACGAUAGGGCCGACUCCAAGAAGCCGGCCCCUGAAGGACCGACUCCAAGAAGCCGGCCUUAGAGGAUCGACUCCAAGAAGCCGGCACCUGGCAGAAGGCCGUGGGCCGCACCCUAAAGUCCACCCCCAUAACGGUGAUAGGACAGGGCGUGGCUAUAGUGGACCCUGCCACCCCCAAAUCUCGGAACACGCAUGGCUACAGUACGCCGUACGGGGCGGCCAUCUCCUGUCCGACGAGGCACUGUUGCCAUGCAGAUCAUGACGCCAUCCAUGACGGGUCACCAGUACGGCCCGUAGGCGGCGGGCCCCUUCGGUCAGAGAGACAUCCGAAGGCGGCCUGACCUCCCCCAGCCGGCCUGAGGCCAGGCCGGCUUCCUAUAGCUGGCUUGCUCCCCUCCUCGGGGCGCGCGCACCAUUAAGCAGACAAGACGAGGUAAGGCUAUAGUGAGAGCCCGCAAGGCGGAGGCACUGUAGCCAUGCUUACCUCGACAAAGCCUUCGUCAUCAGAGGCGAGGCAACAGUAACCAGCCCCUGACAAGACCCCCCAAGCGGUGGGGCCAGCCUGUCGACCAAUGGGCCGACAGCCGGCGGGACCCACCAGUCGGCGGGCCCCAGUAGCCGGCGGAGAAGCCGGCGGUCGUAGACGCUGACGACCUAGACCCACGCCCAGCCGGAUUACCAUUGUACCCCAGGGGGUAGGCCUAUAUAAACCCCCCUGGACACCCAUGCAAAGGUUUGAUCUCAUAGAGUUUUAGACACUACCAUAGGGAGAUAAGAUAGCUAGCCUUGACCUUCUUCCUCCUCCCACCGAACAGCUCAAGGAGCCUCUUGUAGCUUCUUAUCGAUCUAGUGAUCAUGCGGAGACCCCGCAAAGCAGGAGUAGGGGUAUUAUCUCCAUGGAGAGCCCCCAACCUAGGUAAGAUCCGCCGGCGUGCAUGUCUUCGCCUUAUCCCGUUUCCAGGCACCGGCGAUGUCUUACUGGCUCCCACAAUGAUAAGCCAUCCGUUGGCAUAUGUCGCACCUACCACCCGACAUUUGGCGCCCACCGUGGGGCCAGGUGCACCGUCAUCCGGAGACCUGCUCUGGACGGGAACCCUUUUCCUCCCCAGCGAGCAUAGCUAGCUCGGCACGCCCGAUGGCGCUUGCCCUGACGCGCUGCAAAGCGUCGACGACGCCUGCGCAGCGAGCUGCCUCACCGACCUUCUUGGCGAGACUCACAUCUCCGAUGAACCCGCAUCCAACGCGGGCACAGGCUGCCCCGAAAGCCGCCUCGUCAGCCUCCUCGACCAACUCCACGUCUCCGGCGAGCCUACCGCGGACUUGGAGUCGGUCGGCUCCACCGACCCGAUGCUUGUCGACUCCGACAUAGCAUCGCUCGAUGCCUUCCCCACCAACAUGAUCAUCUUCGACGACCCUCUCCCUCGAGCCGACAGUGGCAGCAGCACCGUCACCGAAGUGCUAGUCAUCAGCCACGGCGUCACCUCCGACGAGAACGCCCGCAACGCCCUGCAGGCUACGCUGCACGAUCUGUCCGCCCCCAUCCCGGCGGACGCUGACGCUGAGACGCUGGAGGCACGCCGCCUUGCCCUCCUCGCGGAGGGCCAUAGGAUUGCCUCCAUGAGACGUCUCACGGAAGCCCACCAGCGCGAAGUCGUCCGUGCUGCCUUCGGCACGCCGCCUCUAGAAGGGCCAAGCCAAGUCGGCGUUGUCAAGAAACACAGUGCGGCCAUCGCCAGCAUGUUGGGAGCGGUCCGCCCAGUCUACGCCACGCCCCUCGAGAAUCUACACGUCGCCCAGUCGAUCAUAGACGAGCUAAACAGACUGGGGGCCGACGAGCUCCCCUACAUGACCAGACGCAUCCAACAGCUGAUCGACGCGGUCGCAGAGCGGCACGAAGCCGGCGUCCGAGCCGGAAGCCCCCCUCGUCGAGAGCACGGCGCGACGUCACGUGCACCGACUGCGGGUGGCGCCCGUACAAGACAAGAGAAGGAUCCGACUGCUAGCCGCAGCCGGACUCGAAUCACCAUCGAGCACGACGCAGAAGGCCGUCCCCAAGGUGUGGAAUGACGAGGCGACCCGCCUCCUCCUCCGCCUCGCGGGGAAAGAUAUCACACCCCGCCGCCUGUCGAGCAUCCGACUCUCAGCAGCCAACUUGGUCGCCGCGAAGGAGUCGGUGAGAAUGAUGCCCGCCAUCGGAUCGACCGCCUUGUGCGAUCCGUGGCCCUGGAAGAAGAAGAUGAUGUCGGCCCACCUUGUUUCGGCCCCCGCAUCCGCGACGAGCCCUUUCCCAAAGGGUUCUCGCUCCCAAGAGACACGUCCAAGUACAACGGCUCCUGAAGCUGGAAGAUUGGUUGAUCGACUACUCCACCGCAGUUCGCAUAGCAAACGGCAACAGACACGUUGCCGUGAAAUAUGUCCCCCUGAUGCUCCAAGGCACGGCGCGCACCUGGCACAACAGCCUCAAGCCUUACAGAAUCAACAGCUGGCUGGACUUCACUGAAGCCUUCAUACGCAACUUCACCAGCACCUACAAACGGGCUCCCAAGCCCCGACAGCUCUCUUGUGCAUACAAGGGCCCAACGAAUCAACCCGCGACUACCUCACGCGUUGGGCCGAGCUCCGCAACUCCUGUGAAGGGGUGCACGAGGUUCAAGCCAUAGAGCACUUCACCGCCGGGUGCCACGAGGGCACUCUCCUCAAGCACCGACUCCUCUGCGAUGAGCCAGCAACCCUCGACGAGCUACUGAUCAUCGCGGACAAGUAUGCCUCGGCCGACUCUUCAAUGAAGAUUGAGCUCCGGGUAGACGCCUCUAGAAAAGUGCUAGCGCCGGCUCCCAAGAUGCCGGUUGGAGAAUCAAACCGGCGCCCGUAUCAAAGCAACCACAAAUGCAAGGCCCCUAUGCCGCCUUCCACUAGCCGGCAGGUGGCUACGGUCGAAGAAGAGCAGCCUGAAGGACGGCCGGCUCCCAAAACACAGAAGGCGGCAGGCCGGCUUGGCAGCCGGCUUUCUCCUACGAGCAAACUCUCGAUGCCCCCUGCAAGUUCCACAGCGGCGCGAAGCCGUCCAACCACACAACUCGGAAGUGCCAUUGGCUCACCCGAAUCUCCAAGGGCGAGGGGUUGUUGCCGCCUCUGCCUGCAGGCCAGCAGCCUCCUGCCCCGCAGCAGCCGGCCGCUCGACCUGCAGUCGGAGCUAUCCAAGAUGAGUUCCCCGAUGAGCAAGCCGCCUACGAUGUGUUCACCAGCCAGGCAGAAGAUCGGCGCAGGUGGCAUCGACAGCAGCAAGAAGUCAACGCGGUCGCCUCCAGUAACCCCGAGUUUAUGCACUGGUCAGAGAAGCCCAUCAGCUGGAGCCAGGACGACCACCCAGAGGUGAUGCCGUCUCCUGGCUCCUAUGCCUUGGUUUUGGAUGCCACCCUGGCGACAGAAAGGCGUGCUACCCCUUUCUCCCGUGUGCUGAUAGAUGGCGGGAGCAGUAUCAAUAUACUGUACCGAGAUACAAUGGAAAAGCUCAACAUCAAGCCGAAGCAACUCAUGCCAAGCCGGACUGUGUUCCACGGCAUCGUACCCAGCCUGUCCUGCUCACCAAUCGGCCAGAUCAAGAUGGACGUCCUCUUUGGGGGCAAAGAUCAUUUCCGCCGAGAGGCAAUAUGGUUUGAGGUAGUGGAUUUGGAGAGCCCGUACCACGCAUUGCUUGGCCGACCAGCGUUGGCCAAGUUUAUGGCUGUGCCCCACUACGCCUACCUCAAGAUGAAGAUGCUGAGUUCCAAGGGCAUUAUCACCAUAGCCGGAGACUAUAAAAAGUCUUCUGAGUGUGCAGCAGCCAGCAGCCGGCUGGUCGAGUCCCUCGCGAUCGCCGAAGAGAAGAAGAUGCUGAAUCGAGUUGUGGCCUCGGCUGGCAAGCAGCCGGCCCUAUCUCCUGACCCCAAAGAAUGUGAAGCUCAAGGUUCUUUCUAGCCGGCCAAGGAGACAAAGAAGAUACCCCUGGACCCGGAAUACCCGGAGAGGCACGAUGUCAUAGGCACAGGCCUUGAUAGCAAAUAGGAAGGCGAGCUCGUCAAUUUCCUCUAUGAGAAUCGGGACGUCUUUGCAUGGUCUCCCAAAGACAUGCCGGGUGUUCCGACGGAUUUCGCCGAGCACAAGCUACACGUCUGACCUAACGUCAAGCCGGUCAGGCAGCCCUUGCACCGCCUUUAAGAAGAGAAGAGAAGAGUUGUCGGUGAAGAGAUAGCCCGGCUCCUAGCAGCCGGAUUUAUUAUGGAAGUGUUCUUUCCCGAAUGGUUGGCCAACCCAGUCUUAGUGUUGAAGAAAAACAAGCAAUGGCGCAUGUGCAUUGACUACACCAGCCUCAACAAAGCCUGCCCUAAAGAUCCAUUUGCCGUGCCAAGGAUUGACCAAGUGAUAGACUCCACAGCCGGAUGCGAGCUGUUGAGUUUCUUGGAUGCUUAUUCAGGCUACCACUAGAUAAAGUUGGACCCAGCUGAUCGCUUGAAGACCGCCUUCAUCACCCCAUUCGGAGCUUUCUGUUACCUGACCAUGACAUUCGGCUUGAGAAAUGCCGGUGCCACCUUUUAGCGUUGCAUGCAGAAAUGCCUCCUCAAGCAACUCGGUAGAAAUGCCCACGUCUACGUAGACGAUGUCAUGGUGAAGACGGAGAAGCAUGGCACCCUGCUGGAAAACCUCAAGGAGACCUUUGAGAAUUUGCGCCGGUUUCAGAUCAAGCUCAACCCGGAGAAGUGCAUGUUUGGGGUACCAGCUGGCCAGCUUCUAGGCUUCCUGGUCUCCGAACGCGGCAUCGAAUGCAACCUAGUGAAGAUCAAGGCCAUAGAGAGAAUGAAGAUCCCUACCAAGUUGCGAGACGUCCAAAAGUUCACUGGAUGCCUGGCGUCUUUGAACCACUUCAUCAGCCGGCUCGGAGAGAAGGCUCUCCCCCUCUACCGACUCAUGAAGAAGUCCACUCACUUUGAGUGGAAUGACCAGGCGGACCAAGCUUUCCACGAGCUAAAGAAGAUGCUGUCCACGCCGCCUGUCUUGGCGGCCCCAACUGAGAAGGAGCCCAUGUUCCUCUACAUUGCCGCCACCAGCCGGGUGGUCAGCACAGUCAUCAUGGUCCAGCGUCUAGAAGAAGGCCGAGCUCAUCCAGUCCAGAGGGCCGUAAUAUUAUUUGAGCGAAGUAUUGUCCACCUCAAAGCAGAACUACCCGCACUAUCAGAAAAUGUGCUAUGGUUAGUACUUCGCCUCCAAGAAACUCAAGCCCUACUUUCAAGAACAUCCCAUCACGGUCGUAUGCACUGCCCCGCUUGCCGAGAUCAUAGGCAGUCGGGACGCAUCCGGCCGAGUGGCGAAAUGGGCCAUUGCACUGGCUCCUUACACAAUCUACUAUCAGCCCCGCACCGCCAUCAAGUCCCAAGCAUUGGCCGACUUCCUCGUUGACUGGGCCGAGACCCAGUACCUGCCACCGGCCCCCGACACCACUCAUUGGCGGAUGCAUUUUGACGGAUCCAAGAUGCGCACCGGCUUGGGAGCCGACAUCGUCCUCACCUCUCCCAAGGGUGACAAACUCAGAUACACAUUGAAAAUCCACUUUGCCGCCUCCAACAAUGUGGCCGAGUACGAGGCGCUCAUACACGGGCUCUGGCUAGCCAAGGAACUUGGCAUCCGCCGGAUCUUGUGUUAUGGCGACUCGGGCUUGGUGGUUCAGCAAUCAUCUGGCGACUGGGACGCCAAGGACGCAAACAUGGAAAGCUACCGUUUCCUCGUUCAGCAGAUCAGUGGAUACUUUGAGGGGUGCACAUUCCUUCAGGUGCCACGGGCCGACAACGAACAAGCAGAUGCCCUGGCACGAGUAGGCUUUACCCAGCAAGCUAUACCAACUGGCGUCGCCCUCCAACGCCUCCUCAAGCCAUCUGUCAAGCCGUCUCUGGAAUCCAGUUCCAUCUUCGUGCCGCCUGACCCCGACGCAGUCGGAUCCCACUUCGGGGACCAGGCAGGCGGCCCGGGGACUUCGGCAGCCGGCUCGGGGACUGCCAUAGUCGAACCCGGCCCGGGGACUGCAGCAACACAGCAAGCGGAGGCCGACUCCAACUCCUCACAACCCAGCCCACCCACCCUGGUUGCAGUAGCCGUUUUGGCAAUCGAAGAAGUCAUAGCUCCAUCAUGGGCUCAGCCCAUCCUCCAUUUCCUGAUAAACGGAGAGCUGCCGACUGACGAGAUCUCGGCAAGACAAGUCCAACGCCGAGCCGGAGCUUACACAAUAAUGGACUGAGAGCUAGUUAGGCGCAGUGCUACCGGAGUCUUCCAGCGCUGCGUAGAGCCAGAGAAAGGCAUAGCAAUCCUUGAAGACAUCCACCAAGUCGAAUGCGGCCACCACACCGCCUCCAGGGCGCUCGUUGCCAAGGCCUUCCGCCAUGGAUUCUUCUGGCCGACUGCUUUGGAGGAUGCCAAGGAACUAGUCAAACACUACAAAGGGUUCCAAGUCUUCGGCUCCAAGCAACACCUGCCGGAUUCUGCACUCAAGACCAUCCCCAUCACUUGGCCUUUUGCCGUCUGGGGGCUGGACAUGGUCGGCCCAUUCAAGACGGCGCGCGACGGCAUGACACAUCUGCUUGUCGCCGUGGACAAAUUUACCAAGUGGAUUGAAGCAAAGCCGAUCAAGAAACUGAAUGGGCCAACUGCCGUGACAUUCAUUGCAGACAUUACAACCCGGUAUGGAGUACCACAUAGCAUCAUCACCGACAACGGCAUGAAUUUUGCCAAGGGAGCACUGGCACGUUUCUGCGUGACACAGGGCAUCCGACUGGACUUAGCGUCCGUUGCACACCCGCAGUCAAACGGACAAGUUGAGCGAGCAAACGGCCUCAUACUCUCCGGCAUCAAGCCCCGACUGGUCGUGCCACUGAAGCGUUCGGCCGGCUGCUGGCUCGACGAGCUGUCGGCCGUCCUCUGGAGUCUGCGCACUACCCCAAACAAGUCAACCGGCUUCACCCCCUUCUUCCUUGUAUAUGGUGCCGAGGCUGUCAUCCCAACUGACAUCGAGUUUGACUCACCUCGGGUCACCAUGUACACGGAGGCAGAGGCUAAGGAAGCACGAGCAGACGCCGUCGACUUGCUGGAAGAAAGCCGGCUGUUAGCCCUCAGCCGGUCCACCAUCUACCAGCAAGGUCUACGCCGUUACCACAGUCGGAGGGUCAAGCCAAGAUCUUUCCAGGAGGGAGACCUUGUGCUCCGGCUGAUAUAGCGAACAGCCGGCCAGCACAAGCCCUCGGCUCCUUGGGAAGGCCCCUUCGUCAUCAGCCGGGCUCUGGGAAACGACUCCUACUACCUAAUCGACGCGCAGAAGCCGAAGGCACGCAAGAGAAACGACUCCGGCAAGGAGUCGGAGCGCCCGUGGAACGCUAAUCUUCUACGAAGAUUUUAUGGUUGAAAUGCAGUAUGUAUCACGCUACCUUUUGUAUUAAGUAUGAGACAACGGGCUCCCCGAGGAGUUCUCGGGGACUACCCUAUUUUAUCUAUGUAUGCCGGGUAUCAUACCCAUGGUUACGCCACUACAUUCAUUUUCUCCGUCCGGCACCGGGUUCGACUAGUCGGCCCGGGGACUUGCCGCCUUGAGUUAUGUCCAAGUUCUACCUACAGUCAGACAAGUAAUGUGCCGGCACCCAAGCCCUCUCUUGCGAAAGUCACAACUCAAAGAAUCGGCUGCCCGACUAGCAAGAGCCAAAGGCGGAAAGGACGCCCACAUGAAAAACGGCUAAGGACAAACGAACUUACAUAACACAAGCCGGCUCCCCUCUCGCCAACCGGCUGUCGAAGCAGCCGGCUCCCCUCUCGCCAACCGGCUGUCGAAGCAGCCGGCUGGCCGGCUUCCCUUCCUACUCCGCUACAAUCUAAGAAAGCUUGAGUACUUGCCUUCCCAGACGGCUGAACUCCUUACCCGGCCACAGAUUGCAGAGCAGCUGUCCGGCUGGGAAGGCGGCAACCAAGGGAAGGCGGCAAAGGAAAAAAGCCGAGAGAUAAAAAGCAAGUAGGAAUGGAAGCCAAGCACAUGCAUAAUAAUAUUUACACAAAAGGCCUUCGAGAGGCCGGAAUUCAACGAAGUUUGAAUACACCCCCAGUGGCUGGAAUUGCGCAAAGAUAACAAAAUCUGUUCAAAGAGUGACAAGCAGGAAAGUAAAAAUAGCGAAUCAAGCCAAGGGAGCGCCCGGAGCGUCAGGAAGAUUGGUGGAGACGGCGAUGUCGGCUGGAGGAGUGGCCGGCUGGCGAGUCUCGGCCUGGUCGUUGCCGGUGGCAGGCGGAGCAUUCGCGCGUGCCUCGUUGCUGGAGGCACGGUCAGGCUGAGGCUGGCUGGCUGCUUCGACAUCCGGCACAGCGUCUUCUCCGUGUUCCUCCUCCUCCUCUUCGCCCUCGUCGUUGGAGUCAAUCUCCUCCACCGAGUCUUCACCAUCGGCCGGGUUCAGCCCGAACCAUUCCUCCAGCUGCGCGACGCCGUCCUCGUUCACCUCAGGAGCAAAGGCGCUGGUGUCGGUGAAGUCGGCGAUCGCCGAGGCGCGCUGGAUGAUAGCCGGCCGCACCGCCUCCAGCUCCUCAUCAGCCUCCUGCCGCUAGGUCGCAGCUGGUCCAAGUUCAGCCCAGGUUACCAAGCCCGGACGAACUCUAGCGCCCGUCGAGCGCCGGAUCGAGCUGCUGAAGCCUUCCAGGCCUCGAGGCGGCCGAAUGCUACCUCCAGCCAGUCGGCAGUACGGUUGGGGGUGCGAGGAAUUACUUCGCUAGGCCAAAGGGCGGCCAGCACCUGUGCUCCGGCACGUUGAAGCCGGCGGAGCAUGCGGUAGGCCGGUUGGAGGCGGGCCUGGAUCGCCAGAAGCUGCUCUUCAAGCGACCGGUUGGCAUCCGGUGCAAUCUCAACCCCAUCCUACCGUCGGGCCUCAUGGUGAGCUUCGAUGUCUUGGUUGGCAGCGAUGGAGUAGCCAGGAAAGUACUCUUCACAAAGAAGAAACAAACAGAGCAAGUCAGGAGAUAAACUGGCUUACAAGGACAAGCAAAAGAGUGAAGAAGAAGGCGGCCUACCGUCAACCAAAUCCUUGACUCGGCCGUAGCCUUCGCUCAGAGCUUUGCCUUGCCUCGGCCCAGCUCACCGCCUCGGUUUCGUAUUCGGCUUUGAGGGCGGCCUCGCUGUCCUGCGCCGCCUUCAGGGCCGCCUUUUGGCUUUCCUCCUGGUCGGCCAGUUUCUUGUCCAGGCGGUCACGCUCCUAAGCCAAGGCGCUGAACUCACCCUCCUUGGUGCGAAGGGCGGUCUAGGCCACACCCAGCUGCUGCCUCAAGUCAGCGUUGGCUCCUGCCAAUAUGGAAGGAAGAAAUUAAGAAAGAAUUCGGCAAGAAAGAUCCGAACCGACUGCUCAGCAGUCGGCCCGAAUCUCGGGGACUACACCCAGUGGGUGCGCUGACGCGCCCCCACAUGAGAUAAAAGGACAAAGACACUCACGGCGGCUCUCCCACAGAUCGGCGGCCUUUUGGUUCACCUCCCGGACCUGGGAGUUAAAGGUAGAGGCAUGGAGGUUGUGAUAAUCCUGCAAACAGGACGAAGAAGCGAGCAAGAACAAAUCAUUAAAACAAAGUCUUCGAAGAAGUUCCAAGCCGCCUGCUCAGCAGCCGACUCGGAACUCGGGGACUACACCCAGUGGGUGCGCUGACGCGCCCCCGCGGAAAAAAUCAAGAGCGAGAGAACUCACCCGAACGACCGCCCGUGUCGCAAGAAACUCUCGGGUACACUGCUUCAGCGCGGUGGCCCGAGCCUGAAGCCAGCUACGGACAUCUUGCGCCGCCAAGUUCAACGCGGUUAUCCCACCGCCUGACGUCCACCUUGGCGAGCUAACGGUGGCCGACUCCAGAUCAUGCGACAACGAGCUGGAACCGGCGGCCCCCUGCGGAUCCGGCUCUGAAGCCGCCUCCCCGCGCGCCGACGAGUCGGCGACAAGACCACAAGAUCCGCCCCUGCAGUCGGCUCUCCUCCAGCCGGCUGCUCAGGCGGCACCUCGGGCUGGCUGCCUUGGCCGGUCCCGGCCGACGGAGGGAGCACCACUUCUCCCUCCGGGACGACUACGUCGCCCCCCUCCCUCUCCAUCGCCGGCGGGUCAUGGCCGAUUUCCUCCAACGGGGGCACCAGGAUGUCCGGGGCCGCGGAGCGGAGGGGGAUGACGAGUUGCGGAGGCUGGCCGCGCAGGGCCUCCGCCGUCCUCUCUGCAGCCUCGGCCUCCGCCUGGGCCUUGGCUGCCGCGUCGGCCUCCGCCUCGGCCGACUCCGCCGUCGUCUCCUGGGCCGACUCGGCGGUGGCUGCCCUUCGCUCCUCCGCCUCCCGCUCCUCCCGCGCCUCCUGCACAUUCCGCUCCAUCGCCGCCUGAAGCUUGGCGCGGGGGUCUAUGCGGCGGGAACCCGCAGAUCCUCCCGCUCCGCCGACUAUGGAGGCGGCGGUAGUACGCUCAAGAGAGAGCGGGGCCCUGGUUGACGAAAUGGAGAAAGGACUUAGAAGAACAUCAACUAAAGAAAGAAAGAAAAGUGCGUAAGGACCAGAACUUACGCCGAGACCGCCUGCGGCUGCUUCACCACUUUGCGGAAGCGGGCCGCCUUCGCGGCCGCCUCGUUCCGCUUGGUCACAGCUGCGGAUCCCUUGGGCUUCUUCGGCCAGACACCGAAGAGAGUCGGCGCCGCCCGACGCUUCUACGCGCCGCCUCGUGCGGUCGGCCCGCCGGACGGGCCGCCGCCUUGGGGGUCGGUCGCCGACUGGCGGCGCGGAAUGGGAUCGGCCUCAUCAUCGUCGGGCCAGUCCUCAAAGCCGGCGGUGAAGCCGGAGCCGCCUGUCUCGCCACCUCCCCCAACGGCAUCGUCGUCCAGGGCGGCCGCCACCAAGUCGGGGUCAUCAAGGUCGUCCGCCUCGCGGUCGGGGGUGAAUCGCGCUCCGGCCCUGCGGUCCCGGUCGAAGGAUGAACAAGGGGGUUCUGAUUGAAGACAAGCCGACUGGUCAAGAGCCGACCAGAAAGAACUCGGCAACAAGAAAGGAAGAAAGGAAAGAAAGGCUUACCACGGGCGGGGGGUUGGCACGAGAGUAUGGUUCCUUGCCAUACUGCCACUCCUCGGUGAGCUUGCAGUUGGCGAUGUGGUUCACCAGGUAAGAUACCUCAUCGUGAGGCAUCUCUCUGGUGCUGAGCCGGCUGGGGUCGAAGCGGCCGCUCAUCUGACAGAUCAGAUGAGGGCGGCCUUGAAGCGGAAGUACUCGGCACUCGACGAAGGCGGCAAUCAAGUCGGGCCAGGUCAGGCGCUCCGACUAGAUCAGAACCCGAAGCCGGGCGAUGGCACCAGCUCCAGCCGGCGUCAGCGACCUGGCCCGGAAGGACCAUGAAGGCUGCCUCCCAGGCGGCGGGCCGACUACGUAAGCCGGCAAGUUGACGUAGUCGCCGUUCGGCGCGACGUUCUUCACGUAGAAAUAAGACCGUUGCCAGAGCUUCACCGACUGGAUCAGCGCGAUAGGAGGGAAUGGGUUGUCGGCGGUGGACCUCCUCAUGGCGAUGAAGGCGCCGCACGGAGCCGGCACGCCUGCGAUGACCGUGCCGAGCUUGGAUUGGAACACUCCCCCAGAGCUCGAUGGGGGGGAGGACACCGAGGAAACCUUCGCACAAGGUGACGAAGGCCGAUAGCAGCAGCACCGUGUUGGGGGUGAGGUGGUGCGGCUGGAGAUGAUAGAAGUCGAGAAACACGCGGAAGAAGCCGCUCGCGGGGAGACCGACGCUGUGCAGGCAAUGCGAGUAGAAGAUCACUCACUCGCCUUCCUCCGGCGCCGGCGAAACCUCCGUCGCUAGCGCGAGGCGGACCCGCACAAGAUCUUCGCCCGACAGCCGCCGAGUCUUGUGGAGAAAAUCGAUGUGGUCGUCACGGACGGUGGAGCUGUCCCAGGAGCUCCACGUCGGAGCCAUGACGGUGAACGCGGCGGCGGAAAGCGCUCGGCGCGGAGGCAGCGAGCUUGUGGCAUGCUGGAAAGAAGAGAGAGUGGUGGAGCAGAAGCACGGCGAAGCGCUACCGCAAUGAAGAAGAAGAGGGAGGAGGCAGAGUAAGGGCGAGCAUGCAAACGACUGCCGCUCCCCCUUCCCGCCCCUACUUAUAGCCUCGCGCGGCGAAGCCGAGGAGGCGAGGCGUGGGGGGCAUGGGAUUAACUGCGCCCACUCCCCCACGACCCGCGAUUAUCGCGCCUUUAUGGUGAGUGGGAACCGCCGCCGGAAGACGUGUGGUCGGUUCGGGCCACAGAAGAUCCACGCGCGGGCCGAGGCGCGGAAGUGGCAGGCCCCGGCCUGCGGCGGCGUCCUGUCACACGCGUGGGCUGGCAGACCCUUCCAGCCGAAGGGUGCCACAUGGCGCGCGGUCAGCCCGCCGCCUGGCCAGCGCGCCAGCUGGUUCCCGCCUUCGGAUUUCGAGGAGGCGUCGCCGAGAAGGCACGCACAAGGGAGGCCGGCUCCUAGCUGCCGGCUAUUCGGAUAGGAAGUUGGCCGAGCUUCUCGAUUCCCCCUUCAGCCGCGAAGCCCAACCAGCUUCGGGGACUACUGUCGGAGUAAAUGACCACGGGUAGCCUAGCCGGCUCCCUUUGGCCCUCAGAAAAAACAAUGGGCCGACCGAGCUUUGAAGCACCCAAGACACGGGGCCGCCUUCUUCCGGCCGGCUAUCACAUAGGCCGGCUGGCGGAAGGCGGCCCGGCCAUAAAGAGCCCUUGGAGGACACCACGAUAGGGCCGACUCUAAGAAGCCGGCCCCUGAUGGACCGACUCCAAGAAGCCGGCCCCUGGCAGACGGCCGUGUGCCGCACCCUAAAGUCCACCCCCCAUAACGGUGACGGGACAGGGCGUGGCUACAGUGGACCCUGCCACCCCCGAAUCCCAGAACAUGCACGGCUACAGUACGCCAUACGGGGCGGCCAUCUCCUGUCCAGCGAGGCACUGUUGCCAUGCAGAUCAUGACGCCAUCCACGACGGGUCGCCAGUACGGCCCGUAGGCGGCGGGCCCCUGUUGGAAAUAUGCCCUAGAGGCAAUAAUAAAAGUAUUAUUAUAUUUCAUUGUUCAUGAUAAUUGUCUUGUAUUCAUGCUAUAACUGUAUUAUCCGGAAAUCGUAAUACACGUGUGAAUACUUAGACCACACUAUGUCCCUGGUAAGCCUCUAGUUGACCAGCUCGUUGUGAUCAACAGAUAGUCAUGGUUUCCUGACUAUGGACAUUGGAUGUCAUUGAUAACGGGAUCACAUCAUUAGGAGAAUGAUGUGAUGGACAAGACCCAAUCCUAAGCAUAGCAUAAAAGAUCGUGUAGUUCGUUUUGCUAGAGCUUUGCAAGUGUCAAGUAUCUCUUCCUUCGACCAUGAGAUCGUGUAACUCCCGGAUACCGUAAGAAUGCCUUGGGUGUACCAAACGUCACAACGUAACUGGGUGACUAUAAAGGUACAUUACAGGUAUCUCCGAAAGUAGCUGUUGGGUUGACACGGAUCGAGACUGGGAUUUGUCACUCCGUAUGACGGAGAGGUAUCUCUGGGCCCACUCGGUAAUGCAUCAUCAUAAUGAGCUCAAUGUGACCAAGGUGUUGGACACGGGAUCAUGCAUUACGGCACGAGUAAAGUGACUUGCCGGUAACGAGACUGAACAAGGUAUUGGGAUGCCAACGAUCGAGUCUCGGGCAAGUAACGUACCGAUUGACAAAGGGAAUUGCAUACAGGGUUUUGAUCGAAUCCUCGACAUAGUGGUUCAUCCGAUGACAACAUCGAGGAGCAUGUGGGAGCCAUCAUGGGUAUCCAGAUCCCGCUGAUGGUUAUUGACUAAGAGAGUCUCGGUCAUGUCUACAUGUCUCCCGAACCCGUAGGGUCUACACACUUAAGGUUCAGUCACGCUAGGGUUGUAGGGAUAUGUAUAUGCAGUAACCCGAAUGUUGUUCGGAGUCCCGGAUGAGAUCCCGGACGUCACGAGGAGUUCCGGAAUGGUCCGGAGGUAAAUAUUUAUAUAUGGGAAGUCCUGUUUCGGGCAUCGGGACAAGUUUCGGGGUUAUCGGUAUUGUACCGGGACCACCGGAGGGGUCCCGGGGGCCCACCGGGUGGGGCCACCCAUCCCCGGGGGCCACAUGGGCUGUAGGGGGUGCGCCUUGGCCUACAUGGGCCAAGGGCACCAGCCCCACAAGGCCCAUGCGCCUAGGGUUCCAAAGGGGGAGGAGUCCUACUAGUGGAAGGCACCUCCUAGGUGCCUUGGGGGGGAGGGAAAACCCCCUAGGCCGCCGCACCCCCUAGGAGAUUGGAUCUCCUAGGGCCGGCCACCCCCCCUUGGCACCCCUAUAUAUAGUGGGGGGAGAGGAGGGACUUCAUACCUUGUGCCCUGGCCUUUGGUUGCCUCCUUCUCCCUCCCCAACACCUCCUCCAACUCCAUAGCGCUUAGCGAAGCUCUGCCGGAGUACUGCAGCUCCACCAACACCACGCCGUCGUGCUGCUGCUGGUGCCAUCUCCCUCAACCUCUCCUCCCUUCCUUGCUGGAUCAAGAAGGAGGAGACGUGGCUGAUCCGUACGUGUGUUGAACGCGGAGGUGCCGUCCGUUCGGCGCAGGUCAUCGGUGAUUUGGAUCACGUCGAGUACGACUACAUCAUCACCUUGCAAGCUUCCGCACGCGAUCUACAAGUGGUAUGUAGAUGCAAACUCUCUCCCUAGACUCGUUGCUUAGAUGAACUCAUAGAUGGAUCUUGGUGAAACCGUAGGAAAAAAUUUAAUUUUCUGCAACGUUCCCCAACAGUGGCAUCAUGAGCUAGGUUUAUGCGUAGUUCUCUUUGCACGAGUAGAACACAACUUUGUUGUGGGCGUGGAUUUUGUCAUCUUACUUGCCUCUACUAGUCUUUUCUUGCUCAACGGUAUUGUGGGAUGAAGCGGCCCGGACCAACCUUACACGUACACUUACGUGAGACCGGUUCCACCGACUGACAUGCACAAGUUGCAUACGGUGGCUGGCGGGUGUCUGUCUCUCCCACCUUAGUUGGAGCGGAAUCGAUGAACAGGGCCCUUAUGAAGGGUAAAUAGAAGUUGACAAAAUCACGUUGUGGUGAUUAGUAGGUAAGAAAACGUUCUUGCUAGAACCCAAUUGCAGCCACGUAAAAGAUGCAACAACAAUUAGAGGACGUCUAACUUGUUUUUGCAGCGAUUGAUCAUGUGAUGUGAUAUGGCCAGAAGUUGUGAUGAAUGAUGAAUUGUGAUGUAUGAGAUCAUGUUCUUUGUAAUAGGAUUCACGACUUGCAUGUCGAUGAGUAUGACAACCGGCAGGAGCCAUAGGAGUUGUCAUUAUUUUUUGUAUGACCUGCGUGUCAUUGAAUAACGUCAUGUAAACUACUUUACUUUAUUGCUAAACGUUAGUCAUAGAAGUAGAAGUAGUCGUUGGCGUGACAACUUCAUGAAGACACGAUGAUGGAGAUCAUGAUGAUGGAGAUCAUGGUGUCAAGCCGGUGACAAGAUGAUCAUGGAGACCCGAAGAUGAAGAUCAAUGGAGCUAUAUGAUAUUGGCCAUAUCAUGUCACAACUAUAUAAUUGCAUGUGAUGUUUAUUAUGUAUUAUGCAUCUUGUUUACUUAGGACGACGGUAGUAAAUAAGAUGAUCCCUUAUAAAAUUUCAAGAAGUGUUCUCCCCUAACUGUGCACCGUUGCUACAGUUCGUCGUUUCUAAGCACCACGUGAUGAUCGGGUGUGAUGGAUUCUUACGUUCACAUACAACGGGUGUAAGACAGUUUUACACAGCGAAAACACUUAGGGUUAACUUGACAAGCCUAGCAUGUGCAGACAUGGCCUCGGAACACGGAGACCGAAAGGUCGAACACGAGUCGUAUGGAAGAUACGAUCAACAUGAAAAUGUUCACCGAUGAUGACUAGUCCGUCUCACGUGAUGAUCGGACACGGACUAGUCGACUCGGAUCGUGUAACACUUAGAUGACCAAAGGGAUGUCUAAUCUAAGUGGGAGUUCAUAAUUUGAUUAGAACUUUAUUAUCAUGAACUUAGUCUAAAACCUUUGCAAAUAUGUCUUGUAGAUCAAUGGCCAACGCUAAUGUCAACAUGAACUUCAACGCGUUCCUAGAGAAAACCAAGCUGAAAGAUGAUGGCAGCAACUAUACGGACUGGGUCCGGAACCUGAGGAUCAUCCUCAUAGCUGCCAGGAAACAAUAUGUCCUAGAAGGACCGCUAGGUGACGCUCCCGUCCCAGAGAACCAAGACAUUAUGAAUGCUUGGCAGUCUCGCGCUGAUGAUUACUCCCUCGUUCAGUGCGGCAUGCUUUACAGCUUAGAACCGGGGCUCCAAAAACGUUUUGAGCAUCACGGAGCAUAUGAGAUGUUCGAAGAGCUGAAACUAGUUUUUCAAGCUCAUGCCCGGGUCGAGAGAUAUGAUGUCUCCGACAAGUUCUACAGUUGUAAGAUGGAGGAAAACAGUUCUGUCAGUGAGCACAUCCUGAAGAUGUCUGGGUUGCACAACCGUAUGACCCAGCUAAACAUUAACCUCCCAGAUGAGGCGGUCAUUGACAGAAUCCUCCAGUCGCUCUCACCAAGCUACAAGAGCUUUGUGAUGAACUACAACAUGCAAGGAAUGGAAAAGACCAUUCCUGAAUUGUUCUCGAUGCUGAAGUCAGCAGAGGCUGAAAUCAAGAAAGAACAUCAAGUGUUGAUGGUCAAUAAGACCACUAAGUUCAAGAAGGGCAAGGGUAAGAAGAACUUCAAGAAGGACGGCAAAGAUGUUGCCGCGCCUGGUAAGCCAGUUACCGGGAAGAAGUCAAAGAAUGGACCCAAGCCUGAGACUGAGUGCUUUUAUUGCAAGGGGAAGGGUCACUGGAAGCGGAACUGCCCCAAAUACUUAGCGGAUAAGAAGGCCGGCAACACCAAAGGUAUAUUUGAUAUACAUGUGAUUAAUGUGUACCUUACCAGUAAUCGUAGUAACUCCUGGGUAUUUGAUACCGGUGCCGUUGCUCAUAUUUGUAACUCACAGCAGGAGCUGCGGAAUAAACGGAGACUGGCAAAGGACGAGGUGACGAUGCGCGUCGGGAAUGGUUCCAAAGUCGAUGUGAUCGCCGUCGGCACGCUGCCUCUACAUUUACCUACGGGAUUAGUUUUGAACCUCAAUAAUUGUUAUUUAGUGCCAAGUUUGAGCAUGAACAUUGUAUCUGGAUCUCGUUUAAUACGAGAUGGCUACUCAUUUAAGUCUGAGAAUAAUGGUUGUUCGAUUUAUAUGAGAGAUAUGUUUUAUGGUCAUGCUCCGAUGGUCAAUGGUUUAUUCUUAAUGAAUCUCGAGCGUAAUAUUACACAUGUUCAUAGUGUAGAUGCCAAAAGAUUUAAAGUUGAUAACGAUAGUCCCACAUACUUGUGGCACUGCCGCCUUGGUCACAUUGGUGUCAAGCGCAUGAAGAAGCUCCAUGCAGAUGGACUUUUAGAGUCUCUUGAUUAUGAAUCAUUUGACACGUGCGAACCAUGCCUCUUAGGUAAAAUGACCAAGACUCCGUUCUCCGAAACAAUGGAGCGAGCAACCAACUUGUUGGAAAUCAUACAUACCGAUGUGUGCGGUCCAAUGAGCGUUGAGGCUCGCGGAGGAUAUCGUUAUGUUCUCACUCUCACAGAUGACUUGAGUAGAUAUGGGUAUGUCUACUUAAUGAAACACAAGUCUGAGACUUUUGAAAAGUUCAAGGAAUUUCAGAAUGAGGUGGAGAAUCAACGUGACCGAAAGAUAAAAUUCUUACGAUCAGAUCAUGGAGGAGAAUACUUAAGUCACGAAUUUGGUACACACUUAAAGAAAUGUGGAAUCGUUUCACAGCUCACGCCGCCUGGAACACCUCAGCGAAACGGUGUGUCCGAACGUCGUAAUCGCACUCUAUUGGAUAUGGUGCGGUCUAUGAUGUCUCUUACCGAUUUACCGCUAUCAUUUUGGGGAUACGCUCUAGAGACAGCUACAUUCACUUUAAAUAGGGCACCGUCUAAAUCCGUUGAGACGACACCGUAUGAAUUAUGGUUUGGAAAGAAACCUAAGCUGUCGUUUCUAAAAGUUUGGGGAUGCGAAGCUUAUGUCAAGAAACUUCAACCUGAAAAGCUCGAACCCAAGUCGGAAAAAUGCGUAUUCAUAGGAUACCCUAAGGAAACUAUAGGGUAUACCUUCUACUUAAGAUCCGAAGGCAAGAUCUUUGUUGCCAAGAACGGGUGCUUUCUGGAAAAAGAGUUUCUCUCGAAAGAAGUAAGUAGGAGGAAAGUAGAACUCGAUGAAGUACUACCUCUUGAGCGGGAUAGUGACGCAGCACAGGAAACCAUUCCUGUGAUGCCCACACCAACUGAAGAGGAAAACCAUGAUAAUGAUCAAGGUACUUCGGAUCAAGUUACUGCUGAACUUCGUAGGUCCACAAGGACACGUUCCGCACCAGAGUGGUACGGCAACCCUGUCCUGGAAAUCAUGUUGUUAGACAACAAUGAACCUUCGAACUAUGAAGAAGCAAUGACGGGCCCAGAUUCCAACAAAUGGCUUGAAGCCAUGAAAUCCGAGAUAGAAUCCAUGUAUGAAAACAAAGUAUGGACUUUGACAGACUUGCCCGAUGAUCGGCGAGCGAUAGAAAACAAAUGGAUCUUUAAGAAGAAGACGGACGCGGAUGGUAAUGUUACCAUCUAUAAAGCUCGACUUGUCGCUAAGGGUUAUCGACAGGUUCAAGGGAUUGACUACGACGAGACAUUCUCUCCCGUAGCGAAGCUAAAGUCCGUCCGAAUCAUGUUAGCAAUUGCCGCAUACUAUGAUUAUGAGAUAUGGCAGAUGGACGUCAAAACAGCAUUCCUUAACGGGCAUCUUAAGGAAGAACUGUAUAUGAUACAGCCGGAAGGUUUUUUCGAUCCUCAGAACGCUAACAAAGUAUGCAAGCUCCAGCGAUCCAUUUAUGGACUGGUGCAAGCAUCUCGGAGUUGGAACAUUCGCUUUGAUGAGAUGAUCAAAGCGUUUGGGUUUAUGCAGACUUAUGGAGAAGCCUGCGUUUACAAGAAAGUGAGUGGGAGCUCUGUAGCAUUUCUCAUAUUAUAUGUAGAUGACAUACUCCUGAUGGGAAAUAAUAUAGAAUUUCUGGACAGCAUUAAGGCCUACUUGAAUAAGUGUUUUUCAAUGAAGGACCUUGGAGAAGCUGCUUAUAUAUUAGGCAUCAAGAUCUAUAGAGAUAGAUCGAGACGCCUCAUAGGUCUUUCACAAAGUACAUACCUUGAUAAGAUUUUGAAGAGAUUCAGAAUGGAUCAGUCCAAGAAGGGGUUCUUGCCUAUGUUACAAGGUAUGAGACUGAGCUCAGCUCAGUCACCGACCACGGCAAAAGAUAAAGAAGAGAUGAGUGUCAUCCCCUAUGCUUCAGCCAUAGGAUCUAUUAUGUAUGCCAUGCUGUGUACCAGACCCGAUGUAAACCUUGCCGUAAGUUUGGUAGCAAGAUACCAAAGUAAUCCCGGCAAGGAACACUGGACAGCGGUCAAGAAUAUCCUGAAGUACCUGAAAAGGACAAACGACAUGUUUCUCGUUUAUGGAGGAGACGAAGAGCUCGUCGUAAAGGGUUACGUCGACGCUAGCUUCGACUCAGAUCCGGAUGACUCUAAGUCACAAACCAGAUACGUGUAUAUAUUGAAUGGUGGAGCAGUAAGCUGGUGCAGCUGCAAGCAGAGCGUCGUGGCGGGAUCUACGUGUGAAGCGGAGUACAUGGCAGCCUCGGAGGCAGCACAUGAAGCGAUUUGGGUGAAGGAGUUCAUCACCGACCUAGGAGUCAUACCCAAUGCGUCGGGGCCGAUCAAACUCUUCUGUGACAACACUGGAGCUAUUGCCCUCGCAAAGGAGCCCAGGUUUCACAAGAAGACCAGGCACAUCAAGCGUCGUUUCAACUCCAUCCGUGAAAAUGUUCAAGAUGGAGACAUAGAGAUUUGCAAAGUACACACGGAUCUGAAUGUCGCAGAUCCGCUGACUAAACCUCUCUCGCGUGCAAAACAUGAUCAACACCAGAACUCUAUGGGUGUUCGAUUCAUCACAAUGUAACUAGAUUAGUGACUCUAGUGCAAGUGGGAGACUGUUGGAAAUAUGCCCUAGAGGCAAUAAUAAAAGUAUUAUUAUAUUUCAUUGUUCAUGAUAAUUGUCUUGUAUUCAUGCUAUAACUGUAUUAUCCGGAAAUCUUAAUACACGUGUGAAUACUUAGACCACACUGUGUCCCUGGUAAGCCUCUAGUUGACCAGCUCGUUGUGAUCAACAGAUAGUCAUGGUUUCCUGACUAUGGACAUUGGAUGUAGUUGAUAACGGGAUCACAUCAUUAGGAGAAUGAUGUGAUGGACAAGACCCAAUCCUAAGCAUAGCAUAAAAGAUCGUGUAGUUCGUUUUGCUAGAGCUUUGCAAGUGUCAAGUAUCUCUUCCUUCGACCAUGAGAUCGUGUAACUCCCGGAUACCGUAAGAAUGCCUUGGGUGUACCAAACGUCACAACGUAACUGGGUGACUAUAAAGGUACAUUACAGGUAUCUCCGAAAGUAGCUGUUGGGUUGACACGGAUCGAGACUGGGAUUUGUCACUCCGUAUGACGGAGAGGUAUCUCUGGGCCCACUCGGUAAUGCAUCAUCAUAAUGAGCUCAAUGUGACCAAGGUGUUGGACACGGGAUCAUGCAUUACGGCACGAGUAAAGUGACUUGCCGGUAACGAGACUGAACAAGGUAUUGGGAUACCGACGAUCGAGUCUCGGGCAAGUAACGUACCGAUUGACAAAGGGAAUUGCAUACAGGGUUUUGAUCGAAUCCUCGACAUAGUGGUUCAUCCGAUGACAACAUCGAGGAGCAUGUCGGAGCCAUCAUGGGUAUCCAGAUCCCGCUGAUGGUUAUUGACUAAGAGAGUCUCGGUCAUGUCUACAUGUCUCCCGAACCCGUAGGGUCUACACACUUAAGGUUCAGUCACGCUAGGGUUGUAGGGAUAUGUAUAUGCAGUAACCCGAAUGUUGUUCGGAGUCCCGGAUGAGAUCCCGGACGUCACGAGGAGUUCCGGAAUGGUCCGGAGGUAAAGAUUUAUAUAUGGGAAGUCCUGUUUCGGGCAUCGGGACAAGUUUCGGGGUUAUCGGUAUUGUACCGGGACCACCGGAGGGGUCCCGGGGGCCCACCGGGUGGGGCCACCCAUCCCCGGGGGCCACAUGGGCUGUAGGGGGUGCGCCUUGGCCUACAUGGGCCAAGGGCACCAGCCCCACAAGGCCCAUGCGCCUAGGGUUCCAAAGGGGGAGGAGUCCUACUAGUGGAAGGCACCUCCUAGGUGCCUUGGGGGGGAGGGAAAACCCCCUAGGCCGCCGCACCCCCUAGGAGAUUGGAUCUCCUAGGGCCGGCCACCCCCCCUUGGCACCCCUAUAUAUAGUGGGGGGAGAGGAGGGACUUCAUACCUUGUGCCCUGGCCUUUGGUUGCCUCCUUCUCCCUCCCCAACACCUCCUCCAACUCCAUAGCGCUUAGCGAAGCUCUGCCGGAGUACUGCAGCUCCACCAACACCACGCCGUCGUGCUGCUGCUGGUGCCAUCUCCCUCAACCUCUCCUCCCUUCCUUGCUGGAUCAAGAAGGAGGAGACGUGGCUGAUCCGUACGUGUGUUGAACGCGGAGGUGCCGUCCGUUCGGCGCAGGUCAUCGGUGAUUUGGAUCACGUCGAGUACGACUACAUCAUCACCUUGCAAGCUUCCGCACGCGAUCUACAAGUGGUAUGUAGAUGCAAACUCUCUCCCUAGACUCGUUGCUUAGAUGAACUCAUAGAUGGAUCUUGGUGAAACCGUAGGAAAAAUUUUAAUUUUCUGCAACGUUCCCCAACAGCCCCUUCGGUCAGAGAGACAUCCGAAGGCGGCCUGACCUCCCCCAGCCGGCCUGAGGCCAGGCCGGCUUCCUAUAGCCGGCUUGCUCCCCUCCUCGGGGCGCACGCACCAUUAAGCAGACAAGACGAGGUAAGGCUACAGUGAGAGCCCGCAAGGCGGCGACACUGUAGCCAUGCUUACCUCGACAAAGCCCUCGUCAUCAGGGGCGAGGCAACAGUAACCAGCCCCCGACAAGAUCCCCCAAGCGGUGGGGCCGGCCUGUCGACCAAUGGGCCGGCAGCCGGCGGGACCCACCAGUCGGCGGGCCCCAGUAGCCGGCGGAGAAGCCGGCGGUCGUAGACGCUGACGGCCUGGACUCACGCCCAGCCGGAUUACCAUUGUACCCGGGGGGUAGGCCUAUAUAAACCCCCCGGGACACCCAUGCAAAGGAUUGAUCUCAUAGAGUUUUAGACACUACCAUAGGGAGAGAAGAGAGCUAGCCUUGCCCUUCUUCCUCCUCCCACCGAACAGCUCAAGGAGCCUCUUGUAGCUUCUUAUCGAUCUAGUGAUCAUGCGGAGACCCCGCAAAGCAGGAGUAGGGGUAUUAUCUCCACGGAGAGCCCCCAACCUGGGUAAGAUCCGCCGGCGUGCAUGUCUUCGCCUUAUCCCGUUUCCAGGCACCGGCGAUGUCUUACUGGCUCCCACAAUGAUAAGCCAUCCGUUGGCAUAUGUCGCACCUGCCACCCGACAGCGACUUAGUUUUGGGGAAAUCUUAUUUUACGAAGUACGUACCCACUAGGGUUUAUAGGGCACAUCUAAAAAACAUUCAUUUUUCUGUUUUAUAAGUCUCAAUUCUACUACUACUAGUAGUAGUAGUAGUACCAUCACAUGUUGGAUUUCGAGGUGCGUUAGAUCACCCGAUGCAAGCAGUGUCAAGAGAAAACUCACCAAUGCAUGUAGAAGUUCAUGGAAAUUAGUGGGCAUUCAUGCAUUCGUUCUAACUAAUGCCUCGGUAAACAUAAUUUCUUGAGAAAAACGAGCGUACUAAUUACUUGUGCAAACUACGAAAUUAAUUCCACCACUCACCGUCUACCUUGGUUGGAGAGAUUUUGAAAUUGAGCCAUAAACUAGAAAGGAGGGAGUAGUAACUUUUGUCUCGAUUACUAUUUUUGGCCUUGUAUAGAUGCAAAAUGUAUUUUUUAUAGUGGCCUUGUAUAAGUAAAUGGAGGGAGUACUAAAUGACAUAUAUAUUCCAAACAAUAUGAUAAUCUCUCUAACCAAGGUAGGGACGAGGAGUAAACGGAGGGAGUAGUAAAAUUUUCUCCUCGUCCUGUGAGCCACCGCGCGCGUGGGCGAGUGAGCGGGUGUAAGGCGUACAAUACUAGGAGUACUAGUAAGCAAGCUUCACCUCAUCCUGUGAGCCACCACGCCCAUGGGCGGGGGAGACGGCGUACUAAGCAAGCUUCUCCUUGUUCUGCGAGUUGACGGGACACAUCGAAAGAACUCCAGUGUAUAGAACCUUGCCUCUAAGGUAGGCCCCACAUGGUUUGCCUCUUUUUUAACAUAACGCAUCAAGUUGAAAUUUGUUUGUUCACUCGUGGUAGACGAUCCUCCCUCCAUCAAGUGGACAACCAGUACACGUGUCAAAUUACCACGUGGGCUGCCUUUUCAUAUAGAAAUGAGCUCCACCGUGUACCCGUGCGGGUGUGGUUGGGAAAGAGACGGGAGUACGUGCACCGUGCGUGUACCUCUUCUCUUCGUGCACGUCCCCCACCUACGUGGGUGUGUGAUAGAGAGAUACAGACCUAGACAUAAUGCGCCAUCCAUCCCCAUGCCUCCGCCCAGUCCGACCACCAGUCACCACCACGCGCCACUCCUCCUCACCUUAUCUCUCAUCUUUCUCCCUCCAUUUUUAUAUACAAGGCCACUAUCAAUAUUUACAAUUUGCAGAUAUACAAGGUCACUAACACUAAUCGACGCAAUAUUAAUGGUGUUUGCCUCAUAGUACUAGCAAAGGAGGACAUUAAUUAUCCCGUGCAUGCAUGUGGGAGUGUGAGCAUUGGCUUGAUGUGCAUGAAAGAGAAGAAUACACAUUAAUUUACACGGCAAUCAAGGAAACAAGGUGGAUUGCAACAUUGACUUAGAAGACAUUAAUUUUUGCCUUGGUACCUGUAAUAUGGGUUCGUGGCCUUGUAUACAAAAAUGGAGUCCGGUAAAAUUCUCAAGAUACCAUUUUUCCGAUAAAAUUCUCGAGAUAUCAUUAGUUUUUACAAAUGGGAUUACUCCUGCAUGGGUCAAUCACAACAGGUGUUUUGUAAAAAAAAUACAUCUUGAUGUUCCGUGCAAUGCACGGGCAUCUUGCUAGUCCAUGAAAACAACACAUGGCAAAAUUCGACAGUGAACGAGGGAUUGGAAUCUGCUUGGAGGGGAUGUUUGGAUCUUGCCCGGGGUAGCCAAAAUAUUGGCGACCCUUUUGUCCACCGGUGCCUUUGCCACCAAUGAACGAGGAAUGGCUCGGGUGCUCAUGCAUCCUCCAGCGUGCAUGUUGGAGACGAGCUCGCAUGAGCUGUGUUUCUUUUGUCCCACCACGCUGCCCGAGCCGCCCGUAGAGCGAACGGUGACCCACAAAUUACGCCAUCCAACUGUAGCCGCACACAAACCGGACGAAAUUCAUGCAAACACGGAGAUAUUUCAUAUAAACAACGAUGAAAAUCAUAUAAAAUACCAGAUUUUCAUACAAACAUGACGGAUUUUAUUACAUUCAAAUGAACUAUGCGGUGCUAGUUCUGGACAGCAUAGGUAUAUAAUACCUGGCCUAAAUGGUCGCCCGCCGAUCCAUUUGUGUUCGUCAUGUCCGGCAACACGAUCACCGGACUGCCGGGAGCCCCGGAGGUAUAUGCUUCAGCGCAAAGGAGUGCUUGCUUCCCCACUGCCCAACUAAUAUCAUUGGCCGAUGCCGAAGAUGAUGGUGGAAGGGGGCUUCCCCGCUUCCGUGGAGCCCAUGCGGGGUCGACAAAGGUCCUCGCAACAAAAGGAUCCGGCAAGACACUUGUUGUGUAUGCCGGCGUCGCCUCCGUGAUGGCCUUCAUGGGACCCAAGCGGCGGCGGCCUCCCGUGUUCUACUUCUCCUCGAUGAUGGCCGCGGACGCGGAGGCGCUGGCCACCGAAUCGUCGCUCUCCGCGCACCCGACUUCUGUCGCUGCUUGCAUGGCACGACCGCCGGCAUGGGGUAUCGGCCACAAAAACGGGAGACGCGGUAUGAGGCGUCGGCUUGGACGGCAGCAACAACGCUCAUGUGUCGCUCCUCGUCGAGCUGGCCUGGAGCGGCGAGUUGCUGAACCGCGCGCUAGCUUGGGGCGGCAAUUGGCUCCAUCGGGCGAGGGGAGGGAGAUGGAUCAACAAGCUACGUAGCUCAUAUCCGGCGGGCUCGGCGGGCCACCCAGCCGGCUUGGAUGCGGGAUAACUACUCUUCGUAAGCCAUUGUAAGAGUGGACAAAAUGGUGAAGGAGGAGAUAGGGGAGCGGUGGAGGUGUGUGAUUCUUGGCUAGCGCUUGGCCUUGUUUAAAUAGGAUAUUAAAUAGACGGCGGGCGGGAGGAGCUCGGUCGGUGUUGCGUUUAAUGCCAGCCCGGUCAUGAACGGACGUGUGUACAGAUUGGGUUUCUCGGCUUCCACACGGCGGGUUUCAUGGAGGCAUUUGAAUGCGGCAAGGAGGCGUGUUCAGCCGGGCGUGCAGUGAGUGGCGCCCUCGACUCUGACGUACAACACCGCGCUGUUCUUCCACUGACCUGUGGGCUCUUUGGGUACAUGGCCUGCAUGUCAAUGACCCAACGCAGGCAGCGCACAGUAGAGGAACUUUUGGUGGGCUAGGGCGGUCAGAAGCGGGCAUUUCAUAAACCGAUGAUUGUUCAUUGAGUGUGACGUCAUUUAUUUCAUGUAGAUAAGCCUGUUCGAUACGUUGUGAUUCAUAAAGACUGCUGCAAACAUCAAUGUUCUGCUUAUCAUAGAUAAGAUUGAUUAAUACCCGUAACAAUCCAUGUCCUUAACAAAGGGUGCAUGCACAUAUAGGUUGAGCGUGUGUCAUGCGUCAUGUGUUGUGUGCAUGGUGGCGUGCGAGUGUUGCGUGCAUGCAAGGGUACAUUUCAGUGUUGCAUGCAUGUGUGCGUACGUGCGUGUGUUCGUGAGUGCAUGUGUACGUGUCAGUGCUGCACGCAUGCAUGCGUGCGUGUCUUCGUUAUGUGUAUGUGUCAGUGUUGCAUGCCUGCAUGCGUGUGUGUCUUGCGUGCGUGCAUGUGUACGUGCGGGGUGAGGCUACACGUCAGUCGACUGACUAUUUCAUCUCUGGUCAUUAGAUUUUCCAGCCGUUGGAUACGAAAUCAAGGGCCUGCAGUUUAUCUUCAAACUCCACCCCCCUAAGCCGCCAACCACCACCGGCCGAACCGCUGGCCCACGCUGCCCACGGCCAGCCCGCGCCGCCACGCCGCCCCGUCCGCCCCGAAACAACUCCUCACCGCUGGUCUGCCGCUGCACCGGCCAUCCCUCUAGCCCCCCCCUCGCGCCGAGCUUUUUCUCCGACGAUCCCCAUGCCAUCGCCCAAUCACCACCACCCCUCCCCCCACCACCAGCGACUGCUAACCAGAGGUCUCACGACUUCAAAUACCCACCGACCACUAAUUUAUUACCAUUUCUGUCCUUCAUAUAUGCGCUGACGGGUGGGCCCUAUGGUAAUGUGCCUUGUUGAAUGUGGACCGUUUGACUGGUCAAUUGAUCGCGUCAUCAACAAAUUACGGAGCUGUAUGGUGAGCCAGUGACCGUAUGAUCACCCUAAAAUGUAUUUUAUUAACACACUAUAGACUCAAACUACCAUUUCUUUCUUUCAUAUACGGGCUGACAGGUGGGGCCCCACGGUUAUGCGCCCCGACAACACUAGUUGCGCCACAUGGAAUGUUUGACUGGUCAAUUGACUGUGUCAUCAACGAAAUAUGGAGUUUUGUGGGUGAGCCAGUGACCCUAUAAUCAUGACAUGUAUUUUUUUAACACGGUACAGACGCAAGGGCUCAUAUAUACGUGCAAGCACUCACCCGUAUAAGCACACACAUGCAGACCCUACCCCCAUGAGCACCUUCGAGAGAGUGAGCCAGCAUAUGAUCUUGAGAUUUUACAAACUCACCAUAGGUGCCUCAUAGUCGAGUGGAACGUCUCCUCCCACUGAACGCACGUCGCCGAAAAAUACUGAAACUAACCCAGGAUAAAUGCGAGCAGCGGGACUUUAACCCUGGUGGGCUCAAGAAACCACUGUCCUCCUAACCAUCCAACCACAUGUUGGUUAGCAUGACAAAAUGUAUGUGCUGACCGUGAUGAGCUUAUUCUGAAGUCCAGUGACCAUAUCGUGCAUUCGCUUCAAAUACAAUGACUGUAAGUGUCGUCAACAAAAUACAGAGCACUAGUCAAAUGCAAAGUCCGUUAGUGUCAUCAACAAAAUACGGAGACGUAUCGUGAGCUAGAUACCGUAUGAUCACCACGAGAAUGUAUACGGUUACCGUAAUGAGCAUAUUCUGAAGUCCAGAGACCGUAUAGUGCUUUAGCUUGAAAUACAGUUACCGUCACACGUAAAUGUGUCGUGGGCAUGCAUACUUUUAGAGGGCCGAGAGAUAGUUUGUGUGCGUACGUGAAAGUGGUGUAGAAAGAGGGGGUGUCCGAUGGAGACAAGGAGAGAUAUGCCCUUCGUUUCUCUUUCCCGUGACUAAUAUUUUAGGAGAAUAUAUAAACAUACACAAUGCAGAACAAAUAUUUUCGGAUGCACCAUGCAAUUAACUUUCAUGUAUAACAUUGUACUAUUAUAUAUGCUCAUUUUCUUAGUGGCCGAUUGCAUGUGUGGUGUGGUGGGCACAUCAUUUCUAGUUUUGGCGGGUCAACAUGAGGACUCAUGGGUCGGUUCCAUCCUGCGCCACAUAGGUUGGACCGAGACGCGUUAUAUGAAGACCCAUGUGGAGGACUCGGCGUACAACAUGAAGCUACCAGUGUCGUGGAGGACUCUAUCCCCACUGGUGAUAAGCCGACUAUAUAUGAUUUGUAACCCUAGGCCCCGAGUAUGCUAUAGAAGCUUGGGGGCUAGUUCGUUGAUAGUAUACACACACGCACAAUGCAUGGUAUUCACGUGUACUUUGUACACACCCCUAUCACUAAUAUACAGUACCAAUAGUAGGCUUUUUCCUCAACUGCAAGGGUCCGAACUAGGGUAAAACUUUGCCUCGUAUUACCAUCCAGCCUAACAAUCAGGGAUAUCCUACCGAAUGAUAUGAUGGAAUCAUAUCUGCCAACUANNNNNNNNNNNNNNNNNNNNNNNNNNNNNNNNNNNNNNNNNNNNNNNNNNNNNNNNNNNNNNNNNNNNNNNNNNNNNNNNNNNNNNNNNNNNNNNNNNNNNNNNNNNNNNNNNNNNNNNNNNNNNNNNNNNNNNNNNNNNNNNNNNNNNNNNNNNNNNNNNNNNNNNNNNNNNNNNNNNNNNNNNNNNNNNNNNNNNNNNNNNNNNNNNNNNNNNNNNNNNNNNNNNNNNNNNNNNNNNNNNNNNNNNNNNNNNNNNNNNNNNNUGUGCGAGAGAGGCCUAAAGGUAAUGUGCGUGCAGGAGACACGUAGGCAUAUAUAUGUGCGUAUAGAGGGCUAGUAGAUACCGUGCGCGUAUAUAUAUGCAUGUGAGAGAAAUAGUGUUUUCCAACUGAGAUUAGUGAAAAGAGUGGUACAUAGUAGUCAGAAAGAGAAAGAGAGAGAUAUAGAGAGAGCAUGUGCGUGAGACACCCCGAGAGAGAUUGUGAGCAUGUGUGAAAGAGAAAUGCCGAUGCAUAUAAAGUGUGUGCACUUAUGCGUUGGAUAGAGAGAUAUAUAGCGCAUUUGUGAGAACGGGCCGAGGCAUACUGCAUCUAUGUGUAAAAGGCGGUUCUACACAUUAAAUUAAAUAUAAAUGGCAUUAUUAUUUUUGGAUGAGAUCAUGAAUUUUGCAAAUUGCGUAUGGACGAAAAUCGAUCUAUGAGUCACCCAUACUCUACUGAACUCUAGCAUGUGCAUGUGUUUAUUUCAUAUUAUCGAUCCAUAGAGUGAGAGCAGUUUGAAAUACAUGCAGUGGAUUGCUUUUGCCAUUCAUAUAUAAACAUUAAUUAGUGCACUCCAUGUUGUUAGUGUGAAGCACUUUAUACAUUUGUCACUUGCAUGGAUACAUUCCAAAUUGCUAGCUACGAAAUAGAAUACAUGUUGAAUUCAACAUAAAGGGGGUUUCGAAGAUUCGAAUUCAUAGGGAGUCCAUUCAUCUAUUUGAACCCGAGAUAAUGGCAUUUCUAAAUCAGAUCUAAAAGGGGGCAUCAUCUUUGUUGUGCGUUUGAACAUGCUAUAUAUUCAUACGCAUGUCUAACUAUUUUUUUUUUGCAACCAAGAAGAUUAUAUCUGGAACCAUGCAUGAACUGAGGUAAGUUGCAUAUUUUUUAAUAUAUACUCCUGUACAAUGUAUAUUCAAAUGUACCCCCUCCAUUCCAAAAUAAUCUAGCUUUAGGAUUUUCAAGAGUAAAGAUUUGUGAAGUUUGACAAAUCCUGAAAGUUCAAUUCAAGAGAACCGAAAACGUUAAUGCUUCUGCUCCCAAAUAUUGAACGAAGUGCCAAAUAAGCCUCUGGUCACCCGAAACCGUGCGAGACUAAUGUUUGGUGGUAGGAAAUUACUGUCCUGACUCUGGCCCGUGUAGCUUAUCAUCCCGAUGUCCAAAGGUCUAAACCGGGGUAGGUUUGUAACUUCACCAAGAUGCCAGUCUCAACCGCCUCCGAGAAGCAUUCAUACGCCGUGGGUGCCUAAACACCCAUGCGCUCGGCCGAAAUCUAUCCCACCCACAUUUGGGACACCUGAGAUUACUGUCCUACCCCCAACCCGCAAUAUGUACGAAAUUUUAGAUGGGGGAAAAGUUUGUAACUUUCCCCAAAUUUCAAACAAGCACGUCCCAAACCGAAACAUUGUUCCCCCUUAGUUCUCCCCUCCCUCCGUUUCCCCAUUCAUACUCCAUGGGCGCCAAAACGCCCUCUCCACCAGCCGCGAAACCCCAGCCUCCUCCGUCCUCCACCCCAUAGCGCCCAAUCCACCGCCGCCCUCCUCCAUCACACCGGAGGAGGUACCCCGACGUAAUCGUCCAAUGCAACUGCAACCGCAACGCCCUCAAGGACUUAGCAGCUGAAGCCGAGGCAGAGCUGCCUCCACGAUGUCGACGCCGAUGUGCGCCGUACCAGAACCACUCCGACCAUGCCGUCCUGCGCCUCACCGCUGCCGCUCCACUGUCGCAACCGUCCACCGCACCAGAGUUGUUCCUGCUACGCCAUUGUUCGCCGCCUCGGAUUUGGUUCCCCACCGCCGACAAACGGCCACCGCACCACACUGAACAACUUGGCCAUGGGUUCGUCCAAGGCUCCACCGUCCUCCACAACUUCUCGCUUCCAGUGAACCACAAGAAGAUCAUUGGAAAAACAGAAGGAGGACACAGCACUGCCAGUAGAAAGAGGUACUCCUCUUCCCUUAUUCAUGCAAAUCUUAUGUCUCUACUCACACCGUAUUCAUCCCAUGAAAGAAACUAGUCGAGCGCUUCUUACUGCAUCUUCUUCAUGAUACUAAAUGCACAAGGUUUCCUCCCUUUACUAUUUCACAUUUGCUAGAGGUCAGUAGCCCGCCUGGAUUUCAAUUUAGGGUCAAUCAAACCGCAAUUAAAAUAAGCAUCACUUGCUUAGGCUCGCAGAGCACCUAGUCCGUCUGUUCGUCGGGGAAGUGGCGCAUCAGUGUCUAUCAUAGGGGUGUGGGGUGCAGGAGCUGCUUGCGCCCGAUCUGGAGGUCGGUGGGGCUUGAAUGGAUGGCCGAGGGGUGGUGCCAUGCACGGCGGUGUGGUGAGGUCGAGGGGAGGGCGCAGGCAGGGGACUGGGCCGGUGGUCGUUGGCGUUUCGAGGAAGAUCGUCAACACUGACUGGCUGGAGGUAGAUGAAGGUGAUCUGCCCAUUCUUUGUACAUCAUAUGGUGCAGAAAAAAUGGACUGACCUAUUUGUUUUCAGUCGACUGUUAUUUUCAUAAAAUCAUGUAGUAAUUUAGUGUGCCAUGCAAGUUGUAGAGCUAUCAUAUGUCUCCCAUCAUUUAUUUCUCACCGACCUGCUAUCUGCUACCUUUACACUGUACUAAUUCUGCACACACUUCACCCAUACUCACACUAUUGUUUUUUUAUGCAUGGGUAUUUGAGAGUCUGACAUAGUGUUGAUGAAUGCAGAAAAUAAAAGACAAGAAGUCUCUCCAGUGUAAUUAGAAGAUAAGCACUAAGCGUUUCAGCGCUCUAAAGGGUGCGGUGUCAACAGUUGGAGACAGUAAACAUAGCUCCGUAGUUGAUGAUCUCAAUUGCCACACACAACCAUCCCAGGUGCUUACUUUAACUUCACGCUGUCAAAUGUGGUUGCAUGUUGCAUAUGGUGUCUAGCUUGUAUUGCUUCCAAUUUGGUUAAAUUGCAUCUGCUUACUUUACACAUUAUACCUUUGAUAAUGACAUGCCUUCCUGUUUUUGAUACAUACUACAUAUGUCUAUUAACCAUGUUCGUACAUCAAACUAAUGCUCUUUUGUAUCCCUCAUCAAUCACUUAUGAUGAGACAAUCACCCCAGUGGGUUACUGUGAGAUGCCCUACUCGUUUAAAGAGUGCAGUAUCAUCCUCCCCACAUGAUUCUCAAGAAACAGCAAGGCUAAAUGAACAUAGUCAACGUAGCUCUCUAGUUGAUGACUGCAAUUCCCCCACAUCACCAUCGCAGGUGCUUGCUCUUACUUGGCAGUGUGAUAUGUGGUUGCAUGUUGCAUAUGGUGUCUACCUUGUAAUGCUUCUAAUUAGGGUAAAUUGCAUCUGCUUAGUUAACACAUUAUACCUGUGAAUAUGACAUGCCUUCCUAUUUUUGGUACAUACUACAUCUUUCUAUUAACCAUGUUCUUACAUCAAACUACUUUUCUUGUGUAUCCCUCAUCAAUCACUUCUGACGAUACACCUUCAAGUUGAUAGUGUAAUAUUGGUUGCAUCAUGCAUAUCAUUUCAAACAUGUAUUGCCUCUAAUUUGUUGAAGUGCCACUUAUAAUGAGACACAUCUAACUUGGUAGAGUGAUUUUGGUUGAAUCUUUCAUAUGGUGUCUAGAUUGCAUUGCUUUCAAUUUGUUGAAAUGCCUUCUGCUUAGUGUUUUUCAUACAUAUUCCAUCCUCCUACAAUGUGGUUGCCAUACAUAAAAGUUGAGUUCGUCAGUAUCAUGCAUCAACGAAUUUGGAAGUGCGAAUUUCAUUCCUUUUUCAUAUGUGUUUACUUGACAAGGCAAAAUCUGAAAGGACGAAGGCACGGAAUGAUGGUGGUCCUAUGUAGCAACCGAAACAGAUGAUCUCUGUCGAUUCUCCUGCUACUUGUACUGCAGUGCAAGUUCCAAAUACUAUUCUUGUGUAUCCUGCAUCUAUCGCUUAUGAUGAGACAGUCACGCCCGUGGGUUAGUAUGAGACGCGCUACUCUUAUAAAGAAUGCAGUUUCAUCCUCUCCACAUGAUUCUCAAGAAACAGCAAGCCUAAAUGAAGAUAUUGAACGUAGCUCUGUACUUGAAAACCGCACUUCCCCUACACACAGUGUGAUAUGUGGUUGCAUGUUGCAUACGAUGUCUAGAUUGUAAUGCUUCUAAUUAGGGUAAAUUGCAUCUGCUUAGUUUACACAUUAUACCUGUGAAUAUGACAUGCCUUCCUAUGUUUGGUACACACUACAUCUAUGUGUUAACCUUGUUCUUACAUGAAACUACCUCUCUUCUGUAUCCUGCAUCAAUCACUUAUGAUAAGUCACCUUUAUUCGUUGCAUAUUGCAUAUUAUUUCUAACCUGUUGCCAUGUAUUGCUUCUAAUUUGGUCAAAUACAUUUGUUAGGGCACCCUUUUAAUUUGGCAGAGUGAUAUUGGUUUCGUCUUUCAUAUGGUUUCUAGCUUGCAUUGAUUCUAACAAGUUCAAACAGCUUGUGCUUAGUUUACACUUUAUACAUCAUACAUGUCAAUAUGUCACACCGUCCUGUUUUUCAUACAUAUUCCAUCCUCCUAUCAUGCGGAUGCCUUACAUCAAAGUAGUGUUCAUCAGUAUCAUGCAUCAAUGAGUUCUGAAGAGCAAAUUUUAUUCCUUUUUCUUGUGGGUUUGACUUGACAAGGCAAAAUCAAGAAAGAGGAAGGAAAAGAGUAAGGAAGGCGAUGAUGGUGGUCCUCUGCAGGAACAUAAACGGAGCAUCUGUACCGAUUCUCCUUGUACUGCUAGUGCAUUACAAGGUCCAAGUCUCCGCUCCCCUACUCCACCAUCCAAGGUGCUUGCUCUAACUUGGCAGUGUGAUAUCUGGUUGCAUGUUGCAUAUGGUGUCUAGCUUGUAUUGCUCCUAAUUAGUGUAAAAUGCAUCUGCUUAGCUUACACAUGAUACGUGUGAAUAUGCCACGCUUUCCUAUUUUUGGUACAUACUAUAUCUGUCUAUCACACCAUGUUCUUACAUGAAACUACUCUUCUUGUGUAUCUUGCAUCAGUCACUUAUGAUGGGACACCUUUAAGUUGGCAGUGUGAUAUUGGUUUGCGUAUGAUUUCUAGCAUGUAUUGCUUAUAGUUUGAUGAACGCCACCUAUGAUGAGAUAGUUUUAACUUGGCAGAGUGAUAUUGAUUGCACCUUCCGUAUGGUGUCUAGCUUGCAGUGCUUCUAAUUUGUUGAAGUGCUUUCUGCUUAGUUACCACAUCAUAUGUGUGAAUAUGUCAAGCCGUCCAGUUUUUUGUACAUAUUCCAUCCUCGUAUCAUGACUUUGCCUUUCAUCAGAGUAGUGUUCGUCAGUAUCAUGCAUGAAUGAGUUCUGAAGAGUGAAUUAUAUUCCUUUUUCUUGUCGGUUUGACCUCACAAUGCAAAAUCAAUAAAGCUGACGGAAAUUUUCAAGGCAUUGGAUGAUGAUGGUUGAGGGAGUCCUGGAUUAGGGGGUGUCCGGAUGGCCGGACUCCCGAACUAUGAAGGUACAAGAUUGAAGACUCCGUCCCGUGUCCGGAUGGGACUUUCCUUGGCGUGGAAGGCAAGCUUGGUGAUACGAUAUGAAGAUCUCCUCCCAUUGUAACCGACUCUGUGUAACCCUAGCCCUCUCUGGUGUCUAUAUAAACCAGAGAGUUUUAGUCCAUAGGACGAACAACAAUCAUACCAUAGGCUAGCUUCUAGGGUUUAGCCUCUCUGAUCUCAUGGUAGAUCAACUCUUGUAAUACCCAUACCAUCAAUAUUAAUCAAGAAGGAGUAGGGUUUUACCUCCACCGAGAGGGCCCGAACCUGGAUAAAAACAUUGUGUCCCUUAUCUCCUGUUACCAUCCGCCUAGACGCACAGUUCGGGACCCCCUACCCGAGAUCCGCCGGUUUUGACACCGACAUUGGUGCUUUCAUUGAGAGUUCCUCUAUAUCGUCGCCUUUAGGCCCGAUGGUUUCUUCGAUCAUCAAUCACGACGGGGUCCAGGGUGAGACUUUUCUCCCCGGACAGAUCUUCGUAUUCGGCGGCUUCGCACUGCGGGCCAACUCGCUUGGCCAUCUGGAGCAGAUCGAAAGCUACGCCCCUGGCCGUCAGGUCAGGUUUGGAAGCUUAAACUACACGGCCGACAUUCGCGGGGACUUGAUCUUUGACGGAUUCGAGCAACGCCCGAGCGCGCCGCACUGUCUCGAUGGGCAUGAUCUAGCUUUGCCGCCGGACAGCGCCCAGAGUGCCGCUCAGGAGUUCGCUCCGACCAUUAGUUCGGAGCCGACUGCGCUAACCAGGGACGGACGGUUGGACGCCGCCCCAGGAGCCACAAUCUCUACGGCGAUAGAGCCGAAUACCAGCCUAGUCCUUUGCAAGGCCCGUGACUCCAAGGUGCCGGACUCUGUUCUGGACUCUGAAUCUUCCGCACCCCUUCCGAUCGAUCCCGAUUGGGCUCCGAUCAUGGAGUUCACCGCUGCAGACGUCUUUCAGCACUCGCCCUUUGGCGAUAUCCUGAAUUCACUAAAGUCUCUCUCUUUGUCAGGAGAGCCCUGGCCGAACUACGGUCAGCAUGGUUGGGAUACGGACGACGAAGAAAUUCGAGGCCCACCCACCACCCACUUCGUAGCCACUGUCGACGAUUUAACCGACAUGCUCGACUUCGACUCUGAAGACAUCGACGGUAUGGACGCCGAUGAAGGAGACGACCAAGAACCAGCACCUAUAGGGAACUGGAAAGCCACCUCGUCAUAUGACAUAUACAUGGUGGACACCUCCAAAGCAGGGGAUGGCGAGGAAAAAACGGAGGAUGACCCCUCCAAGAAGCAACCCAAGCGCCGACGUCAGCGGUGCCGCUCUAAAUCCUGCCAAAGCAAGAACGGCGAAUCCGGCACCAGAGAUAACAACACGCCGGAUAGUGCCGACGAUAACCCCCUCCAGCAGGAUUCAGUGCAGGAGGACGAAGGAGCCAGCCCUCAUGAGAGAGCGGCCGACAGAGAGGUUGAGGACGACAACUAUAUGCCUCCCUCCGAAGACGAGGCAAGCCUCGACGAUGACGAAUUCGUCGUGCCAGAGGAUCCCGUUGAACAAGAGCGUUUCAAAUGCAGGCUUACGGCCACGGCACGCAGCCUCAAGAAAAAACAGCAGCAGCUUAGAGCUGACCAAGACUUGCUAGCCGACAGAUGGACUGAAGUCCUGGCGGCCGAAGAGUAUAAACUCGAAUGCCCAUCCAAGAGCUACCCAAAACGCAGGCUGCUACCCCAACUUGAGGAGGAAGUAACUAAACCUACAUCACCAACGUACGAUGCGCCCGAUCGGCCACCCCGUGGCCGCGAUAGAGAGGCCUUCAGGCCCUCAACCCAAGACGCACCCCGGCACCGCUCAAAACAUGCCAGAAUACAGGGAGACGCAACAGACCUGCAAGACAUAUUGGAGAACAAGGCAAGGCAAGCAAGAUUGAUCUACGGAUCGCAUGGGCGCCCCGCAUCACGUGAUGAUAACCGUCACACCGGAUAUGAUAAAUACGGCCAGGCCGAAUACAACAGACCAAGCUCAUCCGAGCUGCGCCGCGAUAUAGCCCAGUACAGGGGCGCCGCACACCCACUAUGCUUCACAGACGAAGUAAUGGAUCGUCAAAUCCCCGAGGGUUUUAAGCCCGUAAACAUUGAAUCAUACAACGACACAACUGAUCCCGCGGUAUGGAUCGAGGAUUAUCUCCUUCAUAUCCACAUGGCCCGCGGUGAUGAUCUACACGCCAUCAAAUACCUCCUGCUCAAGCUUAAAGGACCAGCACGACAUUGGCUUAACAGCCUGCCAGCAGAGUCAAUUAGUUGCUGGGAGGACCUGGAAUCCGCAUUCCUUGAAAACUUCCAGGGCACUUAUGUGCGACCACCAGACGCCGAUGACCUAAGCCACAUAAUCCAGCAGCCAAAAGAAUCGGCCAGACAAUUCUGGACGCGGUUCCUAACCAAGAAAAAUCAAAUAGUCGACUGUCCGGACGCCGAGGCCCUUGCAGCCUUCAGGCACAACAUCCGAGACGAAUGGCUUGCCCGGCACCUAGGACAGGCAAAGCCGAAAUCUAUGGCAGCCCUCACGACACUCAUUACCCGCUUCUGCGCGGGCGAAGACAGCUGGCUAGCUCGUAGCAAUAACAUAACCAAGAGCCCUGGUAAUUCGGAUACCAAGGACAACAAUGGCAGGUCACGUCGCGACAAGCACAAGCGCCGCAUUAACAGCGACAAUACUGAGGAUAUGGCAGUCAACGCCGGAUUCAGAGGCUCUAAACUGGUCAGCGGAAGAAGCCAUUCAAAAGAAACCCUUCGGGUCCAUCCAACUUAGACCGGAUACUCGACCGCUUGUGCCAGAUACACUGCACCCCCGAACAACCAGCCAAUCACACCAACAGGGAUUGUUGGGUGUUCAAGCAGGCAGGCAAGUUAAGUGCCGAAACCAGAGACAAGGGGCUGCGUAGCGAUGACGAGGAGGAGCCCCGGCCGCCGAACAACAGAGGACAUAAGGGAUUCCCCCCGCAAGUGCGGACAGUGAACAUGAUAUACGCAACCCACAUCCCCAAGAGGGAGCGGAAGCGUGCUCUCAAGGACGUCUAUGCGUUGGAGCCAGUCGCCCCAAAGUUCAACCCAUGGUCCUCCUGCCCGAUCACGUUUGAUCGAAGGGACCACCCCACUAGCAUCCGUCAUGGCGGAUUCGCCGCAUUGGUCCUAGACCCAAUCAUUGACGGAUUUCACCUCACCAGAGUCCUCAUGAAUGGCGGCAGCAGCCUGAACCUGCUCUAUCAGGAUACAGUGCGAAAAAUGGGUAUAGAUCCCUCAAGGAUCAAACCCACAAAGACAACCUUUAAAGGUUUCAUACCGGGUGUACAAGCCAGCUGUACAGGCUCAGUUACACUCUAAGUGGUCUUCGGAUCCCCGGAUAAUUUCUGAAGCAAAGAGUUAAUCUUCGACAUAGUCCCAUUCCGCAGUGGCUAUCACGCCCUGCUCGGACGAACCGCAUUUGCAAAGUUCAAUGCGGUGCCGCAAUACGCAUAUCUCAAGCUCAAGAUGCCAGACCCUCGCGGAGUCAUCACGGUCAAUGGAAACACCAAACGCUCUCUCCGAACGGAGGAGCACACAGCGGCCCUGGCGGCGGAAGUACAGAGCAGCCUCUCAAGGCAGCUCUCCAAUCCGGGUAUCAAACGUCCGGACAACGUCAAGCGCGCCCAAAGCAACCUACAACAGAGCCGGCCGGCACGAUCCGAGCAAGCAUAGCAGUGCGGCCCCAACCCCAGCCCUCGUCAGAUGGUGCUAUCGGUACCGCGCGUACAUAAUUACGCUUUGAAAAUACCAUGGGCAUAAGGGGAGGGGCACAACUACGGCACGCCCAGAAUGCGGCUCAACCACACUUAGGGGCUCCCUAUUCGGCCGUUUUCCUUUUUUUAUAUAUAUACUUUCAGGACCCAACUACUCAGAAGGCAUGUCCGACAAUACACUAGCCGAACACACGAUGCAACAGCCAGGGUGAGGACAAGCCGCGUCGAAUGUCCAGGUGGCCUCUAUAACGAGUUAAAUACCUGUUUUUAUUUACAAAAGCCGCAGCUUGCCCCUGGAGGGGGACAUGUCAAAUAAUCCCAUCUCUUGCUUAUCGCACUAUUUGUAUCGUUCUGCUUUCAUAGUAGCCCCUUAAUAAUAAACAAUACAUAGCUUCUAUCUAUUAUUGUAUUCCUUAAAGACUUAUGCAGCCAUGACAUUAUGCAGCCAUACACUUUGGUAUGGCCAAUACACCAGGGGCUUAAGCACCCCAUAACAUGGUGUGAGAAGACCGAACACUCUCAUGAGUGCGGCACCCCGAACUUAUAGCACUAUAUGCAUCGGCUCCGAAUCAUGUCUUUGGUCAAUAGUUGGGUUUGCCCGGCUCCCAUGUUUUGGUACCUUAUGUUCCGCGUUGUUGGCUAAGGUAGCGCUGGGAGAACUACUGCGAUUGUGCCCCAGGUGAGCUGGGUUAACACCUCAGUAGAGAAAGCUAAAACUGGCUGUCAUGAUAAUGCGAGAGACCGAUCGCUAUUCACGAGGUUUUUCGAGUCCUUAAAGACUUAUGCCGCUUAGAGGGAGGAACCAAACUUAUCCGGCCUAGGCGUGGAUAGCGCCCCGAACUCGGUCUUCCGAAUACUAGGGGCUUCGCCGAAAUUUAAAUUAUAGAAUUCUAUGGCUAAGUGAGAGUGAUAAAGCAUUAUAAGUCCGACGGCCUGGUUCGUUGUGCUGAGCGCCUCCCUAGAUGGACCCAAGAAUGGGAACAAGAGCGCUCGGGUUUAUCCCGAACACCCCAGCACUCGUGGCAUGGGGGUCGAAGCCGAUGACUUGCAUCUCUCAGAUUUGAUAAACGGCCGCACAGAAGGUAAUAUUUUAAAUUAACAAGCGUUGCUUAACGCAUAUGAACAAAGUUUUCAACGUACAGGAUAACAGAUGCGAGCCUACUCAAAAAUUACAUCUUUGGAGCAUUCGUCCGCUAUACGGCGAGCAGCCUUCAGGACACCCUUAUAAUACAUCUCGGACGUGCGAUACUCCUUGCCCGGCGGUGGCGCGUCCGUCAAAAGCUUCUUAGCGUCCAGCUUGCCCCAGUGCACUUUAGCACGGGCAAGGGCCCGAUAGGCACCUUCGAUGCAAGCGGGGCGCUUGACGACCUCAAUCCACGGACACGCGUCCACCAGCCACCGCACCAGACUGAAGUAGCUCCCAGGCAUGGCUUCUCCAGGCCACAGCCGAGCUAUGAGGCCCUUCAUGGCCUGUUCGGCCACCUUGUGGAGCUCGACCAGCUGCUUUAGCUAGUCGCUCAGGGGCACCGGAUGUUCGGCCUCAGCAUACUGAGACCAGAACACUUUUUCUGUUGAGCUCCCCUCUUCGGCUCGGUAGUAUGCGGCGGCAUCAGACACACUACGAGGCAGAUCGGCGAACGCUCCUGGAGAGCUUCGGAUUCGGGUAAGUAGCAGAUAAUUAACUUUUAUAUUCUUGCUUUGCAUAAAGAAUGCCUUACCCACCGCUAUUUUCUUCAUUGCCUCGAUCUCCUAGGGGGCCUUCUGGGCUUCGUCCUUAGCGUUUUUGGCACUCUCAAGAGCCAAGGUGAGCUCGGACUCUCGAGUCUUUGAGUCACGCUCCAAAUUCUCAUGUUUUUCCACGAGAGCCUGGAGCUCUUGCCGCACCUCCGCCACCCGCGCCUCCUGCUUCUCUCGCUCGGCCCGCUCCAGGGCCGCACUGUUUUUGGCCUUGGAGACCGCCUCCUUCAGGGUCGCCACCUCGGCCGUGGCCCCUGCAACAUUUAAGUUGGUCCUAUCAUUAUUUGCAACCAAGUAUUUCUAUAUACAUUUACAUGUGGUAUUACAUACCCUCCUUGUCCUCGAGCUGCUUCUUGGCACGGCCGAGCUCGUUCUUGGACCGCUCGAGGCUUCCCUUCAAUGCAUUAACCUCCGCAGUCAGUGCGGUAGAGGUCAGCAGCGCAGCCUGCAUUCCUAUAUUGACAUAUUUUUUAGACUCCUGCGUAUAACUUUUUAGAUCCUCAGCUCGGCUUUUCUUUCUAAACGCCGAACCGAGCAUCAGGGGCUACUGUCUAUGCGGUAACAAUUUUAUAUGUUUUGAACACAUACCUCAAAGCCUGUUAACAGACUUGUACAGGCUUCUAUCAGCCCGCUCUUGGCGGACUGAACCUUUUGAAUCACCGCACUCAUAACAGUGCGGUGUUCCUCGUCGAUGGAGGCACCAUUAAGCGCCUCCAGCAAAUUGUCCGGCGCCUCCGGAUGGACGAAGGUCGUCGGCGCUGUAGGCUUGCCCUUCUUAUGAAGGCGCCGCCUGUCGGACUCUGGAACCGCUGGUGGUUCCAGAGCAGUGUCCGGCCCGGCGCCGGACUUAGACCCCUCCGGGGCUUUAACCCCUUUGGGCCUGGAAUCCGGGAGGUCGCCUUGAGGCGCCUCCAGGACCACCUCCUCCUGGUUCGGUCCCCUUCGGGACCCCACCUCGGCGUCAUCCGCAGGGAGAGGGGAGGAGGCCGUCGGAAGUGAAGCACUAUUCACAUCCGACGAAUUUAGGGAGCCGCUCGACGAAUCGCCGAGCUGAGCUCUGGGCGGACUGCAUGAUUAAAAUUCGGCGUUAGACAUUACCGAAUAAUAGAGGAGCGCCAUGAGUCAUUCGGGUAACCGGACACUUACGAUUUUGCCAGGGGCUUGACCCUGGAUGGCCACUCCUCCCCGUCGUCUUCGGCAUUGGAGGCGUAGUCCGGCAGAAGAGUUUUCCCCUUCUUGGACCCUCCGGCCUCCCCAGUUGGGGCGGCCUUCCUUUUCUUUCCUCCCCCCGUUGGAGGGGGAGAGGCUUCUUCUUCUUCUUCUUCUUCCUCGUCUUCUGAGGCGGAGGGUGCGCCGGGGUUGUCGGGCGAUGAAUCCGGCACACCCAUGCGCCGGGAGCUCUUUCGAGUCCCCGUGGCCUUCUUCCUGGCCUUCUUCUCCGGCACCACGUGAGGUGCCGGAACUAGCAGCUUCGUUAAAUGAGCGUCCGCUGGGUCUUCGGGCAGAGGAGCCGAAUAGUUGAUCUGUCUGGCCUUCUUCUGCCAUUCCUGUUAAAGGGAUGGGGGUUUAGAUCCCGCAUAGAAUCAAAUCUAUGGAAAACAAAUACCCCGUAAUGGGAAAAUUAGCUCACCGCGCUGGCUUGGCGCUUGGUGCAGAAUCUGCGAUCCUCGGUGACGGGAGGGAACACCUUGGAGCUCUUGAAUAGCACCUUCCAUGCAUCCUCGUGCUUUGUGUCGAAGAGCUGGGACAGAGUCUGGUGCUGGGUCGGGUCGAACUCCCACAAGUUAAAAGCCCGUCGUUGACACGGGAGAAUCCGGCGGAAGAGCAUGACCUGGACUACGGUGACAAGUUUAACCUUCCUGCUGAUCAGGUCUUUGAUGCAGGCUUGAAGUCUGGUCACUUCUGCCGAGUUACCCCACGACAGGCCCGUCUCUUUCCAAGAUGUGAGCCGUGUGGGAAUGCCAGAUUGGAAUUCGGGGGUCGCUGCCCAUUCAGGGUCACGCGGCUCGGUGAUGUAGAACCACCCUGAUUGCCACCCUUUGAUGGUCUCUACGAAGGCGCCCUCGAGCCAUGUAACAUUGGGUAUCUUUCCCACCAUGGUGCCUCCGCACUCCGCUUGGCGGUCGCCCACGACCUUCGGCUUGACGCUGAAGAUCUUUAGCCAUAGGCCAAAGUGAGGAUGGAUGCGGAGGAAGGCCUCGCACAUGACGAUGAACACCGAGAUGUUGAGGAUGAAGUUCGGGGCCAGAUCGUGGAAGUCCAGGCCGUAGUAGAACAUGAGCCCCCGGACAAACGGGUGAAGAGGAAAACCUAGUCCGCGGUGGAAAUGGGGAAGGAAAACAACCCUCUCAUGGGGCCUGGGGGUGGGGAUGAGUUGCCCCUCAUCUGGAAGCCGGUGCGCGAUGUCGUCGGACAAGUAUCCCGCCUUUCUCAACUUUUUGAUUUGCCCCUCCAUGACGGAGGAGGCCAUCCAUCUACCUCCCGCUCCGGACAUGAUUGGAGUAGGUUGAGGUGGGAAGUGCGGGCUUGGGCGUUGGAGCUCGAGCGCGCAGGGACGAAUGAGCAAAGGAGGAAGAAGGCGUAAAUGAAAAGGGUAGAUUCUUAUCCCCUUAUAUGGGCGGCCAAAACUACGAGCCCCCACCGGCCUAAUAAAACUCGCUUAUCUCCCAAGCGCCAUGGUUAAUGGCACGGUUGGGUUACCCACGCCCGUAUUGAUGAGAAUCCCGGAAUAAGGGGACACGAUCUCUGCUUCGACAAGACGUGCCAAGGAAACCGCCUCGCUAAACGCGCUGAGGUGGAACGGUAAAAUGAAUAAAGGCUUGGCCGUGGCAUGAUGUCACGCCGCAGAAUGCGUCAACAGAUUAGAUUUGUGUAAAUAUUAUUCUCUCUACGGUGGCAUGUGGAACUUAUUUUUGCAGAGCCGGACACUAUCUUUGUGUUCAAACAUCUUCUAUGAAGUAUUCGGAGGAGGAACCUGCCUUGCAAUGCCGAAGACAAUUUGCGCGCCAGACUCAUCGUCAUUGAAGCCUGGUUCAGGGGCUACUGAGGGAGUCAUGGAUUAGGGGGUGUCCGGAUGGCCGGACUAUGACCUUUGGCCGGACUCCCGAACUAUGAAGAUACAAGAUUGAAGACUCUGUCCCGUGUCCGGAUGGGACUUUCCUUGGCGUGGAAGGCAAGCUUGGCGAUACGAUAUGAAGAUCUCCUCCCAUUGUAACCGACUCUGUGUAACCCUAGCCCUCUCCGGUGUCUAUAUAAACCGGAGAGUUUUAGUCCAUAGGACGAACAACAAUCAUACCAUAGGCUAGCUUCUAGGGUUUAGCCUCUCCGAUCUCGUGGUAGAUCAACUCUUGUAAUACCCAUACCAUCAAUAUUAAUCAAGCAGGAGUAGGGUUUUACCUCCACCGAGAGGGCCCGAACCUGGGUAAAAACAUUGUGUCCCUUGUCUCCUGUUACCAUCCGCCUAGACGCACAGUUCGGGACCCCCUACCCGAGAUCCGCCAGUUUUGACACCGACAGUGGUCCUUCCGAGGAACUGAAACGGAGGUUCUCUAUAGAUUCUACUCCGCCAUCCUCCCAACAAGUUUCGCAAGACAACGCAAGGCUAGACAGUCAACGUAGAUAUCUAGAUGAUGAGCACAUCUCCCUACUCCACCAUCACAGGUGCUUUCUCUAACGUGGCACUAUUAUAUGUGGUUGCAUGUUGCGUAUGUCUAGCUUGUAUUGCUUCUAAAUUUGUUGAAUUGCAUCUGCUUACUUUACACAUAAUGCAUGUGAAUAUGACAUGUGUUCCUGUUUCUAGAACAUACUAUAUCUCAUCUCACCAUGUUCUUACAUCAGACUACUGUUCUUGCAUAUCCCGCAUCAGUCACUUAUGAUAAGGCACCUUUAAGUUGCCACUGUGAUAUUGGUUGUGUCUUGCAUAUGAUUUCUAGCAUGUACUGCUUCUAAUUUGUUGAAACACCAUACAGUUUGAACUUGGUAGAGUGAUAUUGGUUGCAUCUUUCAUAUGGUGUCUAGCUUGUAGUGCUUCUAAUUUGUUGAAAUGCCUUCUGCUUAGUUACCACAUCAUAGGUCUGAAUAUGUCACGCCAUCCUGUUUUUCAUACAUAUUCCAUCCUCACAUCAUGUGUUUGCCUUUCAUCUGAGUAGUGUUCGUCGGUAUCAUGCAUGAAUGAGUUCUGAAGAGCGAAUUUUAUUCCUUUUCUUAUCGGUUUGACUUCACAAUGCAAAAUCAUUACAGCUGAAGGAAAUUAGUCUGGCAGUGGAUGAUGGUGGUCCUUCGGAGCAACUCAAACAGGGGGUCUCUACAGAUUCUACUCCGCCAUCCUCCCAACAAGAUUCGCAAGACAACACAAGGCUGGACAGUCAACGUAGCUGUGUAGAUGAUGAGCACAUCUCCCCUACUCCACCAUCACAGGUGCUUGCUCUAACUUGGCACUAUUAUAUGUGGUUGCAUGUUGCGUAUGAUGUCUAGCUUGUAUUGCUUCUAACUUUGUUGAAUUGCAUCUGCUUAGUUUACACAGAAUGCAUGUGAAUAUGACACGUGUUCCUGUUUCUAGAACAUACGUGUACAUGAUGAGCACAUCUCCCCUACUCCACCAUCACAAGUGCUUGCUCUAACUUGGAAUUGUUAUAUGUGGUUGCGUUUUCCGUAUGAUGUCUAGUUUGUAUUGCUUCUGAUUAUGUUGAAUUGCAUCUGUGUAGCUUACAACUUAUACCUGCAACGAUCACUUACCCAUAAGACACAUUUAACUUGGGACUGUGAUGUGGGUUGCAUCUUGCAUUGUCUUCUAGCUUGUACUGCUUCUAAUUUCUUGAAAUGGCACUUACGAUGAGACACUUUUUACCUGAUAGAGUGAUAUUGGUUGCAUGUUCAUAUGGUGCCUAGCUUUCAUUUCUUAUAAUUUUGUUGAAAUGCCUUCCGCUUACUGUUUUUUCAUACAUAUUCCAUCCUCCUAUCGUACGUGUGAAUAUGCAACGCUGUCUUUUUUUGUAUAUAUUUCUAUCCUCCUAUUCUGCGCUUGCCUUACAUCAAAGUAGUGUUCGUCUGUAUCAUGCAUCAACCAGUUAUGCAGAGCUAAUUUUAUUCAUCUUCUUGUGGUUUUGACUUCAUAAGGCAAUAUUAGAAAAUAGGAAGGAAAAGAGUAAGUUAGGGGAUGUUGGUGGUCCUCCGCACCGACGCAAAUAGAGACUCUCUAGAUUUGCCACUGCUACUGCUAAUGAAGUUGAAGUCCCAAGUCUACAUGAUGAGUUCAUCUCCCGUACUCCACCAUCGCAGGUGCUUGCUCUAAGUUGACAGUGUGAUAAUUGGUUUCAUGUUGCAUCUGUUGUCUAGCCUGUAUUUCUUCUAUUUUGAUUAAAUUGCACCUGCUGAGUUUAUACGUUAUGCAUGUGCAUAUGACAUGGAUUUCUGUGUCUAGAAUGCACUGCAUCUAUCUAUCAUACCAUGUUCUUACAUCAAAGUACUUCUGUUGUGUAUCCCGCAUCAGUCACUCAUGAUUGGACGCUUUUAACAUGGCAGUUUGAUAGUGGUUGCAUCUUGCAUUGAUUUCUAUGUUGUACUGCUUCUAAUUUUUCGAAUUGCCACUUAUGACAAGACACUUUUAACUUGGCAGAGUAAUAUUGGUUGCAUAUUUCAUAUGGUGUCUAGCUUGCAUUACUUUCAUUUCUUGAAAAACCUUCUGCUUAGUUUACACAUCGUAGCUGUGAAUAUGUCAUGUCGUCCGGUUUUUCUUACAUAUUCCAUCCUCAUACGGUUGUCUUACAUCAACGUAUUGCUUGUUUGUAUCAUGCAUCAAUGAGUUCUGAAGAGCGAUUUUAUUCUUUUGUGUUAUGGGUACGGCUUGACAUGGCAAAGUCAAAAAAGAGCAAGGAAAAUAAUAUAGUAGGGAGUGCUGUUACUCGUCGGGUGAAACGGAAAAGGAUCUGCCGUCGAGAUUCUGCUGGUACUUAUAGUGCAGUAGAAGGUCCAAUUCCACCGGCUAAAUCUACAAACACAGUAUCACCUGCUCCACCAGCUGCAGCAUCCGCUUCAACUGUACCAGCAUCUCAAUGAGUUACUCGUUCAUUUGCCCCGUAACUGGCCAGUUCCCUAGCUGCCUUCACACCUAACACUACUUCGGAAGCACUGCUGACACAAUAGGACUUGGCAAGAUCAUAUGAACCUCAUGAGCAUCAACACCAAGAUGGUGCCUAACCGAGUCAAGUUGCAGUUGCAUGCUCCUUUAUAUGUACUCUCACAGUUUGAUGUACAGUAACACUUUCUAUAUUCGUUGUUGAACUAGCACCACGGUGCAAGCGAAAAUAGACAUCAGGGAUAAUGCUUGACAGAUUAACAAAAUCUAAAGGAGGAAGAAUGGAGAUCCAUUUUGAGGCGGGUUUAAAAAGGCCAUGUGAUGCUACAGAGUCAGCCAAGUUAGUAUCAGAGGCAGCCGUUGACGUUAGGUGUCAUGCACGUAUCCUCCCAACGUGGAUCUAGUACAGGAAUGAGAAAGACAGUACCCAGUUUAACACCUUCCUUGACCAUUUAUCCGUAAGUAAUGUUAUUCAUCGCAAUUAGUAAUAUUGUCUUGCUCUGUCCCAUACUUUCUAGCUUCCUCCUAAUAAGACUCACAUUCUUUUUUCAAUAGAUGAGGUUCAAGUUGGAUCCGAAAGAUGAUGCAACUAAACAAGUACGCACUCAUGUUUUCAGUCUGCUCUACGACAGUAUCGGUACCACCUUAGAAAAUCUCACUUUCAAGGCAAGGCUAACAAUGAAAUCAACUAAACAUCUCGAGUGGAAUAUAUUACAGAUGAAGACUGGACAACCCUCGUUAAACACUGGUCUGAUCCAAAGUAUCAGGUAGGCUAUAUGUAUUUGAUCAGACCACAUAUUGAACUUGUAUUUUUUGUAUGUGCCUUACAAGUGUAUCUUCUUCUAGGCUAUCUGUUUGAAGAACAAGACCAAUGGUUCUAAAGUGAAUUUCCAACAGGCAACAGGAUCUCGUAGCUAUAUUGCACACUGCGAGGCUCUUGUAAAUAGCUGCUACUUCCCUUUUUUUCUGUGCCAUAUUAUCGUAUCUAUAUUGACUUGUUCCAAAUACAGAGGAAAGCUUGUGCAGACCAAAAAGAACCUGAACCGAAUGCAGUGCAAAUCUUCAAGGAUUGCCACACCAGCAAGAUGAAGGGCAUGAGCACACCAGUUCAAACCGUUGUUGUAAGUCCUUACUCCUCCUGCCUUUGAACUGAUUGGUACUGUGAUGUGUUCAUUUAACUCUUGGUUUACAGCCAAUGUCAGUUACUCUGUUCACUUUUAUACACAGUUUUCUUAACGUAUCAUUUCACCUUACAUGGUUUAAAAGAGAUGAAGGAUAUUCUUUUGGUCUUGAUCUGUAAUCUAGUUAUUAUGUUCAUGUGCGCACACAAUGAUAAAAUAGCAUGUCUGUUUUAUAUAUGUUUUCCCAUGAUAUGAAUGAUGCCGUACUAUGUUCAUCCUACUUUAAACCAUGUCUCUUUAUCCUUAGAUGUCAACGGAUGUGAGGAAAUAGACAAUACAGUAGGCAUGCUACAUGGACAUAUGUUCCGAAAGUGAUUUUAUUAUGUAGUUGGCACUACAAUACAUGCUAAUGUAUUACAGUAGUUCACCAAAAUAAGUUAUGUAUAAAUGUGUAACCUACUUUAUUUAUUUUUGUCUCAUUAGUAACUUAUUUGGUACACUAAUCUACAAGUUCAAACUUUUAGGAAGCUAUGGAAUAAAUGAUUGACAUCCACAACCACCUGAAGGUGACGAGGCUACCACAGGCACAAUGUCACCUCUUGCUACAGUGCGUCAGUAUCUCUCCACUAACAGUGCAAAAGGCACAUUCCUGCGUAAUUCUGGGUUGGUGCUACGUCUUGAGCUUGCGUUGGUUUUCCUUGAAGAGGAAAGGGUGAUGCAGCAAUAGUAGCGUAAGUAUUUCCCUCAGUUUUUGAGAACCAAGGUAUCAAUCCAGUAGGAGGCUCCUCAAAAGUCCCACGCACCUACACAAACAAAGAAAGAACUCGUAACCAACGCAAUAAAGGGGUUGUCAAUCCCUUCAAGGCCACUUGCGAAAGUGAGAUCUAAUAGAGAUAGUAUGAUAAGAUAAAUAUAUUUUUGGUAUUUUAUAAUAUAGAUGCAAAAAGUAAAGAUGCAAAUAAAAGUAGAUUGAAAGCAAAUAUGAUAAAAGAUAGACCUGGGGGCCAUAGGUUUCACUAGAGGCUUCUCUCAAGAUAGCAUAAGUAUUACGGUUGGUGAACAAAUUACUGUCGAGCAAUUGAUACAAAAGCGAAUAAUUAUGAGAUUAUCUAGGCAUGAUCACGUAUAUAGGCAUCAUGUCCGUGACAAGUAGACCGACUCCUGCCUGCAUCUACUACUAUUACUCCACACAUCGACCGACUCCUGCCUGCAUCUAGAGUAUUAAGUUCACAAAGAACAGAGUAACGCAUUAAGCAAGAUGACAUGAUGUAGAGGGAUAAAAUCAUGCAAUAUGAUAUAAACCCCAUCUUUUUAUCCUUGAUGGAAACAAUACAAUACGUGCCUUGCAACCCUUUCUGUCACUGGGUAAGGACACCGCAAGAUUGAACCCAAAGCUAAGCACUUCUCCCAUGGCAAGAAAGAUCAAUCUAGUAGGCCAAACCAAACUGAUAAUUCGAAGAGACUUGCAAAGGUAACUCAAUCAUACAUAAAUGAAUUUAGAGGAGAUUCAAAUAUUUCUCAUAGAUAAACUUGAUCAUAAACCCACAAUUCAUCGGAUCUCGACAAACACACUGCAAAAAGAGUUUACAUCGAAUACAUCUCCACAAGAGAGGGAGAAAACAUUGUAUUGAGAUCCAAAAAGAGAGAAGAAACCAUCUAGCUAAUAACUAUGGACCCGAAGGUCUGUGGUAAACUACUCACAACUCAUCGGAAGGUCUAAGGUGUUGAUGAAGAAGCCCUCCGUGGUCGAUUCCCCCUCCGGCGGAGCGCCGGCGAAGGCUCCAAGAUGGGAUCUCACGGAUACAAAAGAUUACGGCGGUGGAAAUUGUGUUUCGGUUGCUCCCUGGAUGUUUUCGGGGUACGUAGGCUUAUAUAGGAGGAAGAAGUACGUCGGUGGCCGCUCGAGGGGCCCACGAGACAGGGGGCGUGCCCUACCCUCUCGUGGCCGCCUUGGCUGCUUCUUGACUUGCACUCCAAGUCCUCUGGAUCACGUUCGUUCCAAAAAUCACGCUCCCGAAGGUUUCAUUCCAUUUGGACUCCGUUUGAUAUUCCUUUUCUUCGAAAUACUCAAAUAGGCAAAAAAACAGCAAUACGGCUAGGCCUCCGGUUAAUAGGUUAGUCCCAAAAAUGAUAAUAAUGUGUAAAAUAAAGCCCAUAAACAUCCAAAAGGGGUAACAUAAUAGCAUGGAACAAUCAAAAAUUAUAGAUACGUUGGAGACGUAUCAAGCAUCCCCAAGCUUAAUUCAUGCUCGUCCUCGGGUAGGUAAAUGAUAAAAACAGAAUUUUUGAUGUGGAAUGCUACCUAGCAUAAUUCUCAAUGUAAUUUUCUUUAUUGUGGCAUGAAUGUUCAGAUCAAAAUGAUUCAAGAUAAAAGCUUAUAAAACAUAAAAAUAAUAAUGCUUCAAAGCAUACUAACAAAUAAUCAUGUCCUAUCAAAAUAGCGUAGCCAAAGAAAGCUUAUCCCUACAAAAUCAUAUAGUUAGGCCAUGCUUCAUUUUCAUUACACAAAAUACUCCCAUCAUGAACAACACCGAUGACGAGCCGAGCAAUUGUUUCAUACUUUUUAACGCGCUUCAGCUUUUUCAACUCUUACGCAAUACAUGAGCGUAAGCCAUGGACAUAGCACUAAGGUGGUAAAAGAUGGUGGUUGUGAGGACAAAAGGAGGGAGAAGAUAGUCUCACAUCAACUAGGCGUAUCAACGGGCUAUGGAGAUGCCCAUCAAUAGAUAUCAAUGUGAGUGAGUAGGGAUUGCCAUGCAACGGAUGCACUGGAGCUAUAAAUAUAUGAAAGCUCAACAAAAAGAACUAAGUGGGUGUGCAUCCAACUCGCUUGCUCACGAAGACUUAGGGCAUUUUGAGGAAGCCCGUCAUUGGAAUAUACAAGCCAAGUUCUAUAAUGAAAAAUUCCCACUUAGUAUAUGAAAGUGACAACAUAGGAUACUCUCUAUCAUGAAGAUCAUGGUGCUACUUUGAAGCACAAGUGUGGAAAAAGAGAUAGUAGCAUUGUCCCUUCUAUCUUUUUCUCUCAUUUUAUUUUUUCUUUUUUUCUUUUUACUUUUUUUUCUUUGGCCUUUCUUUUUUUUUGGCCUUUCUCUUUUUUUCUUUUCUUUUUCUUCUCUUUUUUUUUCUUUUUGUAAAGUCCGAAGUCUCAUCCCGACUUGUGGGGGAAUCAUAGUCUUCAUCAUCCUUUCCUCACCGAGACAAUGCUCUAAUAAUGAAGAUCAUCACACUUUUAUGGAUUUACAACUCAAGAAUUACAACUCAAAGCUAGAAGAAGAUAUGACUCUAUAUGAAUGCCUCCGGCGGUGUACCGGGAUAUGUAAUGAACCAAGAGCGACAUGUAUGAAAAUUAUGAAGGUGGCCUUGCCACAAAUACGAUGUCAACUACAUGAUCAUGCAAAGAGCAAUAUGACAAUGAUGAAAUGUGUCAUAAUAAACGGAACGGUGGAAAGUUGCAUGGCAAUAUAUCUCGGAAUGGCUAUGAAAAUGCCAUAAUAGGUAGGUAUGGUCGCUGUUUUGAGGAAGGUAAAUAAUGGGUUCAAUACCGGCGAGAGUUGCGCGGUAAUAAGAGAGGCUAGCAAAGUGGAAGGAUGAGUGUGCGUAUAUCCAUGGACUCACAUUAGUCAUAAAGAACUCAUAUACUUAUUGCAAAAGUCUACUUAGCCCUCGAAGCAAAGUACUACUGCGCAUUCCCCAAGAGGGAUAGAUUGGUAGGAAAAGACCAUCGCUCGUCCCCGACUGCCACUCAUAAGGAAGACAAUCAAAAGAGCACCUCAUGCAAUAAAUUUGUCACACAACUUUUACCAUACGUGCAUGCUACGGGACUUGCUAACUUCAACAAAAGUAUUUCUCAAUUUCAUAAGUAUCCACUAGCAUGACCUAACAUUACUACCUUUAUAUCUCAAAACAAUUAUCAAGCAACAAAUUGAUCAUAGCAUCCAAUUCACUUCAUAUGGUAGUUUAUAUUAUACCCAACUUGGAUGCUCAUCAUUCUAGGACCAAAUUUGUAACCAUAGAAAAUACCAUGCUGUUCUAAAAGACUCUCAAAAUAAUAUAAGUGAAGCAUGAGAGACUAGAAAUUUCUUCAAAAUUAAGUUACCACCGUGCUCUAAAAAAUAUAAGUGAAGCACUAGAGCAAAAACUAUCAAUCUCAAAAGAUAUAAGUGAAGCACAUAGAGUAUUCUAGCAAAUUCUAAUCAAGUGGGCUUCCCCCAAAAGGUGUGUACAUCAAGGAUGAUUGUGACUAAAAAGCAAAGACUAAAAUAAUACACGACGCUCCAAGCAAAACACUCAUGUGGCAAAUAAAAAUAUAGCUCCAAGUAAAGUUACCAAUGAACGAAGACGAAAGAGGGGAUGCCUUCCCGGGGCAUCCCCAAGCUUAGGCUUUUGGCUAUCCUUGAAUAUCUUGGGGUGCCAUGGGCAUCCCCAAGCUUAGGCUCUUGCCACUCCUUAUUCCAUAGUCCAUAAAAGCUUUACCCAAAACUUGAAAACUUCGCAACACAAAACUCAACAGGAAAUCUUAUAAGCUCCGUUAGUGAAAGAAAACAAAACCACCACAUAAGGUACUGAAAUGAACUCAUUCUUUAUUUGUUUUGGUGUUAAACCUAAUACAUUCCAAGUUCUCUAUGGUUCAUACCCAUACAUACUAGUCAUAGAUGCAUCAAAAUAAGCAAACAACACACGAAAAACAGAAUCUGUCAAAAACAGAACAGUAUGUAGAAAUCUGUAACUAAUGCAAACUUCUGGAACUCUAAAAAUCCUACCAAAAUAGGACAUACUGGACAAUUUUUUUAUUGAUCAGCAUCAAAAAGAAGCACGUUUCUGUGAUUUAUUGAAUUGUUUCUCGUGAGCGCAAAGUUUCUGUUUUUCAGCAGAAUCAAAUCAACUAUCAUCAUAGGUUAUCCUAUAGGUUCUACUUGGCACAAACACUAAUUAAAAGAUAAAAACACAUCUAAACAGAAAGUAGAAGCAAAAUUUAUUACUAAACAGGAACAAAAACAAAAAACACAAAGAAAAUUGGGUUGCCUCCCAACUAGCGCUAUCGUUUAACGCCCCUAGCUAGGCAUAAAAGCGAAGAUAGAUCUAAGUAGUGCCAUCUUUGGCACUCAAUUCAUAUGUAGCUCGCAUGAUAGAUUCAUAAGGUAAUUUGAAUUUCUUUCUGGGAAAGUGCUCCAUGCCUUUCUUUAGUGGAAAUUGGAAUCUAAUAUUCCCUUCCUUCAUAUCAAUAAUCGCACCAAUCGUUCUAAGGAAAGGUCUACCAAGAAUAAUAGGGCAAGAAAGAUUGUAAUCUAUAUCAAGAACGAUAAAAUCUACGGGCACCAAAUUUCUAUUUGCAACAAUGAGAACAUCAUUGAUCCUUCCCAUUGGCUUUUUAAUGGUGGAAUCCGCAAGGUGCAAAUUUAAAGAGCAAUCAUCAAGAUCAUGGAAACCUAGAAUAUCACAUAAAGUUUUCGGAAUCGUGGAAACACUAGCACCCAAAUCACACAAAGCAAAACACUCAUGAUCUUUAAUUCUAAUUUUUCUAGUAGGUUCCCACUCAUCAUUAAGUUUUCAAGGUAUAGAAACUUACAAAUUAAGCUUUUCAUCAAAAGAUUGCAUCAAGGCAUCAACGAUAUGUUUGGUAAAAGCUUUAUUUUGACUAUAAGCAUGUGGAGAAUUAACAACGGAUUGCAACAAGGAAAUACAACCUUCUAAAGAACAAUUAUCAUAAUCAAAUUCCUUGAAAUCCGAGAUAGUGGGUUCAAUGCUAUUUAAAGUCAUGACCUCUCCAAUCCCACUUUUACCAAAUUUAGCAUCAAGAUCUAAAAACUCCGAAUUUUUGGGACGCCUUCUAGGUAAAGUUGACUCAUCUUCAGUCCCAUUAUUAUCAAGAUUCAUAUUGCAAAACAAAGAUCUAAUAGGAGACGCAUCAAUAACUGUAAGAUCUACAUCAUUAUUUUCAUGGAAACCAGAGGAACACGCCUUUAUAAAGCUAUCUUUCUUAGCACGCAAUCUAGUGGUUCUUUCCUUGCACUCGUCAAUGGAAAUUAUCAUUACUUUUAGAGACUCAUUGAUAUCAUGCUUAGGGGAAGAAGAUCUAAGUUUAAGAGAAUCAACAUCAAGCGAAAGUCUAUCAACGUUCCUAGCCAAAUCAUCAACUUUGAGCAAUUUUUCUUCAAGCAAAGCAUUAAAAUUCUUUUGAGAAAUCAUAAAUUCUUUCAAGCUAUUCUCAAAAUCAGAGGGCAUCUUAUUAAAAUUACCAUAAGAAUUAUUGUAGGAAUUUCCAUAAUUAUUAGAGGAAUUACUAAGGAACAGUCUAGAAUUAAAGUUUCCUCUAUAAGCAUUGUUUCCAAAACUAUUCUAACCAACAAAAUUCACAUCCAUAGAUUCAUUAUUAUUCUCAAUCAAAGUAGACAAAGGCAUAUCAUUGGGAUCAAUAGGAGUAUUUUUAGUAGCAAAAAAUUUCAUAAGUUCAUCCAUCUUUCCACUCAAAACAUUGUUUUCUUCUAUAGCAUGCACUUUUUUACUAGAAGAUCUUUCGGUGUGCCAUUGAGAAUAAUUUGCCAUAAUAUUAUCAAGAACUUUUGUAGCAUCUCGUAACGUGAUUUCCACAAACAUGCCUCCCGCGGCCGAAUCUAAGAGAUUUCUAGAAGCAAAGUUCAAACCGGCAUAAAUUUUUUGUAUGAUCAUCCAUAAAUUCAAACCAUGAGUAGGGCAAUUGUGAAUCAUCAAUUUCAUUCUUUCCCAAGAUUGGGCAACAUGCUCAUGAUCAAGUUGUUUAAAAUUCAUAAUAUCGUUCCUAAGAGUGAUAAUCUUAGUGGGAGGAAAAUACUUAGAGAUAAAAGCAUCUUUGCACUUGUUCCAAGAAUCAAUACUAUUUUUAGGCAAAGACGAAAACCAAACUUUAGCACGAUCUCUAAGUGAAAACGGAAAUAACUUCAAUUUAACAAUAUCAUUAUUCGUAUCUUUCUUCUUUUGCAUAUCACACAAAUCAAUAAAGUUGUUUAGAUGAGUAGUGGCAUCUUCACUAGAAGGUCGGCGAAUUGAUCUUUCAUAACAAGAUUCAGCAAAGCAGUAUUGAUUUCACAAGACUCAACAUCAUUAAGAGGAGCAAUCGGAGUACUAGGGAAAUCAUUAUUAUUGGUAUUCGAGAAAUCACACAAUUUGGUAUUAUCUUGCGCCAUGGCAACAAGUAAUCCAACACACAAGCAAACAGAAAAAGGCAAGCGAAAAGAGAGAGAGACAUUGGGAAAGAUAGGGCGAAUAAAACGGCAAGGGUGAAGUGGGGGAGAGGAAAAUGAGAGGCAAAUGGCAAAUAAUGUAAAUGCGAGGGAGAUGAGUUUGUGAUGGGUACUUGGUAUGUCUUGACUUGAGCGAAGACCUCCCCGGCAAUGGCGCCAGAAAUCCUUCUUGCUACGCCUUGAGCUUGCGUUGGUUUUCCUUGAAGAGGAAAGGGUGAUGCAGCAAUAGUAGCGUAAGUAUUUCCCUCAAUUUUUGAGAACCAAGGUAUCAAUCCAGUAGGAGGCUCCUCAAAAGUCCCACGCACCUACACAAACAAACAAAGAACUCGCAACCAACGCAAUAAAGGGGUUGUCAAUCCCUUCACAGCCACUUGCGAAAGUGAGAUCUAAUAGAGAUAGUAUGAUAAGAUAAAUAUAUUUUUGGUAUUUUAUAAUAUAGAUGCAAAAAGUAAAGAUGCAAAUAAAAGUAGAUUGAAAGCAAAUAUGAUAAAAGAUAGACCUGGGGGCAUAGGUUUCACUAGAGGCUUCUCUCAAGAUAGCAUAAGUAUUACGGUGGGUGAGCAAAUUACUGUCGAGCAAUUGAUAGAAAAGCGAAUAAUUAUGAGAUUAUCUAGGCAUGAUCAUGUAUAUAGGCAUCACGUCCGUGACAAGUAAACCGACUCCAGCCCGCAUCUACUAAUAUUAUUCCACACAUCGAUCGACUCUUGCCUGCAUCUAGAGUAUUAAGUUCACAAAGAAUAGAGUAACGCAUUAAGCAAGAUGACAUGAUGUAGAGGGAUAAACUCAUGCAAUAUGAUAUAAACCCCAUCUUUUUAUCCUCGAUGGCAACAAUACAAUACGUGCCUUGCAACCCUUUCUGUCACUGGCUAAGGACACCGCAAGACUGAACCCAAAGCUAAGCACUUCCCCCAUGGCAAGAAAGAUCAAUCUAGUAGGCCAAACCAAACUGAUAAUUCAAAGAGACUUGCAAAGAUAACUCAAUCAUACAUAAAAGAAUUCAGAGGAGAUUCAAAUAUUUCUCAUAGAUAAACUUGAUCAUAAACCCACAAUUCAUCGGAUCUCGACAAACACACCGCAAAAAGAGUUUACAUCGAAUAGAUCUCCACAAGAGAGGGGGAGAACAUUGUAUUGAGAUCCAAAAAGAGAGAAGAAGCCAUCUAGCUAAUAACUAUGGACCCAAAGGUCUAUGGUAAACUACUCACAACUCAUCGGAAAGGCUAUGGUGUUGAUGUAAAAGCCCUCCGUGGUCCAUUCCCCCUCCGGCGGAGCGCCGACGGAGGCUCCAAGAUGGUAUCUCGUGGAUACAGAAGGUUACGGCGGUGGAAAUUGUGUUUCGGUUGCUCCCUAGAUGUUUUCGUGGUACGUAGGCGUAUAUAGGAGGAAGAAGUACGUCGGUGGCUGCCCAAGGGGCCCAAGAGACAGGGGGCGCGACCUGUAGGGGGGGCGCGCCCUACCCUCUCGUGGCCGCCUCGGCUGCUUCUUGACUUGCACUCCAAGUCCUAUGGAUCAUGUAUGAUGCUGCCAAAGGCUUCAGUAAUUACGAUGCUAUUUUUAUAUAGUGUAGGUUUAUCUUAAUAACGUAUUCGGCCGAAAGCUUCAUAGGAGCCCAACAUGCCAACAUUCGUCGGGCCCACUCCAAUUGGGCUAAAACUGAUUAUGGGCCGAAAUUUGCAUGUAGCCCACUAAAAAUAUUUGGGCUUAAAUCAGCAUAAGCUUUCAUAUUUUUCUGGUAGGCCUAUGCCCAUAGUGGUCCUUUAACAGGCCUAAACAUAAUUUGGGCCCUCAGUAACAAUAGGACAUUUACAGGUGUAAAUAUCUCGAGCCCAUAAAAACAUGGGCCUUUAAUAGGCCGAAAGUAAGAUUGGGCCCUGAUAGUGCCAAAUAACCCACUAGUCUUAGCAGGCCGAAAUGGUGGCCCACUUACGAUGCAGAUCUUUCACAGGCCGAAAUUCGGACGGGUCGUAAAUACGCAGACCUAAUACACGGGCCUUUAACAGGCCGGAAGUUCGGCCGGGCUAGAUUAGCGUCAUUUUUAUAUGGGUCCUUAAUGGGCCCGAUGUGACGUUAGGCCACGUAUGGCCCAUGGAUUUCGUCCGAUGUUAACAGGCCGAAAAUCACAAUAGGCUGAAAGUGGACCAAAUAUAUAGUGGUCCUCUAAUAGGCUGAAUGUUAGACAUGGCCGAAUAUGAUCCAAAUCCUUCACGGUCAUUUGUGGGCUGAAAGUUUCAAUGGCCUGUAAAAGGUCCUAAAUGAAGUGGGACCUUUAACAGGCCGAAAAUACACUAGGUCGUAAUUUAGUCCAAAUACUUAGUGGGCUGUUAAUGGGACAGAAGUGACCAUGGGCCACGAUGAUGACAAGUUUAGGGCAUGUCGUUGACGGGCCGAUUUGACACUAGCCGUACGGGCCUUAACUGAGAAUGUUGGGCCUUUAGCUGGGCAGACCCAUUAUGGUCUGCAAAAUCUUGUGGGCCUUUAGCUGGGUCGGCCCAUUGUGGUCCGCUAAAUCUUGUGGGCCUUUAGCUGGGCCAGCCGAUUAUGGUCUGCAAAAUCUUGUGGGCCUUUAGCUGGGUCGACCCAUUAUGGUCUGCUAAAUCUGGUGGGCCUUUAGCUGGGCCGGCCCAUUUAAACUUUACGGUCCACUUUUGGGCCCGUCCACGUGUCGACAUAUCAUAGGCCCAUCUUGACCGUUGGAUGAGUGACACCUAUGCCAACGCGGAGCUGACACGUGGUUCCGUCGGCCAAUGAGAAUUUUACACAUGGAAAAUCGGCAUUGGUCGUGGCUGUUAGCGGGUUAUCGGAUCCAAAACCGGACUCGAUAGCUUAAUGGCGCUUAACGGCAUCCCGUUAUGGUGGAUGCCACAUGUCGGUCACCGUUGACAAAAGCACUUUUAUGAUGCGCGAUUUAUCAUCAUGGAAGUGGACACUUCCGUGAUGAUAAUUUUGGUAAUGUCAUGGAACACUUCUACGACAGCACAGGUAUGACUAUAUUGAUUCUGUCAUAAAAUCGUCAUGGAUGUACAUGCAUGACAGAAAACGUGACCUACUGUGACAAACAUGUAUCAUCACGGAAGUAUAUUUUUUUUGGAGUGCGGUUUGUGGUUCUGCAAUUGUUCGGACAGCGGGUUGGAGUUCUUGUAGCUUCGGUCAGCCAUCCCCAACGUACAGGUUACAUCCAACCUUGGCAGGUAUAAAGCUAGUUAUCCCGGCUGCUUGCAGCUAGUUAACCCUGAUGUCUACUACACAACCUUCUUCUUGUAGACGUUGUUGGGCCUCCAAGUGCAGAGGUUUGUAAGACAGUAGCAAAUUUCCCUCAAGUGGAUGACCUAAGGUUUAUCCAUCCAUGGGAGGCGUAGGAUGAAGAUGGUCUCUCUCAAACAACCCUGCAACCAAAUAACAAAGAGUCUCUUGUGUCCCCAACACACCCAAUACAAUGGUAAAUUGUAUAGGUGCACUAGUUUGGCGAAGAGAUGGUGAUACAAGUGCAAUAUGGAUAAUAGAUAUAGGUUUUUGUAAUCUGAAAAUAUAAAAACAGCAAGGUAGCAAGCGAUAAAAGUGAGCGUAAAUGGUGUUGCAAUGCUUCGAAACAAGGCCUAGGGUUCAUACUUUCACUAGUGCAAGUUCUCUCAACAAUAAUAACAUAAUUGGAUCCCUCAACGCGCAACAAAGAAUCACUCCAAAGUCACUAAUAGCGGAGAACAAACGAAGAGAUUAUUGUAGGGUACAAAACCACCUCAAAGUUAUUCUUUCCGAUCAAUCCAUUGGGCUAUUCCUAUAAGUGUCACAAACAGCCCUAGGGUUCGUAGUAAAAUAACACCUUAAGACACACAUCAACCAAAACCCUAAUGUUACCUAGAUACUCCAAUAUCACCACAAGUAUCCGCGGGUAUGAUUAUACGAUAUGCAUCACACAAUCUAAGAUUCAUCUAUUCAAACCAACACAAAGUACUUCAAAGAGUGCCCCAAAGUUUCUACCGAAGAGUCAAGACGAAAACGUGUGCCAACCCCUAUGCAUAAGUUCACAAGGUCACUGAACCCGCAAGUUGAUCACCAAAACAUACAUCAAGUAGAUCACGUGAUAUCCGAUUGUCACCACAGAUAAGCACAUGCAACACAUACAUCAAGUGUUCUCAAAUCCUUAAAGACUCAAUUCGAUAAGAUAACUUCAAAGGGAAAACUCAAUCCAUUACAAGAGAGUAGAGGGGGAGAAACAUCAUAAGAUCCAACUAUAAUAGCAAAGCUCGCGGUACAUCAAGAUCGUGCCAUAUCAAGAACACGAGAGAGAGAGAGAGAGAGAGAGAGAGAUCAAACACAUAGCUACUGGUACAUACCCUCGGCCCCCGAGGGUGAACUACUACCUCCUUGUCAUGGAGAGUGCCGGGAUGAUGAAGAUGGCCAUCGGUGAUGGAUCUUCAGCAGGGUGCCAGAAUAGGGUCUUGAUUGGUUUUUGGUGGCUAUAGAGGCUUGCGACAGCGAAACUCCUGAUCUAGGUUUAUUUCUGGGGGUUUCUUUAUUUAUAGGAAUUUGUGGCAUCGGUCUCACGUCAGGGGGGUCUCCGAGUCGUCCAUGAGAUAGGGGGCGCGCCCUCCGCCCUCGUGGACGGCCCGGGACUCUCCUGGCCCAACUCUUUUACUCGGGGGGCUUCUUUUGGUCCAUAAAAAAUCAUCAAAAAUUGGAACGUCAAUUGGACUCCGUUUGGUAUUCCUUUUCUGUAGAACUCAAAAACAAGGAAAAACAAAAACUGGCACUGGGCUCUAGGUUAAUAGGUGAGUCCCAAAAAUCAUAUAAAAUAGCAUAUAAAUGCAUAUAAAACAUCUAAGAUGGAUAAUAUAAUAGCAUGGAACAAUCAAAAAUUAUAGAUACGUUGGAGACGUACCAAGCAUCCCCAAGCUUAAUUCCUGCUCGUCCUCGAGUAGGUAAAUGAUAAAAACAGAAUUUUUGAAGUGGAAUGCUACCUGACAUAUUUAUCAAUGUAAUCUUCUUUAUUGUGGCAAGAAUAUUCAGAUCCAUAAGAUUCAAAACAAAAGUUUAAUAUUGACAUGAAAAUGAUAAUACUUCAAGCAUACUAACAAAGCAAUUAUGUCUUCUCAAAAUAACAUGGCCAAAGAAAGCUUAUCCCUACAAAAUAAUAUAGUUUGGCUAUGCUCCAUCUUCGUCACACAAAAUAUUCAAAUCAUGCACAACACCGGUUUCAGCCAAGCAAUUGUUUAAUACUUUAGUAUUCUCAAACUUUUUCAACUUUCACGCAAUACACGAGCAUGAGCCAUGGACAUAGCAGUAUAGGUGGAAUAAAAUAUGGUGGUUUUGGAGAAGACAAAAAGGAGAAGAUAGUCCACAUCAACUAGGCGUAUCAACGGUCUAUGGAGAUGCCCAUCAAUAGAUAUCAAUGUGAGUGAGUAGGGAUUGCCAUGCAACUAAUGCACUAGGGCUAUAAGUGUAUGAAAGCUCAAAAACAAACUAAGUGGGUGUGCAUCCAACUCGCUUGCUCACGAAGACCUAGGGCAUUUGAGGAAGCCUAUCAUUGGAAUAUAAAAGUCAUGUUCUAUAAUGAAAAAUUCCCACUAGUAUAUGAAAGUGACAACAUAGGAGACUCUCUAUCAUGAAGAUCAUGGUGCUACUUUGAAGCACAGGUGUGGAAAAAGGAUAGUAACAUUGCCCCUUCUCUCUUUUUCUCUCAUAUCUUUUUUUAUUUUGGCCUUCUCUUUUUUAUGGCCUCUUUGUUUUUCCUUUUUUUUAUUUUCUUUUUUUCGUCCGGAGUCUCAUCCCAACUUGUGGGGGAAUCAUAAUAUCCAUCAUCCUUUCCUCACUGGGACAAUGCUCUAAUAAUGAUGAUCAUCACACUUUUAUUUAAUUACAACUCAAGAAUUACAACUCAAUACUUAGAACAAAAUAUGACUCUAUAUGAAUGCCUCCGGCGGUGUACUGGGAUGUGCAAUGAAUCAAGAGUGACAUGUACGAAAGAAUUAUGAACGGUGGCUUUUCCACAAAUACGAUGUCAACUACAUGGUCAUGCAAAACAAUAUGACAAUGAUAAAGUGUGUCAUAGUAAACGGAACGGUGGAAAGUUGCAUGGCAAUAUAUCUUGGAAUGGCUAUGUAAAUGCCAUAAUAGGUAGGUAUGGUGGCUGUUUUGAGGAAGGUAUAUGGUGGGUGUAUGGUACCAGCGAAAGUUGUGCGGUACUAGAGAGGCUAGCAAUGGUGGAAGGGUGAGAGUGUGUAUAAUCCAUGGACUCAACAUUAGUCAUAAAGAACUCACAUACAUAUUGCAAAAAUCUACAAGUGAUCAAAACCAAGCACUACGCGCAUUCUCCUAGGGAAGGGUUGGUAGGAGUUAACCAUCGCGCGAUCCUGACCUCCACACAUAAGGAUGACAAUCAAUAAAUAAAUCAUGCUCCGACUUCAUCACAUAACGGUUCACCAUACAUGCAUGCUACGGGGAUCACAAACUUUAACACAAGUAUCUCUCAAAUUUACAACUACUCCACUAGCAUGACUCUAAUAUCACCAUCUUCAUAUCUCGAAACAAUCAUAAAGAAUCAAAAUUCUUAUAGUAUUCAAUGCACUUUAUAUGGAAGUUUUUAUUAUAUCCCUCUUGGAUGCCCAUCAUAUUAGGACUAAAUUCAUAACCAAAGCAAAUUACCAUGCUGUUCUAAGAUACUCUCAGAAUAAUAUAAGUGAAUCAUGAGAGUUCAUCAAUUUCUUCAAAAAUAAAACUACCAUCGUGCUCUAAAAAGAUAUAAGUGAAGCACUAGAGCAAAUGACAAACUACUCCAAAAGAUAUAAGUGAAGAUCAAUGAGUAGUCGAAUAAUUAUGCAACUAUGUGAAGACUCUCUAACAUUUAAGAAUUUCAGAUCUUGGGAUAUUGUUCAAACAGCAAUCAAAACAAAAUAAAACAAAAUGAUGCUCCAAGCAAAACACAUAUCAUGUGGUGAAUAAAAAUAUAGCUCCAAGUAAAGUUACUGAUGAACGAAGACGAAAGAGGGGAUGCCUUCCGGGGCAUCCCCAAGCUUAGUUUCUUGGUUGUCAUUGAAUAUUACCUUGGGGUGCCUUGGGCAUCCCCAAGCUUACGCUCUUGCCACUCCUUAUUCCAUAGUCCAUCGAAUCUUUACCCAAAACUUGAAAACUUCACAACACAAAACUCAACAGAAAACUCGUAAGCUCCAUUAGUAUAAGAAAAUAAUCACCACUUAGGUACUGUUGUGAACUCAUUAUAAAUUCAUAUUGGUCUUAUAUCUACUGUAUUCCAACUUCUCUAUGGUUCAUACCCUCCGAUACUACUCAUAGAUUCAUCAAAAUAAGCAAACAACACAUAGAAAACAGAAUCUAUCAAAAACAGAACAGUCUGUAGUAAUCUGUAACUCUCGAAUAAUUUUGUAACUCCAAAAUUUUUGAAAUAAAUUGGUGGACGUGAGUAACUUGUCUAUUAAUAUUAUGCAAAAAUAAUCAACUUAAAAUCACUCUUAUGUUAAAAAUGACAAUUAUUCUUGUGAGCGCAAAGUUUCUGUUUUUUACAGCAAGAUCGCAUUAACUUCCACCCAAGUCUUCCCAAAGGUUCUACUUGGCACUUUAUUGAAACAAAAGCUAUAAAACAUGAUUACUAAGAUUAAUCAUGUGGACACACAAAAAUAGUAGGGGUAAAUAUUGGGUUGUCUCCCAACAAGCGCUUUUCUUUAAUGCCUUUUUAGCUAGGCACGAUGAUGACAAUGAUGCUCACAUAAAAGAUAAGAAUUGAAACAUAAUAGCAGCAUCAUGAAGCAUAUGACUAGCACAUUUAUGUCUAACCCACUAUGCCUAGGGAUUUUGUGAACAAACAACUUAUUAGAACAAUAAUCAACUAGCAUAGGAAGGCAAAACAAGCAUAACUUCAAGAUUUUCAGCACAUAGAGAGGAAAUUUGAUAUUAUUGCAAUUCCUACAAGCAUAUAUUCAUCCAUCAUAAUAAUUUUCAGUAGCAUCAUGAAUGAAUUCAACAAUAUAACCAUCACAUAAAGCAUUAUUUUCAUGAUGCACAAGCAUAGAAAUUUUAUUACUCUCCACAUAAGCAAAUUUCUUCUCAUGAAUAGUAGUGGGAGCAAACUCAACAAAAUAACUAUCAUGUGAGGCAUAAUCCAAUUGAAAAUUUAAAUCAAGAUGACAAGUUUCAUGGUUAUCAUUAUUCUUUAUAGUAUACAUGUCAUCACAAUAAUCAUCAUAGAUAGCAACUUUAUUCUCAUAAUAAAUUGGAACCUCUUCUGAAAUAGUGGAUUCAUCACUAAAUAAAGUCAUGACCUCUCCAAAUCCACUUUCAUCAAUAUAAUCAUCAUGAAUAGGAGGCAUGCUAUCAUCAAAAUAAUUUUGCUCAUCAAAACUUCGGGGACUAAAAAUAUCAUCUUCAUUAAACAUGGAAUCCCCAAGCUUGUAGCUUUGCAUAUCAUUAGCAUCAUGGAUUGUCGGGGAAACUGAUCCACGAACACCUAUGGGACCGGCGGACCGAGCCCCUUUCGGUUCGGCGGGGGGCGGAGAUCACAUGAAGAGCAGGUCGAGGCGAAGCACACGAGCGGUUUACCCAGCUUCGGAGCUCUCCGGAGAGAUAAUACUCCUACUGCUGCUUGUCUGAUUGUAUUGAGUUCUUGCUCGAGAGCGCUGAGUGCUACAGUGCACUCUAGCUGCUAACGAGACCGAGCGUGAGUGUUUUCUGGCUUCGAACCUCCCGAACCCCCCUCUAUGUUGCGCAUGGGCCUCCUUUUAUAUGCUCAAGGGGUCACCGACAGGUGGCCACGUAGACAAGGGUAAAAAUGGAAAAGGAGUAGCGGUUGGUACAGCUACCUGUACAGUGUAUCCUACCUAACCCUGACGGUAGGGGACAAAGGCAUUAAAUGCCCGUCUAUGUCGCCCAAAUAGUGCAAAAAGGGACCGUCAGGGACGCCACCGCUCGCCACGAUGGCAAUCUUGUCAGCGCUGCUUGCCACCGUGCACCGCUGGCUGCAUAGCCUCUCGCCACACGCGCCUGGAAAGGUCCCAGGGCGACACGUUGGUGGAUGUGCUGGAGCGCAGGUGCAGAGCGAUAGCUUGUCGCGGCAAACGCCUUGCCGCGGUCGUUGUCUUGUCGCGCUCGGAAACUUGUCGCUCACCGGGCCUCGCCGGGACGCGUGGCGCGUCGCGGCAAGUUCCUUGAGAUGCCUUGGUUGGCCUUCCCGGCAAGCUCCUCUUGCCGGGGCCUUGUCUCUUUGGCUUGAAUAUUUUGUUCAUGUGCCUUGGUCGGCCUUCCCGGCAAGCUCCUCUUGCCGGGGCCUUGUCUCCUUGCGUGAAUACUUUGUUCUUGAAUGGCUCCACAGGAACCACAGAGGACCUUGGCGGUUGCCCGGCAAGCCCUGCCGCGGGGUGCUGCAACUGCCCGUGCACAAGUUCGGGAUACUAGGGUACCCCUACUCUAGUACACCGACAGGAGCCCCCGGGCCUGGGCCACACAUGGUGCCGAGCGUUGUUGGGCCAGGCCCAAAACAGGGCACGGGCACGCGCGGCCUGGGUUACGCUGUAUCUUACUCCGUAUCCACCGCGCCCUCCCCGAACGGCACGCGUUGAAUGCGGCAUCAUGGGAGAGAUCGUGGGUGGUUUCUUUAAUCGGAAAGACGGAACGCCCGCCCCCUCCCCCUUUAUAAGCAGGGGAAAUAGGGGCAGUUCGCCCAUCUCGCCGGUUGCUGCUCCAAUCUCAGAAAUCUCCGUCGCUCCCUCCCUCUUCCCAAAGCCGAAAGAGAGCAGCGCUCCGCCCCCCAUCGCCACUAGCAUCACCAACGCUGUUGAUCUCCCCCACCACCUCCGCCAUGGCUCCGAAAGCCGACAAGGGGAAGGUCGUGAAGUCGGCCGAGGCGCAGCGGCUCGCGGUGCUGCGGAUGGNNNNNNNNNNNNNNNNNNNNNNNNNNNNNNNNNNNNNNNNNNNNNNNNNNNNNNNNNNNNNNNNNNNNNNNNNNNNNNNNNNNNNNNNNNNNNNNNNNNNNNNNNNNNNNNNNNNNNNNNNNNNNNNNNNNNNNNNNNNNNNNNNNNNNNNNNNNNNNNNNNNNNNNNNNNNNNNNNNNNNNNNNNNNNNNNNNNNNNNNNNNNNNNNNNNNNNNNNNNNNNNNNNNNNNNNNNNNNNNNNNNNNNNNNNNNNNNNNNNNNNNNNNNNNNNNNNNNNNNNNNNNNNNNNNNNNNNNNNNNNNNNNNNNNNNNNNNNNNNNNNNNNNNNNNNNNNNNNNNNNNNNNNNNNNNNNNNNNNNNNNNNNNNNNNNNNNNNNNNNNNNNNNNNNNNNNNNNNNNNNNNNNNNNNNNNNNNNNNNNNNNNAGGAACUGAGGGAGUACUACUACCUCUUCUGGUCGAUGGAGACGCGAGCGCAUCCGCGCACAAAGGUACUCCCCGUUGCCGCUUCGGAACUGGCUCCAAAUGGGUACCCCUUCUUCGCGCUGUUCUUCUACUGCGGGCUCUGCCCGCCUUUCUCUGAAUUUUUCUGCGACAUCAUGAACACCUACGGGUUCCGCCUCCUUGACUUCACCCCCAAUGUUGUCCUGACCAUGGCAGUUUUCGCACAUCUCUGUGAAAACUUUGUCGGAGUCCAUCCCAACGUAGCUCUUUUCCGCCAUUUCUUCAUGCCCCGGGUAGAGAGAGGAGAGCCCUUAUCCGGUGGAAUCGCCUGGAUCUCGAGGACUGGCAAGAAGGAGGCCUAUCUGGAGGGAGAGCUCCGCAGAAAGUGGCUGGAAUGGAGGGCAGAAUGGUGCUGGAUCGUCGAGGAGAACCCGCAGCCCUUCACCGCCCAGCGCCAAGUCCCAAUAGCACGCGGCAAUGAUUGGAGCAACGUGGCCCCGGAAGACGACAAGCUGAGGAUUGCCGUCACCCGGAUCCUAUGCCUUAGGCUUGCCGGGCUCACCGUAGGCGCCGUUGGCGCAGAUUUCCUUCGCCGCCGCAUCGCCCCCCUGCAGGAGAGGAGGAGACCCGCCUGGGAGUCCCAGAACUCGGCGGAUAUCAUGAGGCUGCGCCCGGGCCUCAACUUCAACUUCACUGUCCUGGAGCUGGACGUGAUGCUCCUGGAACUGUUCAAGCGCGAUCCUCAACAUCCAUUCAUGUUGCCGAGGGGUGUGAUUCCGCUGUGUAACAACUCCUCGCUCGACCGCAUCCGGGCAAUGAUGCCGUUGUGCGAUUCACAUGGGAUUGUCCCAACUUGGCAAGAGCCUGCCGAUGACGUCGUACAGGAGUUCUUCGACAGCUUGGUAGAAGUGGCGAUCCGCUCUGAUGAACAGAAGAGCCUCACCCGCGACACCACCGAUGCGGAGAUGCAGUGCAUCGCCACCAGGCUGGAAGAGGCGGCGGCAGCAGCUGCUGCGGGCGAGUUUGGAUUCACCGUGGAGGAGGCAGAGGCAGCAGAGGCGGCAAGCCUUGCCGAGCGAGAGGAGUUUGCCGGCGAGGAAGAACUUGUCGGGCCUGAAGCUGAGUCGAGCGAGCCCGGCGAGGGAGAGCUUGUCGGGCUCGAACCUUCAGGCAGCUCGUCGCAAGCGGAGCCCCCAGCUCCACCAAGAAGGCGUCUCCGCAGGGCCGGGGACGUAGCGGAGCGGCAGACGAGUCAACAGCCGCCGAGCCGUGCGACACGCUCUACUACGGCAAGCAGUGCUGCUGCGGGAGUGCCUCACGCCGCUGCGGUAACUGGAGCGGGGUCUUCCCGAUCCACCGCCACUGCCCCUGCCAAGCGGGCAAGGGAACCCACUCCUCCGCCUCGUCGCACCGGAGGCGAGCCGGACUUCGAUCUUUCCGCGCUCAGCUCCGACGAGGAAGAAGAAGAGUAAGACUCUUUACUGUACUUGUAAUUCUUCAAUUUUUGUUGCUUUGUCUUGUAUCUGACUUGCUUCACUCUGAACCCAUUCCUUUUCAGGACGCUGGCCCAGAGAGCGGCGAAGAGAGCCAAGGCCCCGGUAAUUGUCAUCGAGGACAACCCCACUGUGAUGGCAGGGGACAUGUCCGAGACUACCUUGCCGGACCCGGCAACCCUUCCUCCAAGCAGCCCCCAGCGCAGCCCCCAGCGUAAGUAUAUGGUUUAUUUCCUGCUGUUGGGCGCGCAUGGGUGCUUUUUCUUUGCUGAUAUCUGACUUUGGCUUGUGUAGGAGCAGAGCAGCCUCACCAGGAGUGCCCGGAAGCCGCUCCCGAAGUGCCAUCUGCUUCAACUACACCGCCAAGGGAGAAUUCCCCGGCACGGGAGCGUUCUCCGGCAAGGGAGAAUUCUCCGGCAAAGGACCGUUCUCCGGCAAGGGAGAAUUCUUCGGCAAGGGGCAGUUCUCCGGCAAGGGACAGCACUAGCGACCCUCCAGUGGUUGAGGCCACGACUGCAGGUCCUAGCACAGGUAAUCCUUCUGCUUGAAAAUUUCCCUUGGGCUCUUCUUCUUCUGAUUUUUCUUUUUGGAUGUUUGCUUGACUUCUCUCCCUUUUUCCGUUCGUCAGAUCCAUCUGCCAUGGAGCCGAUGGAAACCGAGGCCGUCGGCGAGGAGAACGCGCGCAGCAGUGUUGACGACGUCGUCGCCACCGAAGGAGAAGCCAGCGCUGAUGAUCCCGCCAGCGAAGAGGCCGCCAAGGCUGCCGCCGCAGAAGCCGGCGAGGGAUCAGGCGAUUGCACUGACAGCCCCGAGGCCGCAGGAGCGCUAGGCGCUACGCCGACCGCCGAUCCUUCUGCCGCUGCUGCAGCGCCAGGCUCCGAAGAGCCCCAGCCCGGCGCCUAUCUGAAGGCCGGCGGCGGCAUCUUCAUCAAUCUCCCCUGGGCAUCAAGCUCCAGGGCGCCGGUUGAAGGAGAGAUGCUGGAUGGAGAAGUGCCUAGCGCCAAGCAGCAGCAGCGACGAGCCUGAGGAGGAGCGGCUGCUGCGGAAGCUGUUAUCGCUGUACCGCGCCCGACAAGCCAAGCUGGUCUCUCGAGAAGCACUUGUCGCGAAGGCGGGAGUAGACAUUGAGAAGCGCGCGGAGGAGCUCCGGAGUUUCAGGCAGGAAGCUCUCCGGGCCCUGGCAGAGGAGCGGGAACAGGUCGACGAGGAGCGGAAGGCCUUCCUCCUCGAGAAGGCUGAAAUUGAAGAGCGACGGCGACUUCUUGCCGAGAAGUUGUCUGCGCAAGAAGGCGAGUUGGCGCAGCGCAAGGUCAACCUUGACAGCCACGAGGAGGAGCUUGCCGCGCGCGAGCAAACACUCGGCGGGGCUCUCAAGGAGGCAAAGGAUGCUGCCGCAGCCACCAAGGCCGCCAAGAAGGAGCUGGAGACGAAGAUGGCGCAGCUGGAAGCCGAUCUCAAGGCGAGCGGCGAAGAGCUUGCUGCGCUCAAGCGCGAGCGCGAGAAGGACGCCGCUGCUCAUGGUGAGCUGCAAGGUCGUCUCGCUGAGAGGAGCAAGGAGCUCAGCGCUGCCAAGGACUCCAACGCAGAUCUCGAGUUGAAGCUGGCCACUUUGACUCAGACGCUAGACGGCGCCAGGGAGCGGGAAGCGGCCUUGUCGGAGAAGAUCAAGGCCGACGAGGCGCUGCUGGCGAAUGCUGCUGCCGCCCAGGACACUUUUAGGGAGACCGUGGAGCAUUGGACCGAGGGUCUUGUGGAUGCUGCCGCGGCCAUCGACAAGGAGCUGGCGCAGCUGGGGAUGGAGGAUUUCGGGUACUCCUCCGAUGAGCACCUCCAACCUAGCGCCAAGCUCAGCUUGUUCUUCGAAGGCGUGGUGACGGCCCUCCAGCGACUCCGGGAGAAGAUCCCAAAGCAGCUGGCCGACGAGUCGCGCAAGAUCUGCGCAGGGGCUCUCCAGAAGGUGCUGGUGAAGGUGGCCUUCCGCAACCCAGGCCUCAACCUCACCAACGUCCUCAGGUCCUUGCCGCCGGAUGCUGACCUAGAAGCGCUCAAGGCCCUUGUCGCACCCAUUGUGGACAAGGUGAGCGGGAUCAAGAGGGUUGAGGGCGAUCGUGUAGAUUAGGCCGCCCAUUUUCUCUUUUCCUUGUCGCUGCUGGUCAUGUUACGACACAAACUGUUAGAGCUGCGACAAGCUAUCUUGUAAUACGACUUUAUUUUGGAUAGCAAUUGCUAUGUUAUCUCCUUUACUUGAUUCCUUCCUUUGUAUGUUUUUGCCCUACGCUUUUAGGGAACUUGUCGGCGCAGGCACCUUAGCCGUGAGCGCUGAGUGCGGAACGUCAGCAGCCUGCUGGCGGUGCCGCUGCCGACAAGAAACCUUGUCGCAACUAGUCGCAGCUCACUUAAGUUGUUGAGCGGACUCGAAACAAAAUAAGGGCGCAACUAGCUACGAGUUGGUUCCUCCGCGCACAGGUUUUCCAUACAAAGCAGGGUCGUUCGAGGAAGAUAACUUAAAAAGUAAAACUGAUUGCUCAAACUUUGGCAACUUAGCUUUUCUCUUAGCUUUUCUGUCGUUUGUUUUCCGGUAAGGCGAAAACUUCCUUGAACGACGCCUGGUCCACACCAUUAUCUUCUCCUUUCCCCCCGGCAAACUUGUGUGCGAGGGAACUUCCUUCCUUUGAGAAAUAGAAAGAAGAGAAAAUAAUGAUAUGGAGCCUUACGGCUCGUUAUUGCUUACCGGGGGUAGGCGCUGCACAAAGUGUUAGAUACAUGCAUGCAAAGAAAAGUAGAAAGCAUGAAAUUGACAAGAUGUGCAGAGCACAUGAGCUUUACUUAUGCACGGGAUCUGCGCCCGGCUUUGUACAAAGGAUUACAUGCAACAUCGGCAAGACUUGUACAAAAGGUGGUUGCCGGAAUAGGUUCCGGCAACCGCGCCUUACGGGUAAAACUUACGAAGAUGCUCAAUGUUCCAGGAGUUGCUCACCGGAAUGCCAUCUUCGGUCUCAAGGCGGACAGCGCCAGGCCUAGUGACUCGUUUCACCCGGUAAGGGCCUUCCCACUUCGGCGUCAACUUGUUGGAAUUCUUGGCGGACUGAACGCGCUGAAGAACAAGGUCGCCUUCCUCGAGACUUCUGGCAUUAACUUGGCGGCUAUGGUAGCGGCGCAAAGCUUGCUGGUAUCGAGCAGCUCGUACAGCAGCCUGAAGACGGUCCUCCUCAAGGAGCAGCGCGUCGUCUUGUCGCAGCUGCUCUUGCUCAAGCUCAUCAUAAGCGAGCACUCGAGGCGACCCGUAUACGAGUUCCGUGGGGAGAACAGCCUCUGCUCCAUAGACUAGAGCGAAAGGUGUCUGGCCAGUGGCUCGAUUUGGCGUCGUCCUGACCGACCAAAGAACCACCGGCAGCUCCUCAAUCCAGUUCUUUCCGCACUUGCGCAGCCUGUCGAAAGUUCUGGUCUUGAGCCCGCGCAGCACUUCAGCAUUUGCCCUCUCCGCUUGACCGUUGCUUCUCGGAUGGGCAACAGAAGCGAAGCAGACCUUGGCGCCAAGAUCUUGGACGUACUGCAUGAAGGUGCGGCUCGUGAAUUGCGUGCCGUUGUCGGUGAUGAUCCUGUUAGGGAUCCCGAAGCGGCAAACAAUCGACCUGAAGAACUUGACUGCUGACUGUGCUGUCACCUUCCUCAUUGCUUCCACUUCCGGCCACUUUGUGAACUUGUCGAUUGCAACGUACAAGUACUCAAAGCCCCCGACAGCUCGGGGAAAGGGACCGAGGAUGUCGAGCCCCCAGACCGAAAAUGGCCAGGAUAAAGGGAUCGUCUGGAGAGCUUGAGCUGGCUAGUGUAUCUGCUUGGAAUGGAACUGGCACGCUUCACAUUUGGUUACUUGUGCAGUUGCAUCCUGGAGGGCUGUCGGCCAAAAGAAACCAUGCCGGAACGCUUUGCCGGCAAGUGCUCUUGCGCCAAUGUGGUGACCACAUAUGCCUCCAUGUAUCUCUGCCAACAGCUUUUGUCCGUCUUCCCGGUGAAUACACUUCAAUUUCACGCCGUUGAGUCUUCUUCUGUAUAGUGUGUUGUCGACAAACUGGUACAUACUUGACUGUCGGGCUACUCUUUCCACUUCUUCUUGCUCUUCGGGAAGUUCUCCUAUCUGAAGGAAACGGACAAUUUGCCGUGCCCAUGCUGGAGCUUGCGGCUUGACAACAAGGACUAAAGGCACAUCUGCUGCUGUGGGAACAUCCGCUUCUACGGCGAGAACCUGAGGCUCAGCCGGAGCUUGAUGUUCCCCGGCAAGCUUGCCGGAGCAAAGCUUGUCGGGAGCGUCUGCUUCAACGAAACAAACCUUAAGGCUUGCCGGAGCAGACUGCUCCUCAGCACCCUUGGCGUUGAUCUUGGGGACCUUCUUGGCGGCGGCUUUGGGGAGCUCUGCCGGAGAAUAGUCACCAGAAAUCAACUUCCUCUUAUUGCUCUGUCCAGUUGAUGGCGUUACAGACGGUUGAGUCAGCUUGAGCACAAAGAUCCCUGGUUCCACAGGUAACUUAAGUGCGGCGCACUUUGACAGGCCAUCGACAAUGUCGUUCUGAGCUCUUGGAACAUGUUCCAUUUGUAGGCCGUCAAAGUGCUCUUCUAGCUUUCUCACUUCAUCAACAUAAGCUUCCAUCAACGGGCUCUGAUAAUUCUUGUUCACUUGGCGGACGACAAGGUGUGAGUCACCCUUGACAAUGAGCUUCUUGAUCCCAAGGUCUGCUGCGAUCCUGAGACCGGCAAGCAAACCUUCAUACUCUGCGGUAUUGUUUGUUGCUUGCUCCUUGGGAAACUGCAUCUGGACUACGUACUUGAGGUGCUCUCCGGUGGGUGCGACAAGUAGCACGCCCGCACCGGCGCCUUGCAGCGAGAAGGCACCAUCAAAAUACAUCAGCCAUUCUUUGCUUGCUUCCUUGACGGGGAUGCUUGUCUCCGAAAUUUCUUCAUCUUGUGUUGGCGUCCAUUCUGCUAUGAACUCUGCCAACGCUCUGCUUUGGAUAGUUGAAGUGAUCUCAAACUUAAGGCCAAAGCUUGAUAGUUCCAGUGCCCACUCGACAAUCCUGCCUGUUGCUUCUGGAUUUUGCAAUAUCCUCUUCAGCGGAAAACGAGUGACGACUGUGAUUUCAUGUGCUUGAAAGUAAUGGCACAGCUUUCUCGAGGCCAUGAGAAGGCCGAAAAGCAAUUUCUGCACACCAGCGUACCUUGACCUAGCCCCCUGCAGAAGGGAACUGACAAAGUAAACUAGGCGCUGCACCAUUCUUUUCUGCAUCUUCUCUCGCGUCUGCGCGGAUCCAUCUUUGUCGGGACCAGAGCUUGCCGGUGAAGUCUCGUGCUUGUCGCUGGAUGCAUCUGCCGUGGUUGCUGGCUCAUCAUCCGCCUCCCUCUCCGCUACUAACGCAGCACUAACCACUUGAUUGGUUGCCGCUAUAUAUAGCAGCAACUUCUCUUGUGGCUUAGGUGCGACAAGUGUUGGAGCGGAGGACAGGUAUCUCUUCAAGUCCUGCAGCGCAGCCUCCGCCUCCGGAGUCCAUUUCAUUGGACCUGCCUUUUUCAAUAUUUUGAAAAAUGGCAGGGCGCGCUCAGCAGACCUAGAGAUAAACCUGCUGAGAGCAGCUACGCAACCGGCAAGUCUUCGUACAUCCUUGACGCGCUUUGGGGCUUCAAUCUGCUCAAUGGCCUUGAUCUUGUCGGGAUUGGCUUCGAUUCCCCGCUGAGAUACGAAGAACCCGAGAAGCUUGCCGGAGGGGACUCCAAACACACACUUCUCGGGGUUAAGCUUGAGGUUGAUCUUGCGCAGAUUUGCAAAGGUUUCGUCUAAAUCUUGAAUCAGAGUCGCCUUGUCCUUGCUCUUGACCACUAUAUCAUCCAUGUAGGCUUCCACAUUUCUGUGCAUUUGCGGCUCAAAAGCGUAAUGGACUACCCUUGCAAAUGUUGAACUAGCAUUUUUAAACCGAAAGGCAUCCGUACAAAACAGUAUGUGCCACAUGGGGUGAUGAAUGCGGUCUUCUCCUCAUCCUCUUCUGCCAUGAAGAUCUGAUGGUACCCUUAGUAUGCAUCAAGAAAUGACAGCAAGUCACAUCCGGCCGUGGAGUCAACAAUCUGGUCGAUGCGCGGCAAGGGAAAUGGGUCUUUGGGACAAGCUUUAUUGACAUCGGUAAAGUCGAUACAAAGUCUCCAUUUCCCGUUUGCUUUGCGCACGACUACAGGAUUGGCCAACCACGUAGGAUGGAGCACUCCUCUGACAAGGCCUGCUGCCUCCAAUUUCUUGAUUUCUUCUGCGAUGAAUUCUUGGCGCUCCACUGCCUGCUUCCUAAGUUUCUGCUUGACGGGCCGCACAUGAGGGCAGACGGCAAGAUGGUGCUCGAUUACUUUCCUGGGAACACCGGGGAUGUCAGACAGUUGCCACGCAAACACGUCGACGUUCGCCCGCAGGAAAGCAACGAGUGCGCUUUCCUAUUUAGGGUCGAGAGUGGCACUGAUGGUGAAGGUACCACCAGUGCCAUCCUCCUUGGCGGACACCUUCUUGGUCUCUGGUGGAGCUGCCAUUGUCUUCUUACACUUGCCAGUGGAGCUCGAUGGUGCGUCCUCGACGGUAGCGCAGCACUCCAAAGAGGUGCGCUUGCCGGAGUGGGCAUCAGAACUCUUGCCGGACUCGGUCUUCUUCUUCGCCCCGGGAGCUUCAACGGCAAGUGACUUGCGAUCUGUUGCGGCUGCUGCUUCCCGGUAGAUCUUGUCGGCGCAGAUAAGGGCAUCCUUCUUGUUGCCAGGGACAGAGAUGACACUUAUCGGGCCUGGCAUCUUUAGCAUGUUGUAUGCAUAGUGAGAGGCUGCCAUGAAUUUGGCGAGUGCUGGACGGCCGAGUAUCCCAUUGUAAGGCAAUGGAAAGUCAGCAACGUCAAAAGUGACCCUCUCAGUCCUGAAGUUUAACUCGCUGCCCAAUGUCACCGGCAACGUGAUCUUUCCCUUCGGCUUGCUUCUUCCCGGAUUGAUUCCUUGGAAUGUGCCGGUCUCUUCGAGCUCGCUAUCAAGGAUCUGGAGUUUCUGGAGCACCGCGGAGGAGAUUAGGUUCAAGCCGGCCCCGCCAUCAACUAGCAUCUUAGUGACCUUGAGGUUGCAGAUAGUUGGAGAAACCAACAUCAGCAAGCACCCGACCGCAGUUAUGCGAUCAGGGUGGUCCUCAAUAUCAAAGAUGAUAGGUGUGCUGGACCAUUUCAGAGGCUUGCGUGACUCGACGGGUGGCUCUGCUGUGUUAACUUCCCGCAACCACUGCUUGAGCUGGCAGUGGGAAGUAUGUAGAGAAGCACCGCCGUCAAUGCACAGGACCUCUGUGGCUUUCUGGAACUCCUGCUCAUCGGUCUCGUCAUCAUCCAUAUCUUCAUCGUUGUCGUCAUCUGCAUCCUUGUCGCGGCCGCGGGGAGGUCUAUCUCCUUGCCGCGACGUCCUCCUUGGCCGGGGCGUUUCUUGCCGGCUCCUCUAGCACCUUCCUGGGCUUUCUCCUUGUCGCGUCGCUCGUAUUCAGCCUUUUGCUGCUCAACAAGCUGCUCGACCUUCUUGCAGCUCUGGAUGUCAUGGCCCUUGGUGCGGUGGAUCUUGCCGUACUGCUUGUUGGUGUCGUCCUGCUUGUCGGCGACCGCCACAGCCUGGUAGUUAGUGCCACCGGAGCUACCAGCUUUGGCUUUCUUGGCGCCACCUUCGUUGCCGGACUGCUCAACGACUAGCACAUCUUUGCCUUUCUUCUUCCUGUUGUUCCGCCACUGGUUUUUCUUUGCCGGGGCGGCCUCUUCGCUGUCAGACCCUCCUGCUUCUGUACUCUCUCCGGGGAGUUUCCUCCCUUCCUCAGCACGUGCGCACUUGUCGACCAGGGCAUAUAGCUCACUGACGUCUCUGAUCUUGCACAUCGCCAUCUCCUCCCGCAUCCUGCGGUUUCGCACGUUAUGAUGGAACGCGCUGAUUACCGCGGCAGGGUGGACAUCUGGGAUGUUGUGCUGCACGCGGCUGAAUCUCUGAAUGUACUUGCGCAGGGACUCUCCUUCCUUCUGGGCGAGCAGAUGAAGAUCGCUCUCCUAGCCAGGAGGCUUGUGGCCACCUGUAAAGGCGCCGACAAACUGGUGGUAUAGGUCUGGCCAGGAGGAUAUGGAGUUGUUCGGCAAGUGCAUGAGCCAGGAUCUGACAUUGGGCUUCAGCACCAGCGGGAAGUAGUUGGCAAGGAUCUUGUUGUCCCGCCCCCCAGCAGCUUGCACCGCGAUGGUAUAGAUGCUGAGGAACUCCGACGGAUGCGACUUGCCAUCAUACUUCUCUGGUACAUCUGGCUUGAAAUUCUUCGUGCUGGGCCACUGGACUUGCCGCAGCUCACGAGUGAACGCAGGGCAACCUACCACGUAUGGCAAGUCGCCUGGUUCCCCUGGUGCAUGCAUGUCGACAGAGGGCCCGGCGCGCUGAUCCGAUUGACGCCGCGCUUCUCUUCGGCGCUCGAUGCGGGUUCGAGCAUCUUCUUGCUGUCGUUCGUGAAGAACUUGGCAUUGAUCGCGACGAGCUCGUGGAUCUGACGAUGCGGUGGAGUCGUUGUCGAGGUGGAUCCGGCGAGUCGGCGAUCUUGGCCUUCGGGGUGGAGAGUGCUUGGUGGUUGCACCCCCACCGGUUUCGUCGCCAUCGGCCCGUGCCCGGUCGUCCUGCCGCGGAGUGUCGCCGUUGGCGAAGCCGAUGAGACUCUGAAUGGUGGCCCUCCAUUCAUCGAUCUUGUCUGACGUUGGAGGGUAAUCCAGGAGCAGUUGAGCUCGCGCCAAAGCUUAUGCUGGAGUGGUGGGCGGCAGUGGCGAACGGUGCGAGGAGCGGGAUAUGCUCGGACUUCUAACUAUGUUAGAAGGAGCAGUAUCCCGUCCAAGCGACCGUGCCUCGCUCGUGCCAGCAUGUUGGCGUGCAUGCUGGUCUCGAGCAUCCCGAGAUCCUCCAGCUCGAUCUUGGUCCAACAAACGUAUGGUACUACGAACACCAUGAUGCUGUCGGUCCUGCGCCUCUUGAGACGGGCGCGGUGCAUGUACGGACGCCGAGGUCUGCGCGGCCUUGCCCUUGGAUCUGGCAUCGCCGUGAGCUCCCUCGUCAAUGUCCGUUCUUCCGCCGGUGUCUACCACACCACCCGUUUGCUCCGGUGGUGGUGGGAUCGACGUGGACGGAACAGCUGCCGCCGAAGUCUUCUUCUUCGGUGGCAUGUCGAUGGAGAAGAUGAAGAUCUAGCUCAUGUGAAUGCCGGAUUAGGUUCACACAACCUCGACGCCCCCUACCUGGCGCGCCAAAGAUGUCGGGGAAACUGAUCCACGAACACCUAUGGGACCGGCGGACCGAGCCCCUUUCGGUUCGGCGGGGGGCGGAGAUCGCACGAAGAGCAGAUCCAGGCGAAGCUCACGAGCGGUUUACCCAGCUUCGGAGCUCUCGGAGAGAUAAUACUCCUACUGCUGCUUGUCUGAUUGUAUUGAGUUCUUGCUCGAGAGCGCUGAGUGCUACAGUGCACUCUAGCUGCUAACGAGACCGAGCGUGAGUGUUUUCUGGCUUCGAACCUCCCGAACCCCCCUCUACGUUGCGCAUGGGCCUCCUUUUAUAUGCUCAAGGGGUCACCGACAGGUGGCCACGUAGACAAGGGUAAAAAUGGAAAAGGAGUAGCGGUUGGUACAGCUACCUGUACAGUGUAUCCUACCUAACCCUGACGGCAGGGGACAAAGGCAUUAAAUGCCUGUCUAUGUCGCCCAAAUAGUGCAAAAAGGGACCGUCAGGGACGCCACCGCUCGCCACGAUGGCAAUCUUGCCAGCGCCGCUUGCCACCGCGCACCGCUGGCUGCACAGCCUCUCGCCACGCGCGCCUGGAAAGGUCCCAGGGCGACACGUUGGUGGAUGUGCUGGAACGCAGGUGCAGAGCGAUAGCUUGUCGCGGCAAACGCCUUGCCGCAGUCGUUGUCUUGUCGCGCUCGGAAGCUUGUCGCUCACCGGGCCUCGCCAGGACGCGUGGCGCGUCGCGGCAAGUUCCUUGAGAUGCCUUGGUUGGCCUUCCCGGCAAGCUCCUCUUGCCGGGGCCUUGUCUCUUUGGCUUGAAUAUUUUGUUCUUGAAUGGCUCCACAGGAACCACGGAGGACCUUGGCGGUUGCCCUGCAAGCCCUGCCGCGGGGUGCUGCAACUGCCCAUGCACAAGUUCGGGAUACUAGGGUACCCCUACUCUAGUACACCGACAUGGAUAUUCAAGGAAUUCAUACUAACAACAUUGCAAUCAUUCUCAUCACACAAAGAUUUUAUGCCAAACAUUCUAAUGCAUUCUUCUUCUAUCACUUGGGCACAAUUUUCCUUUCCAUCAUUUUCACGAAAGAUAUUAAAAAGAUGAAGCAUAUGAGGCACCCUCAAUUCCAUUCUUUUGUAGUUUUCUUUUAUAGACUAAACUAGUGAUAAAACAAGAAAGUAAAAGAUUCGAUUGCAAGAUCUAAAGAUAUACCUUCAAGCACUAACCUCCCUGGCAACGGCGCCAGAAAAGAGCUUAGUUGACGGGGUGUUAGUGCCGCUUCCUAUCCUCCCCGGCAACGGCGCCAGAAAAGAGCUUGAUGUCUACUACGCAACCUUCUUCUUGUAGACGUUGUUGGGCCUCCAAGUGCGGAGGUUUGUAGGACAGUAGAAAAUUUCCCUCAAGUGGAUGACCUAAGGUUUAUCAAUCCGUGGGAGGCGUAGGAUGAAGAUGGUCUCUCUCAAACAACCCUGCAACCAAACAACAAAGAGUCUCUUGUGUCCCCAACACACCCAAUACAAUGGUAAAUUGUAUAGGUGCACUAGUUCAGCGAAGAGAUGGUGAUACAAGUGCAAUAUGAAUAGUAGAUAUAGGUUUUUUUGUAAUCUGAAAAUAUAAAAACAGCAAGGUAGCAAGCGAUAAAAGUGAUCAUAAAUGGUGUUGCAAUGCUUCGAAACAAGGCCUAGGGUUCAUACUUUCACUAGUGCAAGUUCUCUCAACAAUAAUAACAUAACUGGAUCAUAUAUCAAUCCCUCAACGUGCAACAAAGAGUCACUCCAAAGUCACUAAUAGCGGAGAACAAACGAAGAGAUUAUUGUAGGGUACGAGACCACCUCAAAGUUAUUCUUUCCGAUCAAUCCAUUGGGCUAUUCCUAUAAGUGUCACAAACAGCCCUAGAGUUUGUAGUAAAAUAACACCUUAAGACACACAUCAACCAAAACCCUAAUGUCACCUAGAUACUCCAAUGUCACCACAAGUAUCCGCGGGUAUGAUUAUACGAUAUGCAUCACACAAUCUCAGAUUCAUCUAUUCAAACCAACAAAAAUUACUUCAAAGAGUGCCCCAAAGUUUCUACCAGAGAGUCAAGAUGAAAACGUGUGCCAACCCCUAUGCAUAAGUUCACAAGGUCAAUGAACCCGCAAGUUGAUCACCAAAACAUGCAUCAAGUAGAUCACGUGAUAUCCCAUUGUCACCACAGAUAAGCACAUGCAAGACAUACAUCAAGUGUUCUCAAAUCCUUAAAGACUCAAUCCGAUAAGAUAACUUAAAAGGGAAAACUCAAUCCAUUACAAGAGAGUAGAGGUGGAGAAACAUCAUAAGAUUCAACUAUAUAGCAAAGCUCGCGGUACAUCAAGAUCGUGCCAUAUCAAGAACACGAGAGAGAGAGAGAGAGAUCAAACACAUAGCUACUGCUACAUACCCUCAGCCCCGUGGGUGAACUACUCCCUCCUCGUCAUGAAGAGCGCCGGGCUGAUGAAGAUGGCCAUCGGUGAUGGAUCACCCACUCCGGCAGGGUGCCAGAACAGGGUCCCGAUUGGUUUUUAGUGGCUAUAGAGGCUUGCGGCGGUGGAACUCCCGAUCUAGGUUUAUUUCUAGGGGUUUCUGUAUUUAUAGGAAUUUGUGGCGUCGGUCUCACGUCAGGGGGGUCUCCGAGUCGUCCACGAAAUAGGGGGCGCGCCCAAGGGGGUAGGGCGCGCCCUCCACCCUCGUGGACGGCCCGGGACUCUUCUGGCCCAACUCUUUUACUCCGGGGGACUCUUUUGGUCCAUAAAAAAUCAUCAGAAAUUGGCACGUCAAUUGGACUUUGUUUGGUAUUCCUUUUCUGUAAAACUCAAAAACAAGGAAAAACAGAAACUGGCACUGGGUUCUAGGUUAAUAGGUUAGUCCCAAAAAUCAUAUAAAAUAGCAUAUAAAUGCAUAUAAAAGAUCUAAGAUGGAUAAUAUAAUAGCAUGGAACAACCAAAAAUUAUAGAUACAUUGGAGACAUAUCAAUCCCUCCCGAUUCGAUCCUACGACGUGAAGAUCGGACAACCCUCGGGCAUGAACUCGUUCAUUGGGUUCCCACCUAUCAUCUAGCAUCAGAGCCUUUGUUGACAUGGUAGGAUCUGUUAUUCGAGUUUAUCUUGCUACCAUCCCUUUAGAUCGAGUGUUUUUCAUGCUAUAUUUUCUGUCCUAGAAGUCCAAAGCCCCACCACCAAUAAAUUCAAGCCUUGUUGGUGCUGAGAUGUUGUUGUUGCAUACCUUGCAUGUUCUUCAUCUUUUAGAUCUACACCAAGUUUAUCUUGUAAUUUAUUUUAGAUUUGGUUGGUGUGCUUUGGAAAAAGAGAGAGAAAAGAGUGGCAAAAAAGAAUCAAAGAGGGAAAAAAGAAUGGCAAAAAAAGUCAAGAGAGAAAAAGAAAGUGUUGUGCAAGAUCCAAAAGAUUCAGCUUGGUAGAAAAAUUUCAGAAGCUUGUGUGUUGUGUGUUUUCUAUCUUGGUGCAAAGGUCCAGCACAUCCAUCCACAUAUUUUCUUGAUUUGCAUCAACUUGAUUUCAGCACAAGCCCCUUUUUGUUUACCCCAUCGAGCUCCACCAAAAAAGCGAAGCUAGUUCUUUGAUCCCUGUCUUUCAAUCGCUUUAACACAUCUGGGAGAAGCACAAUCUGAUGUGAACUCAUAAGAACUUCGGUGAGUAAGAGGUGAGGUUGUGUGAUUCCACAAAAAUUAUCCUAUCCCACUUUUCAGCCCCACUAACAUGGCAGGAACUGCAUCGAGUGAUCAUGGAGAAGAUCAAGGGGAAGAAGAUGCCCCAUUCACACGUGCCGAGUUUCUGGAAUUACAGAACAUGGUUCUAGAAUUUCGAAGGAGGCUUAACGAGCGUCUUCAAGCAAGUGGUGAUGGGGUCCGACACUGCAAUACCCUGUUUAUCAUGAAGUGCAGCAAAGAAGACAUGCUCAAGGGCAUGAUGUUGUUGCUCGUGGGCGUGUCACUACUACUCAAGAAGUGCAACAAGGAGCACAUGCCCGAGGGCAUGGUGUUGCUGCUGCUUAUGGGUGUGGCGUUGUUUCUCCUGAAAUGCGGCAAGGAUGGCAUGCUCGAGGGCAAGCUACCGCUACCCCUAGGUGUGUCGCUGCUGCUCAUGAAUCGCAGCAAGGAUGUCAUGCCUGACGGCAAAGUUACGGCACCCGUCGACACACUAACGACCCACCGCAAAGGAUGACCGUGGUUGAUGAACCGACUCUGGUGAUUCAUAGCCCAUGUUUACCUAAGAAGCUCACUCCUAAUGUUGGCAUCUCAACCACCACCACUGUCCCAACAUCCAGGAAACAUGCGCCACAAAUUCCAUGUGAGGAAGAGAGUCCACAAUCCAAAAUACCACAACUUGAGAGUGAUAAGAAAAGCAAGCCGAGUGACUCCACCAAAAGUGAGGAAGAGUGUCCACUUUAAAAAAUUCCACCACUCGAGAGUGAAAACAAAAGUGAGUUGAGUGACUCCACCAAAUGUGAGGAAGAGUUUCCACUUUCCACAAUUCCAUAUAUUGAGAGUGAUAAGGAAAGUGAGGUGAGUGAGUCCACAAAAUGUGAGGAUCAGAUUGUUCAUCAUGAGAUUAGAGAAAUGCAAGAUCUCCACCUAGAUAUACCACACAUUCAGGGAGAGAGGAUUAAUGAGUUGUGUGAGUCCACAAAAUGUGAGAUUGAGAUCAUUCCACGGCUCAUUAGAGAGAUGAGUGAUCCACAACCCAAUAUACCACACAAUAAGAGUGAGAGGAUAAGUGAGUUAUGUGGCUCCACUAAAUAUGAGGUUGAGAUUUUUCAAUAAGAGAAUAGCGAUCCGCCACCAUGGAAAAAUAGUAGUCCACCAAAUGAAAAGAGAGUGGAACAUUCAAUAACUAUCCUUUCACAAAAUUCUCUUUCUUUGCAAUAUGUGCAGUUGCAAAAGGCAUACCUAUCAGCUCUCUUGCAACGAUGGGAGAUUGAGAUACAAGAGCAAAUAUGGAGGACAUGGAACACCACUACACAAGGUGCGUGUGUGAAGAUUGAUUUUCAGAAAGGCAUUCAAGUAAUCAAUUAGGUAAAACAAAAAGGAUCUUCCAUUUUGAUGAAGCCGGAGGUAUGCACUUAUGAGUUUUUGAAGCAAUGGCGUGAUAAGAUUAGAGAAAAAUUGUUUGGUACAUCAACCAUCUAGCAAUAUGAUUUUGCUAAUCUUGAAGAGGCUAUAAAAGAUCCAAUAAAACUGAAUGUUGCACAUGAUUAUUUAUCAUUUUCUUUUCCUAGUUAUUUUGUAUUGUCCUUGUGCUAUAAUUUUGCAGGCCAAAUGAAGUUGAGGACGACUUUUAUCCUAAAGAGGGAGGCUGAUAUGGACAUGGUCAUGGUUAGUUAUAAAAUUGUACUCCAUGGAAUAUUUGCUGGAAGGAACUCCUAAGUCGAACAAAGCAUCAUAUUGACAUCAUCCAUAAGCUAGCAAAGUUGAAAACUAAAAUUCUCUAUAUCAUGAAACCUUUGCAUUAUGAUUUGUUAUUGCCCUGCUUUCUUUUGUGUUAUGCCCAGGCAGAGUCAAGGAUGAAUCCUUUUCAAGAGAGGGGGGAUGAUGAGGACAUCUUGGUCACUGAAACAACACUUAUCAUCCCUAAACAAACUUUAAGUUGUGACAAACAAAUACAUGGUCAGAUGCAACACAAUUCAAAGGUGAAAGCUACAAAUGAGGUUUCCAUUAUUCCUUUUCAUGGAUAUUAUCUACUUAUCUUUUGUAGAUCAAAGAGAGUGAAGGACGACUCUUCAUCAAGGGAGGGAGGAUGAUGAGCACAUGGGAACAACAUACAUAACAUUUCAGAAAAGUGCACAAUUUAGUUGGAAGGAAUUACUAAGCCGAAUCAAGCAAACACAUGACCAUGUGAACGCUAACUUAAGUUUACCUAGUAACCUUGAUGACACAACUAUGCUUUCAUCCCCAUUGUUUUUGUUUGAACUUAGGUAUCACAUGGAAGAAAUCCAACAACGUAUGAUAUCUUGAAGCAACCGGUCUGGAGGAACAAGUUUGGAGAAAACAAGUUUCAAGUGAAGCUGAUGCUAUCAGAUUUUACCUCUGAUGUUUCGUUGUGCCACACCCAUGUGGUGGAGAGACGGGGCCAUAGGGGUACAUCACUAGAAGCUCCAUCAAAUUAUCUUUCCAAUGCAAAAAAAUCUCACAUCAUUUGGAGUUGUGAGCCAAAAGUUGUAGUCAUUCUCGUGGAAGGUGUUCAGGUUGUCAAGAUUUCGAGAAUUUCCAAGGAGCUCUCCAAUAACUCCCAAAGUUGACUGCUUAUUCUCCCAAGGAAGCCAUGCAAACCUUCUUACUUUUGAAACCAUUUUCACACCUAGCUAAGGGGGGUUGUCCCUGCUAUAAAACCCCAUCUCCCCCAUCCUCUUAGAAACCUUUUGUCAAACCAUUCAGCUACAAGUUUAUGCAGCAAGACUGCUAGAGAGAUCCGAGAGAUCCUUGCUACCUUAGCUCUUGUGAGUUCAUCCGGAUUCGCGAGAAGGAGCCUCUAGUUCCCCCUAAUUUGUUCUCUACGGUUCCGGCUGUUUUGUGUGGGUUAGUCCCGGUUUGUGGUUCUGCGAUUGUUCGGACAACGGGUUGGAGUUCUUGUAGCUUCGGUCAGCCAUCCCCAACGUACGGGUUGCAUCCAACCUUGACAGGUAUAAAGCUUGUUAUCCCGACUGCUUGCAGCUAGUUAUCCCUCCCGAUUUGAUCCUACAACGUGAAGAUCAGUCCACCCUCGGGCGUGAACUCGUUCGUCGGGUUCCCACCUACCACCAUAUCUUCGUUGAACUAGUGCGCCUAUACAGUUUACCAUUGUAUUUGGUGUGUUGGGGACACAAGAGACUUUUUUAUUAUUUGGUUGCGGGGUUGCUUGAGAGAGACUAUCUUCAUCCUACGCCUCCCACAAAUUGAUAAACCUUAGGUCCUCCACUUGAGGGAAAUUUGCUACUGUCCUACACAACUCUGCACUUGGAGGCCCAACACGAGUCUACAAGAACAAGUUGUGUAGUAGACAUCACAAAUGUGUACGACCAAGAUCAACGACUCACGGAAAGAUAUCACAACACAACUCUAGACACAAAUUUAAGUCAUACAAGCUUUAUAUUACAAGCCAGGGGCCUCGAGGGAUCGAAUACAUCAGCUUGAACACAAGCAAUUCAGCAAAAGCAAUAAUAUAUAAGUGCAGACAUAAGUUAAACAAGUUUGCCUUAGGAAAGCCAGCGCAAAACUAGCAUCGAUCGAAAAGGCAAGGCCUCCUGCCUUGGAGCCUACUAUCUACUCCAGGUCAUCGUCGAUCUCCAUGUAUUAGUAGGCACCAUCGGGGUAGUUGUAGUCGUCAGUAGUGGCAUCUGGCUCCUGGGAUCCAUCAAAUGAUCGCAACAACCGGAAAGAAGAAAGUAGGGGGGGAAUGGGUAGCAAAGCAACCGUGAGUACUCAUCCAAAGUACUCGCAAGCAUCAUAUUUAGACUAAGUAUGCAUUAGUAUCAAAGUAAUGAGAUGUUACUGUGGACUGAACUGCAGAAUGCCAGAAUAGAGUGGAAGGCCUAGCCUAUCGAAGACUAGCAUCUUGUAGCAUUCAGAAGAGUAGAUAACAACAUGUUAUAAUUAACAAGCAUGUUGUAGUAUUUACACCCAUAGAUCCUUCCUCGAAUCCCUGCAAGAAAGCAAUCCUGGAGCCAUCAUAUCCAUCUCAUGUGUCAAGUAUCCAUUUCUAGUUGUAAUAGAUCGGGAUACAUCUCCGAGCGUCCAUUAUCAUGGAUAGGGAUAUUCGAAUGGAUAACUUCCCUACAGGGGUGCACCACAUUACCCAACACACUUGAUUACUCUAGCCAGACACACUUUCCUGGGUAAUGCCCAGCCUUAGAAGAUCAACAUGUCGUAGUCCUACCUAGGCUCCCUAGAGAGGUCCCCGUCGGUCAACAUCCUAAGCGCUCUGGGGUCUUGGGACCAUUGCCCUUUACACUCUGAUACGUCUCCAAUGUAUCUAUAAUUUAUGAAGUAUUCAUGCCAUUAUAUUAUCAUUCUUGGAUAUUUUACAAUUAUUUUAUAGCAACUUCAUAUCAUUUUUGGGACUAACCUAUUGACCCAGUGCCCAGUGCCAGUUGCUGUUUUUUGCUUGUUUUUUACAUUACAGGAAAUCAAUAUCAAAUGGAGUCCAAACACCGCGAAACUCCUUGGAGAAUUGUUAUGGACCAGAACACCCAGGAUGGGCCAGACCAUCACCUGGGGGUGUCCCAAGGGGGCACAACCCACCAGGGCGUGCCUGGGCCCCUAGGCGCGCCCAGGUGGGUUGUGACCACCUCGGUGGCCUCCCGCACCCCUUCUUCGCCCUAGAAAAUCCCAAAUAUUCCAAAACCUUCAGGGUAGCCCUAGAUCAGAAGUUCCGCUGCCGCAAGGCCUCUGUAUCCACGAGAUCCAAUCUAGACCCCGUUCCGGCACCCUGUCGGAGGGGGAAUCAUCACCGGUGGCCAUCUUCAUCAUCCCGGCGGCCACCACGAUGAGGAGGGAGUAGCCCACCCUCGGGACUGAGGGUUUGUACCAGUAGCUACAUGUUUAAUCUCUCUCUCUCUCUCGUUUUCUUGAGAUGUCACAAUCUUGAUGUAUCACGGGCUUUGUUAAUAUAGUCAGAUCAUAUGGUGUUUUCCCCUCUCUAUCUUGUUGUGAUGAAUUGAGUUUUUCCCUUUGAGAUUUCGUUGUUAUCAGAUUGAAUAUUUUUACGGAUUUGAGAACACUUGAUAUAUGUCUUCAAAUUGAAUACUCGUGGUGACAAUGGGGUAUCGUAUUAAUUCACUUGAUAUAUGUUUUGGCACUCAACUCGCGGAUUCCGUGACAUUGGGGGUAAUCUAUGCAUAGGGGUUGAUGCACGUUCUUGUCUUUGUUUCUUCAGUAGAAAUCUUGGGGCACUCUUUGAAGUUAUUUGUGUUGGAUUGAAUAUUAUAAAUCUGAAUUUGCUUUGGUGUUAUUUUAGUACUAACUCUAGGAUACAUCGAACGAAAAUAACAGCUUUGUGUUAUUUUAGUAUGAACUCUUGAAUAGAUCAAACGGAAAGACUAGCUUUGAGGUGGUUUCGUACCCUACAAACAAUUCGGUCUUAUGUUCUCCGCUAGAUAGGAACUUUCGAGUGAUUCUUCAUCGCACUUUGAGGGAUGGUUAUAUGAUCCAACUAUGUUAGCAUUGUUGAGAGAUUGCAAUAGUGAAAGUAUGCACCCUAGGCCUCAUUUUCCAUUAUUGCAAUACCGUUUGUGCUCUGUUUUACUAUUUACUACCUUGCUGUUUUUAUUGUUCGCACUACAAAAACUCAUAUCUACUAUCCAUAUUACACUUUUAUCACCAUCUCUUCGCUGAACUAGUGCACCUAUACAAUUUGCCAUUGUAUUGGGUGUGCUGGGGACACAAGAGAUUUCUUUUAUUUGGUUGCAGGGUCGUUUGAGAGAGACCAUCUUCAUCCUACACCUCUCACAGAUUGAUAAACCUUAGGUCAUCCACUUGGGCGAAAAUUGCUAAUGUCCUACAAAACUCUGCGCUUGGAGGCCCAACACGUGUCUACAAGAAUAAAGUUGCAUAGUAGACAUCACACUCCAGGUAAUUGCAUGCAGGGAGGGUCUAGCAACCACCUCUGUCAUGGAUGGCACCGGCCCAGUCGUGCUGCAAUGAUGGACUUGAUAUCUGACAGAUCUUUCGGAAGAAACAUAACGCCGAGUGCCCAUAAUUGUUCCCGCGUGGCGGUUAGUGCGUAUAGGCUAGUGGCCAGCUCAAAUCAAAUACACAAACCCUUAGUGUAUUGGGAGCUUGCGGAGACGAGUAAAGACUCACGAUCAUGUGACCCCAUUGCCCCGUCUCGAGGAAAUAUGGCAAGGCCCAGGCCCAACGCUCUCUCUCUCUCUAGGGUGGUCUACCUGCCCAGUUGUGCCUCGUAAUAAUCCUGUGGGUACCCUCCAGGUCAACCCGAGUUCAGUAACUCUCGCAGGUACCCCUCGAGGCCGACCCGGCUUCAACAAUGGUCUGAAGUAAAGUCCAGGUGACCAUGUGUCCAUAACAUCAAGGGGGGUCCGAGGAAUCAUCUUUGAUGGAAUCUACUUGAUGUAAUCAUCAAGGUGAACUUAGGAGAAAUCACCCUCUAGGUUCAUACUUGAGAUGUUGCACGACAGAGUCAUAUUGGGAGUGGUGAAGGAGGAAUCACCCUCGAUUGACCAUAACCGUUUAAUUACACUAUAGAGAUAUCAUUCGGAGUGUGUUAUGAGGUAUCACGUUCGGCCCUCGUUAGCAGCUCUGCAGAGUCAUACAACUACGGGGGGGUGUAGUGAUGUGUCGGUCUCUGGUCGUUGAUCAUGUUGAUCGAGUCAUCUGGUAAUCCAGCGGGGGCAACAGGGACAAGGUGGGGGUCACUGGUGGAUCACCAUCCAACCUAUACUAAGCGUUUUAGGAUAAGCAUGUAAGGUACAAUGAGCAGGUUACAAAAGCAGGCUAUGCAUCAGAAUAGGAGCAAUCAAGUAUGAUAGCAAAAUCUAAUGCAAGCAUGAGAGAGAAUGGAAAUGGGCGAUAUCAGAAUGACCAAGGGGGGUUUGCUUGACUAGAAGCUCUAUUGAAAUGGAAGAAGAGUCGUCGGUGACGUAGUCGAUCACAGGGGCAACACGGGUCUCGGGGUCUACCGGAGAGGAGAGGGGGAAGAAACAGUAAAUAUAAAGCAAACAGGUGUAACACAGAUGCACGACCUGACAACACGCAGUGCUAGGGGUGUUCUAUGAUAUGUCUCCAAUGUAUCUAUAAUUUUUAUUGUUCCAUGCUAUUAUAUUAUCAACUUUGGAUGUUUUAUAUGCAUUAAUAUGCUAUUUUCUAUUAUUUUGGGGACUAACUUUUUAACCCACUGCCUAGUGCCAGUUUUUAUUUUUUUCCUUGUUUUUGCCUUUCGCGGAAAAGGAAUAUCAAACGGAGUCCAAAUGGAAUAAAACUUUACAAUGAUUUUUCUUGGACCAGAAGACACCUACGGGACUUGGAGUGGGGGCCAAGGGACCGACGAGGUGACGACAAGCCGUAGGGGCGCGCCCUAGGGGGUGCCCACUAGGCUUGUGGCCCCCUCGGGAGUCCCCUACACCGCCUCUUUGGCCUAUAAUUUCCCAAAUAUUCCAGAAACCCUACAGGAGUCGCCAAAAAUACUUUUCCACCGCCACAAGUUUUUGUUCCCAUGAGAUCCCAUCUUGGGGCCUUUGCGGUACUCCGCCGGAGGGGGGAUUCGAUCAUGGAGGGCAUCUACAUCAACCUUGUUGCCCCUCCGGUGAUGUGUGAGUAGUUUACCACAUACCUACGGGUCCAUAGCUAGUAGCUAGAUGGCUUCUUCUCUCUCUUUGAUAUUCAAUAUGAUGCUCUCCUCUAUGUUCUUCGAGAUCUAUUCGAUGUAAUCUUCUUUUGCGGUGUGUUUGUUGAGAUCCGAUGAAUUGUGGAUUUAUGAUUAGAUCAUCUAUGAAUAUUAUUUGAGUCUUCUCUGAACUCUUUUAUGCAUGAUUAAGAUAGCUUUGUGUUUCUUUUCAAUCAUCGAUUUGGUUUGGCCAACUAGAUUGGUCUUUCUUGCAAUGGGAGAGGUGCUUUGUGAUGGAUUCAGCCUUGUGGUGUCCUCACCCAAUGACAGAAGGGGUAGUGAUAUGUCUAUUUUGCAUCAUGUGUACCUACUGUUAUUUAUGUUGUUUCAUUGUAUAAUAAUGCUUUUUGGAGUAAUUCUAAUGCCUUUUCUCUCAUAAUAUGCAAGGUAUACACAAAGGGGAGAAUUCUGGCAGCUCGAAAUCUGGACCUGAAAAAGCUACAUCAGGCUACCUAUUCUGCACAACUCCAAAUGAGCUGAAACUUUACGAGGCUUUUUUAUGGAAUAUUUGAGGAAUAUUGGAGCAAAUAAGUACCAGAGGGGCCCACCAGGUGCGCACAACCCACCUUGGGCGCGCCAGGGAGCCCAGGCACGCCCUGGUGGGUUGUGCUCACCCAGGCCCACCUCCAGAGCCCCUCUUCUGGUACAUAAGUCAUUUUGACCUAGAAAAAAUAAGGAGAGGACUUUCGGUAUGAAGCGCCACCGUCUCGAGGCGGAACCUGGGCAGGAGCACUUUUGCCCUCCGACGGAGCGAUUCCGCCAGGGGAACUUCUGACCAGGAGGGGGAAAUUAUCGUCAUCAUCAUCACCAACAACUCUCCCAUCUUGGGGAGGGCUAUCUUCAUCAACAUCUUCAACAGCACUAACUCCUCUCAAACCCUAGUUCAUCUCUUGUGUUCAAUAUUUGUACCAGAGCUAUAGAUUGGUGCUUGUGGGUGAAUAGUAGUGUUGAUUACAUCUUGUAGUUGAUUACUAUAUGGUUUAUUUGGUGGAAGAUUAUAUGUUCAGAUCCAUUAUGAUAUUUAAUACCCCUCUGAUCUUGAGCAUGAUUAUCAUUUGUGAUUAGUUGCUUUUGUUCUUGAGGUCACGGGAGAAAUCAUGUUGCAAGUAAUCAUGUGAACUUGAUAUGUGUUCGAUAUUUAGAUAAUAUGUAUGUUGUGAUUCCCUUAGUGGUGUCAUGUGAACGUCGACUACAUGAAACUUCACCAUAUUUGGGCCUAAGGGAAUGCAUUGUGGAGUAGUUAUUAGAUGAUGGGUUGCGAGAGUGACAAGCUUAAACCCUAGUUUAUGCGCUAUUCCAUAAGGGACCGAUUGGAUCCAAAAGUUUAAUGCUAUGGUUAGAAUUUAUUCUUAAUACUUUUCUCGUAGUUGAGGAUGCUUGCGAGGGGGUUAAUCAUAAGUAGGAGGUUUGUUCAAGUAAGAAUAGCACCUAAGCACCGGUCCACCCACAUACCAAAUUAUCAAAGUAGCGAACACGAAUUAAGCCAACAUGAUGAAAGUGACUAGAUGAAAUUCCUGUGUACCCUCAAGAACACUUUGCUUAUCAUAAGAGACCGUUUUGGCUGUCCUUUGCCUCAAAAGGAUUGGGCUACCUUGCUGCACUUUUGUUACUACUAUCGUUACUUGCUCGUUACAAAUUACCUUGCUAUCAAACUACUCUGCUACUUACAAUUUUAGCACUUGCAGACAUUACCUUGCUGAAAACCACUUCUCAUUUCCUUCUGCUCCUCGUUGGGUUCGACACUCUUACUUAUCGAAAAGGCUACAAUUGACCCCAUAUACUUGUGGGUCAUCAAGGCUAUUUUUUGGCACCAUUGCCGGGGAGUGAAGCGCUUUUGGUAAGUGGAAAUUGGUAAGGAAACAUUAUUAAUACAUGUUGAAAUUUAUUGUCACUUGCUACUAUGGAAAACAAUCCUGUGAGGGGUUUGUUCGGUGUAUCUUCACCUCGACCGGAACCAUAAUUAGUUGCCCCUCAACCUACUGCACGUACUGAAAAUAUUGAAUAUGAAAUUCUUUCGGGUAUGGUAGAACAAUUGCUAGCUAAUCCUUAUGCGGGAGAUGGAACUGAACAUCCUGAUAUGCACUUGAUAUAUGUGGAUGAAAUUUGUGGAUUGUUUAAGCUUGCAGGUUUACCCGGAGAUGAAGCUAAGAAGAAGGUUUUCCCUUUAUCUUUGAAGGGAAAAGCAUUGACAUGGUAUAGGCUAUGCGAUGAUAUUGGAUCUUGGAACUGGAAUCAGUUGAAAUUGGAAUUUCAUCAAAAAAUUAUCCUAUGCAUCUAGUUCAUCGUGAUCGUAAUUAUAUACAUAAUUUUUGGCCUCGUGAAGGAGAAAGUAUCGCUCUAUCUUGGAGGAGGCUUAAGUCAAUGUUAUAUUCAUGCCCCAAUCAUGACCUCUCAAGAGAAAUUAUUAUUCAUAAUUUUUAUGCUCGGCUUUCUCGUAAUGAUAAAUCCAUGAUCGAUACUUCUUGUACUGGUUCUUUUAUGAAGAAGACUAUUGAAUUCCGGUGGGAUCUUUUAAAGAGAAUUAAAUGCAACUCUGAAGAUUGGGAACUCGAUGAAGGUAAAGAGUCAGGUAUUGAACCUAAGUUUGAUUAUGUUAAAUCUUUUAUGAAUACCGAUGCUUUUCAAAAGUUUAGCACUAAAUAUGGACUUGACUCUGAGAUAGUAGUCUCCUUUUGUGAAUCUUUUGCUACUCAUGUUGAUCUCCCUAAGGAGAAGUGGUUUAAAUAUCACCCACCUAUUAAAGAAUAAAUUAAAAAACCAGUAAAAGCUAAAGAAGAAACUAUCAUUUACAAUGUUGAUCCAGUUGUUCCCACUGCUUAUAUUGAAAAACCACCUUUCCCUAUUAGGAUGAAUUAACAUGCUAAAGUUUCAAAUGUGGUUAACAAAAGUUAUAUUAGAACACCCAAACCAGCUGAACAAAUCAGGGUUGAACCUAGUGUUGCUAUGACUAAAGAUCUUUUGGUCGAUAAUAUCGAUGGGCAUGUUAUUUACUUCUAUGAUGAAGCUUCUAGAAUUGCCAAACCCGAUAAAAAAGAUAGACGUAGACCAGUUGUUGCCAUGCAUGUUGUCUCAGUCAAGAUAGGAGAUCACUAUUAUCAUGGUUUAUGUGAUAUAGGUGCCAGUGUGAGUGCUAUUCCUUUUUCCUUAUAUGAAGAAAUUAAGAAUGAAAUAGCACCUGAUGAAAUAGAAGACAUAGAUGUUACUAUUAAACUUGCCAAUAGAUAUACUAUAUCACCAAUUGGGAUCCUUAGAGGUGUUGAAGUCUUGUGUGGGAAAGUAAAAUACCCUACUGAUUUUCUUGUUAUUCGUCCCCACAAGAUGACUUUUGUCCCAUUAUCUUUGGUAGACCUUUCUUGAACACCGUCAAUGCUAGAAUAGAUUGUGAGAAACAAACUGUCGGUGUUAGCUUUGGUGAUGAAUCUCAAGAAUUUAAUUUUUCCAAGUUUAGUAGAAAACCUCAUAAGAAAGAUUUGCUUAGUAAGGAUGAAACUAUUGGUCUUACUUCUAUUGUUGUACCUCCUACUGAUCCUUUAGAAUAAUAUUUGCUAGACUAUGAAAAUGAUUUGCAUAUGCGUGAAAGAAAUGAAAUAUAUAGAAUCUUUUUCGAACAACAACCUCUGCUUAAACACAAUCUGCCUAUUGAAACUCUAGGAGGUCCUCCUCCACCUAAAGGAGAUCCUAUGUUUGAAUUAAAACAAUUGCCACACACUUUGAAAUAUGGUUAUCUUGAUGAGAAAAAGAUAUAUCUUGUUAUUAUUAGUGUUAACCUUUCAGAACAUUAAGAAGAAAGAUUAUUGAAAGUUCUAAGGAAGCACCGAGAUGCUAUUGGAUAUACUCUUGAUGAUCUUAAGGGCAUUAGUUCCACUCUAUGUCAACACAAGAUUAAUAUGGAAUCUGAUGCUAAACCCGUUGUUGAUCACCAACGUUGGUUAAAUCUGAAGAUGAAAGAAGUGGUAAGAAUCGAAAUAUUGUAACUUCUAGAAGCAGGUAUAAUGUAUCCUAUAGCUGAUAGUAGAUGGGUAAGUCCUGUUCAUUGUGUCCCUAAGAAGGAAGGUAUUACUGUUGUUCCUAAUGAUAAGAAUGAGCUUAUUCCACAAAGAAUUUUCACGGGCUAUAGGAUGGUAAUUGAUUGUAGAAAAUUAAACAAAGCAACUAGAAAAUAUCAUUACCCUCUGCCUUUUAUUGAUCAAAUGUUAGAAAGAUUAUCUAAGCACACACAUUUUUGCUUCCUUGAUGGAUAUUAUGGUUUUUCACAAAUACUUGUUUCACAACCUGAUCAAGAACUUAUGCUUAAAAACGUAUGCCUUUUGGUUUAUGCAAUGCACCUGCUACCUUUCAAAGAUGUAUGAUUGUUAUAUUCUCUGAUUUUUGUGAAAAGAUUGUUGAGGUUUUCAUGGAUGACAUCUCUAUUUAUGGGAAGUCUUUUGAUGAUUGUUUAAGCAAUCUUGAUCGAUUUUUGCAAAGAUGUGAACAAACAAAUCUUAUCUUGAAUUGGGAGAAGUUCCACUUUAUGGUUAACAAAGGUAUCGUUUUGGGCCAUAAAAUUUCUGAAAGAGGCAUUGAGGUGGACAAAGCCAAGGUUGAUGCAAUUCAGAAAAUGCCAUGUCCUAAAGAUAUCAAAGCUAUUCGUAGUUUCCUUGGUCAUGCUGGUUUAUAUAGGAGGUUUAUCAAAGACUUUUCUAAAAUUUCUAGGCCUCUUACAAAUCUUUUGCAAAAGGAUAUUCCUUUUGUGUUUCAUGAUGAUUUUUUGGAAGCCUUCAAAACACUAAAGAAAGCCUUAAUUACUGCACCUAUUGUUCAACCACCUGAUUGGAACUUGCCUUUUGAGAUUAUGUGUGAUGCUAGUGAUUAUGUUGUUGGUGUUGUUCUAGGACAAAGAGUUGAUAAGAAAUUAAACGUUAUCCAUUAUGCUAGUAAAACUCUGGACAAUGCUCAAUGAAACUAUGCUACUACUGAAAAAGAAUUCUUAGCAGUGGUGUUUUCUUGUGAUAAAUUUAGAUCCUACAUUGUUGAUUCUAAAGUGAUUGUUCACACAGAUCAUGCUACUAUAAAAUAUCUUAUGGAAAAGAAAGAUGCUAAACCUAGACUCAUUAGGUGGGUUCUUCCGCUACAAGAAUUUGAUUUUCAUAUCACUGAUAGGAAAGGAGCAAAGAACCCCGUAGCUGAUAACUUGUCUAGGCUUGAAAUUCUUGAUAACCCACAACCUAUUAAUGAUAGCUUUCCUGAUGAAUAGUUAGCAGCAAUAAAUGUUUCUAAUAGCACACCUUGGUAUGCUGACUAUGCUAAUUAUAUUGUUUCUAAAUACAUACCACCUAGCUUCACAUACCGACAAAAGAAAAAAUUCUUCUAUGAUUUAAGACAUUACUCCCACAUCUUUAUAAAGGAGUAGAUGGUAUUAUUAUAUGUUGUGUACCUAAGCAUGAACAGGAAAAAAUCCUACGGAAAUGUCACUCCGAGGCUUAUGGAGGACAUCACGCGGGAGACAGAACCACUCAUAAGGUAUUGCAAUCUGGUUUUUAUUGGCCUACUCUCUUCAAGGAUGUCCGUAAGUUCGUCUUGUCUUGUGAUGAAUGCCAAAGAAUAGGUAAUAUUGGUAAGUGUCAAGAAAUGCCUAUGAAUUAUUCACUUGUUGUUGAACCAUUUGAUGUUUGGGGAUUUGAUUUCAUGGGACAUUUUCCUUCCUCUAAUGGGUGUACUCAUAUUUUGGUUGUUGUUGAUUAUGUUACUAAGUGGGUAGAGGCUAUUCCAACUAGUAGUGCUGAUCACAACACCUCUAUUAAAAUGCUUAAGGAAGUUAUUUUCCCAAGGUUUGGAGUCCCUAGAUAUUUAAUGACUGAUGGUGGUUCACACUUUAUUCAUGGUGCUUUCUGUAAAAUGCUUGCUAAGUAUGAUGUUCCAUAGAAUUGCAUCACCUUAUCAUCUCAGUCUAGUGGCCAAGUUGAACUUAGCAAUAGAGAAACAAAAUUAAUCUUAUAAAAGACUGUCAAUAGGUCCUGGAAGAAUUGGUCUAAGAAACUAGAUGGUGCACUUUGGGCUUAUAGAAAGCAUAUAAAAAUCCUAUGGGUAUGUCUCCUUAUAAAACGGUUUAUGGAAAAGCUUGUCAUUUGCCCAUUGAGUUAGAACAUAAAGCAUAAUGGGCAAUCAAGGAACUCAAUUAUGAUUUCAAACUUGCUAGUGAAAAGAGGUUAUUUGAUAUUAGCUCAUUAGAUGAAUGGAGAACCCAAGCUUAUGAAAAUGCAAAGUUAUUCAAAGAAAAAAUUAAAAGAUGGCAUGACAAAAGAAUCCAAAAGCAUGAGUUCAAAGUUGGAGAGUAUGUUCUUUUGUACAACUCUCAUUUCGGAUUCUUUGCAGGAAAACUCCUCUCCAAAUGGGAAGGACACUAUGUUAUCGAGGAAGUUUAUCUAUCCGGAGCUAUCAAAAUAAAUAAUGAUGAAGGUACUAACCCAAAGGUUGUUAAUGGGCAACGAAUAAAACAUUAUACCUCAUGUAUGCCCAUUAAUGUUGAAAGCAAUAUUAUCCAAACUAUGACACCGGAAGAACACAUAAAAGAAACCUUCCAGAACACUCUAGAAUCAUGAAAAAAGGGAGGUACGUGAUACGGUAAGUAAACGGACUCAAAAAAUCCGCAAAAAUAUUUUUCGUCGGUUUUGGAAUAUUUAAAAAAUUAGGAAAAUAAGAAACUACCAGGAAAGUGACCCUGGUGGGCACGAUACGCGCGCCCUGGUGGGUUGUGCCCACCUCGGGUACUUUCUGGACUCCGUUUUUCUUUUGUUCUGCUUGUNNNNNNNNNNNNNNNNNNNNNNNNNNNNNNNNNNNNNNNNNNNNNNNNNNNNNNNNNNNNNNNNNNNNNNNNNNNNNNNNNNNNNNNNNNNNNNNNNNNNNNNNNNNNNNNNNNNNNNNNNNNNNNNNNNNNNNNNNNNNNNNNNNNNNNNNNNNNNNNNNNNNNNNNNNNNNNNNNNNNNNNNNNNNNNNNNNNNNNNNNNNNNNNNNNNNNNNNNNNNNNNNNNNNNNNNNNNNNNNNNNNNNNNNNNNNNNNNNNNNNNNNNNNNNNNNNNNNNNNNNNNNNNNNNNNNNNNNNNNNNNNNNNNNNNNNNNNNGGAACCUGUUAACCUCCGUCUCGCGGAAAAAUCUUCUGUUUUCUUUUCUUGCUGUUUUUCUGUCAGAUCUAAUCCACCAUGGCUGCUUCAAGCUCCUCCAAGGACAAGUUCUUCGAGAACGUCAUCAACCCAUAUCUGCGGGAGGUGAUGCAGCACCCUCAAGCUAUCCAGAUGCGCGAUGGGGUGCUGCACAUCCACGAUGUGCAAGGCCCCAAGGGAACUGGAUCCAUGGAGGCCAGGCUUGAAGCUAUGGAGCAGGAAGUCUUCCGCUACAAGGGGAUGGUGGAACGUGGACUCAAUGCCAAUCACCUCAUGAUCGCGGACUACACCCGUGAUCUCAAGGUGGAUGGGAAGUCCAUGAAGGACAUCGUCUUAUCCUUCAACGAGCAAAUCAACUUCCUCCAGAGCCAGAUCUAUGACCUCCAAAACCAAGUCUUUGAAUAUGAGGCAAGGUUUAAAGGUAUGAGUUUGGCUGCCAGUUGCAGGACCCGAGAGACUCACUCUUCCUCUUAUGACGGUGAGCCUCUGCCGUGGAAGCCCGAGGACAAGAUCGCUUCUACUUCAUCACCACCACCACCUCCUUAUUCAUCACCAAAAGAAAAUUGUAUAUCGGGUAUGGGCACUCCCCUUGGCUUUCGCCAAGCUUGGGGGAGGUGCCUCGGUAUCCUAUCAUCUCCACUAUCUUUUGCCUUUACUUUUCUUAGUUCGAUCCAUGGUUAUCUUUUUCUUUAGAUGAAUAAAAGUUUAGUUCGAUCCUUUCUUUUCGAGAGUUUGCUUAGUGAUCUAUCUUUGUAAUCGUGUGCGAGAUAUAUAAUAAAGUUUAGUUUGAGUUUUGUUUUCUUUACUUUCUUGUUUCAAUAAAAAGAAAGGAAAUAAAUGAAAAAGAUCAUAUGCUAAUCUAAUGGUAAGUGAUGACAUUGCACAAGGAAAGUAUAAGUAGAAAAAUUUAUUGUAGAUUGACAAACAUAGCAUUGGUCAAUGAUGCAACUCAUUAAAGAAUUAAUAAGGGAAGAGAAGAUUCACAUGCAAAUACACUGUCCUGGAAAUCUUUUGUGAUUGUGAGCACCCAUCGAAAUAUUAUAUGCCAAAAUUGUUAGCAUUGCACAAGGAAGAAAAUGUAAUGAUUUAUGUUUGUUCAUAUUCACAUAGAAGUUAUAUUGUCAUAGAUCCUUCAACAUGUGGUGCUUGCCCCUAUCUUUGCUAGCCAAAAAUUCCGCACUAAAUAGAGAUACUACUUGUGCAUCCAAAACCCUUAAACCCAAAUAUUGUUUGAGAGUCCACCAUACCUACAUAUGGAUUGAGUAAGAUCCUUCAAGUAAGUUGUCAUCGGUGCAAAAAGGGCAAUAAAAAUGCUUUUAAAAGUGUAAGAUCAUUUAGUGUAAGGGAAAAUUGAGCGUUGUACGAACUUGUGAUGGCAAAGAAUAAAAGCGACAGACUGCACAAUAAAGGUUGCCAUCAUAAGGGCCAAUAUAAUGUGACGUCCUCUUACACUAAGGGGUUGAGCAUACAAACAAAAACGCAUGGCAACCUCUACUUCCCUUUGCGAAGGGCCUAUCUUUUACUUUCAUGCAAGAGUCAAAGUUCUUCUCUCUAUUCCUUUCUAUUUUCUCCUUUGGCAAGCAUCAUGUGGUGUGGAAAGAUCUAGGAACAUAUAUCCAGUUGAAUAUGGGUAGCAUGAGUUAUUAUUGUUAACAUCAUCCUUGAGGUGAAUGCGUUGGGAGGCGAAACUAUAAGCCCCUAUCUUUCUAUGUGUCUGGUUGGAAUGUUUUGCUCAUGUGUAUGUGGUGAGUGUUAGCAAUCAUAGAAGACUAAAUGAUGGUUGAGUAUGUGGACUUGCCUAAAGGCUUUGAUACGUGACCCUUCGUGAAAAGAUGAUGAAUUGUAGUUGCAAAGUUGACCGAGAACAUAGUUUGUUGGUUUCCAAUAGAGUUUAUGCUUUAUACUUUGAUGUUGUGAUGAAUUGUCACUUGUUCAUGAGAAGUCUAUGAUAAAAGUUCUAUGUUAAAGUUUGUUGUUGUUAUAAUAAAUUACAUGAUGCUGCUAUGUCUGUAUUUUUGUUUUUAUCGACACCUCUCUCUCUAAGCAUGUGGACAUGUUUUUCGAUUUCGGUUUUCGCUUGAGGACAAGCGAGGUCUAAGCUUGGGAAGUUGAUACGUCCAUUUUGCAUCAUGUUUACCUACUGUUAUUUAUGUUGUUUUAUUGUAUAAUAAUGCUUUUUAAGUAAUUCUAAUGCCUUUUCUCUUAUAAUAUGCAAGGUAUACACAAAGGGGGGGAAUUCUAGCAACUGGAAACCUGGACCUGAAAAAACUACGCCUGGCUACUGAUGUCUACUACACAACCUUCUUGUAGACGUUCUUGGGCCUCCAAGUGCAGAGGUUUGUAGGACAGUAGCAAAUUUCCCUCAAGUGGAUGACCUAAGGUUUAUCAAUCUGUGGGAGGCGUAGGAUGAAAAUGGUCUCUCUCAAACAACCCUGCAGCCAAAUAACAAAGAGUAUCUUGUGUCCCCAACACACCCAAUACAAUGGUAAAUUGUAUUGGUGCACUAGUUCGGCAAAGAGAUAGUGAUACAAGUGCAAUAUGGAUAGUAGAUAAAGGUAUUUGUAAUCUGAAAUUAUAAAAACAGCAAGGUAACAAGUGAUAAAAGUGAGCGAAAACGGUAUUGCAAUGAGUGGAAACAAGGCCUAAGGUUCAUACUUUCACUAGUGCAAGUUCUCUCAACAAUAAAAACAUAAUUUGAUCAUAUAACUAUCGCUCAACAUGCAACAAAGAGUCACUCCAAAGCCACUAAUAGUGGAGAACAAACGAAGAGAUUAUGGUAGGGUACGAAACCACCUCAAAGUUAUCCUUUCUGUUCUAUCCAUUCAAGAGUCCGUAGUAAAAUAACAUGAAGCUAUUUUUUCCGUUCAAUCUAUCAUAGAGUUCAUACUAGAAUAACACCUUAAGACACAAAUCAACCAAAACACUAAUGUCACCUAGAUACUCCAUCGUCACCUCAAGUAUCCGUGGGCAUGAUUAUACGAUAUGCAUCACACAAUCUUAGAUUCAUCUAUUCAACCAACACAAAGUACUUCAAAGAGUGCCCCAAAGUUUCUACCAGAGAGUCAAGACGAAAACGUGUGCCAACCCCUAUGCAUAGAUUCCCAAGGUCACGGAACCCGCAAGUUGAUCACCAAAACAUACAUCAAGUAGAUCACAUGAAUAUCCCAUUGUCACCACAGAUAAGCACGGCAAGACAUACAUCAAGUGUUCUCAAAUCCUUAAAGACUCAAUCCGAUAAGAUAACUUCAAAGGGAAAACUCAAUGCAUUACAAGAGAGUAGAGGGGGAGAAACAUCAUAAGAUCCAACUAUAAUAGCAAAGCUCCCGAUACAUCAAGACCGUAUCACCUCAAGAACACGAGAGAGAGAGAGAGAGAGAUCAAACACAUAGCUACUGGUACAUACCCUCAGCCCCGAGGGUGAACUACUCCCUCCUCGUCAUGGAGAGCGCCGGGAUGAUGAAGAUGGCCACCGGUGAUGGGUUCCCCCUCCGGCAGGGUGUCAGAAAGGGCUCCCGAGAGGUUUUUGGUGGCUACAGAGGCUUGCGGCGGCGGAACUCCCAAUCUAUUGUUGUCUUCGAAGGUUUUAGGGUAUAUGGACUUAUAUAGGCGAAAGAAGUCGGCCAGGGGACGCUUGAGGGGCCCAUGAGACAGGAGGCGUGCCCAGUAGGGGGGCGCCCCCACCCUCGUGGCCACCUCUAAGCUUCCUUGACUUCAACCCCAAGUCUCCUGGAUCACAUCUGUUCCAAAAAUAACGCUCCCGAAGGUUUCAUUCCGAUUGGACUCUGUUUGAUAUUCCUUUUCUUCGAAACACUGAAAUAGGCAAGAAAAGAGCAAUAUGGGUUGGGCCUCCGGUUAGUAGGUUACUACCAAAAGUAAUGUAGAAGUUUAUAAUAAAGCCCAUAAUCAUCCAAAACAGAUAAUAUAAUAGUAUGAACUAGCCGUGUUACCCGCGCAUUUGCGCGUCUAGAUUUUUGUUUAUAAUUUUUAUAUUUGGCAACCAUAAUUUGUCAUUUCAAUGUGUCUUUGUAUUUGAAAAUGUAUAUUAUUGAAGCCUUAUUGGUUGCACACAAUAAUUCAUUCGGAAGGUGCGCCAUAAAAAAUAGUGGGGUUAUUUAUUUUGGCAAUGAAUGUAAAAUUUUAAUAUUUUUUUAUUAAAAGAUCUGCAAUUGUAAAAAAAAUGCUUUCUGAAUGUUUAGAUUGGUCAUGCAUACUUGGUUUUUUUUGCGGGAGAAAUCACUUGGUUUUGAAGUAACUACAUAUUUUCAUUUAUAGAGUGUAAAUGUAUUGUACCUUUUUGUAGGAUCUAUUUGAUAAAGAAUCAAUGGUUGUAUAGUGUUUAAUACCAUUUUAUACCAAAGUUGUACUAAAUCAGCGACACUUUUUUUGGGACUAAGGGUGUAUUAGUUAUUGUCUCUUAUCCCAAAUGUCAUAUCAUGUUAUGAGACUCAUUUUACAUGAUUAAUGUUUUACCUAACUUUUUUUAUCUUUUAAUGUUAACCAUACUAAUUAAAAUCAAUGGACCAGAGAUGGAUGGCCCACGCAAUUGCAUAGCUCGACUUACCAUAUAAUUUUACAUGUAUAUUACUUUUCUCGUUUAUAUAGUAUUAAUAUAAAAUUCAAAAUGAAAAAUUGACAUAAAAGUGUAAUACCAAAAAUGUAUAUCUUGAGAACUUACAUGCAAAUAUUUUUUCAUUAUUUUUGGAAGAAGGUACGUGUUUCCAUUUUAGUAAAUUGGAUUGUAUCCAAGGAACUUUCUAAAUCAAAACAAAGGAUAAAUGGUACUUGUAUAUGUAUAUGCCAUGCAAAACAAUAGAAAUAUUAUUCUAAAACAACAUUGAGUGGUGUAUGACUUUCUCUCAUCUACUCCACAUCCAUGAGGACUAUCUCUCUAUCCAUAAAAUUAUAAGGCACUUGGUUCGUAAAUAAUCAUCUGUCAUCUUCUUCGCUCAUCAUUGGUCGCAUUUCUAAUUUUUACUCCUACAAUAUCAUGUCUUUUAUAUGAUUUCAUGCAUGGCCAUUUUAAUUUAAUUUUCUGUGUCACAUGCCAUUCUAAAGCAAUUUAAUUUCACCAUAUAUUUACUGAAAACUAUUAAGAAUUUUUUUUAUUACUGGAGCUCACCACAACUUGUCCUUCUUAUCAUAUCCACCUUCAUCAACUUAUAUUCCUUUGCAUAACUGACAUGGCACAUUAUGUGCAUGACAUUGUUCCUUCCAUAGCAUUGUAGCCAGAACAUGGUUAUGCUUCCUGGAUAUUUUGUCUGUGGUGACGUACAUUUGUUUUUGUGCUAUAUGGAGCUCAUGCAUGUUAAUAUAUCCAUGAAGCAGAUACAUUUGGUCCUUUUAUUUUCACACUGGUCCUCCAUCGCAUCAUAAAAAAUUCUGUGGAAUGGACAUCAAUUUUCUAUUUGUAAAUUAUAUAUUCCAUAUUAGUGUGUUUCAUAAAAACUAAACUAUUAAUCUGUAUAUUAAAUUUAUAUGAUAUUUGUCCAGGUAUGGAUUCCACAUACUAUUCCUUAUGUUUAAAAUAGAGAUGCAGUCUUUAUCCACCAAGUAAGAGUGUUAUAAAAAACUAAUAUUAAAACUAAAGGAAAUUCUCCAAGGUACAUUGAACUAAAUUGUAGCUCAUGAUGACUUUUAGUCUAUGUGUUGAGGUUUUGGAGAACAGGCGUGGAUUGUCCCUCCCGUUGUUAGGGUUCUCUUCUCUUGAUCCAUAAGAACUUUAUACAUCUUUUGCUUCUGCUUCAUCAAGAUAACACUAUUUUUGAAGGUGAGCCUAUAACAUGCAGAACUUGUACAAAAAAUACACCGUGGAGAAUCUUGUUUAACAAUGAUAAUACGCUACAAAAUCUCCCAAAAAAGCAAGACAUUUAUUUGACGGACCAUAUAAAGUUUUUACAAUGCGGUUUGAGCAGAGAAAAGAAGAAUAUGCUAGAAAAUAUAUCACAUAAAAGCAAAACAUUAGGAAAUUCAUUUAGUAGGCCUUUAUUAUAGUAUAUCAUACGAAAAUGCUCUUUGGAGGCCGAGCACCGUGGAGCUCGCUAUCUUGGGCGUCAGUCUUCACAGUGAUCAGGCGCAGCUACGUAAUUGUCUCAUGUAUUCCAGCCGGCAGGCUUUUACACGGCACCGUAUUGCACAGUGGCAGCACACAUUAACUAGUGGCUGUACCAUCGCACGAACAAGUGCCAUCAUUUAGUACUGGAAAAGAUCACAACCCACUGCCCCUCCGGACAGUUAACAAACCUGCACCACCGUCAUCCUUUUCCGUCAUCCAACCCUCAUCCAACUUGGUAUAUCAAAUUUCUAGGACAAUCAUCAUCAUGUAAUCACCAAAAUAUGUGCGUUUUAUUACAAGAAAUCACCCAAAAACAUAAUUUCUUCCUUGAUAUUUAAAGAAAAAAGAGAAAUUAUGCAUAAUUCGAAAUGAUUUUAGUGACACAUCUUGGAAUGAGUUUUCCUUCACAUGCAUUGUCUAGAUGCUUUUUCCAUAUUACUUUUGCAUUUUUUGUCAGAAAAUUCCGGUGACAAAUUUGUUUUAGCAAUGCGAGAAGCGAUUUUCUAUGCAUGGUGACAGCUACGCACGUAGGAUGGCACCUACACACCCUUUGGCAUAAAUGCCUUUUUUGAUAUAUGAGGUGUUGCCGUGUCGGGUUUCUGAUGACAUUGGUGCAAGCGCCUUUUUGCCGUAUAGAAUGACCUUUUCUCACUUCUCUUUGUCUUUUUAUUUCCCUUUUUACACAAGUGUCUUUUCGUUGUGUAGAAAGAGUCUUUUCUCACUUUUCUUAGUCUUUUUGCUUGCCUUUUUUUGGCACAAUUGCCUGUUUGCUUGCCUGGCUAGUCCAAAGUCAUGAUAUUUUUGUUAUAGAAUUAUUUUUCAUAGUCUAAAAUAAUUAGAGAUAAAUAUUGGGGCCAUGCGUAGCUAUCAUCAUGGGUAGCAAGUUAUUUCUCUAUGCACAAUGCCUUCCUCUCAAAGUCUGGCUCUUUUUGUUUUGCGAGGGAAAGUCUUGCUCUUUUUAACGGGCAACGAUGCAACGACUCCUUAUCCGAUACACAAAUAAGUGUACCCCGCUAAGCUCGCACGUAUACCACAACUCAUUCACUCUAUUGUCAAAUUUUCACACGCUAUACUAGAAGUUUAUUUUAAAAAGAAUCGCCUCGUAGCACUAGUAAUUCUGUUACCAAAUGAAUGUACAUCCUCCUUUAGUUCUUCCAUGUCUACCAUAACUUCCCGUAAAAAAUGUCAUACCAUAACUGCGCCUCAGGUCAACCCCAUGGCACUCCAAGUAAUCGGCGUUUUCCAGAUGUAAAUAUGUUAGGAAAUUCUCAUAUGUUAUACUCACAUGGGAACAAGAUAAAUCACCCAUACGAAAUGAUAGUUUAUGUUCCGGCCCCUCUAGCAAUGGCUGGAAACUAUUCGACUAUUGUCACUCUUCAGAUUUUUAGCCAACCACGGAUGCUACACCAGUGUUCCUAAUCUUUUCAAUUAAGAUGCACUCUAGUAAUUUUAUGGCGGCAUUUGUUUAAGACAAAACUGUAAAAAUAAUUAUGGUAUUUUUUCUUUUUAAAUGAUAUUUCUUAUUUUCUUAAUCAGCUAAAAUAAGAUGCACUCUGCCUGGUGCGGUCAUGUUUUAUUUUUAAAUCAAAUUGGCACACCAGGACCGUCUUGAUUUUAUUUUUAUUUUCUAACUAGCACCACGCUACCUUGCAUGAAGAUUUGUAUAAGGAACUGUUUUGGGGGUUUGUUGCAGCUGAGAUUCCCCGCACACCCAACCGAAUCCCUAAACUAAAACAAGUGUAAUUUUUGACAAAUUUAUGAUUACCCUGAAUUGCAUUUCUCCAAGGAGAAUUCCAUCCCAAUCCCAUCCAUGGCUAAAUCGCUCCUGUUAGCGUGACAGAGAAAAAGGACAAUCGGUCUAAAGAGGCAAACAUGUGCAUCACUUACAAUUAAUAUAUUUUUUGAACAUGACUUCCAGUUAAUUUUUUGGGGGGUAAGGCCUAGUCUUCGUCACUUCCAGUUAAAUGUAACGUGAUUUGAAUCAUUAUUAGCUUUUUUAGGGGUUUGUAUCAUUAUUAGUUGGACCCAUCCAUAUUAAUGACACACUAGGCCGGCCCUGCACCAUAUGUGGAUUAGGCACAUCUGCCACCCAAGCAGAGGCACAUCCGCCCAUGUACAAAUCUAGCACAUCCGCCACGGCACCUGUGUAUUCCCCAUCGUACAUGCAUAUGCUAAUGCACGCUGCACACAUCACAGCAUGUCAACGCAAGGCCUAGAUAACGGCCUCCAGGUCGCUCGGCCUCCAAAAUGCUCCACUCUAUAUCAUAGCUGUUCAAAAUUGUAUCAAAGACUAUACAACUAUCUAUUCUUUAUCAAAUAGAUCCUACAAAAAGGUACACAUUGACACAAUAAAUGAAAUAUGUAGUUACUUCAAAACCAAGUGAUUUCUCCCGGAAAAAAAACAAGUGAUUUCACGUACAUGCAUGAUGCAGGAUGUAGUAAAUUUAGACAACUGCAUAUAGCCCCGUACAGAACGUAUAUAACUCACAUACAUAUCCAGAUAUGAUACGCAGCCUAGCUGGCACGAUCAUAGAUAUGUCAUGUAGUAGCUUUACCCAUAAAGAAUCAAUGAGUAUGAGCAAGACAAAGACUAAUCAGCACACGUCAUCACAUCUAUAUGCAUGCGUACGUGCGUGUUAUGCUUCGGCUGGUGCCCAUAAUUGCAUUGGCCCCUUGACUCAGCUUGAUGGUGAGGCUACCACCGUGAGUCAGCGACCAUACCGCCACGCCGCGGCGUUCCUAUCCCCUGAGACGCGGCUCUGCUCUGCUGCCGCUGCCGUCGGCCGGCGACCGCUACGGGCGAGCUAAUGAUACAAUCAGUUCGUCGUCAUAUUCAUCCUCAUGCCAUGCACAUCCAUAUACGUAUGUCUUCUACUGUUGUUGCACUGUUCAAAAUCGUAGAUUAGGACUUGCAUCCAGCAGCCGGCAUCGGUGUGCAGGGCUUUGGCUAGAAAGAAGGCCUACGUACGGUGUGCCGGCGAUGCCAAGGUGGUCAAGGUCUUUGGCAGCUGGAAGCCCUAUGUAGGCACACGGUCGGUCUCCUUAAUAUAUCCGGCCUUGUGCAAAGCAUAGUAGCUUUUGACUUUAGUAUAUCUGGGACAGACUCCUUCGGAAGGAAUAGCUUUUAGUUCUUUUCUUCUUUUUCACGUCUAUGUGAAUAGCAUCAGCCGGAACCAAUCUAUUAGUAUACGUGUCUUGUUGAACUCUUUGUACAUAACAAUAAUUAUUUGUAUGUAACGUUACAUCUUGACAUCUUAGCCGUUUAUAUCUAAAAUUAAUGGCUUAGAUAAUUUAAUAUGUGUGGAUGAACGUGAUGUCUCGUUUUACUUCUGUCUUAAUUAUAUAAUAGAUAGAUGCUUCAUAAAUUAUAGAUACGUUGGAGACGUAUCGGCUACCUAUUCUGCACAACUCCAAAUGAGCUGAAACUUUACGAGGAUUUUUUAUGGAAUAUGUGAGGAAUAUUGGAGCAAAUAAGUACCAGAGGGGCCCCACCAGGUGGGCACAACCCACCUGGGUGUGCCAGGGAGCCCAGGCGCGCCCUGGUGGGUUGUGCUCACCCAGGGCCACCAUCGGUGCCCUCUUCUGGUAUAUAACCCAUUUUGACCUAGAAAAAAAUGAGGAGAGGACUUUCGGGAUGAAGCGUCGCCAUCUCGAGGCGAAACCUGGGCAGGAGCACUUUUGCCCUCCAGCGGAGCGAUUCCGCCGGGGGAACUUCCCUCCCGGAGGGGGAAAUCAUCGUCAUCAUCAUCACCAACAACUCUCCCAUCUUGGGGAGGGCUAUCUUCAUCAACAUCUUCAACAGCAUCAACUCCUCCCAAACCCUAGUUCAUCUCUUGUGUUCAAUCUUUGUACCGGAACUAUAGAUUGGUGCUUGUGGGUGACUAGUAGUGUUGAUCACAUCUUGUAGUUGAUUACUAUAUGGUUUAUUUGGUGGAAGAUUAUAUGUUCAGAUCCAUUAUGUUAUUUAAUAUCCCUUUGAUCUUGAGCAUGAUUAUCAUUUGUGAGUAGUUACUUUUGUUCUUGAGGUCACGGAAUGUCGGUGUACUAAAGUAGGGGCACUACUUUGUACCCCUUACUAAGUGCACGGGCAGUCAGAACCGCGCUCACAACCACACUAGGCGAGGCAGAGGGAGGAGUUAGAACCACAGAACUAUCAGAAGCCAUGCCAAGACCAGAAGGCCAAGAGAGCAAGGUGGUUCUCCCCGGCAAGAUCCUUGCCGGGGCAGCCUCCAUGGCUCCGACAGGAGCCUUGCUGGGGCAACUUGCCCAAACUAACACCAGCAGAGUGCACCACCCUUGAGCCCCAGUUCCUCUAGCGCCACCAACCGCGUUGGGACCUAGGCUCGGGAGGCGCCUCCAUGAUGGCAUGCAGAUCUUUGUGAAGACAAGGAUAACACUCCAAAUCAGAGGAGGAAUAGAAGACGACGAACCUCGGCGAGAUUCUUGCCGAGGAAGACCACAAGACCCUCGGCAAGAUCCUUGCCGGGGACGACCGCAAUGCCACGGCAAGACCCUUGCCGUGGCCCCGGCAAGGCCCUUUCCGAGGGCGUCCGCGAGGCCGCAGCCAGGCCCGCACCCGCCAAGCUUCUGCCACCGCUCCCAUGCAACUGCCAGCCCACCAGCUGGGCGGGUGCUUGCGUGUCAACGUGAGGCUCCUCGACCAACUCAGCUCAUGCCUACGUGGUGGCAUGCAAAACUUCGUGAAGGCCCUACCACCAUGCCACCUCAGUUGCCUACCAGCUUACAUGGCGCUGACCGCCUCGCUGGCCCAGGCGCGUGUCAAGGCAGGGUGAAGCGGCGGUAAAGUGGAGGGGACACGUCGAAGGCGCAUUAAAUGUGUCUUGUCCCGUAAUGGCUAGUGAUAGGCUUAACCACAAUACCCCGAUGCCACAUCCUGUGUGCCACUGUGGCGAUCCCUUGCCUAUAAAAGGAGGCCCAAGGCAUCCAGGAGAAGGAUUCGGACUUUUGGACAAGUUACGCUCAUUGUAGCUAGUUCAAGAACCUCAAGAACACAGAUAUACACAUCAAAGCAGGACUAGGGUAUUACGCAUCUCUGCGGCCCGAACCUGGGUAAACGACCUGCGUGCUUGUACUGACUGCUGAACCCGCUCUCCUCACCACCCCGCGCCCCGCAACCAUAGUGGGGAUUCUUGUGAUCCCAUAGGUGUCGUUUCCUACCAACAUCUUUGGCGCGCGAGGUUGGGGCGCAGUAGUGAGAAUCUGGUUUAGCAGCUAGUAGCACAGCUCCUCAUCGCCAUGGCUCCCAAGAAGAAGACGACCACAAUGAUCGGUUCGUCCGGGCCGGACUGCCUGUACCGGUGCGGACCAGCAGCGGGCCAGUCGCGGAAAGAACCCGUGGCGCGGCCCGCGAACACCCACAUCAUCCUGGCAGUCCGGGCCCGAUGAGCGGUGUCGUUCGUGCGCUAGGCGACAAGCCACGCGCCACAAACUCUAGAGAUGGAGUUGGGCCCCCCGCAGGUGGCGCGGGGCCCUCCAGGAGCGUCGUCGCGCCGCCAGACGGCAGCGCGGCGACCUCCAAGACACUAACACCGGCGCCCAUGGUGCGCUCUUCUCAGGUCGUGCGUGAUGAGCAGCACCGCCCCGCUGGUGACCCUGGGCGCCGCCCUAGGAAGAGUCCCGUGCGCCCUUCACAUGACGAGGAGGGCCAACAUGCGCGCCGAGGUGUUGGCGAAAAUGGCAGACGGCCGCAGGGCCAUGAUGGAGCUUCUUCUAACAUAGUUAGAAGUCGAAGCGCGUCGCGGUCCACGCAGCUCUCACCGGCGCCCACACUAGCAGAAGCCCUAGCACACGUGCAGCUGCUCCUCGGCUUUCCUCCUGCUGCGGAGAAGCUGGAGAGCUAACGUCCGGAGCCUCGUUGGCAUCGCCUACAAAGAUGAGUUGCGACCGGCGGGGACCGUAGGCCGUCGCUUCGUCGAACCACCGCAUGCCAGCGGUGGAUGGGCCGGGGGCGAUGCGGCCACGGUGCACUCCCCUCCUCCACACCAGCCACCGCGGAUGUCGAUCCGUCGCGACGACGCUCGUGAUGAUAUCUCUGUAGCAUCGUCCGACCCGCGAACCCACCGCAAUCAACGUCAAGUUCUUUGGGAGCAAGCUCAUGAAGACGCUCGAACCACCAUUGAGCGCCGACGCGAUGCGCGCCACCAGUCGGACAGGCAGGUAGGGCCCACUAUGGAACACCCAGCAUCGGGAGGCUACGGUGGCCUACCCUACGAGGUGGGUUGUCCUGCCUUCACCCGUGAGUUGCGGCAGUUCCAGUGGCCCUCUCACCGCAUGUUCAAGCCCGACGUUGGCGAGAAGUACAACGUCAAGACUCACCCGUCGGAGUUCCUCAGCAUCUACACCAUCGCAAUGCAAGCUGCUGGGGCUCGCGAUGAUAAGGUGCUUGCCAAUUACUUCCCGUUGGCACUCAAGCCCAAUGUUAUGUCAUGGUUGAUGCACUUGCCAGUGGACUCCAUUUCUUCUUGGGAGGAUCUGUGUCAUGAGUUUGUUGGCGCCUUUACUGGAGGCCACCAAGCUCAUGGAAAGGCGAGCGAUUUGCAUGUCAUCCCCCAGAAGGAAGGAGAAAACUUGCGCAAGUACAUCCAAAGGUUCAGCCGAGUGCAGUACAACAUCCCAAACAUUCAUCCUACCGCCAUGAUCAGUGCGUUCCAUUAGAAUGUGUGCAACUGCAAGAUGCGUGAGGAGCUGGAAUGAACAAGGUCAAGGACGUGGCCAAGCUGUAUGUUCUGGUCGAUCGGUGUGCUCGAGCUGAAGAGGGGAGGAAGUACUCCGGUGAGGACGCCAGUGCGGAAACCGACUCCACAGAUGACACCGCCGCCCCGGCAAAGAAGGGUCGGCGCCGUAACAGGAAGCGCAGGGACAAGACCAUGCUUGCCGUUGAGGGGUCCGACGACACCAGCACUGCCAAAAAGGCCAAGGCAAGCAACCCCGGCAAGGAGGUUGCCGGGUGUGCCGCUUGUCGGGCCUUGGCAGCUACCGACAAGCCAGGGGACUCCGACAAGCAGUAUUGCAAGAUUCACCGCACCAAGGGCCAUGACCUCCAGAACCGUCGGCAAGUUGAGCUGCUCGCUGAGAAGCAGAAAGCCGAGUAUGAGCGGCGGGACAAGGAGAAGGGCCAAGAGGGUGCCGAAGGAUCUGGCAAGAAGCAUGGCAGCCAAGGAGGCCACCACGGCAAUGAUAAUCAGCAGGAGAGGCCCGCCCGGGGCCGCGACAAGAAGCAGGAAGACGAUGAUCAUGUCAAGGACGAUGAGUCCGGCGACCACGAGUUUCAGAAAGCUAUGGAGGCCAUGUGCGUCGAUGGUGGCGCCUUGCUGCAUGCAUCCCACCACCAACUCAAGCAGUGGGCGCGUGAGAUCACAGCGGCGGAGCCGUCACUCGACGCAUGGAAGCCGCUGAAGUGGUCCAGCACACCUAUCAUCUUCGACACCGAGGACCACCCUGACCGCACUACUGCAGCCGGGUGCUUGCCAUUGUUGGUCUCACCAACAAUCCGCAACCUCAAGGUGACGAAGAUGCUAGUUGACGGCGGGGCUGGUAUGAACUUGAUCUCGCCUGUUGUGAUCAAGAGGCUGCAGAUCCCUGAUGGAGACCUCGAGGAGACGGGCACGUUCCAAGGGGUCAACCCGGGGAGGAGCCAGCUGAAGGGAAAGGUCACGCUGCCCGUGACGUUCGGAGGUGAGUUAAACUACAGGAUGGAGAGGAUUGUCUUUGAUGUAGCCGAGAUCCCCUUGCCUUACAACGGGAUCCUCGGUCGCCCGGCGCUGGCGAAGUUCAUGGAGGCCUCUCACUACGCCUACAACACACUGAAGAUGCCCGGGCCGAUGAACAUCAUCAUUGUCCCCUCCGACAAGAAAGACGCAUUGAUCUACGCUGACCAACUCUAUCGGGAAGCGGUUGCAGCAGCUGCCGCCAAGGAACAUGCUCCUGCCGUUGAAGCCCCGGGAGGAAAGAAGACCGGCGAGACUCCUCGCACCCACUCCGGCAAGUGCACCUCUUCGGGGUGUUGCGCUUCCAUCGAGGACGUGCCAGAGAGCUCCACCGGCAAGAGCAAGAAGUACAGAGCUGCACCACGAGAGACCAAGAAGGUGUCCGUCAAGGAGGACGGCACGGGAGGAGUUUUCACCAUAAGCUCCACCCUCGAUGGCAAAUAGGAAAGCAAGCUCGUCACUUUCCUGCAGGCGAAUGUCGAUGUGUUUGCAUGGCAAACAUCCGACAUCCCCGGCGUUCCAAGGGAAGUGAUUGAGCACCAUCUUGUUGUCUGUCAUCAUGAAUGGCCCAUCAAGCAGAAGGUCAGGAAGCAAGCUCUGGAGAGGCAGGAGUUCAUUAUGGAGGAAAUCAAGAAGUUGGAAGCAGAAGGUCUGGUAAGAGGGGUGCUCCACCCAACGUGGUUGGCCAAUCCGGUAGUAGUGCGCAAGGCGAACGAGAAGUGGAGGCUGUGUAUUGAUUACACAGAUAUCAAUAAGGCUUGUCCAAAAGACCCUUUCCCGUUGCUGCGCAUUGACCAGAUUGUCGACUCCACAGCCGGGUGUGACCUCUUGUUCUUCCUCGACGCUUAUUCGGGAUACCACCAGAUCUUCAUGACAAGAGAAGAUGAGGAGAAGACAUCAUUCAUCACCCCAUGUGGUACAUAUUGCUUUUUACGGAUGCCUUUCGGGUUGAAGAGUGCUUGCUCGACUUUUGCAAGAGCAGUCCAAAUUGGUUUUGAGCCCCAGCUCCAUAGAAAUAUGGAAGCCUAUAUGGAUGACAUAGUGGUCAAAACCAAGGACAAGGCAACACUUGUGCAAGAUCUGGAGGAAAUGUUUGCAAAUCUGCGCAAGAUCAACCUCAAGCUGAACCCUGAGAAGUGUGUCUUUAGCGUACCAUCCGGCAAGCUUCUCGGGUUCUUUGUGUCGCAGCGUGGGAUUGAAGCAAAUCCCGACAAGAUCAAGGCCAUCGAACAGAUUGAGGCACCCAAGUGGAUCAAGGAUGUGCGUCAGCUCACUGGCUGUGUUGCUGCCAUGAGCAGAUUCAUCUCCAGGUCUGCCGAGCGUGCCCUCCCCUUCUUCAAAAUAUUGAAGAAGGCAUGCCCAAUGGAGUGGACCCCAGAGGCCGAGGCGGCGCUGCAAGACUUGAAGAAGUACCUCUCCUCCACGCCGAUACUAGUUGCGCCUAAACCACAAGAUUCGUUGAUGUUGUAUCUAGCGGCGACGAAUCAAGUGGUCAGUGUUGCGGUAGUGGCGCAGAGGGAGUUCAACAAAGAGACAAUCGCAAUGGCAGGCUUGGCAGAUGGCGAGCCAAAGCUUCCCUCGGCAGGGCGUGAUCCCGGCAGUGCGAGGCACUUGGCAGAAUCUGAUACCGCCAAGACAGGGCCUGCGCAGCCAGGUGAAGUGGUGCAGAAGAAGAAGGUGAUGCAGCACCCGGGUUACUUUGUUAGCUCCCUCUUGCAGGGGGCUAGGUCAAGGUACUCUGGUGUGCAAAAAUUGCUCUUCGGCCUCCUUAUGUCCUCGAGGAAGCUGCGUCAUUACUUCCAGGCACACGAGAUCACCAUUGUCACCCGCCUUCCGCUGCAACGGAUACUGCAUAACCCAAAUGCAACGGGAAGGAUUGUGGAAUGGGUCUUGGAGCUGUCGAGUUUUGGUCUGAAGUUUGAGAGUACCUCGACAAUCCAGAGCAGAGUUUUGGCGGAGUUCCUUGUGGAAUGGAGCUCGACGCCCGACGAAGAGGUCCAGGAGACCACUCUCCCCGGUAAGAAAACGAGCCGCAACUGGAUCAUGUACUUUGAUGGGGCUUUCUCGCUGCAAGGCGCCGGUGGUGGCGUGCUGCUUGUCGCACCCACCGGAGAGCACCUCAAGUAUGUCAUCCAAAUGCACUUUCCCCGGGAGAUGUCAAUGAACAACACCGCCGAGUACGAGGGCUUGCUUACCGGUCUCAGGAUCGCAGCGGACCUUGAAGUCAAAAAGCUCAUCGUCAGGGGUGAUUCACAGCUUGUUGUCAGGCAGAUCAACAAGGACUAUCAGAGCCCAUUGAUGGAGGCUUACGUGGAUGAAGUGAGGAAACUGGAGGAGCGCUUUGACGGAAUACAAGCAAAGCACAUCCCCCGAGUGGAGAAACGUGGAUGAAGUGAGGAAACUGGAGGAGCGCUUUGACGGAAUACAAGCAAAGCACAUCCCCCGAGUGGAGAAUGACAUCGUCGACUAUCUGUCAAAGCGUGCUGCCCACAAGCUACAUGUGGAACCAGGUACUUUUGUGCUUCGGUUAACUCAACCUUCCGUUGAACCAUCAACGGGGCAGAGCAAGCGGAGGAGAUUAGGCCCCGGCAAGUACUUCCCCAAUGAGCUCCCCAGAGCCGCCGGCGAAGAUGUUGCCAUGGAUGCUGAUCCUGCAGUGGGGCAACUGACUCCGGCAGGGCCUUAGGCCAUGGCCGUAGAGAUGGCCGCUCCCGGGGUAGAAGAGAUGCCUUUAGUCCUUGCCAUUGAGCCCCAGGCUCCGGCAUGGGCACAGCACAUCGUCCAAUUCCUCCAGACAGGGGAACUUCCUGAGGAUCAGGAAGAAGCAGAGAAAGUAGCAUGUCGGUCUGCCAUGUAUCAGUUUGUUGACGACGCUCUAUACAGGAAAAGACCGAACGGUGUGAAGUUGAAGUGCAUUCCCCGGGAGGAAGGACUGGAGGGCAUAUGUGGCUCCCACAUAGGGUCGAGGGCCCUUGCCGGCAGGGUUUCUUCUGGCCCACUGCCCUCCAGGAUGCGACGGCACUAGUAACCAAGUGUGAAGCGUGCCAGUUCCAUUCGAAGAAGCUUCAUCAACCAGCUCAAGCCCUUCAAACCAUCCCUUUCUCCUGGCCCUUCUCGGUCUGGGGGCUCGACAUAUUGGGCCCUUUCCCUCGUGUCGUCGGGGGCUUUGAGUACUUGUACGUUGCAAUCGACAAGUUCACAAAGUGGCCUGAGGUGGAAGUAGUGAGGAAGGUGACAGCACAGUCAGCCAUCAAGUUCUUCAAGGGGCUAGUUUGCUGUUUUGGUGUACCCAACAGGAUCAUCACUGACAACGGCACAUAGUUCACAAGCCACGCCUUCAUGCAAUACAUCGAGGAUCUCGGCAGCAAGGUCUGUUUUGCUUCUGUGGCACACCCAUGAAGCAACGACCAAGCAGAGAGAGCAAAUGCUGAAGUUCUGCGAGGCUUGAGAACGAAGACUUUUGACAGGCUGCACAAGAGUGGAAGGCGCUGGAUUGACGAGUUGGCGGCGGUUCUUUGUUCGAUCAAAAUGACGCCAAAUCGAGCCACCAGCCAGACACCCUUUGCCCUGGUCUACGGGGCUGAAGCAGUUCUCCCCAUGGAACUCAUAUACGGGUCACCUCGAGUGCUCGCUUAUGAUGAGCUUGAUCAAGAGCGAUUGCGGCAAGAUGACGCGACGCUCCUUGAGGAAGAUCGUCUUCGGGCGGCUGUGAGAGCAGCACGCUACCAGCAAGCCUUGCGUCACUACCAUAGCCGCAAGGUUCAUGCCCGAAGCUUUGAGGAAGGCGGCCUUGUUCUUCGGCGAGUUCAGUCGGCCAAGAAUUCCAACAAGUUGACGCCAAAGUGGGAAGGCCCUUAUCAGGUAACACGAGUCACCAGGCCUGGCGCAGUCUGCCUGGAGACCGAAGAUGCCAUUCUAGUGAGAAACUCCUGGAACAUCGAGCAUCUUCACAAGUUUUACCCAUAAGGCGCGGCUGUCGGCCCCCCGGCAAGCCACCUUUUGUACAAGCCUUGCCGGCAAGGCAUGUAACCCUCUGUACAAAGCCAGGCGCAGACCCUGAGCAUAAAUAAAUGAAGCGCUGGCGCCCUAAGUUAUAGCAUGCAUGCUAGAUUGAGUCUCUCCCUCGGUUAGGGUUGAUAGUGCCUAGCAGCGACUAACCCAUAGCAUAGAGGUCAAGUUUGCGUCUCUUUGUUCCUAUCCAUCCUCUUUGGUUUGCAGGGUACAUAAAUGUUUCCGCCAAGCCGAGUGGAAGGAAGAGGACAAGCCGGCGCUCGGGACCCGGCAAUCCAAGCUUGCCGAGGACUAAAGACACGAAGAUCCACCCACGGCAAGCUAGAGUUUCUGGGGGCUGCAGAUCCAGAUAAGUUUUUCCAUCCCCUCUUAUGCAUUUCCGUAUGAAACUUGGGACGUACGGAACCUCAUUUUGUUCCAAGGCUACCAUGCUCCCCUCGUUCCUAUUACCCAAGGACUUCUUGGUUCAGAACAUGGCUGUAGCCGCGGCAGCAAGGAAGCAAGCGCCGGGCCCACCCUCACUUCAUCCCUGCCUCCGCCAAAGGCGGUGGUAUGGAUGAACAGAGUGGGGGAACGGCAAGGUUUGCUGCCGGGCAACGGUGUUUAGAUAGAAAAUAACAAGGAUUUGUUCCUUGGCAUGGGCUUUGCUCACACACACACAAAACCUGGCAAGCACCCUUUUUCCAUUAAUACGUUCCAUACAGGUACAGCUCGUACGGAAUGUAAACAUGAACAGGGAGAUUACAGGUUUUAGAUCUAACUAAGGCCCGUAGGCUUACGAGCUGAAAAAAAAGAUAAGGUGCCCGUAAUCCCUUUCUUGUCCCUCUCCUCGGGAAAUGAAACAAGAAGGUAAAAAGGGCAGAAGGAGCGCCUAGGCGAGGUAUGAGCAGCAGAAGGCGCCAAGAGAACAUGUCGGCGAUCGCCUAGGAGAGGGUUGGCGGUGGUGGCGCCGGAGGAAGAGCUAGAAGAUGAGGCAGCUGUCCGUCAAUACGCUACGAAGACGUCGGUGCCAUCGUACUCCAACUUGAUGGCCCGCCACCGGCCUUCUUCACCUUCUCCGGCCUCCCCACGCCAGCCGCCCAAGGAGGCGACCCUGAGAAGUUCAAGGAGCCGGCGACACGGAUGAUGGGGUCGCCGGUGUCGCCCCGAAGCGGCGUGCCCGACGCCUAGUCAGACCCAUCAUCCUACCGCCCGCUACCCUCAUCGUCGCUGCCGCUGUCCUCCUCGCCACUCCUGCUCGAGGAAGAGUCUUCGUCAUCAGAGGAGCUCUCCAUGCAGCAUCUUACGCGAGUCCCGAAGUGUCCAAAAACCUUGACGGAGAGGAGGCCACUCUCCAUUAAUUUGAAAUGGAGGGUGAGCCCCUUCGUCAGGCUGUGGAUGCGAGCAAAGAUCUUCCACCCACGGCGAAGGUACAUGACAUGAGGGGCUGGGAAGUCGACAUCGGCCCAUGUGUUGCUGUUCCCACAGCCCCUCAUGUGCAGCCUCAGCGCCUGCGGCGGGUCCAGUUCCAUCUCCCGAGCAAAUGGAGUCGGAAGACGAAGACGAUGGCACGCCGGCCGGCGCAACCUGAUGAAGAACUCGUAAGGGUUGUCCCCGACGUGGCCCUCCAUUGGGGGAAGGACUGCUGGCAGAGGCGAGGCCGAUACGCCGCCCCAUCCUCCUCUUCCCCGAGCACCACGGCGGCCUAGGCCUCGCCCCCUCCACCUUCCCCUCACGGCCGGCUCAGCCGCCGCGGGCUCUUGGGGAGGAGCGGCGCGUUGUCGAGCAGAGUGUUGGGGAACGUUGCAGAAAAUAAAAAAAUUCUAUGCUUCACCAAGAUCAAUCUAUGGAGUCAUCUAGCAACGAGAGAGAGGAGUGCAUCUACAUACCCUUGUAGAUCGCGUGCAGAAGCGUUCAAGAGAACGGGGUUGAGGGAGUCGUACUCAUCGUGAUCCAAAUCACCGAAGAUCCUAGUGCUGAACGGACAGCACCUCCGCGUUCAACACACGUACGGUUGGGAAGACGUCCCCUCCUUCUUGAUCCAGCAAGGGGGAAGGAGAGGUUGAUGGAGAUCCAGCAGCACGAUGGCGUGGUGGUGGAAGUAGCGGCGAUCUCGGCAGGGCUUCGCCAAGCUCUACGAGAGGGAGAGGUGUUGCAGAGGGAGAGGGAGGCGCCAGGAGUAGGGGUGCGCAGCCCUCCCNNNNNNNNNNNNNNNNNNNNNNNNNNNNNNNNNNNNNNNNNNNNNNNNNNNNNNNNNNNNNNNNNNNNNNNNNNNNNNNNNNNNNNNNNNNNNNNNNNNNNNNNNNNNNNNNNNNNNNNNNNNNNNNNNNNNNNNNNNNNNNNNNNNNNUCUCAAGGGGGGCAAGGGGGGUGGCUUGCCCCCCAAGCCAAGUGGGGCGCCCCCCCCCCCCACCCCUAGGGUUUCCAACCCUAGGCGCAGGGGGAGGCCCAAGGGGGGCGCACCAGCCCACUAGGGGCUGGUUCCCUUUCCCACUUCAGCCCAUGGGGCCCUCCGGGAUAGGUGGCCCCACCCGGUGGACCCCCGGGACCCUUCCGAUGGUCCCGAUACAAUACUGGUGACUCCCGAAACUUUCCAGAUGGCCGAAACUGGACUUCCUAUACAAUUCUUUACCUCCGGACCAUUCCGGAACUCCUCGUGAUGUCCGGGAUCUCAUCCGGGACUCCGAACAACUUUCGGGUUACCGCAUACUAAUAUUUCUACAACCCUAGCGUCACUGAACCUUAAGUGUGUAGACCCUAGGGGUUCGGGAGACAUGUAGACAUGACCGAGACGACUCUCCGAUCAAUAACCAACAGCGGGAUCUGGAUACCCAUGUUGCCUCCCACAUGCUCCUCGAUGAUCUCAUCGGAUGAACUGCGAUGUCGAGGAUUCAAGUAAUCCCGUAUACAAUUCCCUUUGUCAAUCGGUACGUUACUUUCCCGAGAUUCAAUCCUCGGUAUCCCAAUACCUCGUUCAAUCUCGUUACCGGCAAGUCACUUUACUCGUAACAUAAUGCAUGAUCCCGUGACCAAACACUUGGUCACAUUGAGCUCAUUAUGAUGAUGCAUUACUGUGUGGGUCCAGAGAUACCUCUCCAUCAUACGGAGUGACAAAUCCCAGUCUCGAUCCGUGUCAACCCUACAGAUAUUUUCGGGGAUACCCAUAGUAUACCUUUAUAGUCACGCAGUUAUGUUGUGAUGUUUGGUACAUCCAAAGCACCCCUACGGCAUCCGGGAGUUACACGAUCUCAUGGUCUAAGGAAAUGAUACUUAACAUUGGAAAAGCUCUAGCACACGAACUACAUGAUCUUGUGCUAUGCUUAGGAUUGGGUCUUGUCCAUCACAUCAUUCUCCUAAUGAUGUGAUCCCGUUAUCAACGACAUCCAAUGUCCAUAGUCAGGAAACCAUGACUAUCUGUUGAUCAACGAGCUAGUCAACUAGAGGCUUACUAGGGACAUGUUGUGGUCUAUGUAUUCACACAUGUAUUGCGAUUUCCGGAUAACACAAUUAUAGCAUGAAUAAUAGACAAUUAUCAUGAACAAGGAAAUAUAAUAAUAAUCAUUUUAUUAUUGCCUCUAGGGCAUAUUUCCAACAGUCUCCCACUUGCACAAGAGUCAAUAAUCUAGUUACAUUGUGAUGAAUCGAACACCCAUAGAAUUCUGGUGUUGAUCAUGUUUUGCUCGCGGAAGAGGUUUAGUCAACGGAUCUGCAACAUUCAGAUCCAUAUGCACUUUGCAAAUAUCUAUGUCUCCAUCUUGAAGAUUUUCACGAAUGGAGUUGAAGCGACGCUUGAUGUGCCUGGUCUUCUUGUGAAACCUAGGCUCCUUGGCAAGGGCAAUAGCUCCAGUGUUGUCACAGAAGAGAGUGAUCGGCCCCGACGCAUUGGGUAUGACUCCUAGGUCGGUGAUGAACUCCUUCAUCCAGAUUGCUUCAUGCGCUGCCUCCGAGGCCGCCAUGUACUCCACUUCACAUGUAGAUCCCGCCACGACGCUCUGCUUGCAACUGCACCAGCUUACUGCCCCUCCAUUCAAAAUAUACACGUAUCCGAUUUGUGACUUAGAGUCAUCCAGAUCUGUGUCGAAGCUAGUGUCAACGUAACCCUUUACGACGAGCUCUUCGUCACCUCCAUAAACGAGAAACAUGUCCUUUGUCCUUUUUAGGUACUUCAGGAUAUUCUUGACCGCUGUCCAGUGUUCCAUGCCGGGAUUACUUUGGUACCUUCCUACCAAACUUACGGCAAGGUUUACAUCAGGUCUGGUACACAGCAUGGCAUACAUGAUAGACCCUAUGGCUGAGGCAUAGGGGACGACACUCAUCUUUUCUCUAUAUUCUGUCGUGGUCGGACAUUGAGCCGAGCUCAAUUUCACACCUUGCAACACAGGCAAGAACCCCUUCUUGGACUGAUCGAUAUUGAACUUCUUCAAUAUCUUAUCAAGGUAUGUGCUUUGUGAAAGACCUAUGAGGCGUCUCGAUCUAUCUAUAUAGAUCUUGAUGCCUAAUAUGUAAGCAGCUUCUCCAAGGUCCUUCAUUGAAAAACACUUAUUCAAGUAGGCCUUAAUGCUGUCCAAAAGUUCUAUAUCAUUUCCCAUCAAAAGUAUGUCAUCCACAUAUAAUAUGAGAAAUGCUACAGAGCUCCCACUCACUUUCUUGUAAACGCAGGCUUCUCCAUAAGUCUGCAUAAACCCAAACGCUUUGAUCAUCUCAUCAAAGCGAAUGUUCCAACUCCGAGAUGCUUGCACCAGCCCAUAAAUGGAUCGCUGGAGCUUGCAUACCUUGUUAGCAUUCUCAGGAUCGACAAAACCUUCUGGCUGCAUCAUAUAUAGUUCUUCCUUAAGAUAGCCGUUAAGGAAUGCCGUUUUGACGUCCAUUUGCCAUAUCUCAUAAUCAUAGUAUGCGGCAAUUGCUAACAUGAUUCGGACGGACUUCAGGUUUGCUACGGGAGAGAAAGUCUCAUCGUAAUCAACCCCUUGAAUUUGUCGAUAACCCUUAGCGACAAGUCGAGCUUUAUAGAUGGUAACAUUACCAUCCGCGUCCGUCUUCUUCUUAAAGAUCCAUUUAUUUUCUAUCGCUCGCCGAUCAUCGGGCAAGUCUGUCAAAGUCCAAACUUUGUUUUCAUACAUGGAUCCUAUCUCGGAUUGCAUGGCUUCAAGCCAUUUGUUGGAACCUGGGCCCGCCAUCGUUUCUUCAUAGUUCGAAGGUUCACCAUUGUCUAACAACAUGAUUUCCAGGACAGGGUUGCCAUACCACUCUGGUGUGGAACGUGUCCUUGUGGACCUAUGAAGUUCAGUAGCAACUUGAUCCGAAGUACCUUGAUCAUCAUCUUUAAUUUCCUCUCCAGUCGGUGUAGGCACCACAGGAACAUCUUCCUGAGCUGCACUACUUUCCGGUUCAAGAGGUAGUACUUCAUCGAUUUCUACUUUCCUCCCACUUACUUCUUUCGAGAGAAACUCUUUCUCCAGAAAGGACCCGUUCUUGGCAACAAAGAUCUUGCCUUCGGAUCUAAGGUAGAAGGUAUACCCAAUGGUUUCCUUAGGGUAUCCUAUGAAGACGCAUUUUUCUGACUUGGGUUCGAGCUUUUCAGGUUGAAGUUUCUUGACAUAAGCAUCGCAUCCCCAAACUUUUAGAAACGACAGCUUAGGUUUCUUCCCAAACCAUAAUUCAUACGAUGUCGUCUCAACAGAUUUAGACGGUGCCCUAUUUAAAGUGAAUGUAGCUGUCUCUAGAGUGUAUCCCCAAAAUGAUAGCGGUAAAUCGGUGAGUGACAUCAUAGAUCGCACCAUAUCCAAUAGAGUGCGAUUACGACGCUCGGACACACCGUUACGCUGAGGUAUUCCAGGCGGCGUGAGUUGUGAAACGAUUCCGCAUUUCCUUAAGUGUAUACCAAAUUCGUGACUUAAAUAUUCUCCUCCACGAUCUGAUCGUAAGAACUUUAUUUUUCGGUCACGUUGAUUCUCUACCUCAUUCCAAAAUUCCUUGAACUUUUCAAAGGUCUCAGACUUAUGUUUCAUCAAGUAUACAUACCCAUAUCUACUUAAGUCAUCAGUGAGAGUGAGAACAUAACGAUAGCCUUCGCGAGCCUCAACGCUCAUUGGACCGCACACAUCAGUAUGUAUGAUUUCCAAUAAGUUGGUUGCUCGCUCCAUUGUUCCGAAGAACGGAGUCUUGGUCAUUUUGCCCAUGAGGCAUGGUUCACAUGUGUCAAAUGAUUCAUAAUCGAGAGACUCUAAAAGUCCAUCAGCAUGGAGCUUCUUCAUGCGCUUGACACCAAUGUGACCAAGGCGGCAGUGCCACAAGUAUGUGGGACUAUCGCUAUCAACCUUACAUCUUUUGCUAUUCACACUAUGAAUAUGUGUAACAUCACGUUCGAGAUUCAUCAAGAAUAAACCAUUGACCAGCGGGGCAUGACCAUAAAACAUAUCUCUCAUAUAAAUAGAACAACCAUUAUUCUCGGAUUUAAAUGCGUAGCCAUCUCGUAUUAAAUGAGAUCCAGAUACAAUGUUCAUGCUCAAAGCUGGCACUAAAUAACAAUUAUUGAGGUUUAAAACUAAUUUCGUAGGUAAAUGUAGAGGUAGCGUGCCGACGGCGAUCACAUCGACCUUGGAACCAUUCCCGACGCGCAUUGUCACCUCGUCCUUCGCCAGUCUCCGCUUAUUCCGCAGCUCCUGCUUUGAGUUACAAAUAUGAGCAACCGCACCGGUAUCAAAUACCCAGGAGCUACUACGAGUACUGGUAAGGUACACAUCAAUUACAUGUAUAUCACAUAUACCUUUAGUGUUGCCGGCCUUCUUGUCCACUAAGUAUUUGGGGCAGUUCCGCUUCCAGUGUCCCUUUCCCUUGCAAUAAAAGCACUCAGUCUCAGGUUUGGUUCCAUUCUUUGGCUUCUUCCCGGCAACUGGUUUCCCGGGUGCAGCAACUCCCUUGCCGUCCUUCUUGAAGUUCUUCUUACCCUUGCCUUUCUUGAAACUAGUGGUUUUAUUGACCAUCAACACUUGAUGCGCCUUUUUGAUUUCUACCUCCGCUGAUUUCAGCAUUGAAAAUACUUCAGGAAUAGUUUUCACCAUCCCCUGCAUAUUGUAGUUCAUCACAAAGCUCUUGUAGCUAGGUGGGAGCGACUAAAGGAUUCUGUCAAUGACCGCCUCAUCCGGGAGGUUAAUGUCCAGAUGGGACAAGCGGUUGUGCAACCCAGACAUUUUGAGUAUGUGCUCACUGACAGAACUAUUUUCAUCCAUCUUACAACUGUAGAACUUGUCGGAGACUUCAUAUCUCUCGACCUGGGCAUGAGCUUGGAAAACCAUUUUCAGCUCUUCGAACAUCUCAUAUGCUCCGUGUUGCUCAAAACACUUUUGGAGCCCCGGUUCUAAGCUGUAAAGCAUGCCGCACUGAACGAGGGAGUAAUCAUCAGCACGUGACUGCCAAGCGUUCAUAACGUCUUGGUUCUCUGGGAUGGGUGCUUCACCUAGCGGUCCUUCUAGGACAUAUGCUUUCUUGGCAGCUAUGAGGAUGAUCCUCAGGUUCCGGACCCAUUCUGAAUAGUUGCUGCCAUCAUCUUUCAGCUUGGUUUUCUCUAGGAACGCGUUGAAGUUGAGGUUGACAUGAGCGUUGGCCAUUUAAUCUACUAGACAAUUUUUGCAAAGGUUUUUAGACUAAGUUCAUGAUAAUUAAGUUCAUCUAAUCAAAUUAUUUAAUGAACUCCCACUCAGAUUAGACAUCCCUCUAGUCAUCUAAGUGAUACAUGAUCCGAGUCAACUAGUCUGUGUCCGAUCAUCACGUGAGACGGACUAGUCAUCAUCGGUGAACAUCUCCAUGUUGAUCGUAUCUUCCAUACGACUCAUGUUCGACCUUUCGGUCUCUUGUGUUCUGAGGCCAUGUCUGUACAUGCUAGGCUCGUCAAGUUAACCUAAGUGUUUUGCAUGUGUAAAUCUGUCUUACACCCGUUGUAUGUGGACGCUGGAAUCUAUCACACCCGAUCAUCACGUGGUGCUUCAAAACAACGAACUUUCGCAACGGCGCAUAGUUAGGGGGAACACGUUCUUGAAAUUAUUAUGAGGGAUCAUCUUAUUUACUACUGUCGUUCUAAGCAAAUAAGAUGCAAAAACAUGAUAAACAUCACAUGCAAUCAAAUAGUGACAUGAUAUGGCCAAUAUCAUAUAGCUCCUUUGAUCUCCAUCUUCGGGGCGCCAUGAUCAUCUUCGUUACCGGCAUGACACCAUGAUCUCCAUCAUCAUGAUCUCCAUCAUCGUGUCUCCAUGAAGUUGCUCGCCAACUAUUAAUUCUACUACUAUGGCUAAUGGUUUAGCAAUAAAGUAAAGUAAUUACAUGGCGUUUAAUCAUUGACAUGCAUGUCAUACAAUAAUUAAGACAACUCCUAUGGCUCCUGCCGGUUGUCAUACUCAUCGACAUGCAAGUCGUGAUUCCUAUUACAAGAACAUGAUCUCAUACAUCACAUAUAUAUCAUUCAUCACAACUUUUGGCCAUAUCACAUCACAAGGCAUAUGCUGCAAAAACACGUUAGAUGUCCUCUAAUUGUUGUUGCAUGUUUUUACGUGGCUGCAACAGGGUUCUAGCAAGAACGUUUCUUACCUACGUGAAAGCCACAACGUGAUAUGCCAAUUUCUAUUUACCCUUCAUAAGGAUCCUUUUCAUCGAAUCCAAUCCGACUAAAAUGGGAGAGAUAGACACCCACUAGCCACCUUAUGCAACUAGUGCAUGUCAGUCGGUGGAACCUGUCUCACGUAAGCGUACGUAUAAGUCGGUCCGAGCCGCUUCAUCCCACGAUGCCGCUGAAACAAGAUAAGACUAGUACUAGCAAGAAAAUUGAAAACAUCUACGCCCACAACAAAUUUGUGUUCUACUCGUUCAAAGAAACUACGCAUAGACCUAGCUCAUGAUGCCACUGUUUGGGAAUGUUGCAGAAAAUAAAAAAAUUCUACGCUUCACCAAGAUCAAUCUAUGGAGUCAUCUAGCAACGAGAGAGAGGAGUGCAUCUACAUACCCUUGUAGAUCGCGUGCGGAAGCAUUCAAGAGAACGGGGUUGAGGGAGUCGUACUCGUCGUGAUCCAAAUCACUGAAGAUCCUAGUGCUGAACGGACAGCACCUCCACGUUCAACACACGUACGGUUGGGAAGACGUCCCCUCCUUUUUGAUCUGGCAAGGGGGGAGGAGAGGUUGAUGGAGAUCCAACAGCAUGACGGCAUGGUGGUGGAAGUAGCAGCGAUCUCGGCAGGGCUUCGCCAAGCUCUACGAGAGGGAGAGGUGUUGCAGAGGGAGAGGGAGGCGCCAGGACAGGGGUGCGCAACCCUCCCUCCCCCCUCUUUAUAUAGGGGCCCUGGGGGGGCACCGGCCCCCUAGAGAUUGGAUCUCAAGGGGGGGCAAGGGGGGGGGCUUGCCCCCCAAGCCAAGUGGGGCGCCCCCCACCCCUAGGGUUCCCAACCCUAGACGCAGGGGGAGGCCCAAGGGGGGCGCACCAGCCCACCAGGGGCCGGUUACCUUCCCCACUUCAGCCCAUGGGGCCCUUCGGGAUAGGUGGCCCCACCCGGUGGACCCCCGGGACCCUUCUGGUGGUCCCGGUACAAUACCGGUGACCCCCGAAACUUUCCCGAUGGCCAAAAAUGGACUUCCUAUACAAUUCUUUACCUCCGGACCAUUCCGGAACUCCUCAUGACAUCCGGGAUCUCAUCCGGGACUCCGAACAACUUUCGGGUUACCGCAUACUAAUAUCUCUACAACCCUAGCGUCACCGAACCUUAAGUGUGUAGACCCUACGGGUUCGGGAGACAUGCAGACAUGACCGAGACGACUCUCCAGUCAAUAACCAACAGUGUGAUCUGGAUACCCAUGUUGGCUCCCACAUGCUCCUCGAUGAUCUCAUCGGAUGAACCACGAUGUCGAGGAUUCAAGUAAUCCCAUAUACAAUUCCCUUUGUCAAUCGAUACGUUACUUGCCCGAGAUUCGAUCGUCGGUAUCCCAAUACCUCCUUCAAUCUCGUUACCGGCAAGUCACUUUACUCGUACCAUAAUGCAUGAUCCCGUGACCAAACACUUGGUCACAUUGAGCUCAUUAUGAUGAUGCAUUACCGAGUGGGUCCAGAGAUACCUCUCCGUCAUACGGAGUGACAAAUCCCAGUCUCGAUCCGUGUCAACCCAACAGAUAUUUUCGGGGAUACCCGUAGUAUACCUUUAUAGUCACCCAGUUAUGUUGUGACGUUUGGUACACCCAAAGCACCCCUACGGCAUCCGGGAGUUACACGAUCUCAUGGUCUAAGGAAAUGAUACUUAACAUUGGAAAAUCUCUAGCACAUGAACUACACGAUCUUGUGCUAUGCUUAGGAUUGGGUCUUGUCCAUCACAUCAUUCUCCUAAUGAUGUGAUCCCAUUAUCAACGACAUCCAAUGUCCAUAGUCAGGAAACCAUGACUAUUUGUUGAUCAACGAGCUAGUCAACUAGAGGCUUACUAGGGACAUGUUGUGGUCUAUGUAUUCACACAUGUAUUAUGAUUUUCGAUAACACAAUUAUAGCAUGAAUAAUAGACAAUUAUCAUGAACAAGGAAAUAUAAUAAUAAUCAUUUUAUUAUUGCCUCUAGGGCAUAUUUCCAACACGGAGACCCUCGCCGCCACCGAUGAAGCAUCAGCACAGCCUCUUGCCAUGACAGAAGAGAGGAAGGGGCAGAGAUGGGGAGAGGCGGAUGGCGAAGGACUGAGAGGUGCCGUUCCUCCCUCUCCCCUCUUUAUAAAGGGACGGGGGCGGGGUUCGGCCGCCCUUUCGGCCAAUCCGGCUCAUUAAGGUGACAACGGGCGAGGCCGUUGACCGUCCUCCCCGCCCAAUUGAAGGCGUGUGGGUAUCUACCCACGCGCGCACGUCUUCCCGUAUUCCGCGCGCCUGUCACUCGCCCCGCGCCGUGCAUGUGGCGUACAUGGCACGGGGGACGAGCGUAAUGGGAUGCGUGGAGCGACGGUUCCUAGGUAAGGAGAGUAAAUGAGCAGCAGCCCUGCGGGCUCAAAGAGAUACGCAAGCCGCCUCUUUAUUGUUCGCCGCAGAUGACGCAAGCAUGCUUCGAUCACCCGCGCACGUAACCCCCACGUCAUGCAUUCAACACGGGUUGUGGGGAAGCGCAGCGGACGGAAAGUUACUGCGGUAAAAACCGUCCCGCCUGCUCGCGCACCGUUUUUGGGCCUAGCCCAACAAACGCGCCGCGCUUAUGUAUGGCCCAGGACCGGGGGAUCCUGUCGAUGUACUAAAGUAGGGGCACUACUUUGUACCCCUUACUAAGUGCACGGGCAGUCAGAGCCGCGCCCACAACCACACUAGGCGAGACAGAGGGAGGACUUAGAACCACAGAACUAUAAGAAGCCACGCCAAGACCAGAAGGCCAAGAGGGCAAGGUGGUUCUCUCCGGCAAGAUCCUUGCCGGGGCAGCCUCCACGGCUCCGGUAGGAGCCUUGCCGGGGCAACUUGCCCAAACUAACGCCAGCAGAGCGCACCACCCUUGAGCCCCAGUUCCUCCAGCGCCACCAACCGCGUUGGGACCUAGGCUCGGGAGGCGCCUCCAUGAUGGCAUGCAGAUCUUUGUGAAGACAAGGAUAACACUCCAAAUCAGAGGAGGAAUAGAAGACGAUGAACCUCGGCGAGAUUCUUGCCGAGGAAGACCACAAGACCCCCGGCAAGAUCCUUGCCGGGGACGACCGCAACGCCACGGCAAGACCCUUGCCGUGGUCCGGCAAGGCCCUUGCCGAGGGCGUCCGUGAGGCCGCAGCCAGGCCCUCACCCGCCAAGCUUCUGUCACCGCUCCCAUGCAACUGCCAUCCCACCAGCUGGGCGGGCGCUUGCGUGUCGACGUGAGGCUCCUCGACCAACUCAUCGCAUGCCUACGUGGUGGCAUGCAAACCUUCAUGAAGGCCCUACCACCGCGCCACCUCAGCUGCCUGCCAGCUUACAUGGCGCUGACCGCCUCGCUGGCCCAGGCACGUGUCAAGGCAGGGCGAAGCGGCGGUAAAGUGGAGGGGACACGUCGAAGGCGCAUUAAAUGCGUCUUGUCCCAUAAUGGCUAGCGAUAGGCUUAACCACAAUACCACAAUGCCACCUCUUGUGUGCCACUGUGGUGAUUCCCUUGCCUAUAAAAGGAGGCCCAAGGCAUCCAGGAGAAGGAUUCGGACUUUUGGACAAGUUACGCUCAUUGUAGCUAGUUCAAGAACCUCAAGAACACAGAUAUACACAUCAAAGCAGGACUAGGGUAUUACGCAUCUCUGCGGCCCGAACCUGGGUAAACGACCCGCGUGCUUGUACUGACUACUGAUCCCGCUCUUCUUACCGCCCCGCGCCCCGCAACCGUAGUAGGGAUUCUUGUGAUCCCAUAGGUGUCGUUUCCCACCGACACGGGAGAAAUCAUGUUGCAAAUAAUCAUGUGAACUUGAUAUGUGUUCGAUAUCUAUCUAUCUAUCUAUCUAUACCUAUACUAAUUACAGACUUCCUAGAAAUUACCACAUUAAUCAGUAAUUAGGAGCCGUUAAUCUACCAGAAGGCCAUGUCACCUUAGUUUCAGCCCAAAAUAUAUAGAUUAGAAAGCCCAGUCGAUGGAGCUUGCCUACAAUGCUUUUACGGUUGUAUACAAAACCAUUCCAUGUGUUUCUCAAAAAAAAGCAUUCUAUCUACUCCACGUAAUUGCCUAAAAAAAACUCUACUCCACGUAGCCAUUCACAAAAAAAAACUCCACGUAGCCCUCAAAACAAAUCUAUCUACUCCACGUCUCAUACUCUUCCCGUAAAAUAGAUUGAAGCAAUCGUACGCCAUAGAAUCUCCUGUAUCUCUCCUCCCCAUGAGAAACAACUCAAUGUCUCUCAAAUUGGAACAAACAAGUAGAGGAAUUGAUAGUUGAGGAACUAAUCUGGUGCGCUCAGGCCAUGGAUCUGGUGCAUUAAUCAGGAAGUUACUUCAUCAAAAUUAUUUUUGUCUUUGGAUCAGGUUCGUUUUCUCACAUGAUUUCUUCAAGAUUUGUUUUCUUGAUUGUUCUACUGCAACUAUUCCUUUUGAUUUGGAUUCAGAUUGAAAGAAAUUUGUUCUCUCCACAGAUUGAAUCUCGGAUCUUCUCACAUACAACUUUUGGAUUCUCAAUCUCUCUCACGUGUUCCUAAACACCAUAUAGCAGCGGCCAUCGUCCACCACUGCUAAUGACCCCAACAUCGCCGAUGCUUAUGUUCGUGCUUUAGCCCAUGGAAUACAGUAUCAGACGCACGUCCAUGUUGAUGGUCGAUGUAGACUGAUGGAUCCUUUAGGAAGCUGGCUAAAUUGCAACGUAGAAAGCUGGCUUAUCUCUAUCACGUUUGAGCGCAACUAUAUGCACAUCCGAUUAGCUUAUAAAUUAAACAUGACGUCUAAACAAACAACAUCAAGAUCAAGGAGCCUCAUGUUGGUCUGGAUUAAUAAAAUUCAAAAAUUAGUAAUAAUUAAUGAAUCUGAAAAAUCACAACAACCUUGAUGACCCAUUAAGCAAGACAAGCGAUAGAUUGGUUUCUUCAGAUUUGAUUGCUCGAUGCCUUUAUGUGAUACAAUUGCUUAGUGGCAUGCUGAAACUUGAUUUGUGUUAUUAAAUAGUGGCUUUGUGUCUUCAGCGUGGGUUAUGUUAUCAAUAAAAUGUUGUAUGAUCCAGGUAUAUAGAAUAAGGUAUCAAAUAGACAUGUCAGCAUGUGUCUCUUUCUUUCUUUUCAUUGAUAACCGAAUGACAUAACUGAAAUUUGAAUUGUCCCUUCCCUUGAAUACGACAAUUUGAUUUCUAGCAAAUGAGAUUAGCACCGUGGCGCGAAGUCAAGGAGAUGCUCAUUCAUCAAGCCAUCUUAAAGGCAUUGGUUGAAUAUUUAGUAAUAUUAAAGAGUAAUUUACUGUUAUUUUGAUCUCCUCAGAGACAAUCAUAUUGUGUAAAUAUGAUGAUUGUUAUUUUUAUUAUUAACCUUAUGUAUUCAUUCAGUUUUCUGAAUUGUAGCAGUAGACCAUCCCAUCCGAAAUGUCCAUGUGUGCUAGGAAGAAAAUAUUCGGUCGUUGUGCUACUGAAAGGUUCAUAUCUCUUGGUCCUUCUGUAGGAUUCACUAACUCUGUUUUAUACAUUUCUUGCUUGCUGGCUUUAAUAUUUGUAGACCUAUGUUCAGGUGCUGUGAUGUGUAUUCUUCAUUUGGCAAUAUUACACCAGGUAGCAUAUUUAACCUGUAUGACAUCUUCGGUUGAUGCUGAGCCAAGAAGAGCAAGGGUUCGAAAGAAUAGAAAGUUAUGGCCUCCACCAUUCAUCAUUUUCUACCCCCAUGGCAUGCAGCGAGGAAAUGGAUCCAUGGAAACGAUCAUGCUGGUGGAUGGCGGUGAUGUGGAAACUCCAGAUGGCGGCGCCUUGCAGAGUUUAGACAAAAUUCUAUGUUGAAUCCUGAGUGUAAAUUACUCACUUCUGGUCUCGCACAAAAGAAAAGAGUCAGAUCCUUGGACUGCAGGAAUUAUCUUCAGAGUUUAUGAUGGUCUUAACAAAAAAUGGCCCAAUAAAUGCAGUGUGUGCACAAAAUCCUUCAGCUAAACCAUUCCUACAUGUACGUCAUCCUACAAAUACUUCAUUACAUGGUGUACUGUAGAGCCUAAAUACUAUAUUAUGAUUGUUUUCUUCUCGCACUAUCUUUGACAUACACACACACACUAUGAUUGUUCAGAGGAACAUUAGCUUACAUACUACGAUUGUUUUCUUCUCGCAUACUAAGCACACUGAGACUAUUAUUUUUUUGCACAGAAGAACAAUACAGCGUUGCAUUUUCAUUCAGUGAGAGCAGUACUAAGAACAGCACAAAGUGCAGAGCAGGGAAACAUCUACUGAGCUAGAAAUGAGAAAAAUAAAACAGCUGGAUUAUAUCAUCUGAACAUAAUUCAGCUGAACUAGGGACAUGGUCAAAACUUUAUAUGGACAUUAUGUUUUUACUUCCAAAUAACUGACAACUGUAGUUUCAAAAACCAAAGUUACCAAAUUGCCGACUAUUGAUUUGAUUUGAUUAUUUAUGCAUCUAAUCACAAUGUUUCGCUAUUAAGUUUUUUCAAGAUAACAAAACGUUGCUUUUCAGUGACUCGAUUGACACUACCCUUUUCCUGUUAGAGUUAUCCUUCAAGUUGACUAUUUCUAAGUAGUUAUCUUGAAUAUUAAACUAAUAGGAGCUACUUCAAUUAUUCUUUUAUUGAAAAGAAAUACCUUAAGAUAUUUCAUGGAACUGUACGUGUUUUAUUCCUAGAGCAGCAGAAGCUUAUUGAUGGUAACCUGAAGAUUCUGCCCUUACUUUAUUAUAUCAACAUUAGUUUCAGAUUUACAUAAUGAUCUGCAACAUUGAUAUUGAUGGUAAUUCUACAAAGAAUUCCACGAAAUAAGGUUAGUCCAUGUCGUUACUAUUGCUAACUAAGAGACACUAACAAAUUUGUUUUGCAAUGUAAGGUUCACAACAAUGAUGUACGAUAGGCUCAAUGCCAUUAGCCAUGAGAAGGAUCUCUUAAAACCGGAAGUCAGAGUAGAAAGACUUAGAUCCACACAUCAGAUGAAGAGCGUCGAUCCUCACAAGGUUGCAAAAAAUAUUGUUUACUAAGAUAUAUUUCAGAUAUUUUCUUACUCAUGGCCAUAAUUAGAACAAGUACAAGCAAUAGUAUCGGACUAAAUGUAAUCUGGUCCACAAACAGUAACCAUUUAUGUUUAAAUUACUAAUCUCUCCAAGAUUUGUUUGUGGACAAAGUACUUUGGGGCAUUGGCGUGUCCGUAUAGACUCAAGGCAAAGGUAGAGGAUACAUAGUGAAUGGAUAAAAUAAAGUGCUCCUUCUUUUUAGAUGGAUAACAAUCGCUGGCAUUUGGAUGAUGAAAUUCUUCUUGAGGACGACGCGUAGGAGGAGGUUGCAGUCUUGACGGAGAUGGUGUAACACACCGCAAAAGGAAAGGCCAGAUGCCCGGUGAUCCUGCCAGUGCUGCCGUGAUGUUCGUGAGGAAGAACUUUGUGAGGGUUCUGAUGUAGGCAUCCACAAGAGCCACCGGCGCAGCCACACUCAUGCUGCCGCUCAGACUAGCCGCAGUUGACAAGGCGGCAUGAUUGAAUCUGCCGACAAUCCUCGCCGAAAUCUCUUAGUAAAGAGAAUAAUAUGCACAUCUCAAGUAGCCACGUUGUGGCUGACUAUAGAGCACGAUUAUUAACAGAUUUAUUACCUUCCAAGGAGUUUUAGAAUUGGCCGUUGUUGAGUAGAGCAAGAAGUCGACUUAUAGAGGUUCAGUAAAAAGAUGACCAAGAUGGACCGAUCUGGCGAACGGAUAUAAUGGGAAAGAUGAGUGAGGGAUAAAAGACAGAUUUAAAUAAAAAACAAAUAACAAGUUAUCUCCCCCACCUUAUAAAGAUUGUGGUUUCCACAUGAACAAACUAGCACUUUUUAUACUAUAUGAGAGUUCCGCUAGAUUUGAAAUUAUAAACUAAUGCCAAGUGUUUCAAGCAAUAUGCCCCAAUAUUAAAUAAAUUAAGGAAUUUUUUUGUAAAUUGGAGGACAUACAUAAUGGGUCUAAAUCCAUUAAUAUGGGAGCGACACAACACAAAAUAUCCAUGUUGCAUCGUUCGUAGAAGUUCAAGUUUGCUCCACAACAAAUAUGCUAGCCCGUGCGAAUGCACAGGUUCACGACUAGUUUUAAUUUAGAUAUAUUGAAACUGAGCACCCUCCAAGCCCUCUCAGGCCAUCCACAUUUUUAAUCGUUGGAUCGCCAUUGAUUUUGUGUGUUAAACGUUCUUGAGCGUCCGAUCUGAAGUUAACGCUAUGUUUAGCGCGAGCUGGUCUAACGUUGCACGGGCAGCUACUCCCGUAGCUAUUUUGGAGCCCCGUGGUUAGUUGGGCCAGUUUACCUGGUCGGCCCAAGCUAGAGAAGGCCCUGUCCUACGAGCGCUUCGCUAUUCCUCCCUCCCGUGUCACACCUCUUCCUAUGACAAUGGCGAUGGCGGCGUCGCACCUUCCCACGCUCGACACAACCCUCUCGCUCGCAGAACAAGGGCACACAAUCACCGCAGUGGGGCAGCGCCGGAUCCCCGUGGAGCCGCGGUGGAUAGCAUGGUCUUGUUGCCACGCUAGGGGGCGCAGCAGCAGUGGUGAAUCCAAUCCAUGCUUAGAUUGGUUUUUUACAGUCCAGAUUCAGCGGCAGUGCCGCAAUAUUUUCGAGAUUCACUGGCAGUACAUGCUAAUUAUAUUGUUUUUACAGUCCAGCGGUAGUGGCAGAUCGGCACCGUGCGACCGCUGCCGCUGUUGCUCUAGCUCAGGCGGUGGAGGCCAAGGGAAGAAUAAUGGGAGCCUUUCCACGAGGUUCAAUCUGCUCGAGAGAGACACAGGUAAUUCAAGUGAAAAUCGAUGCACCAUUUGGCACUUGCGAUCCCCAUGGUUCCACGUAACAACUGUAGUUCUUUUUUUCAUAGCCUAAUUGUGCAGCCCCUUUGAUUUAUUUGCAUGCCAUUUUCAGGUAUAAUCCGGAUGAGAUGACACACUUGAUUGAAAAGGAAGGGUCCCAAGUUCUUGACAGGGCUCUAGACUGACAGAUCGCAAUGACAUUGACAACUGAUAAAAUAUAAAUCCAUAGUCCUAGCACUCCCGGCUCAAAGAAUUAUGGAGCUGCUGCCUCCUCGGCCUCCUCUGGACAGGAGAGAAAACAUCUAGCCGCAUCUGAACGAGAUGAAGAAGGGAGCCGUGGUCGAAGGCAAAGCUAACGUGGUAUACUUUGUGAAGCGUGCUAAGGAGCUUCAUCCAACCAUGGUAACAUGUUGGUUUCCGAUGAGACACAGUUCCUCAUGGAGAUGUCCCGUCAAUUGUUCAGACAAGAAGCCGACACUUUGUCUCGGGAGCAAUGUGCGGAUAAUCAAUACUAUUAUAAUACAAUGCUAACCUUGCAGUUGAUAGAUCAGCGUCAAUGCUAAUUUGUUUUCUCUAGGCAUAUAUUGUUUGCAUCAUGAUCGAGUGUUAAUAUGACCAUUGUAGUGUGCCUUACUUCUGGUAGAUGCGUUAGUCAUUGUGCUGAUAUGGUCUAUAUGGGGGCAAAAGCAUGUUGGUGUUGGCCGCAAUCAGGUAUUGCACCUUGAAGGCCUGAACUCAAAUAUUAAAUUUUGUUAUCUCGGUAAUAAGAUCCAGUUCAAUAUUCUAAUUGAAAGCAUGUACAAAAUAUGAUUAGAAAAUUGGUGUGAUGUAUGCAUAUUUUGGAAGCUGAUAUUUCAUGAUUGGUGGUAGGUAACCAUAUGUCGCUGAAAACAUUUAGACAUUAUAAUUAGAAGUAACCAUUGGUAGAAGUUUCAAUCAUUUUAUCACUGCAUCAUGAUGCUUUGCAAGAUGCAAGUUCUGAUGAUGUGGCCAUAUGAUCUAUAUUCAGGUGAUAUCUUUCAGCUUAACAUGAACUAGGUUAUUUUAAUAUGAGUUGACCUUGAUCCCCUAAGUAUCAUAUCAUUCACUGAUGUGAUUUUGAUUCUUGUAGUUCACUUCUAAUACUAUUACUUGUGUGGUUGUGUUUCUUCUAAAUUUGAAGUUGGGGGCGUGGAGGUAGGGUUUUCAAUUCAGACACAUUGGCAUGCUGCUCGACCCCUCGACCUCACCACCCAAAUAUGCCCGUUCUGGUAUCUUCAACCUGCUCUAGCACCAUAUUGCGUGCCCUCAGAUCUUAUCAAUGUUGCUCCUGUUUGUCAUUCCUGUAGGUGCUCAAGUUCUUUAUAUGUAUGUUUUCUUAGACCAAUCCUAUAAUAGGUUUGAUGUUUUUUGGGUCGUGAAUAGAGGUAUAAAGAUAACAGGUGGGGUCCUAAGAAGCAUAUUGGCUCAUUGCAACAACAACAAUAUUCACAACUGUCGUAGGUUGUCCAUCUCAUUUCGAAUUUUACAUUAGAAAAAUAUUGCUUAGUCAAAGAAGAUUAGCUUGCACAUUGUGUUUCCUGGACUUGAUUUUCUAUCUUGAUUUGGACAAUAAGAUGUUGAGUGUAAGCAUUGUGCAAGGCGUUAUUUCUAAUUAUUCCUGCCUGUUAAUUCACAAUUAGGAGGGCUCUGAAUUUCUGUUCUGUCACUUGAUCGGUGAUGUAGAAUGCAUUAUGGUGUCACAGUGCUGGCUGGAAAGCAAGAAUUUUGUAUCGAACAAUUGCUUUGUGUAAGUCUCAUCUCAAUGAUGUUCUUAUUUUUGUCAUUAUGCAUAACUUAUCUUUAUUUUGUUCAUUCUUUAGUUGCUGAAUCAAAUAGUCUGAACUUAUUGCUGAUAUUUUGGAUGAAACAAGAUCAUUUACUCAUUGCAAAGUUGCAGAUGGACUAGAGUGGUAUGCAGGCUCAUAUGAUAGCCUUACAUGAUAAGAAAAUCAUAUUAUGGGUGUAUAAUAUCUGAUUAGUUGUAUCUGAUUAUUUUAUUGGCUUUGUGUCCAUUCCUUUUGCUAAUGUUUGAUUACUAUAUAUACCCACUACUGCCUGUAUCUGUAUGGUGGUAUGUAGUCCCAUGAAAUGGCCAGUAGUAUAUGGACCAUGCACACAAUCUAAUGUUUAUUAUUUUUCCUGGCAGUACUGAUUAGUACUCCCUCCGUCCCAAAAUUUUUGUCUUAAAUUUGUCUAGAUAUGGAUGUAUCUAAUACUAAAACGUGACUUGAUACAUCCAUAUUUAGACAAAUCUAAGACAAGAAUUUUAGGACAGAGGGAGUAGUAUUUGUUGUGUACAUUGUUGCGUAUGUUAUUCCAAGCCAAUUUGUAUCCAUGAACCUUGCUUUUAGCGAGUAUGUAUGUGAUGUCUGUUGAUUACUAACAGAUACAUGGUGUUAUUUAUGCAAAUUCUAUAUGUUUCAUGUCAUAUUAUAUUUAUGAAUAUUCCUACCAUUUCAUUUUAUAUAUAGAGGGGCCAGCAACGCGCGCCACCAAUGAUCUAGUAAUAUGUAUGUUGUGAUUCCCUUAGUGGUGUCAUGUGAACGUCGACAUGACACUUCACCAUAUUUGGGCCUAAGGGAAUGCAUUGUGGAGUAGUUAUUAUAUGAUGGCUUGCGAGAGUGAUAGAAGCUUAAAAUCCUAGUUUAUGCGCUAUUCCGUAAGGGACCGAUUGGAUCUAAAAGUUUAAUGCUAUUGUUAGAGUUUAUUCUUAAUAUUUUUCUUGUAGUUAAGGAUGCUUGCGAGGGGGUUAAUCAUUAGUAGGAGGAUUGUUCAAGUAAGAACAACACCUAAGCACCGGUCCACCCACAUACCAAAUUAUCAAAGUAGCGAACACGAAUUAGCCCAACAUGAUGAAAGUGACCAGAUAAAAUUCCCGUGUACCCUCAAGAACACUUUGCUUAUCAUAAGAGACCAUUUUGGCAUGUCCUUUGCCUCAAAAGGAUUGGGCUACCUUGCUACAUUGUUGUUACUACUAUCGUUACUUGCUCGUUACAAAUUACCUUGCUAUCAAACUACUUUGCUACUUACAAUUUUAGCACUUGCAGACAUUACCUUGCUGAAAACCACUUGUCAUUUCCUUCUGCUCCUUGUUGGGUUCGACACUCUUACUUAUCGAAAAGGCUACAAUUGACCCCAUAUACUUGUGGGUCAUCAGGUAGCGAGGCACGUAUUGUGUUAUUGCCAUUAAGGGUAACAAGAUAGGGUUUAUAUCAUAUUGCUUGAGUUUAUCCCUCUACAUCAUGUCAUCUUGUUUAAGGUGUUACUCUGUUUUUAACUUAAUACUCUAGAUGCAUGCUGGAUAGUAGUCGAUGAGUGGAGUAAUAGUAGUAGAUGCAGGCAGGAGUCGGUCUACUUGUCACGGAUGUGAUGCCUAUGUUCAUGAUCAUUGCCUUCGAUGUCGUCAUAACUUUGCGUUUUUCUAUCAAUAGUUCCACAGUAAUUUGUUUACCCAUCGUAUGCUUUCUUCGAGAGAGAAGUCUCUAGUGAAACCUAUGGCCCCUAGGUCUAUUUUUCAUCAUAUACUUUCAGAUCUAUAAAACCAAAAACCCAAAAAUACCUUGCUGCAAUUAUUUUGUGUUUACUUUAUUUUGCCUUUCACUUUUAUUUUAAAUCUAUCUCUAUCAGAUCUCACUCUUGCAAAUAACCGUGAAGGGAUUGACAACCUUUUUCCGCGUUGUGUGCAAGUGUUUGUUAGUUUGUGCAGGUGCAUAGAUUGGAGACUUGCUUGUGCCUCCUACUGGAUUGAUAUCUUGGUUCUCAACUAAGGGAAAUACUUAUCUCUACUUUGCUGCAUCACACUUUUCUCUUCAAAGGAAAAAUCAAUACAAGCUCAAGAAGUAGCAUUCUAACGAGAGCGGCGUUUUGGCUCCUAGGUGCAUAUGCACCCAUUGUCAAAAUACACAUUUUGAAAAUUUGGAAAAUUCAAAACAAAAAUCCCACGUGUAUAUCCGGACAUUUUAUGUGCGUUCAAAAGGUUUCGGUGAAAAACGACAUUUUUUAUGCCUUGUGUAAAAAAGAUAAAGAAAUGCCUCGUGAAUAGUUAGAAUGAAGCAUCAGAAAUUGUCUUUUUUACACAAGCCACAAAAAAGUCAUUUUUCACUGAAAUCUUGUGCAUGCACAUAAAAUGUCCGGAUAUACACGCGGGAUUUUUGUUCCGAAUUUUUCAAAACUUUUCAAAAUGUGUAUUUUGACAAUGGGUGCAUAUGCACCUAGGAGCCAAAGGCAAUUACCGCGUUCUAACGCGGUACUCCACGUUGCAGAUGGAGAGGGAAAAUAUGUUUUCAUAGAGUUUGGCCUUUUUCGGACAGAUGAAAAGAGGGGAACGGUUCCAUGUCCAGCAUGAUAGGGCAUGUGAAGAUGAACGGAUUGCAUAUUCGGAUUCGUUGGAUUUUUCUGAUCAACUUUCAUAUAUAAAUUAUUUUCAUUGAGUUGCGGAUUAUUUUAUAUUAAUUUUUAAAGUUUUAAUUAUUUUCUGGAUUUGUUUUAAAUAUUUAAAUUCAAAUUAACUAAAUUAUAAAUACUAAUACACCCAGAGUUAUACCCACACAUAGCGGCUGACUGGUGGCGAUGUUGACUGGGUCAACAGCCUAGUCAGCAUAGGUUGACUAGUGGGCAAGUGCCCAGUCAGUAGGCUGACUGGGUCAACCUUACCCACUGGAAUAGUGGACAGGGCCCACCUGUAAGUGACUCGGGCUAAUUACUGCAAAAAAAUCUAAUAGAAUUAAUUAGUUAGCAGGGCUCAUAGGUCAGUGUAAUAAAUAAUUAAACUAAUCCAAUUUAAUUAAAGUUUUUAUUAAUUAGUAGGGGUGGUCCCAUAUGUCAGUGACUGGGUGUUACCUAGUCAUCAUUGACCGUGGUCAACAAGUCAAAGGGGGCCCUUGCGCCACUAGUCAGCGACCCUGAUGGUGGCCCUAGGCCGGCAACAUCGGCUCUCGGCGGUGGCGUGCCGACGGCGACCUUCCAGACGGCUACGAUGUGCGGACAUGGUCGAAAAACAGGCAUCGGGGGUCGUUUGAACCGCCGCGAGCAUCUACAAGCGCAGAGGGACGUCACACUUUGAACUGCAGCGAAGGUGCGGGGGCUGGCCGGAGCGGCGCCGACAACGAGCAUGGGCGGCGGUUGGGUUCGGGGCUCGUGGGAGACUGUGCCCCGGGCCACCAUUCGGACGGCCGCGACUACCUUCGAGAUGCAGGGGCUUGUGCGUGUCCAACAGAGCAAGCGGCGGAGGCGGAGACGACCUACAUCGACUGCAGUGGCGACUGGGGUGACUGCCAGAGUUCGGUGAAACUCGGAUGCGGUGCUACGGAGCACGGAUGGACGUGUGGGUGCGUGCCUUUGGUCGCUGUGAACAUGCUAAGCAUGCUAACGAGCACGGAUGCAAGCUACGGGGGCUCUGGCCACGGUGGCGACAAAGAACGGCGACGACGAGCUCGGCCACGAUGGCGGCCACAGUUAGAAACACGGGAACGCGGAAUGAGGAGAGGGAAGAUGCGAAUGCUCGCCGUGGUCCUGUAGAUGUGCCUAAAUGAGCUUGGGGAGGUGUGGCGGCACGGCGAUCUCCGGCACCCGGUGACGGAGACGAAGGAGAGGGUGAUGCUGUGGGGCGCCCCGGCUCGAUCCAGCAGGCGAGGUCGACGUAGCCGACCGCGACGACACUUCAAGGCAAGCUGGCGAGACGAGGGGUGGCCGAUGGCCACGGUGGCGCGAGGCGGACGGGGGCGAAUGUGUCGGGCGAGGAGGGGGAAGGGGAUCUGGGGAGGAGGAAGGGAGGACGAGAGGGCGAGGGGAGCGAGCGGGGUGACUGGGAGGGCGUCUAGGGUUAGGGUUCGUCGGGGAGACCUAAUCCUCCUUGUAGCUCGCCGACGAGGUGGUGUGACGGGGCGCGCUCGGGUAGGAGCCCGAUCGGAGGAACAUGAGGGGAGGGAGACGACCCAGGGAAGGCAGGCUGGGUCGGCUAGCUGGGUUGCGCCGGUUGGCUGAGGCCAAGGGGGGCAGGGGUUGUGGCCUUUUUUACUUUUGUUUUGUUUUUCUUUUCAAAACUUUUAUGUUUUCUUUUAUUUCCUAUUUAUUUUAACCUUAUAAAAUAUAAAAUUAGCUCCUACAUUAGUGAUCCUAAAUAUUCCACAACCACUAAAAGUUUUGUGCAAAUUAAAAUACUUUGCAUAUUUUUAUCAUUUUAAAGGCAUUUAAAUAUUUGUUUUAGCCACUAUUUUAUUAUUUUAAUGUAUUUGAAUACUUUAUAAAAAUGUGAGUUCACCACCAUUAUUAACAAAUGAUUAUUUACCACAAUUUGAACAUUUUAGUUUUGACAUUUGAAUUUUUUAUUGUUUGACUUUAUUUUAAAUUUGAAUUUUGAUUUGGUUUGGAUCAAUGUGGGACCUAGCAACAGUAAAAGUGAUGACAUGACAUCAUUAGCAGGGGAUUAUUGUAGCUUAAUUAUCUGUGUGUUACAUCUGUAUCAGAAAACACGAUGAUUUCUUCUCUCAUAUGUUUUUUUCUGAAUGAAUAGGUACUUAUGGACUUGGAGUUAGGGUUGCAAUAGCUGCCAGGGGCUCACAAGCCUGCCAGACGCGCCAUGGGGGGUGGGCGCCCCCUAGGCUUGUGGAGCCCUGGUGGCUCUCCUCUGGUAAUUUCCUUCGCCAAUAUUUUUUAUAUAUUGUGAAAUAAUUCUCAGUAAUUUUUCAACUCAAUCUGAGAACUUUUAUUUCUGCACAAGAAAAAAACACCAUGGCAAUUCUGCUGAAAAUAACGUCAGUUUGGAUUAGCUCCAUUCAAAUCAUGCAAAUUAUAGUUCAAAACAAAAGAAAAAAUGUUUGAAAAAGUAGAUACGUUUAGGACGUAUCAUGAAGCAUGACUUUGUUCAAAUGAAAUUCUAAGAAAAAAUUAGGGGCUUGAAGUUUUGAGAGAACGAGUGAUACGUCUCAAAUGUAUCUACUUUUAUAAACACUUUUGCUCUUAUUUUUUACUCUAAUUUUCAUGAUUUGAAUGUAACUAACCCAGACUGAUAUUGUUUUCAGUAGAACUACCAUGAUGUUAUUUUUAUGCAGAAAUAAAAGUUUUCGGAUGAAGCAGAAAUUUUACGUAUAAUUUUUCUGGAAUAUAUAAAAAUACUGGUGAAAAGAUCUACCAGAGAGGGGCCACCACAGAGCCACAAGCUCCCGUGGCGCCCCCUAGGGCGCGCCACCCAGGCUUGUGGGACCCUCGGGACACUGUUUGCCCUACCUCCAACUCCAUAAAUACAAUCUUGUGGAGAAACAAAUAAGAGAAAAUGUUUCAUCGCGUCUUACAAUAUGGAACCACCACCACCUCCCGAUCUUCAUCGGGAGGGCUAUUCUGGAGGCCGUUCAGGGCUCCGGAGAGGGGAUUCGUCGUCAUCAUCAUCACCAACCCCUUUUCACCGUCAAUUUCAUGAUGCUCACCGCCAGGAGUAAGUAGUUCCUUCGUAGGUUUGCUGGACGGUGAUGGAGUUGGAUGAGAUUUAUCAUGUAAUCGAGUCAAUUUGUUAGGGUUUGAUCCCUAGUACGUAUCCACUAUGUUUUGAGAUUAAUGUUGUUAUGACUUUUCUAUGUUCAAUGCUUGUCGCUAGGCCCGACUGCCGUGAUUUCAGAUCUGAACACUCUAUGUUUUCAUGAAUAUAUUUGAGUUCUUGAUCCUAUCUACUAGUUAUAUGCAUUUGUUAUUGUUAUGAUCCAUAGACCCCAAAGUGACAACAGUUGGGAUGCUCUCCGGGGAUGACUGUGAUUCGAGUUCAUGUGUAUUCAUCAUAUGUUGAUGCUUUGUUCCGGUGCUUUAUUAAAAUGAGGCUUUAAUAUCUCUUAGCUUCUUUAUGGACCCCGCUGCCACGGGGGGUAUGACAACAGAUAACAUGCAAGUUCUUAUAAUAAGCAUGUGUGGCCAUAUAUGAAAUACAUACCUAUACUGAAUUGAUGAAUUGGAGUAUAUGAUGAAUGUCAUCCAACACAAAUAUCCAUCGUUGAUUCAAUGCCUACGCUUUGCUCAUAUUGAUUUUGCUAAGUUAGUAUUGUUGUCGUUACUGUUACAAUCACUACAAAACUGCUAUUGUUAUUCUUCCUGCGACUACUGCUAAUAUCAAAACUAUCAAACUACUGUGCCACUAAACACUUUGCUGUAGAUAUUUAGCUCUCGAGGUGUGGUUGAAUUUACAACUCAACUGCUAAGGCUUAUAAAUAUUGUUUGGAUCCUCUUGUGUUGAACCAAUAAAUUGGGUAAAAUACUAUCCGCGAAUACUGUCGCGAUCCCCUAUACUAUUGUAUUUCCCCUUUGUUUUACUAUUCCUGCGUUUGCAUUAGGGAGAAAAAAAAUCAUGUCCCUGUAUAAACUUGAUUUUUUGAAUAGUUUGGUAUAACUUUGUUUAUUCUUGCAUUUUCACCCGGGAGAGUUGCUCAUUCGUUUGGAUGCCGAUAUGGCGCUGACGUUCGGUCUAGGAGACCCCUAGAACGAAUGACUCAUCCAUUCUGGAGGGGAGAUCAAUGCGAACGAAUUUAUUCGGGGGGAGAACCACCACCGGUGCGAACGCACCCCCAGCACGAACGCACCUCCGCGUGACCCAACAGCCCGGUAGCGAAAAAGCCCAACUAUUUUUUUGAUGUGCCAGAUUAAAGUUUAGAUUUUGGUGUGCUACAAAACAAAAAUGUCAACAACUUUAAAAGCACAAAAUAUACCACGGGUAAAAAGAUUAUUUUUGUAGUGACCCAAAAGAAAUUUUUCCAUCGAACAUUCAUACUAAAAAAUGCCAUGGUAUGUUUAAUUAAUUUUCCUUAUAUUGUAUACACAUUUUGAACACAAAAUUAUGGGUGAUGAAUUUGCCAUGGUGUGGUAGUAUAAAUUGCCGUGUUUAAAAAAUACAAUUGCCAUGGUACUAAAGAAUAAAAUUUACAUCACAAAAAUUAAAGAAAAUAAGGGAAUUUGCUAUGGUCCAUCUUCUCAUACAUAUUUUUUCAUGAUCUAAAGAAAUAAAUUUACAAUGGAUUAAAAAAUUAACACACUACCUAUAAUGAAAUGUUUAUGCAUGGCAAAUUUAGUUAGUUUUUCUUCAAAAAAAGAUGGCAAAAUUAGAAGACUAUUCACUAAAACACAUGUCAACCUUUUGAAAAUGUAAAGGUACAUGGAUUUUUGUUAAAAAAAGAUGGCAAAAAAAUACUCAUGAAAAAUAAUCUAGGAAAUCAUAGUGCACAACCAAGAAGUUGCCAUGCUAUAUAGUGAAUGAAAUAAAAAUUUGCCAUGGCAAUACAUGUUAAAUAUUUGACAUGGCUAUUUAGGUAAAGUUGUCAUGUCAAUUAAGCUAAAUUUACCAUGGCAAAAAUAAAAGGAAAAAAUUGCCAUGGCAAUGAAAGUUAAGAGUUGCCAUGGCGAUUUAGGUAAAUUUGACAUGCCAAGUAAGGUAAUUUUGCCAUGGCAAAAAUAAAGAGUUAAUUUUAUUGCCAUGAUUUUUAUCAUAUACAUGAAGACACAAAAAAUGUCGAUUGAAAAAUGCCAAGGCAACUAAAAAGUAAAAUUUGACAUGGAUGUAAAGGUUAAUUUGCCAUGGCAAGUAAAGAAGUAAACUUGCCAUGAGCAAAAUUAAAAGUAAAAAAGUUGCCAUGUAUGUAAAAAAAGUGAAUUUCCAUGUAUGUAAAGGUCAAGUUGCCAUGGCAAAACAGAAAAGGUUAAUAUGACAUGACAUUUUAAAGAAAAGGUAAACUUGCCAUUGGCAAAAAGAAAGGUAAAAUUGCCAUGGCAAAAACAUGGUAAAUUUGCCAUGGUUAUAAAGUAAAAAUUGCCAUGCUAUAAAACUAAUUUUACUAUUACAUAAAUUGUCAUGAAGGUAAAUAAGCCAUGGCAGAAAGGAAAAGUAAAUUUUAAUUAGCCAUGAUUGACUAAAAAGUAAAAUUAGGCAUGUAUGUAAAAGUUAAAUUGCUAUGACAUCAUAGAUAAUUCUGCCAUGGCAAAAAAUAAAUGUAAAAUUAAAAUUCGCCAUGAAAAAAAUAAAAGUAUAAAUUUCCAUGGCAAUAAAAGUUAAAAUUUGCCAUGACAAUUAAGGUGAAUUUUCCAUGGAAAAAAAGUAAAUUAAUUAGCCAUGAUGGGUUGAAGUAAAAAAAUUGACAUUAUAAGUAAAAGGAAAAUGCCAUAUUAGUGUAGAUAUUUUUUCAUAGCCAAAAAAAGCAAAUUUGCCAUUAAAAAUUAUAUGUUUCAAUGGAAAUAAAACUUAAAAUUUUUCAUGGGGAUUUAGGUUAAAUUACCAUAUUAAAAAGGUAAAUUUGUCAUGUCAUCAUAGAUAAUUUUGCCAUGGCCAAAAAAUGUAAAAGUAGAAACUGACAUGCUAAAAAAAAUUGAAAUUUGCCAUGGCGAUUUACGUAAAAUUGCCAUGUCAAUGAAGGCAAAUCUGCCGUGUGACUAAGAUACAAUUCUAAAAAUAUCGUUAGAUUUGCCAUCGUCUUAAUCAAAAUUUAGACAUAGGCCUAAAAUGUCAAAAUGCUUAUACCAUAAGGGACAUGGCUACAAAUUAUGAACAAAAAAAAUGCUAUGUCAUAUGCGUAUUAAAAUCUUGCCAUGACGUUUCAUUUAUAAUUGCCAUUCUUUGUGUAAGAAAAUUGCCAUGAACAUAUUCAUAUAUUAAAACAACACCCGCCAUGCUCCAUGCUGGCUCUCAAAAACAUUCAUAGCAAAAAAUCAUAUAAAAAAUUGCCAUGGCAAAACUAGUUACAAAAAAGAGAGAUGGUAGGAGGUUUUAAAUUGAAAUUUUGCCAUGGCAAAUGAUAUCUAAUUCAAAAUGAUUUGCCAUGGUAUAUGAAAUUAAAUGAUGUGUAAUUCAUGAGAAAAUGUAGAAGAAAAGUGGUGUGAAUUAAUCACUAGGGUGGAACUACAUCACUGGGUGGCGGCGAAAAUGGAAGCUGGGCGGCGAUUAGUAGCGGAGCCCCCUCCCGGCGACACCGGGCAACUACUCGGGCUCUGCCAAAAAACUUCCAUUAGAUUACAGUAGGAGCUGGAUAAUCAAUCACUAGUCUUAGCGGGCAAAUGCCCAUGAAGCACAUCCCUCUGUAUUAUGCCAGGCUCCAUGGACGGGCUAGCUCCACCACCGGCGACGGUGGAACUGAAGCUGGAGAAAGUGAGGGACGGUAGGAAGAGAAGAGGGGUGAGGUGGAGCCGUACGCGUUCGUUUCGGUCGCGCAUCGCACCGAACGACAGCGAAAAAUGGCGUGGACACUGAGCUAACAUUAAGAUUAGUGCGAAUUUAACGGACGGUGGAAACAGCGUUCGGCCUAAAACGUCCAAAAUCUGACGUUCGACACUUGUUGUUUCCAAGAAGGGAAAUGUCUGCAGCCGGUGCGCCGGCUCAAACUUGCGCCGGACCGCACCCACGCGUCCGUGGGGCCCCGCACCGCUCUGUCCUUUUCUGCUCCUUAUCUUCUUCCUCCUCCUUAUCUUCUUCCUUCAUUGAGUUUUCUAGCCACAAUUCCCCACGGCGCUAUCCACCUCUUCCUCUCCUUCCACCUCUCCUCCCCAUCGGCGCUGCCAACCUCUCCCUCUCCUUCUGCCUCCCUCGCCAUCAGCGUUCUCUACCUCUCCCCCUCCUUCUACCUCAAGCCGCCAGCACUCCCACAAGCGGGCGGAGCUGCGACGACCGUCGAACGGCAACUGCUGCGAAGGUUCAGCACCGGUGUGUCGACCGGUGUUGUGGACAGGAGAAGCCACUGGCGUUGUGGACAGGAGAGCCCACCGGUGGUUCGACUUCGACGACACCCAUUGCCUGGACCCGGCUCAUGGUGGUGCUGGAACUUGCUCAUGACGUGCUGCAAUUGCUUGCGGGCCGAGCUAGGAACAUGGCGAUGCUGGAAGCGAAGUUACUUUUUAUGUUGGACUAAUUUUACAUUUUUGCUACCACCGUUUUUUGGUUUGCUGGAACCAACACUAAUUUUUGCUACCAUCGACGCUUUGGUUUCGCUAGUACCUGCGCCAAUUUUUUGCAAUUUGCUACAACAGGUGUUUUGAUUUGCUGGAACCAACUACAAUUUUUCGCUACAAGUGUCGCUUUCGAUUUUGCUGGAAGAACGACCAAUUUUACAUUUUUGCUACAAAUAGUGUUUUGACUUGCUGGAACUAGCUCCAAUUUUUGCUACAGCCGCCGAUUUCGCUUUUGCUGGAGAACGCCCAUUUUUGCAUUUUUGCUACAAAUGGUGUUUUGACUUGCUGGAACCAGCUCUAAUUCUUGCUACAACUGCCGCUUUCGCUAUUGCUGGAAGAAUGCCCAAUUUUGCAUUUUUGCUACAAAUGGUGUUUUGAUUUGUUGGAAGCAGCUUCAAUUUUUGCUACCACCGAUGUCUCAAUUUUUGCUAGAACAUCCUUGCACAAAGGGCCUAGUUAUGCAUUUUUGCUUCCACUGUUUUUGGCUUUGCUGGAAUCAACACAAAAAUUUGCUACUACCGCUGUUGGCUGCGAGCCAUGGUUUUCUACUGAUGAGAAUUUUUGCUGGAACAAUCAUUUAGUUGUGCUAGAACCGAUAUUUUUUGUUGCUUCAACCUAGCACCACCAGGUUUUGUUGCUUAGAUUAUUUUUGCUGGACAUGGCGGGCAAGUCGACAAUGGCGGCGAGCCGGAGAUGAGGGAACGCCGGGGGGUAUUGCAAACCAUGGUGACUGCGUGCCAUGGAGAGCGGAGGCGGCCAUGGCGAGUGGAGGCACGAGCGGCCGGCGAACACGGGUGGCAGGCGUGGUGGCACAGGUGGCAAGCAAGCAUGGGAAGCCGACGACAAGCGCAGGUGGCCGGCGAGCGCGCAGGUGGCCGGCGAGCGUGUGAGAUCCAACGUGUGCGCACGACUGCCUUUUUUUCCCGUGUGGGUGUGACUUUUUAAGAGAAAGCAAUCUGACGGUGAUGAAAGGUUGUAUCGGACGUUUGGCAGCGGACCGGCCCAAAUUUGGGCCGGUGCGCUGGCGCCUAGUGCUCGCCUUCCAAGAAAGAGUCGCUUGUUCAUCUCACAUCACUCGGCUGGUCUCUGGGCCAUCCGUCGGGCCGGGCCACACACGACUACCCUUCACUUCCGCGGGCCCAUUCUCCCUCCCCUUUCGGCCCUCACGUAUCCGGGCCGGGAGACUACCACUAUAUAUACCGGGCAAGCGAUGCCGCCCUAGGGUUCUUCCUUCACCCCUGCUUCCAUUCUCUUCCUCCGGGAGCGCCGCCGCUUGCUCAUCUCCCACCUCUCGCCUCGGGAGCCGGAAGCGAAACCCCACGGUGAGCCGGACCUCCCCCUCCUCCCUCCCUUCUCCCCCGCCCUCCGGUAGCUUCGUCGGCGCCUCGCUUCUCUGUAGUCCGUGCUAGCUGCUGCCUAGUCGAUCGAUCGAUCGAUUCCACCGGUUCUAGUCUCCUCGCUAGCUCGAUGCGCUUCAGUUCACGUCGCUGGAUCUGUCGUCGUUCUUCCGUGUUUAUUCAUGUUCCCAAGCGCUGUAGAUCUACUGCUUUGUCCGCCCUGCUCGCAUGUUCCGGGAUCGAUUUUGUUCUGACGUCUCUAGAUGUGCGGUCCCUAGGGUGUUGUUUCCGUCGUGAUUCACGUGGAUCUGUUGCCCCGGUGUUGGUUUUGGCCAUUUUGCUGUGCUGUUCGUUCAUGAGGUUUGCUAGAAUGCUCGAUCUGUAGGGUAUUCCCUGCCUAUCGUAACCUGGUCGGUGUUAUUCUCUGCUCUCAUGCUCAGAUCGGAGAAAAUUGUAUCACUGCUUUGCAUGUUCAAUUUAACUUGAAAGGGAGCUACCGAUAUUUCAUCAUCUGUGUGUUUCAGUGUUUUAUGUAAGUUUAGUUCAGGCACUCUGCAUGAAUUUCGGUCUGAUCUGAUCAUUAUUUCGUUUGGAUGAGUAUGUGCGAGUAUUUUCUGUGUUUUCCUUGGUAUUUGAUGGUUGCACCACUUGAGAGUUCCUACUCAAUGACGUUCUGUGCCAUUGUUUCUAGUGUUUAUGUGGGUAGUGCCAUGAUAUUACAGUCGGUGCUUGUGCAUAAAACUGUGAUUCCCUGAUAAAUCAGCCUCCAUUACAUUUACCCAAGUCUUGACUUCGUCUGUAAUCAUCUUUACACUGUUUUGCCAUUUGACAUAAUCUUCUGGAGAAGUUUUUAUCUAUGUACCACCCCUUUAUAAGCUCCACAGACCUGGAAGUACUUGGGGUUUUAGUUAGUGAAUCCAUUUCCUGUUUUUGCUUCAUAGUUGCUUCAAUGCUUUUGCAUGUAUGCUCUCCAUAAUAUUUCUUUGUUAUUGCUGUGUUUUUUUCUCAUACUUUGACUGUCAGUUCUCUUAAUAUUGUUUGGGCUUGCUUUGUUGCUGCCUUCUCAUUGCACUUCUAUUAGUCCUAAUAUAUUAAAUUUAAUAAGCUUAGUUGACCAUAUUAUAUAUUUCAGGGGCUGUUGUUGGAAGUGUUGGUUAAAGUAGUUUUGUAGCAGUGUAUGAACCUUGUUGUUGCACACCAAUGUUAAGUGCACUUUCGAGUGGACAAUUGUGGGUUUAAUUACUUGGACAUCCAUUAUUAUAUUACUGCCAGAUUUCAUGUAUAGUUAUUCGAACUGUAUUAGCGCUUGAUUCUGAUAGCUUGCUAUUCUUUGAACAGGUACUAUAGUCCCGGUGUGACAUUCAAAAGCAGUCAAGAUGGUGAAGUUCACAGCGGAGGAGCUCCGUGGAAUUAUGGAUAAAAAGAAUAAUAUUCGUAACAUGUCUGUUAUUGCUCAUGUUGACCAUGGUAUGUGAUCGAACAGUGUCAGUUGUCUCUAAUUAUCAUGUUUAUACAGUAUAAUCUUUUGAAUUGAUGUUUUUGUAGCCUGCUCUUAGUUGUGCCAUAUUAUUUCUAAAACCUGGAUCUCUAUAUUAAUAACUGUUUCACUGUUUUAAUAUAAGUAGUUUCAGUUCUUGCUGUCUCCUGGAGCUUAUUCUUACUGCUUUUAUGAUUGAUUUAUGCUUUAACAAGCUUAAAUGCAACUAGUAGCAUAUAAUCCCAUGUCUCAAAAUCUCCCCAGUUUGGUGUAUGCUCUUGCUAGUUGCUGAAUCUAUUACAAUUUACAUGGUUGUACUUAGUAACACAAAAAUGCAUUUCCUUCUAUUAAUGUUUGCAAUGUCCCACCAGAUUUUGUUAACCAUGUUACUAAAUACCUGGUUUGUCCUCUUUUAAUCUUCUUUUAAUCAUGGUUUGUUUCAAUGUACUUUAAUGUUGUGCUGUACUCCCUCUGUCUGGGUUUAUUAGGCCUCUCAGCAUCACAAGCAUGUCCCCUUUUAUAAGGCCCCGCAUUGGAAAGGUGCAUGCAUGCAACCAUUUCAUUGGUUGUAUUGAAAGCUAUUGUUGUUGGUGCCAUGGCUGAAAAGUUAAUACACUUCAUGUGUGCUUUUUCAUUGGCUGCAUGCAUGUGAGAGAGUGCAUUGGGAGUGGAAUGGAAUAAUUAAUGUGAGCAAAUUACUAUGUGUCUUGAUCUAAGAGAAGUUGUCUUUAGGCCUAAUAAACCCGGGCGGAGGGAGUACUUUACAUCUCUCAGUGGUUAAUAUGUUCAAGUGUAUAUUAAUGUAUAUCCUGUUCAACUGUCAAUCUGGAUGCGUUUGCACUGUCCUCACACAUAUUUACAUGUUUGCAGGCAAGUCUACGCUUACGGAUUCCCUUGUGGCAGCUGCCGGGAUUAUCGCCCAGGAAGUUGCUGGUGAUGUUCGCAUGACUGAUACCCGUGCAGAUGAGGCAGAACGUGGUAUUACAAUCAAAUCCACGGGUAUCUCUCUGUUCUAUCAGAUGACUCCUGAAUCACUUGAGAUGUACAAGGGUGACAGGGAUGGGGACGAAUACCUGAUCAACCUUAUUGACUCACCUGGUCAUGUUGACUUCUCUUCGGAAGUGACAGCUGCUCUUCGUAUCACUGAUGGUGCUUUGGUGGUGGUUGACUGUAUUGAGGGUGUCUGUGUGCAGACCGAAACUGUGCUGCGCCAAGCUCUUGGUGAGAGGAUUAGGCCUGUCCUCACCGUGAACAAGAUGGACAGAUGCUUCCUUGAGCUUCAAGUGGAAGGUGAGGAAGCAUACCAGACUUUCUCCCGUGUCAUUGAAAAUGCCAAUGUCAUCAUGGCAACAUAUGAAGAUGUGCUCCUUGGUGAUGUCCAAGUGUACCCGGAGAAAGGGACUGUUGCAUUCUCUGCUGGUUUGCAUGGGUGGGCUUUCACCCUUACAAACUUUGCUAAGAUGUAUGCCUCCAAGUUUGGAGUUGAUGAGGCGAAGAUGAUGGAGAGGCUUUGGGGUGAGAAUUUCUUUGACCCAGCCACAAAGAAAUGGACCUCCAAGAACACUGGGACAGCUACUUGCAAGAGAGGUUUCGUUCAGUUCUGCUACGAGCCAAUCAAGCAAAUCAUCGCCACCUGCAUGAAUGAUCAGAAGGAUAAGUUGUGGCCUAUGUUGAAGAAGCUGGGUGUGACCAUGAAGAAUGAUGAGAAGGACUUGAUGGGCAAGGCUCUCAUGAAGCGUGUGAUGCAAACUUGGCUGCCUGCCAGUCGUGCUCUGCUUGAGAUGAUGAUAUUUCACCUCCCCUCUCCUUCGAAGGCACAGAGGUAUCGUGUGGAGAACUUAUAUGAGGGGCCUCUUGAUGAUAUAUAUGCAAAUGCUAUCAGGAACUGUGACCCUGAAGGUCCUCUGAUGUUGUAUGUCUCCAAGAUGAUUCCAGCAUCUGACAAGGGUAGAUUCUUUGCCUUUGGACGUGUUUUUGCUGGGAGGGUUGCAACUGGCAUGAAGGUCCGUAUCAUGGGUCCCAACUUUGUUCCUGGCCAGAAGAAGGAUCUGUAUGUGAAGAGUGUCCAGCGUACUGUUAUCUGGAUGGGAAAGAAGCAAGAGUCUGUUGAGGAUGUUCCCUGUGGUAACACUGUUGCUUUGGUUGGUUUGGAUCAGUUCAUCACCAAGAAUGCAACCCUGACAAAUGAGAAGGAAGUUGAUGCCUGCCCAAUCAGGGCUAUGAAGUUCUCUGUGUCCCCUGUUGUGCGUGUUGCCGUUCAGUGCAAGGUGGCAUCUGAUCUUCCUAAGCUUGUUGAGGGUUUGAAGCGGCUGGCGAAGUCUGACCCUAUGGUUCUCUGUAGCAUUGAAGAGUCUGGUGAGCAUAUCAUUGCUGGAGCUGGUGAGCUUCACCUUGAAAUCUGUUUGAAGGAUCUGCAGGAGGACUUCAUGGGUGGUGCUGAAAUUAUUGUCUCACCUCCUGUUGUCUCCUUCCGUGAGACUGUUCUGGAGAAGUCCUGCCGCACAGUUAUGAGCAAGUCCCCGAACAAGCACAACCGUCUUUACAUGGAGGCUCGCCCAUUGGAGGAGGGACUGGCUGAGGCCAUUGAUGAUGGCCGCAUUGGCCCACGUGAUGAUCCUAAGGUGCGCUCUAAGAUCCUAUCUGAGGAGUUUGGCUGGGACAAGGAUCUUGCCAAGAAGAUUUGGUGCUUUGGACCUGAGACGACUGGCCCCAACAUGGUUGUCGACAUGUGUAAGGGAGUGCAGUAUCUGAAUGAAAUCAAGGACUCUGUUGUGGCUGGGUUCCAGUGGGCAUCGAAAGAAGGUGCUUUGGCUGAGGAGAACAUGCGUGGCAUCUGCUUUGAGGUCUGUGAUGUUGUUCUGCACACUGAUGCUAUUCACAGGGGUGGUGGCCAGGUCAUCCCAACAGCCAGGAGGGUCAUUUAUGCUUCUCAGCUCACUGCUAAGCCAAGGCUGCUGGAGCCUGUGUACCUGGUUGAGAUCCAGGCCCCGGAGAAUGCACUUGGCGGUAUCUAUGGUGUUCUGAAUCAGAAGAGAGGGCACGUGUUUGAGGAGAUGCAGAGGCCUGGUACCCCGCUGUACAACAUCAAGGCUUACCUCCCGGUCAUCGAGUCGUUCGGGUUCUCAAGUACCCUCAGGGCUGCGACAUCUG
RNAcentral lists this long non-coding RNA (189432 nucleotides) under Triticum aestivum (bread wheat). Its description in RNAcentral is "long non-coding RNA (TAES_LNC008125)". The stretch from base 173717 to 173851 matches the Rfam family "MIR1120/MIR1122 microRNA precursor family". Lineage: Eukaryota; Viridiplantae; Streptophyta; Magnoliopsida; Poales; Poaceae. The record is from RNAcentral.